RNAcentral lists this long non-coding RNA (180183 nucleotides) under Citrus maxima (pomelo). RNAcentral's name for it is "long non-coding RNA (CMAX_LNC001224)". Lineage: Eukaryota; Viridiplantae; Streptophyta; Magnoliopsida; Sapindales; Rutaceae. The record is from RNAcentral.
UUUUCAGAGAGCUAGAAUAAUUUUUUGGAGGUGCGGGCAGAGUGAUAGAACCAAAGUUUAGAUGCAUGAGUUUUUGCAUCAUCCAAAUAUCCUCUGGUGACUGAUCUAUGUAGCUAGAUGGCAUUUCUAGUGUUUCAAGGUUUAAAAGGGUGCAUAGCAGUGAAGGAAGGCAUUUGAGCGAAGGGAUAUUCAAUUUCAAAUACUUCAAAAGAUAUAAAUUUUCUAAUGCGGGUGGAUAUUGGUCCAGGACUGCAGAACCCAUGUUCAAUACCCGAAGGUAUUUGAACCUUUUAAAAAAAUUCUCGCAAUCUUUCGGAUUAAGAUGAUUGCUUUCUGAACUGUGAUUCAGAAAUGAUUGGAGAUACAUGUCAGACUGUUGUAAAAAAAAGAACUCAAGCAGAUCUUCCAAAAUGAAGCACCGUUUAGCAUUUUCAAUUGAUUCCCCUAUCCAUGCAGGCAUUCGGACAAAUCUCGUCUUCUCUGCCACCAAACCCAAUGAAGUAAAUACAAAACUUGGAACAUAACACGCUUUAAUUGUGCCUCCGGCUCUUCUCGUACUCACUUUAAUGAAGCCGCGAUGGAUUAGUUCUUUCAAGUAAUGUUCGGCAGUUUCUUCACCGUUGUAUGGUAUGAAACCUUCAGCUACCCACAACUGAUAUAAUUGCCUCGUGGAUAUCUCGAUGCCUGGAGGGAAGACACACAAAUAGAUGCAGCAGACUUUCAAGUGAAAAGGUAACUCCAUCACAGAGAAAAUUUGUCUCCAUACUGUCGGAAUCGCUUCGCUUUGAAGAUAAUUUUCUAAUGGCAUACUUCCAUAGUGUAGGAUGAAAAAUUGCCAGGCCUCAUGCUUUAGUCUGAUCAAUGGUCCUCCAACGAGCACUGAACCAUGCCGAAUCUUCUCUCCAUUUUCCAUUUCCAACGACUCAAGGAGGUCUGGAUCAGCGGCCAAUAUUAAUACUCUGCUUCCAUUCUCAUUAUCAGGGAGAACUUCUUCGAGAUCAUCCCAUAUCUCACGGUCAUUGAAGACGUCAUCAAGCACAAUAAAGUACUUCUUGUUUGUUAGGUAAUCUCGAAGAAUAGAUUUCUUCAAUUGAUAAUCUUCACCGAUAAUUACACUAACCCGAGCUGGAGGCAUCACAGACUUGAUUAUGCCAUCCAAUAUCUUGCCAAAAUCAUAACGUAGAGAAACCCUGACCCAAGCAUGACAGUCAAAAUAGAACUUGACAUGAUUACUGUUAUAAGUAUGUGCAGCAAAAGCAGUCUUAUCGAAGCCACUGCUGUCGAGAAUUGCAACCACUGAAAGCCCAGAUGGUCCCUCAAUCAAUAGAUCAAAAAACUUCUCUCUGCCCCUUUCAAAUUCACUGAUAUCGAGCCGAGGUUGUCCCUCACUCAAUAGGCGAAUGAUUUCGUUACGUUUUUCACUGAUAUCAAAACCAUUGUCGCCGGGUGGAAGUUGUUGCGUCCGAUUUCUAAUAUCAAUGAUUUCACUGAUAUCAAAACCAUUAGUGCUGCUUUCACUUUCGUUUUCACUGUUUUGCUGCUGCAUAAUGUUGAUGAAGAAUGUGUCAAUGGCUUCCUCAGAUUCAUGGACAAAGUGAUUGAUGUCCUUAAGAAUUUCCAGAAUGUCUGAUCUUUUAACGUCUUCUUCAUCACUUUCUUCUAAGUCCAACAGUUGCAAUAAAGGCAAAGACAUAUUGGAUUCAGCGAAUUCUUGUCUGAAUAGUUGAGACAAAAUCCGAGCCAUGUCAGCUUCAUAGUUUCCCGACAGAGUAGUAGUAAUAAUUUCAGACUCCGUAAGAAGGUUUUGAAAAAGCGGGGCUAAAUUUGUUGAAUCAGUCAACGUUAACGUGCCUUCUUCACCUGCUAACACCCUUUUCAACCUCUCACAAAAUAGUCGGAGGUGGACGUCCAGCAUAUCUCCUUCUCUCUGUAGCACCCAGAGGUAUUGUUUUUUGCUCCAAGAAAUAUUAAAAGGAUUGGUUCUAUCUCAAAGUGGUUACUGGUGUAAAAUUAAACGCCAUGGGAGAAUUUGAAGGGAAGAUGCCAAGGAACUGGCGAUGUGGCUAAAUUACACAAAUACGGCAUUAUUGCUCAUUUUUAACUCAAAAAAUUGAUACCAAGACGCUUGCCUUUUGAAAAGAAGAGGUAUCCAACCUUUAUCUUAUUUAAUUACUACCAUGACAUGAUUGAUGGUGCUUAAAUCAAUUGUUUCUUUAUUAAUUUAAAGAAUUUUUCAUUAAAAAAAUUAUUUUAAUAUCAAAUACCCUUCAAUGGCAUAACUGCCGCAGGCCCAGAAACAGGAUUAAUUAAAAUUUUUUGAAUUUUUGGGCAAGGAAAGAUUUGAAAUUCUAGUUAUGCAACCCAAGAGGGAGUGAAUUAGAAUUCUAUAAAUUAUUUAAUUUAUAAAGAAAACCUUAAUGCAAAUAUAAACCAAAUUCAAAGCAAUAACAAAUAAGGUGAUCACAAUAUAAAAAGAUAAGGGAAGAGAGAUUCAAACACAUAGAUUUUUACUUGGUUCGGCCAACCUCGCCUACGUCCGCGCCUCCAAGCUUUCCGAGCUUAAAGAUUCCACUAAGCAAGCCUCCAAGGCUUCAAAUGCUUACACUUGACUUCCAAGGUGUCAAUAACCUUUACAACAAGAGAUUAUCCCAAUCUCUUUAACCCAAGUGUAUCCCAACACUUACAAUCACUCAAAACAAAAGAUUACAAAUUUGUUUUGACUCUCACAAUAUUUAAGAUUACACAAUGAUGCCCAAUAUGUCAAUAGAUGAAGCAAGAAUGUGUUCAAAGCUCUAUGAAGAUUGUAUUCUCGAGUAUAAGCUCAAUAGUCGUGUUGUGAUCAAUCUUGUUUGAAUUUGAAUGAGCUUAUUUAUAUUUGGAGCUGAAAAACUAGCCAUUACAAACUGUCGGCCCGAAAACGGUUCGCUGUUAACCAUUAACGGUUAACCGUUUAGGCUGGUCAAAAGUUACCGUUGGGCCAAAUUUCAAAUAAACGGUUUGCCGUUUAGGAUUACCCCUUCGCCGUUAAAUUCUAGAGACCUGCAAGAUGAAUAUCAGUUAUCCGUUUACAUUAAACGGUUAAAGAUUUGCAUGAAGUGACUUCUCUGGAUAUUAUCGGUUAACCGUUUGUAAUAAAUGGUUCGCCGUAUGUUUCCAGUAACCUGCAAAACAAUUUAGCCUUAUCCGAUUUUGUUAAACGGUGCCAGAAGAGUACAACCUUCAAUUCUGGAUUUUAUCGGUUAACCGUUUAAAUAAACGGUUCACCGUUAAAUUCCAGUAGCCUUCCCAGCUUUUUGUGUUUUCCAUUUUUCUUAAUCGGUUAGAGCUUAGGCAAUAUGUUGCUCUCUGGUUUUAAUCGGUUAACCGUUUGAAAGAAAACGAUUCACCGUUUAUUUCCAGAAUCACAUUUUAAACCAGAUUUUGCAGAAAGUCAUUUUCUAAUUUGAAAGUCCAUCUUUUAUGAAUAUGAUUGGAAUGAUUAUAAGGCUUUCAUUUAUUAAGGAAUAGCUCCAACAUUUUAAUCAAAAACCAUUUAAAGUUUGUUAUCAUCAAAAUCAAUAUUAUUAACAUAUUCAUGUUAACAAUAGUAGUAUUAAACAUCAGAAAGCUAAGGUUGUUCUGUUAAUGAAUUGAUAUUGACAUAAUUUUAUUUUGGUUUCCGGGGAAAAAAAAACAUUUGUUGACAAGCAAGAAAAUAUUUUUAAAUUUUACAAUUUAUUAUACAUAUUUUAUCAUAUUACAAUAAUUUUAAUAAUAAAUAGAAACAUAAUAUUACAAUAAAUAAGUUAAAGUUUAAAUUAUUUUAAAUAUUAUAAAAAAUAAUUUUAAUAUUAUUAAUAGGAAGACAUUUUGUUAAUUUUAAAACCUUUUUAACCCAAAGGUUUAUUUAAAAGCUUUAUAAUAAACAUAAAUAUAAGAUUAAAAUAAAUAUCAUAAUUUGAAAUUUUUAGUAUUAUUUUAAAUAUUAAAAAUACUUUAAUAUUAUUAGCCUACUACAUUGAUUUUAUUAUUUAUAUUAUAUUCAUAUUGAUUAAAACUUUUUAAAGUCAAUUUUUUAGUCAGUAUAUUCAAGAGGUAUCAUAGUUAAAGAAAAGAUUUUGGUGUUAUUUUUUGAAAAUUUUAAGGUUUAAAUGAUAAUUUUUUAAAAUUUUAAGGAUGUAGGUAUUAUUUUUCCGACAAUUUAUUUUAUUUUUGAGGAAUUCGAUGAGAAAUAUCAUGAGAGAAGGUUAAUUUUACAUUCUUUACCUUUAUGAAAAAAGUGGAAACCAAGAAGUAUUCAAUUUUGUAUUUUUUGUUUGUAAUUCAAAAAAUGCAUCCACCAAACAAUCUUAUCUUGAUUUUUUCACUUUAUUCAUUUUCGAUCCUUUAAUCCAUCUAGUAUCUGCAGCCCCCGCCAUUUUUACAAAUCUCCAUCCGACAUCUACCCUAUCAAACAAAGUUGAUGGAAAUUGAACAAUUGCUUUUUGAAGUGGACCCAAUAAGUGGACAUUUUAUUAAUAUUAAACAAAGUUGACGGAAAUUGAACAAUUGCUUUCUAUGAGCCACUUAUUUUUAACAUUAGCGAUCUUAUCUGGACUACUCCAAUUAUUGAUGUAACUCCAAUGGUUGCAUCAACAGUUGAAUGUAAGAUAGUGUUAGCUCUUCUUUGAGAAUAUAGAGUGAUCUUUCUUUGUUUCUCUGUUGCGACGUGCUACUAUAAAUUUCUUUACCUUGCAGUUUAUAUAGUCUUGCUGUUAAUGAAUUCGCGGAGGCAUUAUUGAUCCAAUCUCAGUGAAGUAAUUGUGGGUGGAAAAUGAAUAAAGGGUAAGAGAACGUAGCUCAAGUGCUGAAUUGGCUAUUAAAGAAGAGUGUCACUUGAUCACAAUCACAUUGAUGCACAACUCACUCGAGGCAAAUUUCAUCUAUAUAUGUACUGCAAAUUCAGCCAAACCAUACAUGCAGGAACAAAACUAAAAUGUAGUUCUAAUCAAAACUGUAAUUAAAGCUACAAAAGGCUUGCUCAAUCCAAAAACUUAAAAGGAAGAUUUUACUCAAGUUUGUCCCCAAAAGACAGCUGAAUUGAAAAAUAUUGACUAUUGAAUCAAUGCUCAAUUACAUUUGAAAUGGAAAGCUUGGCUGCAGUUACGAUGUUUUUCCCUCUGAUUUUCUUCCAAAACAAAUUCAUUUGUAAACAAUAACGGAAGUAGCAAUAAUUUAUUCAUCAAAGAAAAUAUCCAAGUUUUCAACUAACAAAUCCUUUUGUCUAAACUAAAAAAACUUAUAUUUUUAAAAUCUAUCUACAAAAUGUUGGAAAUAAAGAGUGAUCUAUCAACUCGGUAAAUAAACUCAUACAUAAUGUUUACAAUAAUGAUAAAUUACAUAAUAAUUAUUAUAAAGAAUCAUAAAUUAGAAAAAUAUUUUAAGAUCAAAUUGCCUUCAAUGCUGAAUUACAUUUGAAAUGGAAAGCAUGGCUGCAGUUACGAUGUUUCCCCCUCUGAUUUCCUCCAAAACAAAUUCAGUUGUAAACAAUAACGGAAAUAACAAUAAUUUAUUCAUUACUCAAAUUUUUUCAACUAACAAAUCCUCUUGUCUAAACUAAAAAAACUCAUAUCUCUAAAAUCUAUCUGCAAAAUGUUGGAAAUGAGGGGUGAUCUGUCAAUUCGGUAAAUAAACUCGUGCAUAAUGUUAACAAUAAUGAUAAAUUACAUAAUAAUUAUUAUAUAGAAUCAUAAAUAAGAAAUAUUAAUCAUUUCACAAUCUAUUACGUAAGUAAGAUAAAUUUCAUAAUAAGUUAAGUUAUAAUGUAAUAAAUAUUUUCAAUAUGCUAAGAUAGGAUUGGUCCUAUCUCAAAGUAGUUAGUGGUGUAAAACUGAUGGUUGUCGAAGCCAGCAAAAAUAAAUACCUACUCUAAAUAAAUUGUGUAUAGUGAUUGAGCAGGGUCGUGUCCACAGAGAUCGGUAAUUAUUUAAAUCAUUUUAAAAUGUAAAAUGCAAAAUGGGGGAAUUGUUGACAAUAAUAAAAAUCAAAUUAAAAUAACAAGAAUGUAAAUUAAAAUUGUAAUUCAAAUUGGGGAAAAAGUAGUAUUAGACUUCAGAAAGCUAAGGUUGUUAUGUUAAAGAAUUCAUAUUGACAUAAUUUUAUUUUGGCUUUCGGGGAAAAAAAUAUUUGUUGACAAGCAAGAAAAUAUUUUUGUAUUUUACAAUUUAUUAUACAUAUUUGAUCAUAUUAAAGUAAUUUUAAUAAUAAAUAGACACAUAAUAUUACAAUAAAUAAAGUAAAGUUUAAAUUAUUUUGAAUAUUAUAAAAAAUAAUUUUACAUUUGAAAUGGAAAGAGUGGUUUUAAACACCAGAAAGCAAAGAUUAUUCUGUUAGACAAUUGUUAUUGACAUAAAAAAUAAUUUGGUUUUCAAGGAAAAAAAACAUAUUUGUUGACAAGCAUGAAAUUUUUUUUUUGUAUUUUACAAUCUGUUAUUACAUAUUUUAUCAUAUUAAAGUAAUUUUAAUAAUAAAUGUAUAUGUAUCUAGAUUGUAACUAUAUUUUAAAAAAUAUAAUUUUUUUAAUUAUUGCACAGAAAAUGUAGAAAAAUGUCUAUGAAAUAAUAUUAUUAGGACUAAGAAAAAAUAUUAUUUUAGAUAAGUUAUAUAUUUAUUAUUGAAUGAAUAAUUUAUUAAUUUAUUGAUAAAUAAAUAUUUAUUAAUUUAAAGAGAGAUUUUUUUUGGUUUUAGUAAUAGUUUGUUUGUUACAUGUACACACUUAUAAAGAAACACAAAAAGUGCUUGCUCAAGUCAAUAGUAUUUGCUUUAAUCGCUACUGUUCAUAAUAAUGUAGCUAAGUUAGGAAAUUUGUAAUUAUACUAUGGUUCUGUUUUGUAACGCCCAAAUUUCUAUUAUUUUAUUUUAUUUUUAAUGGAAUUUAUAAAUGGCGUUACUGCCCUUAUAAAAAGGGUUAUUCAUGGGAUAAUUUUUAGGAAAUGGUUAUUUUUCCAAAUUCAAUAGGGUUUCUUAAGACUCCCUAUAAAUUAAUAUUUUUUUUCCCUUCGAUACUCGAAGUCCACGACGAUUCUUCUUCUUCUCUGCUGCUCAUUAUGCUCCUACCCAAACCCUAGGAUUCAAACUUUUGCUUAGGAGAGAAUCAAAGCGAUUGGUGUUGGAGGUGAUUGAGGCUCUUAGAGGCUUAGAGGUCUGUUAAUUCAAAUUCUUUUGUCGAGAUAAGUAAUUUCAUUCCUAAUAUACUGGAUAUGUAUAAGUAUUUUGAUGUUAUUAUAAGAGUUUUUAUACUUCUUAGAAGAUUAAUAGAUUUUCAUACCAAAAUCAGUUUAUGAAAAUGUUUUCAAAUCUGAAUUCUUUUGAUAAAAUAUUUUAUAAAUGCGUUUUAAUAUGUAAAUUAUUUUAUGACAUGACUGCCUUUUAUAAUUUUGUCUAUGAAAUAUUUUUGCAAGCCUAAAUUGUUGCUAUAGACUUUCAUGAAUCUAAUACGAAUGUUUUGUGCCUAUGUAUGAUUUUAAUUAUUUAUGACUGUACGGGGGCCACCUCUUGAGACUAUAUGGGGGCCACCUCUUGAGGGCCAAAGCGCCGCAAAGUGCCACAUAUAGUGCAAAGUGCCACGUAUAAGUCAUUAUGUUUUGGCUCAUUGUCCGUAGUUAUUCUGAUUCUAAUUCUGAUUGUAUUAUACGAUAUAUUUGUUCUGGACUAGUACUAGGUUUAUGUUCUAAGUGUGCACACGAUAUUCUGAUUCUGUUUCUGGUCAGGUCACCGAGACUAUAGGUGAUACUAUGUGACAUGAGCUAACUAUCUGCUUUCUGUAUACACUUUAUACGAUUUGCUUUCAUAAUUGAUUAUUCUUUUGAUACUCUGAAUUACCAUGAAUUUAUGUUAUAUAAUUGAAAUAUGUUGUUUUAUGAAGUUUAUGAGUUAUAAUAUAUGUUUUUGAAUAAAAGAAGGCUUGCAAUAUUUUUGAUAUCGAUAGGCCUAGUGUAUUAGGAAUGAUUUUACCUACCGAGUUGACAGCCCACCCCUCGUUAUUACUUUUUGCAGAUUAAGUUCCUUUUAAGAGGUAUGCGUAGCUUUGGAGUUAGAGAUUUCGUUUCCGUUUGCUAUUUGAAUAAGAAGAGGAAUAGACUCAUGUUUCUUUUUAGUUUAUUUCUGUUAUGAACUUGUAAUUUGGAGUUUGAGACUUUUGUUAUUGUUAUGUUUUGGAAGAGAUUAUUUAGUGUUAGACGUAUUAAUUUGUGGAUUUAUUUGAAUAAGAAUUUGAGGUAUUUGAGUUUGGAAUUUAUAAGUAAGGAUUACGAUUUGUAAGUAACCUCCUUCUUCAUGUGCUCCGCACGUGUUAGAUUUGGGGUGUCAUAUGUUUCGUAUAACUUUUGAAGUAGAGCUUAUUUAAAUAGAGUAUUCGUCAAUAAAGCUUCUAUAAAUAAAGAUUUUACUAAAAAAAAUUUAGUUGUUUGGUUGUCAAUGUCCAAAUUGACGAACUUUUGUUCCUUUGCUAACAUGUAUUUGUUUUAUUUAAUAAUAGAAGUUUGGUUUACAAUUACACCACCUUCAAAUCAGCUGAGCAUUUUUGCAACCGGUCACAUUAUACAUUAUACUAAUAGCAUCGGCAAGAGUUUUCGAUUGUUGCAACUUGCAAUGGACGCGAUGGGAGAAAAUGAGAAUCUUGUUUAAUUGCAAUAUUGACAAACCUAAUCCUUUCGUAGGGAGUAAUUUAAUAAUCGCUUGUUAUAAUUGAAUAUGUAUAAAGAAAGGAAAAUUCUAUUCAUAGAUUUCGACUUAUUUUUUGUUUAAAGUAAUUAAUCAUUCAACCAUCUUCAUUUGCCUCUGGCCAAUGCCCUUGUAGAUUAGUUGAACCGUUAAUUACUUAAUUCAGAUAAUUACAGUGUCCUUUUCGCUAAUUAAUUAUGAUUAUAUACGCUUUCAUAUAGCAAGUGGCUUUGUAGAUCUAAACCAAGUUGCUAUUUCAAAACGUUAAUUAAGUGAUUCUCCUCAUUGUCAUCAGCGUUAUACGCUCUAGGAAAAUAGCUCAAUUGUUUCCCUGCAUUGAUUUUCAUUGGUACGUGAUUUCUUAUGAAAUUCUUUUGAGCUUUCCUUAUUAAAAAUGCUUGAGCUUUUAUCACCCAAUACGGAUAUCAAUUAACUUGUGAACGAUUUUGUAAUGAAACUAGGAGUUAAAUAAGAUUUUUACAUGAUGAAUUUUUAUUUUUUUAAUUUUUUGAUGUAGUCAAUUUGCUAAUUUUAUGUAUUUCAUAUUCAACGGAAUUUGGGCACGGAAAGUUUGGAUUCUAAUAUUUAUAUGUUUAGCUUUAAUCAGUUUGACUUUCGUAAUCUUUUUCCCCUCAUCAUUAAGGGAUUCAGAAUUAGAGAAACGUUAGGAAGAGGAAGAAAAUAAUUUCGGAAAUAAGUAAGAGGGAAAAAAUUAUCAAAUUAGGAAUGAUUUUUUGUAGAGUAUGUUGCGUUUACUAAAAUGAAAUCGAAAUGAGCUGGAAUCAGAAUGGAUAAAAAUGCGAAUGUGCUGGAAUAAGAAUAAGUAAUGAGAAUCAGAAUAAGUUGUUUACUUGAACUGUAAGAAUCGAAAUCGAAAUGAGCUGGAUUGCAAUUACUUUGUCCUACAAUUAGAAUCAAAAUGAGUUAGAUUGUAACAAAUUACUAAAAGGUACUUAAUGAAUUAUUGUCAUAAUUAUUAUUUUAUAUUUUAAUUAUAGUGAUUAUUUAUUCUAAAUUAUUAUUAUUAAUUAUUUUCAAUAAUAUAUUAAUAUGUUAAUUAAUUUUAAAAAUUAUUAAUUAAUUUAUUAUAAUAAUAUACUAAUUAAUUAUAAUAAUUAUAUUAAUAAUUAUUAUAAAAAUAUAUUAAUUAUUAAUAAUGAAAUUACUUAUUUAAUUAUAAUAAUAUAUUAAUUAUUGUGAUUAUUUAUUCAAAAAUUAUAAUUAUUAAUAAUUAUUGUUAAUAAUGUAUCAAUAUAUUUUAUAUUAUGAAAUUGUGAUGUAUUGUAGACAAAUAAGGGAAUUUGGUACAAUAAAUUCUUAAUAUCUUAGUACAAAGUAUGGUACAAUGAUAUUUUAACUUAUUGUAGACAGAUUAAAUUUCGACACACUUAAUCCAUAAUAAAAUUAGUGGAAAAUAAUGAUAAUUUAUACAAUUAAUCUUUUGAGCAAUAAAAAAAUAAAAGAAAAAGAAGUUACUAAAUUAUGUUUACUGUUAAGAGUGAAUCCACAAUCCUAAAUAAUUUAUUUCCAUCGUUUCACUUAAAUUAAAUAGUGUGAAUUUAAAUUCUAAUUUUUUGAUAAAUUAAAAAGAAAUAAAAAAUUAAAAUUUUUCUCUAUGGAUCGACCUCGGAUUGAUCAAUUUAUUUCAUAACAACACACUUUUAUACUUGAGAGUUAUAAAUAACUUUGAAGUUGUGUUAAGUUUUUGACGCUCUUACGGGGGAAAAAUAUUUAUUUUAUUUUAUGUAUGGGUCAAACUUGAAAGUAUAUUUUAAGAUAGCUGCUAAUAUGCUCUAUUAGACAAUGAUAACGUAGUUGUUUGUGGUGUUCAUAAUGAGUUUAAUUAUGAUUCAACAAUUUAAAAUAUGAAAACAUAUGGAAGAUGGCCGUAAUUAAAUUGAUUGCAUGAAAAUAUUUCAAUGAAAUUUUAAAAAUUUGGUACUUAUUAUCUUAUCAAAAGUUUUUUAAAUUAUAUUACUACUUCAACUUAACUCCUCCUGGAUUGAUUGUAUUGAAUUUCCAGCACCGCCAUUGCUUCUACUUGAAAGCCAUUUAAGUUUGUGUAAGCUACCUAUAGUUUGAAUAACAAUUUACUCAUGAAUUGCUGUUCAUGAUAACAAUUUGAUUGAAAGUGCGGCUGCACUAAUUGUUCUCGUACGACCCCAGAAUGCUGUUAAAUCAGUUGUAUUGGAAAUUAAUCAACUGGUUACAACUCUACACCCCAUCAAUAUUUAAGCAGUCCACAGAACAUUAAUUGUGUUUUGAAAUUUUAAUGAGUCUCACGUGUUUUUCACGUGAUAUGCAGUAAAAACAAAAUUAAAAAAAUGAAAACAUUCAGCCCCAAAGCCAAAAUCCCCAACUCCUUCCAAAUUGGUUCCGCAGCCCCCAAAUCCCUUAAACCCAAAGCACUCUAAAACGACUCUCCUCAGCCAAAAAGAAAAAGGUCACCUCACCUCUCCUCUUCUUCUUCCAUGGCGAUCAACGGCGGCACAAGCACGGGCUGAUCUCCUUCGUCAGUAACGAUCAACGGCGGUACAAGCAUGGACAGAUCUUUUUUUUGGCAAUGAUGAACAGCGGCACAAGCAGAGUCGUCCUCAGGUACGGAUUUGAUGUUGGUUGUGUUGUCAAGUAGCGAUUCAUGUUUGGAAGAGAAUCCGCUCACAAGGACCUGGAGCACUUAAUCGAAGAUCUUAAGCGAGGAAUUCGCUUCCUCCUCAUUCCUAAUCGGUGCCUGAUUCAUCAGUAUGAUUAAGGAUGAAAAUUGAGAAAGAAGGACGCAUUAGGUUUGAGACAUUGGUUGAAAAACGCUACCCCGGUGGCCACGCUGGAAACAUAUGUUCCGUGGCUUCUUGCGUUGUCUGUGAGGAAUAUGUACUGCUGUAGAAGAUAAUUAUGAAUCAAUGGUAAUUGGCGUGUUGGUUUUGGUGCCGAUUUCCUCUUAUUUUCCAGAAAAGGCUUGUAAUUUGUUCACCUCAAGAUUCAAUUUUGUUAUUGAAAAUGGAUGGCUGUAAAGACCUAUUGGCCUUUCAUUAUAUUAAUGUUUUUGACAGUAAGUUUGUAAUAGUUAGUGCAGGGAACUUAUUGAUUCUUGAUUAUAUAUAACGGUGGCCCUUAUUACUUUAAAAAAAAAAAAAAAAUUGAUGAUGGGUUUCGUUUUGUAUAAGUGUUUGGAGUGUUGGAAAAUUAACAUUGUAUAUUUUAGAUAGUUGAGUUCCAUAGUAAUAAAAAGCUACGGAUUUGUUUUCUUUUUAUUGAAAUGAAAACAUUUUUCACUUGUAUAAUAGAAAAUAUACUAUAUCUUUAAUACUUUUGUCAAAUUUAUUAUUUAAAAUUUAUAUUUACUACAUAUUAUUAAUUUUUGUUUCAUAGUCAUAGCUUUUUUUCCACAGUAGCUGUAGCUUAAAAGAUACAGCACCUCAAUUCCAAACGCACUCUAAUUAAAAAUUUUAGAAUUUUUGGGCAUGGAAUUGAAAAGAGUAGUAUUAAACAUCAGAAAGCUAAGGUUGUUCUGUUAAAGAAUUGAUAUUCACAUGAUUUUAUUUUGGUUUUUGGGGAAAAAAAAAAUUGUUGACAAGCAAGAAAUUAUUUUUAUAUUUUACAAUUUAUUAUACAUAUUUUAUCGUAUUAAAGUAAUUUUAAUAAUAAAUAGAAGCAUAAUAUUAAAUAAAGUUUAAAUUAUUUUGAAUAUUAUAAAAAAUAAUUUUAAUAUUAUUAAUAGGAAGACAUUUUGUUAAUUUUAAAAUCUUUUUAACCCAAAGGUUUAUUUAAAAUGUUUAUUAUAAAUAAAGAUAUAAAAUUAAAUAUCAUAGUGUAAAAUUUUUAAUAUUAUUUUAAGUAUUAAAAAUAUUUUAAUGUUAUUAGUCUACUACAUAGAUCAUAUUACUUAUAUUAUAUUUGCAAUGAUUAAAAAAUUUUAAAAUCAAUUUUCUAGUUACUAUAUUCGCGAAAUAUUAUGGUUAAAGAAAAGACCUUGGUGUUACUUUUUACAAAUUUGAGUGCCUGCAUGAUAAUUUUUUCAAAAUUUAAGAAUGUAUGUGUCCUUUUCUCCAAUAAUUUAUUUCACUUUUGAGGGGAAUCCAAUGAGAAAUAUGAUAAGAGAAUGUCAAUUACUUGUCAUUUUCUAUUUUUUCUGUAAGCUAUUUAUUUUGAGCACUGGUGAUCUUGUCUUGACUACUCCAAUUAUUGAUGGAACUCCAAUGGCUGCAUCCACAGUUGAAUAUAUGAUAGUGUUAGCUCUUAUUUGAGAAUUCAGAGGGAUCUUUCUAUGUUUAUCAAUUGCAAUGUGCUAGUAUAAAUUUCUUUACCUUACAGUUUAUAUAGUCUUGCUGUUAAAGAACUCACUGAGGCAUUAUUGAUUCAAUUUCAGUGGAGCAAUCGCGCGUAGAGGAUAAAUAAAGGAUAACAGAACAGAGCUGAAGUGCUAAAUUGGCUAUUAAAGAAGGGUGUCACAUGAUCACAAUCACAUUGAUGCACAACUCUCUGGAGGCAAAUUUUGUCUGUAUGUUCUCUAAAUUCAGCCAAACCAUACAUGCAUGAACAAAAAUUAAACCGUAGUUCUCACCACAACAGUAAUUGAAGCUACAAAAGCCAGCAAAUCUGAACAAAAACUUAAAAGAAAGAUCUUAUUCAAAUUUGUCCCCAAAAGAGUGCUGAGAUGGAAAAUAUUGACUAAUGAAUGGGUCAAUGCUGGAUUACAUUUCAAAUGGAAAGCUUGGCAGCAGUUACAAUGUUUCUCCCUCAGCUUUUCCUCCAAAACAAAUUCAGUUGUAAACAAUAACCGAAGUAGAGAUAAUUCAUUCAUCAAAGAAAAUACCCAAGUUUUCAACUAACAAAUCCUUUUGUCUAAACUAAAAAACUCAUAUCUCUAAAAUUUAUUUGCAAAAUGUUGGAAAUGAGGAGUGAUCCGUUAUCUCCGUAAAUAAACUCAUGCAUAAUGUUAACAAUAAUGAUACAUUACAUAAUAAUUAUUAUAAAGAAAUAUAAAUUGGAAACGCUAAUCAUUCUACAAUCUAAUAAAUAAGUAAGAUAAAUCUCGUAAUAAGUUAAGUUAUAAUGUAUAAAUGUUUUUAAUAUAUAAUUAUUUAAGAAGUCAUUUAAUAAUAAAAUAUUUAUUCUAUUCAGUUGAUCAUAUAGCGUUAUCGAAACUCUUGACGAUAUUAUUAUUACACUUUUCUCAAAAAAACAUGAUUAACAUUUAGAGAAAAGUCAUGCCUUUUAGAUAGAAUAUGUACAUAAGCUAUCCAUAUUUUAUCUUACCAUGAAAAAAUUGAUGGUGAUUAAAUCUACUUUUAAAAUAGAUUUAAUGCACAAAUAUGAUGAUUUUUGGCAAAAAUUAGUUUCGGAAGAUACAAUGGUAGAAAAUAGUGAUGAUUAUUGUUUAAAUGUGUAAAUAGCCUAGGCAUAGCCCGUAAUACCAAUAUCCAUUUACCUUCAUUUAGAUUAUCACAUCUCAUGAUAUUUUUUCAUUCACGACCAUUGUUCGAGAUUUGAACUUGAUCAUAAAUUAAGCUGCAACGGAGUUACUUAUGUUUCUAAGCUUUUCAAUCGCGAUUCCUCCAUGCCUUUCUUGGAUACCAUUUUACUGACCUUGUAAUUGGUGUGUAUAAGGAGUCAUGCCCUUUCAGGAUCGUUUUCUUUUUUUUUUUUCCUGAUUGUAGUGUCAAAUAAAUAAAGAACGAACAAUUGAACUUAGUCUAUUUCGAGGAAAACCAAGGCCUGCAAUAUUAGAUGAACUUUGAACAAAAUUAAUCUACUAUUCUACAUCCCCACCAAAAUUUAAACAGUCGACAUUGUGGAAAGAAACACAUUUCGCCACUAGGCUUUUAGUGAGGCUAAUUUCUCUGAAUUUGGACAGAGUAGGUCCUCCAACGAGAACUGAAUCAGGACGAAUCGGCUCUCCAUUUUCUAAUUCGAACGAGCAAAGGAAGCCUGAAUCUGUGACCGUUAUCAAUACUCUGCUUCUAUUCUGAUUCUCAGGAAGUACUUCUUCAAGAUCAUCCAAUACAUCGUCACCCUCUUUGUACUAAUCAUCAAGCACAAUAAAGUACUUCUUGUUUGUUAGGUAAUCUCGAAGAAUAGAUUUCUUCAAUUGAUAAUCUUCACCGAUAAUUACACUAACCCGAGAUGGAGGCAUCACAGACUUGAUUAUGUCAUCCAAUACCAUGCGAAAAUCGUAGGAUAUAGAAACCCUGACCCAAGCAUGACAGUCAAAAUAGAACUUGACGUGAUUAUUGUUGUAAGUAUCAGCAGUAAAAGCAGUCUUAUCGAAGCUAUUGAUGUCUUUCAGAAGCUCCCAAAUGUCUGUUCUUUUAACAUUUUCUAAGUGCAAGAGCUGCCGAUAACGCGAAGGUAUUUCAUCUUCAUCGAAUUGUUCUCUAAUGAGUUGAAUUAAAACUCGAGCCAUGUCAGCUUCAUAGUUUCCCAGCAGAGUAGUGGCUAUAAUUUCGGACUCCGUAAGAAGGUUUUGAAAAAGUGGAGUUAAAUUUGUUGAAUCAGGCAAAGUUAACGUGCCUUCUUCACCUGCUAACACCAGUUUCAACCUCUCACAAAAUAGUGUGAGGUUAAUUUCCAUAUCUUUCCCUCUCUCAGUAGUACUCAGAGGUACGUAUUGUUAUUUGUUAGUGUUGAUGACGAAAGCUGAAUAAUCAAAACAACAGUGUACACAAUCAACAGAAGGCGAAGUAUGUUAAGUUGAGAUCAAAGGAUAUAAAUGAAGGAAAAGUUUAAGUACUCCGUUGAAAGCCAAAGUUGCUUUGGCCAAUUAAUUUAUAAGUGAAGGAAAGAAUAAAGUUAGUCCUCGAUGUCUUUUGAAAUUAGAAAUACAUUUUGAAUGCUUUAAUAGAUGCAGAGCAAGCUGGCUCGAUGUCUAACUAUUUUAAGAGCUAAAAUCAUUUAUUAGAAGUUGUGGCAUUGAAAAAAACUGGCUUGAUAUCCAAUUUUGUUAUUUAAUGUCUCACGUGAGAGUAAAUAACUGUUGUGUUACUGGCAGAUGAUUGAGACGGACAAGUUUGGAACAUUGUUCGAGACUGAAACUACACAUCAGUCUUAGAAAAUUGUAAUUUUGUUGAAAAAUUAUAGAUUGAAAAAUUAUUGAGACGGACAAGUUUGGACCAUUGUUCGAGACUGAAACUACACAUCAGUCUUAUAAAAUUGUAAUUUUGUUGACUUAUCAUGAUUUUGAUUGCCUCCCAUUGAUUUUCCUAUGAUGUCUCUGUAGAGUGGCUAUGCUUACAUUUUUAGGUAUUUAAUUCUAAAAAUUAACUUAUUAGAUGGAAGGAUCAAUUCUACCUGUAAAUCUAAGUGGCUUCCCUUUACUAACUCAUAUAAGACACAACAAUAAUUUUCUUCGAAAAAAACCACCAUCGGAGGGCUAUUUUCGUUCAACAUACAUGAGUUGUUCCGCCACCAUAUUUUGAGGGUUUGCUUCUAAUACAACUUGGGGAAGCUAGGGGUAAGAUUUCCAAGUAUCAACAUAAAAACCUUGCCGAUUGGAUAGAAGGACCAAUCUUACUUAUAAGUCUAAAUGACUAAUUUUUGAGGACACAACUCAACAGACCAAUAUAAACUUUUGGCGUCCCAUUUUAUUACUUUUCAGUGCUUUACUUUUGCUGUCUAUAGCCCUACUAUUCUAUUAAGCAGAAAAUAUUAUCUAUUUUCUUUCCAUUUUAUGUAUACCCCGAUCUUUACCUCUGAUUGGUUGUAGAUUCUUCUGUCGCUUUGGGGUUAGGGGAUGGUUUUCAUCAAGAAAUGAUAAAGGAUUGUUAGUUGUGUGACAAACAGCAUUAAUAUGAAGGAUGAUGAUUGUUCUUUUCAAGAGUUUAUAAUGACAUAAUUCUGCUUUGGUCUUUUAAAAAAAAGUAAUUUAGAAAUGAGGAGUAUGUGAGUGAUGAUUUUUACAAAUAAAUUGCAUGCGUAGUGAUGAUUUUGACACAUGAAAAUGUAAAAAGAAAUAUAACUUGUGAAUAAUAAUCGAAGUACCCUGCUAUUGUUAUAUUGAGUAAUCAAGGACUUCGAUAUUCGGACGAUACAAGCAACACAAUCAAAUAUUAGUUGGAAGGCAUAGCAAAAUUAGAAUGUAGAACAAACUGGGUAUUGAUAAAUGGAUGGUUUUGGAAGAAUUGAAAAUGAUGGCAAAAAAAAAACAAAGUUAAGAGAAAAGAGAAAGAGCAUUUGAACUUUACUUGUAAGUAAAGGCAAAUAUCUUGGUUCAAGAAAAGAUAAGAGAUAUCAAACUAGCAAUAGGAAAAAGGAGGAAGGUUAAGACAGCAUCUUAACAAAAGCUAAAGAAAAGAAAAACUUAGUUCAAGCAAAGAACAAUGUGCUAAUGUAGUGUAAUCUUGUUUAAUUUCUUUUUCUUCUCACAUUUUCCAGGGCUUAAAUAAUACAAUGUACAUUUUCAAGCAAAGAACAACAAAUAAAUAAUACAAUAUACAUACCCAGUAAAUUAAAAAAAAUAUAUUAUUCAAGUUUGUGGACAAUACUGUAGCCAUUGCGUCGUCGAAAUCUACUGACAGCUGAAACAAAGAAAGAAUGGAUGAACGCUGGAUCACAGUUGAAAUUGAAGGUCUGGUAGGUGAUGUUUCCCUCUCUGAUUUUACCUAAACAAAUACAAGAAAAUAAGAAUCACGAAUGAAAAUCUGUUAUUACACUGUUCUUACUUAUUAAAAUACAGAGGUUUCUUUGUUUCUCUGCAGCAAUGUCCAUGGCUAUUAGAAACAAGAACAAUUAGACCAGCAUUUGCAAGAAUCUUUUAAGGUAUUACUGCAGAUAUAAAUCGACUGAGGAAAUGGAAAAAUUGAAUACCAAAUUAGGCAAGUUAACUGAAGAUUCAGUUAUCAUAGAAGAAUAAAACUCAUCCAAUUCAAUCCAUCAAAUUUCAUUAAGCAUUUCCAGAACUCUUGAUUUUCUUUCUCAGUAGCCAAACAACUUCAAUCUCAUUUUUUUUUUUCAACAAUGAGUUCUCAAACCACUCUGGUAUCAUUUUAAGACAUUCUCGGCCUUGUACUCACCAUCAAAAUGGAUUGGUUGAGAGAAAACAUAGGCAUAUUGUUGAAUUAGGUUUGACUCUGUUGGCUCAAGCUCAACUUCCUUUUAAAUUCUGGUGGGAUGCAUUCCAUACUGCCCUAUAUCACAUCAAUAGAUUACCAUCUUCUGCUUUCAAACUUUCGACCCCAUGUGAGAAGAUAUCCAAGCACAAACCUGAUUAUGAUUUUCUCAAAUGUUUUGGUUGUAUUUGUUAUCCUUACUUGAGAGACUAUAACAAACAUAAGUUUGCCUAUCAUUCCAGUAAGUGUAUAUUCAUUGGUUAUAGUCCUUCACAAAAGGAUUAUAAAUGCUUACAUUCUUCAGGUCAAGUCUAUGUGGCAUGACAUGGUAUCUUUGAUGAGUCAACCUUUCCUUAUGCUACUGAAUCUGUUUUUCAUAGUCACACAAAUUCUGAUUCUCAUUCUUCAAAUUUAUUUACUCCACAGCAUGUCUAUUAUCUUUCUACUUUACCUGUCAUACCAGUAUUUCUAAAUAACAACACUGAUAAUCUAAACUCUACAAAACUAAAAUGCCAGCUGUUUGGUGUUAGCGAUAAGAAACAACUUACCACAACCAUUAAUUAUCCAUAAUUUCAUUGUUUAUCCUCAGUUUUCUUCAUAAAUGUUACAGCGUUCUUCACAACAAAGUGCAAGGGCAUCUCAAAAGUUCUGAAAUAAUACCUCAAUUCUAUUGCAAAAAUAAAUAAUCUCAAACAAGAACCAAUAAUCAUAUUUCGUUACUGUCAAACACAAUGCAUCUGAGCAAAACAUUGGAAGCCAACACCAGAAUACAUAUGAAUAAACAAUUAAAGAUAGAGAAAAAAGGCUUAAACCUUGGGGGAAAAAAGUGAAAAAACAUGAAAGACAAAUUACACAUGUGCAGUAACCAUCGAACUUAUCAGUGACAGCUGCAUCCAUUACAUUGCUCCAACAACACAAUGGCAAACCACCAGUUUCAAAUUGAGGAUAGCUAUUGAGAAUGAGAAAGUGUCCAAAACGCCAUAAAUAGACAUGUUCCUAUUAUGCAUAAUUUACAUUAUAGGCAAAUAUUCUUAUACCAUCAAAAGCAAAACAUGACACUAUAACAAUUGACUCCCCCCCCCCCCCCCCCCCCCCCGCACACAAAAAAAAAGGAAGAAACAAUACCGAAAAGAUUGAAACAGGUAAGGCUACACUGAGCACAGGAUGCCAUGAAACAUAAUCCAGGAACCAAAUUAAUAAAGAAGGAAGGCAAACCAUUAUUUAACAAUCUGUUUUGUAUUAGGGAAAGUCCGAUAAAAUCUACUUAGGGAUAAUUAGAGAACCUCAACUAUUAAUCACACCUCAUAAAUGAACUAACAUUAACCAUGUACCAUCCCCACAUCAGACAAACAUUCUCUAUACUUCUGAACCUAAUACUUCCAUCUUCAAUUGGGGUUUUUUUCUUUUGUGGGGGGGGGGAUAAGCUAUCGUUUUUCUAAGCUUGCUUACCUUCUGUGUGGGACUGAAAUACUGAUUUCGAAUCAUUAACAGUAAAAUUGGAAGCUCAUGAAAAAACAAUUUUAUCUUUUAACAAAAGUUAAAAUUACAUCUCCAUAUAAAUUCUCUUUUCAUUUCCUUCAAUUUUCUAAUUAAGCUUAAAAAAAUGUACCUUCAACCACAAAGGGGUUUAAAAUUUAAAAUAUAUAAAAAAAUAAAUUCAGAUAACAAUAAUUAAUUUAAUUAAAAAUAUAAAUAGAGAUUACAGAGAAAGAAAAAAUAGAGAAAGACCUGAUGUUGAGAGCAUCGACGGCCGGCAGUGACCGGCGGAAGAUGGCGAGAGAUGGCGGCGUGGGCCAUUGCUUGCGCAUCAGUGAGUGUCUCGAGUGAGAGAGUGAAGGUAGGGAUGGCAAUGGGGAGGGAGGGAGGGUCCAAUCUCUCUGUACCCAUCUCCCAAUUUGUCCCCGUCCCUCCCCGUCCCCAUUUGCUUAGAAUCUGUCCCCUACUCGAAUAAUAAUUCUCGAAUAAUAACAUAAAAUGCUCGAGGUUCUCGAUUUAUGAAUAAUUAAUAUAUUUUUUAUUUUAAAUUUUAAAUUAACUAUAUUAAAAUAAAAAAUUUAAAUAAAAAUAAAAUUUGAAAUAUAUUUUAUAUUAAUAUUGAUCCAUUAUAAAAAUUACAUACAAAAUAUAAAUUAUCAAAAUAAUUAUCUUUAUCAAUCUUCAUAAUCCUACAAUAAAAAGAAAAAAAAUUUACUUUUAUAUUGAUAAUAAAAUAAAUGUAGAUAAUUAAUUAAUAUUUUUAAUAAAAUAAAAUUAAAAUAAAAUAAAAUUUUUAGGCUAAUAUAAUCUACCCGACUUUUUUAAUGUGUUAAAUAAAAAUUUAAGACUUUAAUUAGUUAAUUAGGCCUAAAAGCUUAAUAAUAUAAAUAUUUUGAUAUUUAUUAUUUUUACUAAUAUUUAUAAUUUUAUAAUAUAUUCAAUUUUUAUUAUUUAUUUACUAGUAAUUUUAAAAAAUAAAAAUAAAAUUAAAAAAUAAAAUGGGGGAAAUGGGGAGGGGAUGGGGAUUCCACCUCAUCCCCGUCCCUUCCUUGUAGGGAUGGCAAAAGUUCGGGUCGGGUCGGGUCUGGGGCUGCCUGGAACUGACCCGGAUUUCACACAUAGCUGCCCGGACCCGGACCGUGCCCGGAUUUUUUCUAUGCGGGCCGGGUAUAUGGCUGGCACUAUCCGGGCACAGGUUUUUUUUGGGUUUUCUCUACCCACAUUUUCAAAACUGGCUAAAAAAAAAUUGAUAGAAAAGGCUAAAUAAGUAAACAAAAUUGCAAUUGGGCCUGGAAAUUCAUAACUUAUCCCUGAAUUAUAUAUAUAUAUAUAUAACUUCUAAUUCUUUGUUGAUACAAGUUUUUUCUAAUUCAUUAUAAAAUCACAUUAUAUAUAUUAUUUCCUCAUCAGAUAAUAAGUGACAAUUGCUCACCAGUUUAUUAACAUCUCUACGAAACCGUCUUUUAUGGCAUUAUUAUUAUUAUUGUUGUGGCUGAAACCAUGUAGUAUGUGAUUGAAGAAAUUGCAUUAAAUGUUGGAGUGGAGGUGAUGUAGGUGAGAAAGGAUUCCCUGGAGACUGUUAAACAAGACACAAGGCAUUUCCGGAAGAAAACAGAAGACAACUGGAUAAGACAAAACGGACAAAAGGGUAAGAGAGGUGGGUGGGAAAUUAAGAUAGGCAAUUUGUCCAGCAGAAACAUAAUAAUACCUCGUGGUCGUGGGUCGUGGCUGUGUUGGUGAAGUUGCAGCUGAACAAGAACAGUUGAUGCUGUCGCGUGGUGGCUGCCGUUGAGAAGAUGACCAAACGAUGAAGAGCUCUGUGACGGGAUGGUUGUGCUUUGCGAGGAGAAAUAGAGUUGACUGAGGAAGGUAAGAGGUUCGUGGAGGGAAAGGUGCGGACAACACUGCAUCAGUGCCGGUGGGUGGUGGAGAGACGGAGAGAGGUGCCGCCGAUUUGGAGAUUUCAGGGUGGGUGCUGACUGCUGCAGUGCUGCGUUGUUCUGCAAGUUGCAAUCGCGAUUUAGGGUUCAGUACCAGUUUUGGGGGCAAUUGGGCAAAGUAAAUUUUAUUUUCGCUUUUAUAUUUUCUUUUUUUUUACUUAAUAAAAAACCGGGCAUUGAAAAUCAAUGUCCGGAUCCGCUUUUUCCAUUCAUGUGGUCCGGGUAAAACCCGAACCGCACACGCCGGGUCUGGGCCGGAUCCGGUCCGGGUGGGUUUUUCUGCCACCUCUACUUCCUCGAAUAAGAAAUUUGGUAAAAAAAAUUUCCCGUCCCUUCCUCGAAUAAAAAAUCGGGUAUAAAAUUAUCUCUGUAUCCUCCCCGAAUGAGAAAAAUCCCCGAAGAUACCCAUACCUGUGGGGAUUUUUACCAUCCUUGAGUGAAGGGUUUUGUUUAGGGUUUUGGGAAAUGAAAAAUGUAAAUGUUUGAUUUUGUUGCUAGAAACUUCUUCUGCCGCUGCUUUUUAUUUUCGCUAUAAAAAUAAUAAUUUGUUAAUCAAAUAUUUUCUUAAAAAAGAUAAAUUUCUAGAACAAAAUUUAUAUUAAAUCAAAUUGUAAAAAUGUGGAAUAGGGCUAAUUUCUCCUUAAUAUUAUUAUUAGUAGAAGUAGAUUGUCGAACUAGUCUUGAUAUAUUUUAGAGUUGUAUUAUAGAUGUAUACGUAUCUAGAUUGUAAUUAUAUUUUAAAAAAUAUAAUUUUUUUUAAUUAUUGCACAAUAAAUGUAGAAAAUAUCUAUAAAAUAAUAUUAUUAGAACUAUGAUACAGCACCUCAAUUCCACAGUAGCUUAAUAUUAUUAGAACUAUGAUACAGCACCUCAAUUCCAAACGCACUCUAAUUAAAAAAUUUAGAAUUCUUGGGCAUGGAAAGAGUAGUAUUAAACAUCAGAAAGCUAAGGUUGUUCUGUAAAAGAACUGAUAUUGACAUUAUUUUAUUUUGGUUUUCGGGGAAAAAAAUAUUUGUUGACAAGCAAGAAAAUAUUUUUAUAUUUUACAAUUUAUUAUACAUAUUUUAUCAUAUUAAAGUAAUUUUAAUAAUAAAUAGAAACAUAAUAUUACAAUAAAUAAAUUAAAGUUUAAAUUAUUUUGAAUAUUAUAAAAAAUAAUUUUAAUAUUAUUAAUAGGAAGACUUUUGUUAAUUGUAAAAUCUUUUUAAUCCAAAGAUUUGUUUAAAAUUCUUAUAAUAAAUACAAAUAUAAAAUUAAAUAUCAAAAUUUAAAUUUUUUAAUAUUAUUUAAAUUUUAAAAAUACUUUAAUGUUAUUAGUCUUCUACAUAAAUUAUAUUAUUUAUAUUAUAUUUGUAUUGAUUAAAAUCUUUUAAAGUCGAUCUUCUAGUUAUUAUAUGCAAAAGGUAUUAUCAUGUUACAAUUUUUUGAAAUUUUAGGGAUGUAGGUUACGAUGAUUUAUUUCACUUUUGACAAAAUCCAAUGAGAAAUAUGAUAAGAGAAAGUCAAUUUAAUGUUCUCGACCUUUAUGAAAAAAAGUAAAAACUAAGAAUUAUUCAAUUUUAUAUUUUUUGCAUCCACCAAAUAAGUUUUGCACAUUUAUGUUAUCAUAAAACGAAAAAAAGGGUUUACCAAAAAAUGGUACCAAGCAUACCUUUAAUGUCCCACGUGAUUUCUUAUUAAGCCCAAUAUUAGAUAUAUUUAUACAUUUUACUGCAUUAAGUAUUUUAAUUAUAAAAGAAGUUGGUCCUUCCUCUAGUUACAAAAGAUAACUUUAUUUCAAGACUACCACUAAAUUCUUACGUAGAAUUAGUGCAAGGCCAAGAGAGAGUAACACAAUUUUACUUUUCCAUUACCAUUUUGAAAAUAGAAAGAUAUGGAUCCGUGUAUUUAAGAGUUAUUGUAAAAAUCAUACAAUUCAAUUUCCUGACGUGUAUUAUGUAUAUUUAGGCACAUUUGCCAAAAGCAUAAAUAGAUAGAAAGUAAAUUUACAAUCCACCCUUACUCACAAUUAUUGAAGUGAAGAUGCAUUACAACUGUCACUACUUUAACUUUAUUUAUUUAUUUGUUUUAAAUAAAAGUGUGAGAGAGACGGUGAACAUCAUGGACGAUAACAAAGGUUAAAGCCUAAAGGUGACCCAUUUUCUUUUUAAAGUGCUCUGCUGAAAGCCUAACUUCCUUUGGAUCCGCCGAAGUGGCCGAAGUGGUGGGCUGCUGCCCUCACAAGCAUUGUGAGGGCAGCGGUUCUAGCCCCCACAAAAGCAUUGUGGGGGUUAAAUGUUCUUUAUAUUUAAAAAUUUUUCUCCCUUGCGAAAUACAAGUGGAGUAUGGACAUCCCUCUCCUGUGAGGGGUUAUUUGUUUGGGCAUGUACUUCAUAGAAUUUAAUGUAAUAAUGUAAGUCCCAAUAAUGUAUAUCUGAUUGUAAAUAUCAGUAUAAUAUCUCUGCUACAAUAGCAAUUAUUGUAAAUAUUUGUGUAAUACAGUAAUCUGAUGAUUAAUCAGUAUUCAAAAAAAAAAAAACUUCAUUUGGAUCCGCCUAAGUUACUGCUUUGUAAAAUUUUAUAAAGCCCCUUAUACUCUAUAUUAUUUAUAAUUUGUUCAUAAAUAUUAUAAAACUUUCUGCAUUAUAUAAUUUUAUUGAGCCCCUUGUACUAUAUUUUAUUUCAUUGAAACCCUUAAAGUACCAAUUCGCCCUCUAUAAUUUUAAAUUACUAAAAUACCCUCCAUUUAAUUAAAAAUAUAAUGAUUAUUAAAUGAUUAUAAUUAUCUGGAGUACAAAUUCAGUAAUAAACAAUAACUAAAGUAUUAACAAUUUAUUCAUCAAAUAAAAUACUCGAGAUUUCAGCCGACAAAUCCUCUUGUCUAAACUAAAAAACUCAUAUCCCUAAAAUCUAUUUGUGAAAUGUUAGAGAUGAGUGGUGAUUUGUCAACUGGGUAAAUAAAUUUAUGCAUAAUGUUUCCGGUAUUGAUAAAUUACAUAAUAAUUAUUACAAAGAAAUCAUAAAUUGGAAACAUUAAUCAUUUUACAAUAUGUUACAUAAGUAAGAUAAAUCUCAUAGUAAGUUAAGUUAUAACGUAAUAAAUAUUUUCAACAUAUACUUAUUUAAGAAGUCAUUUAACAAUAAUAUUUUUUAUAUUUCAGUUGAUCAUGUCAUAUAGCGUUAUCUAAACUCUUGGCCAUAUUAUUAUUACUCAAUUUUCUCCCAAAAAAAAAAAAAAAAAAACAAAAACAAACAUGAUUAAUGAUUAGAGAAAAGUCAUGCCUUUUAGAAAGAAUACGUAUACAAGCUAUCCAUACUUUAUCUUACCAUGAUGGUGAUUAAAUAUAUUUUUAAAAUAGAUUUAAUGCACAAAUAUGAUGACUUUUGGCAAAAAUUAGUUUCGGAAGAUAUAGUGGUAGAAAAUAGUGAUGAUUAUUGUUUAAAUGUGUAAAUAGUCUAAGCAUAGCCCGUAAUACCAAUAUUCAUUUGCACCUUCAUUUGGAUUAUCAUAUUUUAUGAUGUUCUUUCAUUCAUAACCAUUGUUCAAAAUUUGGAUUUGAUCAUAAAACAAAACUAAAAAAUAUUAGAGAUACUAACAAUUGAGUCCCAUUUUAAGUCCCAAUACAAUGUGUUAUUUCUCAAUGUUGUGUCAUUCAUUAAUUAAGUGAUGAAUUUCAGAAUUAAUAAUUAGUUCAGACUUUAAUUAAGAUUUAAAUGUUAGAAUAUCUAGCAUCAUUCAAUCACAAUAAACAAAAUUCAAAUUGAAACGGCAAUAUUGUAUUUUCUUUAAUUAAUUUUGAUGCUGAAGCAAAUAUUUUGCUUGGGUUUUUCACUUCUUGAUUUUGAUUGGAAAAGUUUCUGAGACGAAGUAUUUUGGAUAAUUUUUUCGGGAUUGAAACCACAACUUGGUAGAGGAAAUUAGUUGGAGUAGUGAUGGCUUUGUCUUCAUUUUUGGUUCCUUUUGUGUCGGCAGCCCCUUACUAUUCUCUUGACCCUGAGUUUGAGAUAGAAAUUUAUCAACCUCCAACCCCACAUCCACAAACAAGUUGAUUGAAACAAUUGCUCUUUUAAUUAAGAGGACCCAAAUGAUUUAGGUUUCAGUUCUUAUCAUUUGUCUAUUAUUUAUUUGAAACAUUUAUUUUGAGCGUUACUGAUCUUAAUUAUCUGUAUUUCUCCAAUUAUUGAAGCAUUUCAAGUGGCCACUUUUUCUCCUUUUUAUAUAUGUUUAUUUUUUGGAGUGAUCAAACGGGGGCAAAAUCAAGUAUUCGCUGGUCUGUAGUUUAGCCAACGAUGGCUGAUCCACACAGUUGAUUAUAUGAUACUAUUAGCUCUCAAAAUCUUUCUUAUUUGAGAAUACAAGUUGCCCAAUAGAGUUGAACUAUGUUACCCAACUCCAUGCUCAUACAUUAAAUGUUUAGGUAGUUUUACAAAAUGAUAGCAGCAUGCCAAAACUUGUUGUUGUCAUUUUCGACAUUUCAAAUUGAAAAAUAUGCAAGCAAUCUUCAGUGAACAUUACGUUUUUAUUGAAUAAUUUAAAUGGCCAGUAAAUCAACAGUCCGUGAGUUUUAAAUCUAUUAUGACUUAAUGUAUCUUUCUGUAUUCGUACACAGGUUAUAUUAUCAUAGUUUAAAAUUUUAAUAUUAUUUUAAAUGUUAAAAAUACUUUAAUGCUAUUAGUCUACUACACAUGUUAUAUUAUUUAUAUUAUAUUUGUAUUAAUUAAAACUUUUAAUGUAAAUUUUCUAAUUACUAUAUUGAAAAGGUAUUAUGGUUAAGAAAAAGUUUUGGCAUUUCUUCUUGAAAAUUUGAGGGUCUGCAUGACAAUUUUUCCAAAUUCUAAGGGUAUAGGUUUGAAAAUUUAAUGUUCUUUAACUUAAUGAAACAAAAGGGGGAAACCAAGAACUAUUCAAUUUUGUAUUUUUUGUUUGUAAUUCAAAAAAUGCAUCCACCAAACCAGUUUUACGCAUUAAUGCUGUCAUAAAACAAAAAACAGUUUGCCAAAAAAUGGUACCAAACAUAUCCUUAAUGUCUCACAUGAUUUCUUAGUAAGCCCAUAUUAGAUAUAUUUAUACAUUUUAGGUAUUUUAGUUAUAAAAGAAGUUGGUCCUCCCCCUAUUUAUAAAAGAUAACUUUGUUUCGAUAUUACCACUAAACUCUUACAUAGAAUUAGUGUAAUGUUAAGAGAGAGUAAAACGGUUUUCCAUUACCAUCUUUGAAAAUAGAAAGAUAUGGAUGCGUGCAUUUAAGAGUCAUCGUGAAAAUCAUACAAUUCAAUUUCCUGACAAGAAGUUGGUCCUCCCCCCCUUUUUUUUUUUUUUUCAAUUACAGUGUGAUGGAGACAUUAAGGAUGAGCAUAAUAGUUAAAGAUGACUCAUUUCUCAUUUUCUUUUUAAAGUGCUCUGCUGAAAGCCAAACUUCCUUUGGCUAAUUAAUUUAGAAGUAAAGCAGAGAAUAAAGUCCUAGAUGCCUUCUGAAAUUAGAAAUACAUUUUAUAUGCUUUAAUUAUGAUUAUUUGGUAGACUAAAGACCUAAAAGAUAUGUCAAAAGUAUAAAACAGAGCGAUUAAAGAAAAAAGAAAAAAAAAACAGAGCAUUUGUGACGUAGAACAAUUGGUAAAUAAAUCCUAAAUAUUUGAGUUGUUAAAAGCAAAUAUAACAGAGACAGUAAGAGAGAUGCUGAAACAGAAAACUAUUAGCUUAUCUUGAUUUUCCCACUAUAUUCAUUUUCGAUGCUUUUCAAACGAGAUUCUUUUAAUUCUUCUGGUGUCUCUUAUAGAUCUCCAUCCCACAUCUGCACUACGAACAAGUUGAUUAAAAUUAAAUACUGUUGGAGAUGUGGGGUGAGCGGUCAACUUGGUAAAAAAACUAUGUGUAAUAUUGUUAAUAAUAUAAAAUAUAUAAUAAUAAUUACAAAGAAUCAUAAAUUAGAAAAAUUAUUUAUUUUACAAUCUAUUUCUUAAGUAAGAUAAAUCUCGUAAUAAGUUAAGUUAUAAUGUAAAAAAUAUUUUCAAUUUAUAAUCAUUUAAGGAGUCAUUUAACAAUAAAAUCUUUCUUUUUUUGAUCAAUUGGUCAUGGUACAGAGCAUCAUCUAUAUUCAUGGUGAUAUUAUUAUUACUCCGUAUUCUCAAAAAACACGAUUUAACAUUUAGAGAAAGUUCCUACCUUUUAAAAAGAACAUGUAUGCAACAACUACCCAUACUUUAUCUUACCACGACAAAACUAAUAGUGACUAAAUCAAUUUUCUCGAAUAAAGCAAAAUUUCUUAAAAUUAAUUUAAUAUACAAAUAUGAUGACUUUUUGCAAAAAUUAGUUUUGGAAAAUUAGUGACAGAAAAUAGUAAUGAUUAUUGUUUAGAUGUGUAAAUAGCCUAAACAUGAUCCCUAAUACCAAUAUCCACGUGCAUCUUAACACCUUUCGUCAUAUUCUUUCAUUCAUGGUCACUGGUUCAAGAUUUGAAUUUGAUCAUUAAAUAUGUUCAAUAAUAUUAGAGAUCCCAACAAUUGAGUACCAACUUAAAUCCCAAUGCUAUGUGUCAUUAACAAAUGUUGUGUCAUUUAUAAUUAUUGAAUGAAUAAUUCGUUAAUUUAUUGAUAAAUGAAAAUUUAUUAAUUUAAAGAGAGAUAUUUUUUUUUUUGGGUUUUAAGAAGAGUUUUGUUGGUACAUGUACAUACUUAUAAAGAAAUAAACUUGUAAUUAUACUAUAUCUUUCUUUCUUUAUUCAGUUUGGUGGGAUAUUGUGAUAAAUCAUUGGAUUAAAAUGCAUUUCUAAAUUAAAACUUGUUAAAAUCUAAUUUAUUUGGGAAGCGCAUAUUAUUUGUCAGUCGUACUUCUCAAGUCUCAACUUAGCAAGUUAUUUCUAACUUGUCAGUCUCUAUUGGUUCUCUAAAGCUAAUAGUCUCGAAUCUCCCGCAUUUGAUAUCUUGCCAUUAUUGUUGGCAUUAACAUGUUACCUGAGAUUGGGAUUCAUUAAAAUCCUCAAUGUAAUCGGUGGAACGAAUGGAUUUCUUCUGUUCACCAAUCCACCAAAAUUUCUGUAAUUAAAUUCAAGAGUCAAGAUCUAUGCUUAUAAUCUAUUCUAACAGCUAAUAUUCUAUUUUAUAUUUACUUAAAUAUGAAGAGCUAUGCUUGUCAUUAACUUCAAAUGUGAUCGAAGCAGCCUUACAUCUGUAUAUUACUUAUUCCCAACCUUUUUUUUUUGACUUCAUAUACUUUAUUUUCAUGUUAUUUACUCUUUUUUUCCCCUUUCUGACAAUUGAGGUAGGGGGUCAAACUUGAAAGUAUCUUAAAAUCAGACAAAUUUUUUUUUUUUUAAGAUAGCUGCUAAUAUGCUCUAUUAGACAAUGACAAGUAAUAACCUAGUUGUUUGCAUUAGAAAUGAUAUUUUUUGUGGUGCUGAUAAAGAGGUUGAUUAUGAUUCAACAAUUUAAAAUAUGAAAACAUGUGGAAGACGGCCGCAAUUAAAUUGAUUGUAUGAAAAUAUUUCAAUGAAAUUUUAAAAAUUUAGUACUUGUUAUCUUAUCGAGAGUUUUUUUAAAUUAUAUUACUACUUGAACUUGGCUGCUUUUGUAUUGAAUUCCCAGCGUUGCCAUUGCUUCUACUCAAAAGCCAUUUAAGUUUGUGUAAGCUACCUAUAGUUUGAACAACAAUUUACUCAUGAAUUGUUGUUCAUAAUAGCAAUUUGAUUGAAAGUGCGGCUGCACUAAUUUUCUAGAUGAAUUUUUUCCUACAUGCUUGUUCUCGUAUGACCCAAAAUCCUGCUACAUCAGUUGUAUUAGAAAUUAAUACUGGGUUACAAUUAUGCAUCCCCACCAAUAUUUCUUGAGGAAAGAAACUCAUAUCGCCCCUAGGCUUUUAAUGAGGCUCAUUUUUAUGAAUCUGGAUGGCAUUAGAUAUCUCUCCGAAUAUUGGUGGGAGUAUAUCGCAGAUCAAUGGGCUAUACUACAAAGUGUAUGUACGUUGACUCUCAAUAAAUACAAACGAUUCUCUGAUAUGAUUCAAAACAUCAGUGCACGCAUCAUUUUAACGAGAGAGAAUAUUCUAAGAACGAAAUUGAAGGUGCAAUCAGCAACUAAAAUGAAGCCAGAAAUGUACACGCAUGAGGAAGUUUUCCUAGAAGAUUGAUAUUUCUUUAACUAGCAAACAAUACAAGUCCAAAGCUAACCAAACCAUACCUGCAAGUCCGGGGCUUAAAUGGAGUACUUGUAAGCAUAAAACAUUAAUCAAAACACAGUAUAGACACACACACACACCCCUACAUACAUACCAGCAAAUUCGAAAUAGAAAAAGGAGUGCAACUAUUCAAGUUUGUUGACAAUAUUGCAACCAUGGCAUAUUAAAGCAAAUCCUUAAAAUCAGCUAAACGAAACAAUGCCCUGUCUCAUGAAUCGAUGCUCAACUAAAAAUUGAAAUUGAAAGUCCGGCUGGUGUUGUUAUUAGAUAGAUAUAACAAGAUCUUUCUUUGACAGUUCUUAUUAGAUAGAUAUAAAAAGAUCUGCUUUGACAGUUCUUAUUAGAUAGAUAUAAAAAGAUCUUUCUUUGUUUCUCUGCUGUAAUUUGUGGCUAUCCCACUCUGUUUUGCCAGUCAAGCUGAGUCUACGUUGAGACAUAAUUUUGACAUCAGAAGCGGCCUCAAUUAGUUUGGCAUUUUUAUAACCUCCUUGAAGGUUUUACGAUAAACAUAAAUCUACUGACAAAGUGGGCAAAAAGAAAAUGCAUGUAAAAGUAUGAGUUAUCAAAUAAGAUUAAAACUCACCCAAUUCAAUCCAUCAGAUUCCGUAAGGAUACAACUGGAUGUCAUACCGCCACUCCAUAUUCUCGAAAGUCCGUAGUCCUUGUCUCAACUGUGUCUGGGGCCAGUGUAAGUCCAUUUUUGCGCAAGCUCUUUAUGCACCACAGCUCUUCUGGAAGCUUUCUCAAGUAAGCACACGGGUUGACAAUUAAGCAUUCAAGUUUCGGCAUUGCUCCAGCCCCCAUCGUCCACUCAUCUAGCCAAUACAUUGACUUCAGGUGCAAAACCUUAAGUUCGGGAAAGCUACUCAAGCCAACACAAGCAAGCUUUCUUCCUAAAUACGAGUUCUGCUUCAGUUUCAGCACUCGAAGGCGUGGAAGAUUUUCCAGAAUUGGCAUGGGAUCCUCCAUUAGCUCAGUAUUUGAUAAGCUCAGUUGGAUCAGACUUGGGGGAAAUUGGUAUUCAGACAGGACCAUCCGUGAGGGCUUGCUCUCAUUCACCAGCUUCAAGCAUUCAAGUUUGUGGAGUUCGCAUAGGCUUUUGGAAACCCCUGAAUGAUAGCAACUCAAAUCUCCAGAUAUCCGAAGAGUUUGAACAUUAGGUAGUCUGCCCAAUAUAUCAGGAGUACAACUACUGGGGUUUAAAGUUGAUAUGAAAAUGAGAUUUUUCAGGGAGCUAGAAUAAUUUUUUGGAGGUGCGGGCAGAGUGAUAGAACCAAAGUUUAGAUGCAUGAGUUUUUGCAUCUUCCAAAUAUCCUCUGGUGACUGAUCUAUGUAGCUAGAUGGCAUUUCUAGUGUUUGAAGGUUUAAAAGGGUGCAUAGCAGUGAAGGAAGGCAUUUGAGCGAAGGGAUAUUCAAUUUCAAAUACUUCAAAAGGAAUAAAUUUUCUAAUCCGGGUGGAUAUUGGUCCAGGACUGCAGAACCCAAGUUCAGUACCCGAAGGUAUUUGAACCUUUUAAAAAAAUUCUCGCAAUCUUUCGGAUUAAGAUGAUAUCUUUUUGGACUGUGAUUGAGAAAAGAUUGGAGAUACAUGUCAGAAUGUUCUAAAGAAAGGAACUCAAUCAAAUCAUCGACAAUGAAGCACCGUUUAACAUUUGCGGGUGGUUCCUCUUCCACGUCAUGCAUCCAGACAAAUCCCGUCUUCUUUGCCACCACAAACAAUGAAGUGUAGUAUACAAUACUUGGAAAAUAACACGAUUUAAUUGUGCCUCCGGCCCUUCUUUUACUCACUUGAAUGAAGCCGCGAUGGAUUAGUUCUUUCAAGUAAUGUUCGGCAGUUUCUUCACUGUUGUAUGGUAUGAAACCUUCAGCUACCCACAAAUGAUAUAAUUGCCUCGUGGAUAUCUCAAUGCCUGGAGGGAAGACACACAAAUAGAUGCAGCAGAUUUUCAAGUGAAAAGGUAACUCCAACACAGAACAAAUUCCAAUGAAAAUUGUCGGAAUCGUUUCGCCUUGAACAUAAUUUUCUAAUGGCAUACUUCCAUAGUGUAGGAUGAAAAAUUGCCAGGCUUCAUGCUUUAAUCUGAUCAAUGGUCCUCCAAUGAGCACCGAAUCAAGCCGAAUCUUCUCUCCAUUUUCCAUUUCAAGCGACGCAAGGAGGUCUGGAUCAGUGACUGUUAUCAAUACUCUGCUUCCAUUCUGAUUAUCAGGAAGAACUUCUUCAAGAUCAUCCCAUAUGUCAAUGUUAUCGCAGACAUCAUCAAGCACAAUAAAGUACUUCUUGUUUGUUAGGUAAUCUCAAAGAAUAGAUUCCUUGAAUUGAUAAUCUUCACCGAUAAUUACACUAACCCGAGAUGGAGGCAUCACAGACUUGAUUAUGUCAUCCAAUAUCUUGCCCAAAUCGUAGAAUACAGAAACCCUGACCCAAGCAAGACAGUCAAAAUAGAACCUGACAUGAUUAUUGUUGUAAGUAUCUGCAGCAAAAGCAGUCCUAUCGAAGCCACUGCUGUCGAGAAUUGCAACCACUGCAAGCCCAGAUGGUCCCUCAAUCAAUAGAUCAAACAACUUCUCUCUGCCCCUUUCAAAUUCACUGAUAUCGAGCCGAGGUUGUCCCUCAUUCAAUAGGCGAAUGAUUUCGUUACUUUUUUCACUGAUAUCAAAACCAUUGUCGCCGGGCGGAAGUUGUUGCAUCCGAUUUCUAAUAUCAAUGAUUUCACUGUGGACAUGAAGAGCCAUAUUAGUGCUGCUUUCACUUUCGUUUUCACUGUUUUGCUGCUGCAUUAUGUUGAUGAAGAAUCUGUCAAUGGCUUCCUCAGAUUCAUGGACAAAGUCAUUGAUGUGCACCAGAAUUUCCAAAAUAUCUGGUCUUUUAACGUCUUCUUCAUCGCUUUCUUCUAAGUCCAACAGUUGCAAAAAAGGAAAAGAUAUUUCGAAGUCAUCGAAUUCUUCUAGAAUGAGUUGAAACAAAUGCCGAGCCAUGUCAGCUUCAUAGUUUCCCAGAAGAGUAGCAGCAAUAAUUUCGGACUCCGUAAGAAGGUUUUGAAAAAGUGGGGUUAAAUUUGUUGAAUCUGGCAGCGGCAACGUGCCUUCUUCACCUGCUAACACCCUUUUCAACCUCUCACAAAUCAGUCGGAGGUGGAAUUCCAGCAUUUCUCCUUCUCUCCGUAGCACUCAAUUAGAAUUAUCUUCGAAUUCUAAUUUAAUUGACUAAGUAGUUAUAGCUAUUCUAUUGAUUAGGUCUAGCUAUUAUAUUCUAAAUGAUUAAUUGAGAGGUAUAGUUGAAAGAUUAAACACCAUGGAAGAAUUUGAAAGGAAAAUGCCAAGAAACUGUGUAAGUGGCUAAAUUCCACAAAUAUGACAUUAUUGCUCAUUUUUUAACUCAAAAAAAGGGUACGCAUUCAUUUAGAGAAAAGUCCAAGACGCGUGCUUUUUAAAAAGAACAGGUAUCCAACCUCUAUCUUAUUAAAUUACAACCAUGACAUAAUUGAUGGUGCUUAAAUCAAUUGUUUCUUUUUUAAUUUAAAGAAUUUUUCAUUAAAAAAAUAUUUUAAUAUCAAAUUGCCUUCAGUGGCGUAACUGCCUCAGGCCCAGUAACAGGACUAAUUAAAAAUUUUACAAUUUUUGGGCAUGGAAAUAGUAGUAUUAAACAUUAGAAAGGUAAGGUUGUUCUGUUAAAGAAUUGAUAUUGACAUAAUUUUAUUUUGGUUUUCGUGGAAAAAAAAUUUGUUGACAAGUAAGAAAAUAUUUUUAUUUUUUAAAAUUUAUUAUGCAUAUUUUAUCAUAUUAAAGUAAUUUUAAUAAUAAAUAGAAACAUAAUAUUACAAUAAAUAAAUUAUAGUUUAAAUUAUUUUGAAUAUUAUAAAAAAUAAUGUUAAUAUUAUUAAUAGGAAGACAUUUUGUUAAUUUUAAAAUCUUUUUAAUCCAAAGGUUUAUUUAAAAUCUCUAUAAUAAAUACAAAUAUAAGAUUAAAAUAAAAAUCAUAAUUUCAAAAUUUUAAUAUUAUUUUAAAUGUUAAAUAUACUUUAAUGUUAUUAGCCUACUACGUAGAUUUUAUUAUUUAUAUUAUAUUCGUAUUGAUUAAAAUUUUUUAAAGUCAAUUUUUUAGUUAGUACAUUCAAGAGGUAUCAUAGUUAAAGAAAAGAUUUUGGUGCAACUGUUUUAAAAUUUCAGGGUAUAAAUGAUAAUUUUUUUUAAAAUUUUAAGGAAGUAGGUAUUAUUUUUCCGACAAUUUAUUUUAUUUUGAGGGAAAUCCGAUGAGAAAUAUCAUCAGAGAACAUUAAUUUAACAUUCUUUACCUUUAUGAAAAAAGUGGAAACCAAGAACUAUUCAAAUUUUUUUUUUUUGUGUAAUUCAAAAAAUGCAUCCACCAAACAAGCUUAUCAUAAUUUUCCCACUUUAUUCAUUUUCGAUGCUUUUCAAAAGAGGUUCCUUUAAUCCAUCUAGCAUCUGCAGCCCCCACUAUUUUACAAAUCUCCAUCCCACAUCUACACUAUCAAAAAAGUUGAUGGAAAUUGAACCCAUUAAGUUAUGUUCAUUACUGGUCAUUAUCUUUCUAUGAGCCACUUAUUUUGAGCAUUAGCGAUCUUCUAAGGAAUCAUGCCUUUUCAGGAUCGUUUUCUUUCAUUUCCUUAUUGUAGUAGUUAAUUAAAUAAAGAACGAACAAGUGAACUUUGUCUAUUUCGAGGAAGAACUAGGUUUCCAACACUAGAGGAACUUUGAAGAAAAUUAAUUGGAAGCCUUUAUUCAUCUUUGAAGAAAAUUACGUGCCAAUGUAACCAAGGCUUUUAUUCAUCUUCGGACUAUGAAUUUAUACAAAAACAUUAACAGAAAAUAACAAAGACACAGCUAAAUGAUAGCAACAAGUGUUGAUUUAGUGGACCACUUCUACAAGUAAAUAAAAACUAAAUAUUUAUUUAAGGAGGGCUUUUGUUAGUAGAGUUUUUAUAAAUAGAAAUUUAACAAAAAAAAAUUAUAGUUAUUUAGUUGUCAAUGUCCAAAUUGAUGAAUUAUUGUUCUUUUUGUUAACAUGUGUUUGUUUUACUUAAUAAUAAAAGUUUAGUUUACAAUUACACCGGUGUCAAAUCAGCAGAGCAUUUUUGCAGCCAGUCACAUUAUACAUUAUAUACUAAUAGCAUCGGCAAGAGUUUUCGAUUGUUGCAACUUGCAAUGCACGCGAUGCGAGAAAAUGAGAAUCUUGUUUAAUUGCAAUAAUGACAAACCUAAUCCUUUCAUUAGGAGUAAAUUAAUAAUCGUUUGUUAUUAUUGAAUAUGUAUAAAGAAAGGACAAUUCUAUUCAUAGAUUCGACUUAUUUUUUGUUUAAAGUAAUUAAUCAUUCAACCAUCUUCAUUUGCCUCUGGCCAAUGCCCUUGUAGAUUAGUUGAAGCGUUUAUUACUUAAUUCAGAUAAUUACAACGUCCUUUUCGCUAAUUAAUUAUGAUUAUGAACAUUUUCAUAUAGCAAGUGGCAUUGUAGAUCUAAACUACGUUGCUAUUUCAAUACGUUAAUUAAGUGAUUCUCCUCAUUGUCAUCAACGUUAUAAACAGGAAUUGUGCAAACAGUACACAAUGCUGCAGCAAGGCGUGGGUGGCUAGAGUUUUGCAACCACCCUUGAGAUCCUGUGCUGCCAGUAGUAAAAGAAUUUUACGCCAAUUUGGUAAGCCCUGGUCAGCACAACAUUUGGGUAAGAAACUCACUUGUUCCAUUAGACUCUCGAGUUAUAAAUGUUUUUUAUAAUUUACCUGCUGAAAUUAAUUGUGAGUAUGCCAAGUUGCUUGACAAAUUGACCCCGCAACAAUGGAACACAAUUUUCACGACACUUACGGUAGAGGGUGCAUCGUGGGCUAAUGAGGAGGGGCAUGUAAUUAACAAGAUAGAUUUAAAACCCAUUGCUAAGGUGUGGGUGAAAUUUCUAAAAUCCAGGCUUAUGCCAACCACCCACACCACUACUGUUUCACAGGAAAGGUUGGUGCUGUUAUAUGCUAUUGUUAGAGGGCUUCCCAUAGAUGUGGGAAGCAUUAUCGAAAAAGAAAUUCGAGAUUGUGCCAUGAAAAACCACAAGGCUGCUGCCUUGUUAUUUCUUUCACUCAUAACCAGCAUAUGUGUAGUAUCAGGUGUUCGUCUUGAUGCAAAGGAUGAAAUUUGUAAUUAUAUUAUGGCUCCAUUUGGUAUAACUUUUUAAUUCGAACUUAUUUAAGGAGAAUUUUUAUUAGUAGAGUUUUUAUAAAUAGAGAUUUUACUAAAAAACAAAAAUUAUAGUUAUUUAGUUGUCAAUGUCCAAAUUGAUGAACUAUUGUUCUUUUUGUUAACAUGUGUUUGCCAGUCACAUUAUACAUUUUUGCAACUUGCAAUGCAAGCGAUGAGAGAAAAUGAGAAUCUUGUUUAAUUGUCAAUAAUGACAAACCUAAUCGUUUCAUUAGGAGUAAUUUCAUAAUCGUUUGUUAUAAUUGAAUAUGUAUAAAGAAAGGAAAAUUCUAUUCGUAGAUUCGACUUAUUUUUUGUUUAAGGUAAUUAAUCAUUCAACCAUCUUCAUUUGCCCCUGGCCACUGCCCUUGUAGAUUAGUUGAAGCGUUAAUUGCUUAAUUCAGAUAAUUACAACGUCCUUUUCGCUAAUUAAUUAUGAUUAUAUACGUUUUCAUAUAGCAAGUGGCAUUGUAGAUCUAAAUUAUGUUGCUAUUUCAAUACGUUAAUUAAGUGAUUCUCCUCAUUGUCAUCAAGUGGAAAAUAGCUCAAUUGUUUCCCUGCAUCGAUUUUCAUUGGUAAGUGAUUUCUUAUGAUAUUCGUUUGAGCUUUCCUUAUUAAAAAAGCUUGAGCCUUGAUCACCUAAUACUGAUAUCAAUUAACUUGUGAACGAUUUUGUAAUGAAAUUAGGAGUUAAAUAUAUAAGAUUUUUACGUGAUGAAUUUUGAUUUUUUUAAUUUUUUGAUGUAGUCAAUUUGCUAAUUUUAUAUAUUUCAUAUUCAACGGAAUUUGGGCACGGAAAGUUUGGAUUCUAAUAUUUAUAUAUUUAGCUUUAAUCAGCUUGACUUUAGCAAUCUUUUUCCCUCAUCAUUAAGGGAUUCAGAAUUAGAGAAACGCUAGGAAGAGGAAGAAAAUAACUUUGGAAGUAAGUAAGAGGGAAAAAAUUAUGAAAUUUGGAAUUAUUUUUUGUAAAGUAUGUUGCGUUUACUAAACUGGAAUUAGAAUGAGCUGAAAUCAGAAUGAAUAGGAAUGCGAAUGUGCUGAAAUCGGAAUAGGUAAUGAGAAUAAGAAUAAGUUGUUUACUUGAACUGUAAAAAUCAAAAUCGGAAUGAGCUGAAUUGCAAUUACUUUGUCUUGGAAUCGGAAUCGGAAUCGGAAUGAGUUAGAUUAUAACAAAUUACUGAAAAGUACUUAAUGAAUUAUUGUCAUAAUUAUUAUUUUAUAUUUUAAUUAUAGUGAUUAUUUAUUCAAAAAUUAUUAUUAUUAAUUAUUUCCAAUAAUAUAUUAAUAUGUUAAUUAAUUUUAAAAAUUAUUAAUUAAUUUAUUAUAAUAAUAUACUAAUUAAUUAUAAUUAUUAUUAUAAAAAUAUAUUAAUAAUAAAAUUACUAAUUUAAUUGUAAUAAUAUAUGAAUUAAUUAUAAUAAUUAUUAUAAUAGUAUAUGAAUUAAUUAUAAUAAUUAUUAUAAUAGUAUAUUAAUUAAUAAUAAUAAUAAAAAUAUAUUAAUUAUGUGAUUAUUUAUUCAAAAAAUAUUAUUAUUAAUAAUUAUUGUUAAUAAUGUAUCAAUAUACUAAUUAAUUAUAAUAAUUAUUAUAAAAAUAUAUUAAUUAUUAAUAAUAAAAUUACUAAUUUAAUAAUAAUAAUAAAAAUAUAUUAAUUAUGUGAUUAUUUAUUCAAAAAUUAUAAUUAUUAAUAAUUAUUGUUAAUAAUGUAUCAAUAUAUUACUUAAUUAUAAUAUAUUAAUUAAUUAUAAUAAUAUAUUAAUUAAGUAUAAAUGAGGACAAAGUGGGUAUUUUUAAUUUCACGAAGGGGCAAAAUGGUCAAUUCUAGUAAUGGGAGACUCACUCCCACCCUCUCCUUUGGGAAUGAGUCUCCCAUUCCUCAUUCCCAAAUUGUGGUGGGCCCCAUGAUUUUGACUCCGAUUUCUAACUCAAUUUUGCGAAGUAAACGCUACCAAUGAUUCCGAUUUCGGAUUCUGAUUCACUUAUCUGAGAAGUAAAAGCAACAUAAAUGUGUAUGAAUAAUUGAUACCUAUGAAUAGUUUUGGGAGUUUUAGCUAGGAGUCAUCUAUUGAAGAUGUUUAGCAAUUGAAGAUCUCUGUCUCAGUAGUUUUCCCAAUCAAAAUCAAGAAGCAAAAAAACUUGCCAUUUUUCUACUUGAUAAUUAAUUGAAAUUUAAGAAAAUACAAUGGCAUUUCAAUUAGAAUUGGUAAUUGUUUAUCUUUUUUCAUUGAUCAAAUUCUAAUCGUGAUCCAAUAGUUAUGGAUGAAGGAAAUAUUAUGAGAGGCGAUAGGCCAAGUGAAGACGUACCAGCAAAUUCAAAAUAGUCGGGAGGUGGACGUCCAGCAUAUCUCCUUCUCUCUGUAGCACCCAGAUGCAUUGUUAUUUGCUCCAAGAAAUGUUAAAAGGAUUGGCCCUAUCUCAAUGUGGUUAGUGGCAAGGGCGGAGACAGCAUAUUAAUUGACUGUGGGCUUACUCAACUGCGAUAAAAAAAAUUUAAAAAAUAAUAAAUAAUAAAUUUAAAAGAUUUAUCAUACUUCAAUAUAUGUUUAUAAUUAUCCUUUACGAGUUUUCAUACAUUGAUAACGUUGUAUUACAACUUCAUUAUCAAUAUUAUUGUGGGCUGUUUAAAAAUUUGAUUAAUAUUAAUAUUUAUAGGCUUGAUUUUAUUUUGUAAAGCCCAUCUCUUUUUAUUUGUUUUAAAAACUUAGAGUGUGAGAAUUUAAGUAUAAUUAUGUAUUAGGAACUUGAAUAUAAAUUAGUGGGGGCUUAGGAAAAAUUUAUUAGAAAUUUUUGGCAAAUCAAAUUAGUUAGUAAAAGAUUUUUUUUUUUUUUUUCAGUGGGGACUUAAGUCCCCACUGGUCCCAAGCUAGAUCCGCCACUGGUUAGUGGUGAAAAAUUAAACACCAUGGAAGGAUUUGCAAGGAAUAUGCCAAGAAACUGGCUAAGUUCCACAAAUAUGGCAUUAUUGCUCUUUUUUUUUUAAAGAAAAAUUAUACACGUUAAUUUAGCAAAAAGUCUAAGACACGUGCCUUUUGAAAAGAAUAGCUAUUACCAUGACACAAUCGAUGCGGCUGAAACCAAAAUUUUCUUUUCUUAAUGUAAAGUUUUUUUUUUAAAUAGAUUUUAAUAUCAAAAUGCCCUUCGAUGUUAUUACUCUCACAAGCCCUGUAACAGGAGUAAUAAAAAAGUUUAGAAUUUUUGGGCAUGAAAAAAGUAGUAUUAAACAUCAGCAAGCAAAGGUUGUUCUGUUAAAGAAUUGAUAUUGACGUGAUUUUAUUUUGGUUAUCGAGAAAAAAAUAUAUUUGUUGACAAGUAAGAAAAUAUUAUUAUAUUUUACAAUCUAUUAUACAUAUUUUAUUAUAUUAAAUAAUACUAAAUAGAAACAUAAAAUUAGAAUAAAAUAAAUUAAAAUUAAAAUUAAAAUUAUUUUGAAUAUUAUGUAAAAAAUAAUGUUAAUAUCAUUGUUACUUGUAAAAUAUAUUUAGCCUAAAGAUUUAUUUAAAAUUUUAUAAUGAAUAAAAAUAUAAAAAUAAAUUAAAUAUCAUAGUUUAAAAUCUUAAUAUUAUUUUAAAUAUUAAAAAUACUUUAAUGUAUCUUAAUAUUAUUUUAAAUAUUAAAAAUACGUUAAUGUUAUUAUUCUACUACACAUGUUAUAUUAUUUAUAUUAUAUUUGUAUUAAUUAAAAAUUUUAAAGUCAACUUUCUAGUAACUAUAUUCAAAGGUAUUAUGGUUAAAUAAAGGUCUUAGUGUUUCUUUUUCAAAAUUUGAGGGUCUACAUGAUAAUUUUUCCAAACCCUAAGGUAUAGGAGUCCUUUUUGUCAAUAAUUUAUUUCACUUUUGAGAGAAUACGAUGAGAAAUAAGAUCAGAGAAAUGUCAAUUUAAUGUUCUCUAGCUUAAUGAAAAAAAAAUGGAAACCAAGAACUAUUCAAUUUUGUAUUUUUUGUUUGUAAUUCAAAAAAUCCAUCCGCCAAACAAGAUUCACGCAUUUAUGUUGUCAUAAAAUGAAAAAACAGUUUGUGAAAAAAUGGCACCAAACAUACCCUUAAUGUCCCACAUGAUUUCUUAUGAAGCCCAUAUUAGAUAUAUUUAUACAUUUUACUGCAUUUAGGACAUGUUUGAUAGCCUGCAUUAUAUAGGAUAAAAACAUAAUUUUGUAUUAAAUUAAUGCACACUCACGUUUGGCGCUAAAAGUAACUCCAGCCGCAUUGCAUUAAUGGGCUGCUACUGCGGCAAUUGCCGCACUAGCUUGCCUCUUUUUCUUUUUAAUUUUAUUUAUAAUAAUAAUAAUAAUAAUAAUAAUAAUAACAUAAUAUAACUUUUAUUUUAAUAUAAUAUUAAGUAUAAUUUUUAUUUUUACAUUAUAAUUAUUGAUAUAAAUUAAUAAAUUUAUUAUUUAUUAUUCAAUAAUAUUAUAUUAUUAUUUUUUUAUUUUUACAUUAUAAUUUAUUAGUAAAUUUAUAAUUUAAUAUAAUUAAUGAUAAUAGAAAAUAUCAUUACAUGUACUACAAAACUCUUACUUGGAUUAUUUAACACAAUUUAUUUUAUUCGUGAAUAUGUUAUAACAAUUGUAUCACUUUAUUGUUUUGUUAUUAUUUUGUGGUAUGUAUAAAUUUUUAUUCUAUUAUUCAAAGAUGACUUUUGAACUAAUCUUAUAGGUUUUAACUAUUUAUUUAUGUUGUUAUAUUAUUAGAGAUUAUUUGAUUAAAUUAUUUGCUUCGAUCUUUAUUUUACAGGUCAUAUAUUUAGAAAUUACUGAAAAAUAAAUGUUCUACUUCCAAAAAAUUUAAGGCUAUAAGCUCGAUCUUUAUGAAUAAUUGUGAUAUUUUUUAACAUUUACACUAAAAAAAUUGUUAAAUUUCUAAAAUUUAAGACUUCUAUAUUUAGUAUUUUUCCAAUUACUAAUAAGUAUUAUUUUCUAAAUAUAUAAUUUAAAUUAAUCACAAAAAAUUAAUACAGUACAGUGCAAUAUCAAAUAUAAUAUAAUUAAAAAUUAUACAGUACAAUGUAGCACCAAAUAUUGUACAAUAUUAUUAUAAAAUAGUACUGAUGCAAUACAAUAUAAUACAAUAUAGUGUGCCAAACGCACCCUUAGAGUGUGUUUGGAACAUGGGAUUAUAGGGUAUUAAAACACUGUUCACAUUAGCUUAAUACCAAUAUCAUGUUUGGAAAGAAAUUUUAAGGGAUUAAAGGGGGGUGAGCUAAUGCCAUAACUGCGCCAUUAGUGUCUUGGUUUUUUUUUAAAUAAUAAUAAAAAAUAUAAAUUCCUAAUUUUAUGUAAUAUUAUAUAAUAUUAAUUUUUAUUUUCUUUGAUCUUUACAUUAUAGUAAUUAAUAUAAGUUAAUAAAUUUAUAAUUUAUUAUUCAUAUUUUAAUUUUUAUUAUAUUAAAAAUAUAACUAAAUAAUUUAAUUUUAAUUAUAUAAUAAUUAAUGUAUAAAAUUGAUUAAUAUUUAAUAAGUUAAUACAACUAGUAAUAAGUGCUUAAAUAAUAUAUAAAAAUAAAAAUAUAACAUAAUAUUACAUUAUUUAAUUAUAUUACAAUAACUAAUAUAUAAAAAUUGAUUAUUAUUUAACAAUUUAAUAUAGCUAAUAAUAGAUACUUAAAUAAUAAUUUAAUAUAACUAAUAAUGAAUAUUGAUAUAUGAAUAUAUUUAAAUAAUAUUAAUACCAAUAUAUAUAAUAAUAUAAAAUAUUAUUACAUGUACUGUAGUAUUCUUACUUGGAUUAUUUAGCGCAAUUUAUUUUAUUAGUGAAUAUGUUACAACUAUUGUAUCACUUUAUUAUUUAAAUUAAUCAAAAAAAUUAAUACAGUACAAGAUAGCACUAAACAUUGUAUAACAUUAUUAAAAUACAGUGUUAAUGCAAUACAAUAUAAGACAAUACAUCUAUAUUAAAAUAAAAUAAAAUAAUUUAAUUUAAUAUAAUACAGUAUGUCAAACGCACCUCGUAUAUUUUAAUUUCAAAAGAAGUUGGUCCUUCCGUUAUUUAUAAAAGAUAACUUUAUUUUCAGAUUACCACUAAACUCUGAAGUAGAAUUGGUGUAAUGUUAAGAGAGAGUAACACAGUUUUCCAUUACCAUCUUUGAAAAUAGAAAGAUAUGGAUCAGUGUAUUUAAGAGUUAUCGUGAAAAUCAUACAGUUCAAUUCCCUGACACAUAUAUUUAUGAGCAUAUGCCAAAAGAAUAAAUAGAUAGAAAGUAAAUUUACAAUCCUCACUUCCUCACAAUUGUUAAAAUGAAGAUGCAUUACAACUGUGAACUGUCACUAUUUUAGCCUUUUUUAUUUUUUACUUUUAGUUAUAGUGCGAUGGAGACAGUGAACAUCAAGGAUGAGAAUAAAAGUUAAAGAUGACCCACCCACUUUCUUUUUAAAGUGCUCUGCUCAAAGACAAACUUCCUCUGGCUAAUUAAUUUAGAUGUGAAGAGAGAAUAAAGUCCUAGAUGCCUUCUGAAAUUAGAAAUACAUUUUAUAUGCUUUAAUUAUGAUUAUUUGGUAGACUAUAGACCUAAAAGACAUGUUAGAUUAUAAAACAGUGCGAUUAAAAAAAAAAGAGUAUUUGUGACGUCAAAUAACAAUUGGUAACUAAAAUCCAAAAUAUUUGAGUUGUUAAAAGCAAAUAAAAAAAAAGAAGGUAAGAGUGAUGCAGAAACACAAUAUUAGCUUAUCUUGAUUUUCCCACUUUAUUCAUUCUCGAUGCUUUUCAAAACAAAUUCUUCUAAUCUUUCUGGUGUCUGCAGCCCCUUGUCACGGGACGAGAGGUUUCGAGCCCGUGCGGUACUCUCGCAUCCCAUACUGCGAGAGUAAACCUAGUGGAAGUGGCACAAUAUCGACUGGUUUCACCCUGUCUUGGGCUCAUCAGGAGAACGGCUCCAGUUCCCAACCAGUGUGUGAAGAGCUUCGCCUAAACCCCUCUUCAACGUUAAGUCCUUGACUAGCGACAAGCUCCCCAAACUCAACCAGGUUGGCCUGCCUGAACUCCAAGAAAUCUAGGAUCAUUGUAUUCCCCACACGACGCCCCUGAAGCACGUCUCCUACAAUCAGCACAACCCUUAUCGAUACCAGCGUACAAACGCAUAUCUUCGGCGUCACAAUUGCAGUCCGUGACACCCUGCUCUUGUUAUAAAACUCCACCCCAAAUCUACACUACAAACAAGUUGAUUGAAAUUAAACAAUUGCUUUUUGAAGUGGACCCAUUGAGUCGUGGUCAUUACUCGUCAUUGUCUAUUUUUUCUAUGAGCCAUUUAUUUUGAGCAAUAGUGAGCUUCUCUGAACUACUCCAAUUAUUGAUGUAACUCCAGUGGCUGCAUCCAUAGUUGAAUAUAUGACAGUAUUAGCUCUUAUUUGAGAAUAUAGGGGGAUCUUUCUUUGUUUCUUUGUUGCAGUGUUCUAGUUUAUAGUCUUGCUGUUAAUGAAUUCACUGAGGCAUUAUUAAUUUAAUUUCAGUGAAGUAAUUAUGGAUGAAAAAUAAAUAAAGGAUAACAGAAUAGAGCUGAAGUGCUGAAUCGGCUAUUAAAGAAAGUGUCACGUGAUCACAAUCACACUGAUGCACAACUCUCUCUAUGUACUCCAAAUUCAGCCAAACCAUACAUGCCUCAACAAAAUUAAACCGUAGUUCUCAUCACUACAGUAAAUGAAGCCCACAAAGACAGCUGAAAUGGAAAAUAUUGACUAUUGAAUGGAUCAAUGCUGAAUUACACUUGAAAUGGGAAGCUUGGCUGCGGUUACGAUGUUUCCCCCUCUGAUUUUUCUCCAAAACAAAUUCCGUUGUAAAUAAUAUUCAAUGUAGCAACACUUUAUUCAGCAAAGAAAAUACCUAAUUUUUCAACUAACAAAUUCUCUUGUCUAAACUAAAAAAACUCACAUCUCUCCAAUCUAUCUACAAAAUAUUGGAGAUGAGAGGUGAUUUGUCAACUCGAUAAAUAAAUUCAUGCAUAAUGUUACCAAUAAUGAUAAAUUACUUAAUAAUUCUUAUAAAGAAUCAUAAAUAAGGAACAUUAACCAUUUUACAGUCUAUUACAUAAGUAAGAUUAAUCUUAUAAUAAGUUAACUUAUAACGUAAUAAAUAUUUCAAUUCAUAAUUAUUUAAGAAGUCACUUAACAAUAAAAUAUUUUUUUAUUUAAUUGAUCAUGUCAUAUAACGUUAUCUAAACUCCUGACGAUAUUAUUAUUACUCACUUUUCUCAAAAAAACAUGACUAACGUUUAGAGAAAAGUCAUGCCUUUUAGAUAGAUAGAAUAUGAUUACAAGCUAUCCAUACUUUAUCUUACCAUGACAAAAUUGAUGGUGAUUAAAUCUAUUUUUAAAAUAGAUUUAAUGCACAAACAUGAUGACUUUUGCCAAAAAUUAGUUUCAGAAGAUAACUAAAUUAAGUUGCAAAGGAGCUUACUUCAAUUUCUAAGCUUUUCAAUCAUGAUUCCUCCAUGCCUUCCUCUGAUACCAUUUUGUUACGUGCCAACGUAAUUGACCUUGUAAUUGGUUUGUAUAAGGAAUGAAGCCCUUUCAAGAUCGUUUCUUUUGUGUCCAUAUUGUAGUAGACUAGUAGUCAAGUAAAUAAAGAGUGAAUAACUGAAUUUGGUCUAUUUCGAAGAAGACUAUGGCCUCCACACUACAAGAAAAUAGGCGAUAGAUAACGGGAAAUAACCGUCAUAAAAGGUGGUGUAUGACAGACAGUUUAUUCGUCAUCUAUGUCACUGUCAUUAAUUUAUGACAGAAUAUUUUCCGUCAUGAAUUCUUGAUGUUAUUUUACAAUCAUAUAUCCAUCACACAAUAUUUUAAUGAGAAAAAAUAAUUAAAUAAAAUUUGAAUUUAUUAAAAUUUUUGCUCUAUUUUUUAAUUUUUUGGCGGAAAAUUAAAUUGUCAUUUGUAAAUUUCUUAUUCAAUUUUGGUGGAAAAUUUUUUUAUGACAGACUUUAUGAUGUGUAUUUCCCAUCAUAAAGUUAAUUUUUUUAAAUUAUAUUGUGAUUAUAGUUUAUUUCUGAAUUCCUGUUUACAAAUUUAAUUAAUUAAUAAAAAAUGAAUAUUGUCAAAAAAUAAAAAAAUAAUAGUAACUAAAAUCCAUUCAAUCCAACAAAUUAAUUUCAAAAUAAAUACAUCUAAUAUUCAAUGUCAUUACCACUAAUACAUAAUAAAACAUCCCAAAUUAAAAAAAAGAAUGUCAAAAUAUAAAACAAUAGUUAAAUUCCAAUUAAAUUCCAAGAAAUGUAAUUCAAAUUCCGGACACCGAGCCAAGCUCCCCAGCAAAACUUCCAAAGAUUAAUGGAAAUAUUCCAAUAGCAAGACUUCCAGAAGCAAUACCCUCUUCCAGUGGCAAUACAUUGACUAAUCUUUGAAGCCAUGACUCCUCAAGCCAAUGCCAAAAAUGUGUGCAAAAUUAAUGCUCUAUCCACAAAAAUUUCAGUCUAUAUUGGUAAGAAGAAACAUGAAGAAACAAUUACCUCAGCAUCAUCGUCAUUGGAAGCCAAAUCAGCUGUAAAGACCACAAAAUGUUUGGUUAGAACUAGUGGAAGUCUUACUCUAAAACUUUUAAUUUUUGAAUUUCGAAAGAUCUAGUAAUGACAAAGAUUCUCAUAUCCAGUGACCAAGUUUUGAAAAUUAGAAUACGGAAUAACGUCAACUAAAUUCACUAAUAUAGGGUGCAUUUGAGAUUGAGGUUGGACAGCUGUAGCUUAAAAGCUACAGUAGUAAAGUGUUUGGUAAACACUAGUUGCUGUAAUUUAAAAACUAUGUUGAUAUGAUUUUUCACUUGUAUAAUGGAGAAUCUAUUUUUUUAAAUAAUUAUGUCAAAAUUAUUAUUUAAAAUUUAUAUUUACUACAUAUUAUUAAUUUUUGUUUCAUAGUCACAGUUUUUUUUCCACAGCAGUUGUAAAGCUACAUCACCUCAAUCCCAAACGCACCCUAAGCUAGAGGAAUCCCUAGUUGAUAUAGCACACAUGCACACAUGAUAUGCAUGCAUCAGAAUACACAAUAAUAAAUUAUCUCAAAGUCAAUAAGAAGCCAAAACUAGAGAUAAACCUUUAGCCACUAUAAGGAAGACUGAUAUUUGCAGUGUGAUUACAAUAAACAAACAGAAACUUCACUACCCAUAAGUAAAGCAAAAUAAAUAAAGGAUAAUAACUAACCAAGAAAUGGAAAAGCUCACAUUCUCUGAACACGCACCCCAAAAAGAAAGAAAGAAAUAAAUGUUCCCAUUGGAUCUGAAGCACAAGCAAUCCACUGACAUCCUUCUAUAAUUAGGUAAUUUAAAGGGGUUAAGCUCACAUCUUUUACGGAAGCAACAAGAGAAUUAACAACAUUCCAGAGGAUUUAGGGAAAAACCACGAGGCAAGAAAAAAGAAAGAUCCUUCUUCAAUCUAGAUAUCUUGACACUGCUCACCAUCUACAGCAGUCUGGGGCUUAAAAAGCAUGAUCUCUCCCCCCCUCUGGCACCAUUUUCUCUCAUGUGAAUCUGUCAUUGCCCGUAGAAACAAACCAGAACUGCAUAAAUUCUCUUAUCUUCCAGCAGCUUCUUUUCUCCAGAAAUAGGCACAACUAUUUGACAUGGAAACAAUUUAUCUAACAUGGCCACCUUUAAAGACAAAGACAUACUAAGGACAUGGUUUUAGAUACGGAUACAAGAAACAAUCACAAAAUGUAAAAUCUAUACAUAUGAUAUUAAUUUCCAAUGGAUACAGCACUUCAUUCUUUGACUUAACUUCAUUAGAUUACUAGGUUUGAUUAGGUUAUACACACAUUUAUUCAUUUAUGGUUUUCAACCUAUAAUCUACAUGCACUUAGAAUGAGAGGUACCUAUAAAAACAAGUUACCAGAAAACAAUACAGCUAGAAAACAUUAAAACAUUAAUCUAAGCAGUUCUAUAGGUUUAACUAACUGCAGGAAAAAACCGUUGAUUUUGUCCGUCGGAUUAUUGAGAUCCUAAUUCUGGUAAAAAGAAAAUGAGAUAAUAGAAAAUCAAAAAUUAAAUAGACACAAAAUGAGAAAUCAAGAUCAUACGGCAACUAAUAUAUAGCAUGGGCUGCAGCUAACAAGCAAUAUAAGCCAUGAUAUUAUGCCAGAUACAAAAUUUUGAGAUCCAAGAGAGAUCAAGAAGCAUGAAUAUUGAAAGAAGUGAGUGCAGAAGGAUAAGAAAUCAGGUUGAUAUUCUUCAUACUUUGGGUCAACACGUAGUGAUGCAAUAAACUUGUAAUUAGCUUCAAGUGUAUAGGCUACCAUGUCAACAUUUCCGAAAACACACAAGAUUGUGCUGGAUUCAUAUAUAGUACAUAUAUAAAAAAACAAUCUGCUUCUAAACUUCAUGAGAACAUCGAAUAAUGAACUUACAAUUUGAUCCCUCAUCAUCUUCAUCGCACCAUUUGUUCCAAUCAACCUUAAUGUAAGGUGCUGGUUUCUCUUCUGACUUGAGUAGCCUUUUCCACCAACCUUUCUCUUCUUUUUGCACCGAGCAUAUUAUGUUCCUUAAGCCAACUUUAGUCUUACAUUUCUGCACCACCAGCAACAAAAUUCAAAGCAUUACAAAAGAGGUAUAUUUAGCCGCUCUUGACUCGAGUGAGAGAACAGGAUAAACAGCCUAGGUAUAUCCACAUCCAUGUUAUGAGAUUAAUUAUGCAACAACUAACUUUAAUAUAAAGUUUGUGCUCCAACAAAGACUAAAAUGUUUGUAAUUGUUAUGCUUCCGGAGCUAAAAUGUUUCGCAAACACUCACUUUUACUCUGCAGCUAAUAUCUAGCACCCAGCCACACAAAGUCCGUAGUCUUUGUCUCAACUUUGUCUGAGGCCAAUGUAAAUCCAAUUUGCACAAGCUCUCUAUGCACCACAGCUCUUCUGGAAGCUUUCUCAAGUACGCACAAGGGUUGACAAUUAAGCUUUCAAGUUUUGGUAUUGCUCCAGCCCCCAUCGUCCACUCAUCUAGCCAAUACAUUGAUUUCAGGCGCAAAACCUUAAGUUCCGGAAAGCCACCCGAGCAAGCACAGGCCAGCUUUCUUCCUAAAUACAAGCUCUGCUUCAGUUUCAGCACUUGAAGGCGUGGAAGCUUUUUGAUAAGGAAAGGGAGCCACGGAGGUCAACAAAGGUUCAUAAGCCUAACUACAGAUACGAGGGCUUUGUUUGAACAUUCGUAAGUCUCAUGCAGCCAUGCAUGCGGUCAUGCAUGUUGCAUGCAAUACCAUGCAAGACUUAUUUACGCAUGGAUUAAAGAGUAGUCUGUUUCUAGUUUUUUAUUUAAGAUUGCUCAGUUAUUUAAAUUGAUUUUAGCCGUGAAUUGUGGCUACAAAUCCUUAGUAGUGUUUGUAUUAACUACUAUAAAUAAGCUCCAGCAAUUAAUAAAAGGAUUAUGCAAAAAAUUAUCUCAAAGUACUAUUCUUGGUCGUUUUCACCGUAAGUAGAACAACGUAAACUUAGCUAUUGUUGAACGUUUUUGAUUGGGACCUAUCACUUUUCCAGCCUUGGCAUGGGAUCCUCCAUUAGCUCAGUAUUUGAUAAGCUCAGUUGGGUCAGACUUGGAGGAAAUUGGUAUUCAGACAGGACCGUCCGUGAGAGCUUGCUUUCAUUCACCAGCUUCAAGCAUUCAAGUUUCUCUAGUUCGCAUAGGCUUUUGGAAAUCCCAGAUUGAUAGUAACUCAAAUCUCCAGACACUCUAAGAGUUUGAAGAUUAGGUAGUCUGCCCAAUAUAGCUGGAGUGCAACUACUAGGGUGUAAGGCUGAUAUGAAAAUGAGAUUUUUCAGAGAGCUGGAAUAAUUUUUUGGAGGCGCAGGCAGAGUGAUGCAACCGAAGUUUAAAUGCACGAGUUUUCGCAUCAUCCAAAUAUCCUCUGGUGAAUGAUCUAUGUAGCUUGAUGGCAUUUCUAGUGUUUGAAGGUUUAAAAGAGUGCAUAGCAGUGAAGGAAGGCAUUUGAGCGAGGGGAUAUUCAAUUUCAAAUACUUCAAAUGGAAAAAGUUUCUAAUCCGGGCGGAUAUUGGUCGAGAAUUGCAGAACCCAAGUUCAAUACCCCAAGGUGUUUGAACGUUUGACGAAAAUUCUCGCAAUCUAUCAGAGCGAGAUGAUCGCUUUCUGAACUGUGAUUCAGAAAAGAUUGGAGAUAGAUGUCAGGAUGUUCUAAAGAUAAAAACUGAAUCAGAUGUUCCAAAAUGAAGCACCGUUUAACAUUUGCCAGUGGUUCCUUUUCCCUUUCAUGCAUGCAGACAAAUUCCGUCUGCGCUGCCACCAAAAACAAUGGAGUACAUAAAAAACUUGGAACAUAACACGCUUUAAUUGUGCCUCCGGCUCUUCUCUUACUCACUUGAAUGAAGCCGCAAUAGAUUAGUUCUUUCAAAUAAUGCUCGGCAGUUUCUUCACUGUUGUAUGGUAUGAAACCUUCAGCUACCCACAAAUGAUAUAAUUGCCUCGUAGAUAUUUCAAUACUUGGACGAAAGACACACAAAUAGAUGCAGCAGACUUUCAAGUGAAAAGGUAACUCCAUCAAAGAAUAACUGUGUCUCUAAAUUGUCGGAAUCGCUACGCCUUGAACAUAAUUUUCUAAUGGCAUACUUCCAUAGUGUAGGAUGAAAAAUUGCCAGGCUUUAUGCUUUAAUCUGAUCAAUGGUCCUCCACUGAGCACUGAAUCAAACCGAAUCAUCUCUCCGUUUUCCAUGUCCAACAGCGUAAGGGGGCAUGGAUCAGUGACCAAUAUCAAUACUCUGCUUCCAUUCUGAUUGUCAGGAAGAACUUGUUCAAGAUCAUCCAAUACAUCGUCACUCUCUUCACAGUAAUCAUCAAGCACAAUAAAGUACUUCUUGUUUGUUAGGAAAUCUCGAAGAAUAGAUUUCUUCAAUUGAUAAUGUUCACCGAUAAUUACACUAACCCGAGAUGGAGGCAUCACAGACUUGAUUAUGUCAUCCAAUAUCUUGCCAAAAUCGUAGAGUACAGAAAUCCUGACCCAAGCAAGGCAGUCAGAGAAUUGCAACCACUGCAAGCCGAGGAUGUCCUUCAAUCAAUAAAUCAAACAACUCCUCUCUACCACUUUCAAAUUCGUUGAUAUCAAGCCGAGGUUUUCCCUCAAUCAAUAAGUGAAUGAGUUUGUCCCUUUGUUCAGUGAUUACGAAACCAUUGUCGCCGGGUGGAAGUUGUUGCAUCCGAUUUCUAAUAUCAAUAAUUUUACUGUGGAGUCCAACAAGAAGAGCCAUAUUAGUACUGCUUUCACUUUCUUCUUCACUGUUUUGCUGCUGCAUGAUGUUGAUGAAGAAUGUGUCAAUGGCUUCCUCAGAUUCAUGGACAAAGUCAUUGAUGUCCUUCACAAUUUCCAGAAUGUCUGAUCUUUUAACGUCUUCAUCGCUUUCUUGUAAAAAAGCCAAAUAUAUUUCGGAUUCAUCGAAUUCUCCUCUAAUGAGUUGAAACAAAAGCCGAGCCAUGUCAGCUUCAUAGUUUCCCACCAGAGUAGUAGCAAUGAUUUCUGACUCCGUAAGAAGGUUCUGAAAAAGUGGAGUCAAAUUUGUUCAAUCAGGCAACGUUAACGCGCCUUCUUCACCUGCUAGCACCCUUUUCAACCUCUCACAAAAUAGUCGGAGGUUCACGUCCACCAUAUCUCCUUCCCUCCGUAGCACUCAGAGAAGAUUGGUCCUAUCUCAAAGUGGUUAGUGCUGUAAAAUUAAACACCAUGGAAGAAUUUGAAAGGAAUAUGCCAAGAAACUGGCCAAGUGGCUAAAUUCCACAAAUAUGACAUUAUUGCUCAUUUUCUCUCAGACACGUGAUACACGUUGAUUUAGAGGAAAGUUCAAGAAUUUUGCUUUAAAAAAAAAAAUUGAUGGUGCUUAAAUUAUUAUUUUUUUAAUUUAAAGAGUUUUGCUUUUAAAAAAAAAUUAAUAUCAAAAUGCCUUCAAUGUUAUUACUGCCACAAGCCCAGUAACAAAACUCAUUAAAAAUUUUAGAAUUUCUGGCCAUGGAAAGAGUAGUAUUAAACAUCAGAAAGCAAAGGUUGUUCCGUUAAAGAAUUGAUGUUGACAUAAUUUUAUUUUGGUUUUCGGGAAAAAAAAAAUAUUUGUUGGCAAGCAAAGAAAAUAAUUUUAUACUUUACAAUCUGCUAUACAUAUUUUAUCAUAUUAAAGUAAUUUUAAUAUCUAUCAAAAAAAUAAAUUUAAUAAUAAUUGGAACAUAAUAUUACAAUAAAUAAAUUAAAAUUAUUUUAAAUAUUAGGAAAAAAAUAUUAUUAAUAGGAAGAUAUUUUGUUAAUUGUAAAAUCCUUUUAUUCCAAAUAUUUUAUUUAAAUUUUUUAUAAUAAAUAAAAAUAUAAAAUUAAAAUAAAUAUCAUAAUUUAAAUUUUUUAUAUUAAAAAUAUUUUAAUGUUAUUAGUCUACUACAUAAAUUAUAUUAUUUAUAUUAUAUUCGUAUUGAUUAAAAUCUUUUAAAGUUAAUUUUAUAGUUACUAUAUCCACAGGGUAUUAUAUUAUAUUUAAGAGUAAUUUUUUCAAAUUUUAGGAUUGCAGAUGUCCUUCUUCCGAUAAUUUAUUUCACUUUUGAGAGAAUCCAAUGAGAAAUAUGAUAAGAGAUGGUCAGUUUAAUGUUCUCUGCCUUUAUGGAAAAAAAGUAAAAAGUAAAAACUAUUCAAUUUUGUACUUUUUGUGUCCACCAAAUAAAUUUUACACAUUUAUGUUGUCAUAAAACGAAAAAAAAGGGUUUGCCAAAAAAUGGUACCAAGCAUACCUUUAAUGUCCCACGUGAUUUCUUAUUAAGCCCAUAUUAUAUAUAUUUAUACAUUUUAUUGCAUUAAACAUUUUUAUUAUAAAAGAAGUUGGUCCUUCCCCUAGUGAUAAAAGAUAAAUAUGAUAAUGUUUGAGAUGGGUUUAGUCUUUUAUAUUUGCUGAGUCCAGUGGGUUAAAGAAUUAGAGUAAAGCAUCUGGGCAUUCUUUCAUGCAAAACUAAAAAUCCUGAAAAUAGUUGGCUUUAACUGAUUAAGACAAGCUUGGUCGAAUUGAGUUGAACUUCAUAUAUAAAAGCCAAAUAUAUUGCGGAUUCAUCGAAUUCUUCUCUAAUGAGUUGAAACAAAAGCCGAGCCAUGUCAGCUUCAUAGUUUCCCACCAGAGUAGUAGCAAUGAUUUCUGACUCCGUAAGAAGGUUUUGAAAAAGUGGAGUCAAAUUUGUUAAAUCAGGCAACGUUAACGCGCCUUCUUCACCUGCUAACACCCUUUUCAACCUCUCACAAAAUAGUCGGAGGUUCACGUCCAGCAUAUCUCCUUCUCUCCGAGAAACUGUGUAAGUGGCUAAAUUCCAGAAAUAUGACAUUAUUGCUAUUUUUUUAACUCAAAAAAAUGGUACGCGUUCAUUUAGAGAAAAGUUCAAGACGCGCGCCUUUUGAAAAAUGGUACCCGUUCAUGUAGAGAAAAGAACAGGUAUCCCAAUCGGUAUCCAACCUUUAUCUUCUUUAAUUACCACCACGACAUGAUUUUUUUUUUUUUUUUUUGAUGACAUGAGACUAUUGCUUAAAUUACAACUCAAAUUACAACUCAUAUUACAUGAGAGUAUAAUUGAUAUGUACAAUCAUAUAUACAUACUGAGAUCUAUUGACAUUAAUGCUGAUAUGACACUGCUCAGAUUUUUGUAACCCUCUCAAAUAUUCGAGGGACGUCAAACUCCUAUCCUGGGAGAAAGACUGCCUUCACUCGAGCUCUGUGGCUCCAAGGAAGGAAAUAUAAAUUAAACCUCUACAAUGCGACUGCGGAGGCUCGAACCCCUUCCCUCACAUAUGUGAGGGAGUGGCUCUAGCCACUUGGGCUAGCCCAAGUGGUUCCACGACAUGAUUGAUGGUGCUUAAAUCAAUUGUUUCUUUUUUAAUUUAAAGAAAUUUUCAUUAAAAAAAUAUUUUAAUAUCAAAUACCCUUCAAUGGCAUAACUGCCGCAAUCCCAGAAACAGGAUUAAAUAUUUUUUUUUUUUUGAAUUUUUGGGCAUGGAAAGAGCAGUAUUAAAAAUCAGAAAGCUAAGGUCGUUCUGUUAAAGAAUUGAUAUUGACAUAAUUUUUUUUUGGUUUUCGGGGGAAAAAAAAAAUUGUUGACAAGCAAGAAAAUAUUUUUAUAUUUUACAAUUUAUUAUACAUAUUUUUUUUUUUUGGAUCAAUAAUGGGCUCUAAAAGAGCUAAAGCACCAGUAAACGGGAGUGGGCAACCCCAGACACAUCGUUAUGAAGAAUACUCUGUAAAUUAGGAGGAGCAACAGUAAGUAACUGCAAUCCUAAAGGACAAGACAAAUUAAAUGAGGCCAGAAAAUCUGCUGCUAUGUUUGCUUCUCGAUAGAUGUGGUUCACUUUCACGACCCAGUCCCUGCUGAUCAGCUCACGAAUGGCAAGGAUAAGAGAAUGAUGCUCAUUAACAGGAGUGGUCGGAUUCUCCAAGAUUUGAGAUUUAUUAUACAUAUUUUAUCUUAUUAAAGUAAUUUUAAUAAUAAAUAGAAACAUAAUAUUACCAUAAAUAAAUUAAAGUUUAACUUAUUUUGAAUAUUAUAAAAAAUAAUUUUAAUAUUAUUAAUAGGAGGACAUUGUAUUAAUUUUAAAAUUUUUUAACCCAAAGGUUUAUUUAAAAUCUUUAUUAUAAAUACAAAUAUAAAAUUAAAUAUAAUAAUUUAAAAUUUUUAAUAUUAUUUUAAAUAUUAAAAAUAUUUUAAUGUUAUUAGUCUACUACAUAGAUCAUAUUACUUAUAUAAUAUUUGUAUUAUUAAAAAUUCUUAAAAUCAAAUUUUUAGUUAGUAUAUUUAUGAGGUAUUAUGGUUAAAAAAAAAACCUUAUUAUUACUUUUUAAAACAUUGAGGGCCUGCGUGAUAAUUUUUUCAAAAAGAAAAUGCUUGGUAUCUAGGAGGGUUAGAGAAACAGGACUACCAAAAUCUCUCACCCUUUUUUAAUUAAAAAAAAUUAAAAUAUCAAUAAAAAAAAUAAAGAAAAUAGAAUUUUAUCUGCUCCUUACUCCAUUUUUGUAACUCUCUCACCAUCUCUGUCGAGCAGCCCUCUCUUUCACUGUCUCUCACUAUUUCACAAUCUCUCUCUCACUCACACAGUCCUUUAGAAAAGCCCAAAAUAGGCCCAAUAAGCCCAUAAUUAAAAUAAUCGAAUCGAAUUAUUUCAAUUAAUCGAGUAUUUGAUUAUUUCGGUAAUUUGAUUAAUCGCGAUUAUGAUUUUAAAAUAAUCGUAAUCGAACGAUUAUGAAAAAUUUAGUAAAAAACCGAAUUGAACCGAACCGCACCCACCCCUACAUAAAAGAACAACAAUUACUUGUCAUUUUCAAUUUUUUCUAUAAGCUAUUUAUUUUGAGCAUUAGUGAUCUUGUCUGGACUACUCCAAUUAUUGACGUAACUCCAGUGGCUGCAUCCACUGGAAAAAGUGGAUGAGAACAUUUUUUUUUUUCAUAAAGGUAACUACUCCAAUUAUUGACAUAAUUGAUGGUGCUUAAAUCAAUUUUUUUUUUUAAUUUAAAGAAUUUUGCUUUAAAAAAUAAUUAAUAUCAAAAUGCCUUCAAUGUUGUUACCGCCACAAGCCCAGUUAGAGGACUCAUUAAAAAUUUUAGAAUUUUUAGGCCUGGAAAGCGUAGUAUUAAACAUCAGAAAGCAAAGGUUGUUAUGUCGAAGAAUUGAUGUCGACAAAAUUUUAUUUUAGUUUUCGGAAAAAAAAAAAAAUUUGUUGACAAGCAAGAAAAUAUUUUUUAUACUUUACAAUCUGCUAUACAUAUUUUAUCAUAUUAAAGUAAUUUUAAUAAUAUAUGGAAACAUAAUAUUAUAAUAAAUAAAUUAAAAUUACUUUGAAUUAUUGAAUAUUACAAAAAGAUAAUUUUAAUAUUAUUAAUAGGAAAACAUUUUUAAUUGUAAAAUCUUUUUAAUACAAAAAUUCAUUUAAAAUCUUUAUAAUAAAUACAAAUAUAAAAUUAAAAAAAUAUCAUAAUUUAAAUUUUUUAAAAUUAUUUAAAUAUUAAAAAUACUUUAAUAUUAUUAGUCUACUACAUAAAAUAUAUUAUUUAUAUUAUAUUCGUAUUGAUUAAAACGUUUUAAAGUCAAAUUUUUAAUUAGUGUAUUCAAAGAUACAAAAGAUUUUAGUAUUAUUUUUAAAAAAUUUCAGGAUAUGAAUGAUAAUUUUUUCAAAUUUUAAAGAUGUAAGAAUCUUUUUUUCUGAUAAUUUAUUUCACUUUUGAGAGAAUCCGAAAACGUUAAUUUAACAUUCUUUACCUUUGUGAAAAAAGUGAAAAUCAAGAACUAUUCAAUUUUGUUUUUAUUUGUAAUUCAAAAACUUUAUUCAUUUUCGAUGCUUUUCAAAAGAGACUCCUCUAAAUCCUUUUGGUGUCUGCAGCUCCUGCAAUUCUCAUAAAUCUCCAUCCCACAUCUACACUAUCAAACAAGUUGAUGGAAAUUCUUAUCAAAAAAAAAAAAAAAAACAAGUCGAUGGAAAUUGAUCAAUUACUUUUUGAAGUGGACCCAUUGAGUCAUGUUCAUUUCUGGUCAUUGUCUACUCUUUCCAUCAGCCAUUUAUUUUGACCAUUUGCGAUCUUAAAGGAUAUGAGAACGUAGCUGAAGUGCUGAAGGGGCUAUUAAAGAAGAGUGUCACUUGAUCACAAUCACAUUGAUGCACAACUCACUCGUGGCAAAUUUCGACUAUACGUUCUGCAAAUUCAGCCAAACCAUACAUGCAUGAACAAAACUAAAAUGUAGUUCUAAUCACAACUGCAGUUAUAAUGUUUACCCCUCUGAUUUUUCUCCAAAACAAAUUCAGUUCAAAACAAUAAUUAAAUAGCCACAUUUUGUUCGUCAAAAUAAAUGCCCAAAUUUUCAAUUAACAAAUCAUCUUCUCUAAACUAAAAAUCCCACAUCUCUAAAAUCAAUCUACAUAAUGUUGGAGAUGAGGGGUGAAUUGUUAACUCAGUAAAAAAAACUCAUGCAUAAUAUUACUAAUAAUAUAAAAUAUAUAUUAAUCAUUAUAAAGAAUCAUAAUUAGAAAAAUUAAUCAUUUUAUAAUUUAUUACACAAGUAAGAUAAAUCUCAUAAUAAGUUAUAACAUAAAAAAAACGUUAUCAAUAUAUAAUCAUUUAAGAAGUCAUUUAACAAUAAAAUCGUUCUUUAAUCAGUUGGUCAUGUCACAUAGUGUCAUCUAUAUUUACGGUGAUAAUAUUAUUACUCAGUAUUAUCAAAAAACAUGAUUUAACAUUUAGAGGAAAUUCUUGCCUUUUAAAAAAAACAUGUAUGCAACAACUACCCAUGCUUUAUCUUACCAUGACAAAUAUUUUCUCAAUGAAAGAAAAUUUUUUAAAAAUUGAUUUAAUGCACAAAUAUGAUGAUUUUUCCAAAAAUUAGUUUUGGAAAACAUAGUGAGAGAAAAUAGUGACGAUUAUUGUUUAGAUGUAUAAAUAGCCUAAACAUAAUCCUUAAUACCAAUAUCCUAAUGCAUCUUAUCAUCUUUCAUGAUAUUCUUUCAUUUAUGUCCAUUGGUUCAAGAUUUGAAUUUGAUCAUUAAAUCAUGUUCAAUAAUAUUAGAGAUUCUAACAAAUGAGUACCAACUUAAAUCCCAAUGUUAUGUGUCAUUGACCAAUUUUGUGUCAUUUUGUUAUUAACUAGGUGAUGAAUUUGUAGUUGAUAAAAUCACUUAAAAAUAUCUUAAAAAUCAAACAAUAGUUUGCUUAAUUUUUCCAAGUUAACUGCUCAAGAUGCUCUAUUAUAAAUAAUAACCUAAUUAUAUUCAUAAAAAAUGAUAUUUUUUUUGUGGUGUUGAUAAUGAGAUUAUCAUUCAACAUUUUAAAAUGUGAAAACAUAUGGAAGAUGGUUGUAAAUUGAUUGAAUGAAAACAUUUCAGUGAAGUCUCAAAAAUUUGGUACUUGUUGUCUUAUCGAAAGUUUUCUAAAUUAUAUUCGUGGCACAGCCACUAUCCAAACCAUACAAGUCCAAAGCUAUCCAAACCAUACCUGCAAGUCCGGGGCUUAAAUGGAGUACUUCUAAGCAAAAAAACAUUGACUAAAAUAGAAUAUAUACAUACAGACACACAUACAUACCAGCAUAUUCAAAAUAGCAAAAGGAGUGCAAAAGUUCAAGUUUGUAGACAACAUUGCAACCAUAGCAUGUUUAUAGCAAAUCCUCAAAAUCUGCUAAAUAAAACAAUGCCCUGUCUCAUGAAUCAAUGCUGAAUUAAAAUUGAAACUGAAAGUCUGGAUGGUUUUGUUUGUUGAGAAUGUCAAAUAAAACGGCAUUGAAGGAAGUUUUCAAAGGCAGAAUCCGCACUUGUCAAAGGGAUGAUCUGCACUUGUCAAAGACACUAUCCGCGCCGAACGGAUCGACACAUUUCCUUCCGUAUUCACAUAUGUAAUCUUUGAAAAAAUAUAGCUUCUGCAUCUAUAAAUAACGCUCAGUGUAUAAUGUUUUAUUCAAGAAAUAAAAACAAGUUUCUACAUGGUAUCAGAGCCAUGAAUGCGCUCAAGUUUCUUCAAGUUUCGCUGCUCUGUUUGUCACAAAAACAGAGGAAACCAAUUAAAUUCGUCCCACAACCAUUUUUUCCACCAUUUUCUUCCUUAAAAUCAUUCCUAACAUUACAGAAAUCCAUGCCGAUCAAAAAACAUGAAAGACAAAUUACACAUGUGCAGUAACCAAUGAUCAUAUUUCGUUACUGUCAAACACAAUGCAUCUGAGCAAAACAUUGGAAGCCAACACCAGAAUACAUAUGAAUAAACAAUUAAAGAUAGAGAAAAAAGGCUUAAACCUUGGGGGGAAAAAGUGAAAAAACAUGAAAGACAAAUUACACAUGUGCAGUAGCCAUCGAACUUAUCAGUGACAGCUGCAUCCAUUACAUUGCUCCAACAACACAAUGGCAAACCACCAGUUUCAAAUUGAGGAUAGCUAUCGAGAAUGAGAAAGUGUCCAAAACGUCAUAAAUAGACAUGUUCCGAUUGUGCAUAAUUUACAUUAUAGGCAAAUAUUCUUAUACCAUCAAAGGCAAAACAUGACACUAACAAUUGAUCACCCCCCCCCCCCCCCCCCCAACAACAAAAAAAAGGAAAAAAACAAUACAGAAAAGAUUGAAACAGAUAAGGCUACACUGAGCACAGGAUGCCAUGAAACAUAAUCCAGGAACCAAAUUAAUAAAAAAGGAAGCCAAACCAUUAUUUAACAAUCUGUUUUGUAUUUGGGAAAGUCUGAUAAAAUCUACUUGGGGAUAAUUAGAGAACCUCAACUAUUAAUCACACCUCAUAAAUGAACUAACAUUAAACAUCUACCAUCCCAACGUCACACAAACAUUCUCUACACUUCUGAACCUAAUACUUCCAUCUUCAAUUGGGGUUUUUUUUUCUUUUUCUUUGGGGGGGGGGGGGGGGGGGAUUGAAAUGCUGAUUUCGAAUCACUAACAGUAAAAUUGGAAGCUCAUGAAAAAAUAGUUUUAUCUCAAAAUUACAUCUCGAUAUAAAUUCUCUUUUCAUUUCCUUCAACUUUCUAAUUAAGCUUAAAAAAUGUACCUUCAACCACAAAGGGGUUUAAAAUUUAAAAUAUAAAAAAUAAAUUCAGAUAACAAUAAUUAAUUUAAUUAAAAAUAUAAAUAGAGUUACAGAGAAAGAGAAAAUAGAGAAAGACGUAAUGUUGAGUCCUUUGGCGCAAGUCUCUUCAUAGGUCCGAACCAUUUCUUCGGGCGUGGGUUUCGGGUCUUUAGGAUACUCCAUAGUGAUAAGCCAGUGAUUGUAAUCGCAACCCUCGAACAGAAUCGUGUCGGGUGUGAUCUCGUCGCCGUCCUUAUACAAGUGGUACGUCUUGUUAACCGACGGCGUAGACGAGAGGGAGAUCGUCGGGGACGAUCUGAACGGCCGAGAUUGGAUAAUGAUGGAGGAGGAGAAGAUUAGCGAUGACGACGCCGAUGAAAUGGAAGGGUUUACCAGAGGAGUGGAUGCGAAGAAUGCAGGGACGGCCGCAAAGAGAGAGCGGCGGAGAGCGGCGACGGACGGUAGUGACCAGCGGAGGCGGAAAAUGGCGGUAUGGGCCAUUGCUUGCGCGUCGGUGAGUGUCUCGAGUGAGAGAGUGAAGGGUUUUGGGAAAUGAAAAAUGCAAAUGUUUGAUUUUGUUGCUAGAAACUUCUUCUGCCGCUGCCUUUUAUUUUCGCUAUAAUAAUAAUAAUUUGUUAAUCAAAUAUUUUCUUAAAAAAGAUAAAUUUCUACAACAAAAUUUAUAUUAAAUCAAAUUGUAAAAAUGUCUAUUAGGGUUAAUUUCUCCUUAAUAUUAUUAUUAGUAGAUGUAGAUUUUCGAAUUAGUCUUGAUAUAUUUCAGAGUUGUAUUAUAAAUGUAUAUGUAUCUGGAUUGCAAUUAUAUUUUUAAAAAAUAUAAUUUUUUUAAUUAUUGCACAAUAAAUGUAAAUAGUAUCUAUAAAAUAAUAUUAUUAGGACUACGAAAAAAAUAUUAUUUUAGAGAAGUUAUUUAUUUAUUAUUGAAUGAAUAAAAAAAUUAGUUUGGCAUUUUUAUAACCUCCUUGAAGGUUUUACGAUAAACAUAAAUCUACUGAGAAAGUGGGAAAAAAAAAAGAAAAUGCAUAUAAAAGUAUGAGUUAUCAGAUAAGAUUAAAACUCACCCAAUUCAAUCCAUCAGAUUCCGUAAGGAUAUAACUGGAUGUCAUACCGCCACUCCAUAUCCUCGAAAGUCCGUAGUCCUUGUCUCAACUGUGUCUGAGGCCAGUGUAAGUCCAAUUUGCGCAAGCUCUUUAUGCACCACAGCUCUUCUGGAAGCUUUCUCAAGUAAGCACAUGGGUUGACAAUUAAGCUUUCAAGUUUCGGCAUUGCUCCAGCCCCCAUCGUCCACUCAUCUAGCCAAUACAUUGAUUUCAGGUGCAAAACCUUAAGUUCGGGAAAGCUACUCAAGCCAACACAAGCAAGCUUUCUUCCUAAAUACGAGUUCUGCUUCAGUUUCAGCACUCGAAGGCGUGGAAGAUUUUCCAGAAUUGGCAUGGGAUCCUCCAUUAGCUCAGUAUUUGAUAAGCUCAGUUGGAUCAGACUUGGGGGAAAUUGGUAUUCAGACAGGACCAUCCGUGAGGGCUUGCUCUCAUUCACCAGCUUCAAGCAUUCAAGUUUGUGGAGUUCGCAAAGGCUUUUGGAAACCCCAGAUUGAUAGUAACUCAAAUCUCCAGAUAUCCGAAGAGUCUGAACACUAGGUAGUCUGCCCAAUAUAUCAGGAGUACAACUGCUACGGUUUAAAGCUGAUAUGAAAAUGAGAUUUUUCAGAGAGCUAGAAUAAUUUUUUGGAGGUGCGGGCAGAGUGAUAGAACCAAAGUUUAGAUGCAUGAGUUUUUGCAUCAUCCAAAUAUCCUCUGGUGACUGAUCUAUGUAGCUAAAUGGCAUUUCUAGUGUUUCAAGGUUUAAAAGGGUGCAUAGCAGUGAAGGAAGACAUUUGAGCGAAGGGAUAUUCAAUUUCAAAUACUUCAAAAGAUAUAAAUUUUCUAAUCCGGGCGGAUAUUGGUCCAGGACUGCAGAACCCAUGUUCAAUACCCGAAGGUGUUUGAACUUUUUACAAAAAUUCUCGCAAUCUAUCAGAGCGAGACGAUCGCUUUCUGAACUGUGAUUCAGAAAAGAUUGGAGACGCAUGUCAGAAUAUUCUAAAGGAAAGAAGUCAAUCAGACGUUCCACAAUGAAGCACCGUUUAACAUUUGCCACUGAUUCCUCUUCCAUGUCAGGCGUCCAGACAAAUCCCGCCUUCUUUGCCAGAAAAUACAAUGAAGUGUAUACAAAACUUGGAACAUAACACGCUUUAAUUGUGCCGCCGGCGCUUCUCUUACUCACUUGAAUGAAGCCGCGAUGGAUUAGUUCUUUCAAGAAAUGGUCGGCAGUUUCUUCACCGUUGUAUGGUACGAAACCUUCAGCUACCCACAACUGAUGUAAUUGCCUCCUGGAUAUCUCAAUACUUGGAGGGAAGACACACAAAUAGAUGAAGCAGACUUUCAAAUGAAAAGGUAACUCCAUCACAGAAAAAAUUUGUCUCCAAACUGUCGGAAUCGCUUCGCCUUGAAGAUAAUUUUCUAAUGGCAUACUUCCAUAGUGUAGGAUGAAAAAUUGCCAGGCUUCAUGCUUUAAUCUGAUCAAUGGUCCUCCAAAGAGCACUGAAUCACGCCGAAUCUUCUCUCCGUUUUCCAUUUCCAACGACGCAAGGAGGUCUGGAUUAGUGACUGUUAUCAAUACUCUGCUUCCAUUCUGCUUAUCAGGAAGAACUUCUUCAAGAUCAUCCCAUAUGUCACUGUCAUUGAAGACAUCAUCAAGCACAAUAAAGUACUUCUUGUUUGUCAGGUAAUCUCGAAGAAUAGAUUUCUUCAAGCGAUAAUCUUCACUGAUAAUUACCCUAGCCCGAGAUGGAGGCAUCAAAGAAUUGAUUAUGUCAUCCAAUAUCUUGCCAAAAUCGUAGGCUAUAGAAACCCUGACCCAAGAAAGACAGUCAAAAUAGAACUUGACAUGGUUAUUAUUGUAAGUAUCUGCAGCAAAAGCAGUCUUAUCGAAGCCACUGCUGUCGAGAAUUGCAACCACUGAAAGCCCAGAUGGUCCCUCAAUCAAUAGAUCAAAAAACUUCUCUCUGCCCCUUUCAAAUUCACUGAUAUCGAGCCGAGGUUGUCCCUCAUUCAAUAGGCGAAUGAUUUCGUUACUUUUUUCACUGAUAUCAAAACCAUUGUCGCCGGGUGGAAGUUGUUGCAUCCGAUUUCUAAUAUCAAUGAUUUUAGUGUGGAGUCCAACAAGAAGAGCCAUAUCAGUACUGCUUUCACUUUCGUUUUCACUGUUUUGCUGCUGCAUUAUGUUGAUGAAGAAUCUGUCAAUGGCUUCCUCAGAUUCAUGGACAACGGGAUUGAUGUCCUCCAGAAUUUCCAAAAUAUCUGCUGUUUCAACGUCUUCUUUAUCGCUUUCUUCUAAGUCCAACAGUUGCAAAAAAGGCAAUGAUAUUUUGGAGUCAUCGAAUUCUUCUCUAAUGAGUUGAAACAAAUGCCGAGCCAUGUCAGCUUCAUAUUUUCCCAGCAGAGUAGUAGCAAUAAUUUCGGACUCCGUAAGAAGGUUUUGAAAAAGUGGAGUUAAAUUUGUUGAAUCAGGCAAAGUUAACGUGCCUUCUUCACCUGCUAACACCCUUUUCAACCUCACACAAAACAGUCGGAGGUGGAGUUCCAGCAUAUCUCCUUCUCUCCGCAGCACUCAGAGGUAUAGUUGAAAGAUUAAACACCAUGGAAGAAUUUGAAAGGAAUAUGCCAAGAAACUGUGUAAGUGGCUAAAUUCCACAAAUGCGGCAUUAUUGCUCAUUUUUAACUCAAAAAAUUGAUACGCGUUCAUUUAGAGAAAAGUCCAAGACGCGUGCCUUUUGAAAAGAACAGGUAUCCCAAUCGGUAUCCAACCUCUAUCUUAUUUAAUUACUAUCAUGACAUAAUUGAUGGUGCUUAAAUCAAUUGUUUCUUUUUUAAUUUAAAGAAUUUUUCAUUAAAAAAAUAUUUUAAUAUCAAAUUGCCUUCAGUGGCGUAACUGCCUCAAGCCCAGUAACAGGACUAAUUAAAGAUUUUACAAUUUUUGGGCAUGGAAAUAGUAGUAUUAAAUAUUAGAAAGGUGAGGUUGUUCUGUUAAAGAAUUGAUCUUGACAUAAUUUUAUUUUGGUUUUCGUGGAAAAAUAAAAUUUGUUGACAAGCAAGAAAAUAUUUUUAUAUUUUAAAAUUUAUUAUGCAUAUUUUAUCAUAUUAAAGUAGUUUUAAUAAUAAAUAGAAACAUAAUAUUACGAUAAAUAAAUUAAAAUUUAACUUAUUUUGAAUAUUAUAAAAAAAAUUUUAAUAUUAUUAAUAGGAAGACAUUGUAUUAAUUUUAAAAUUUUUUAACCCAAAGGUUUAUUUAAAAUCUUUAUUAUAAAUACAAAUAUAAAAUUAAAUAUCAUAAUUUAAAAAUUUUAAUAUUAUUUUAAGUAUUAAAAAUAUUUUAAUGUUAUUAGUCUACUACAUAGAUCAUAUUACUUAUAUAAUAUUUGUAUUAUUAAAAAUUCUUAAAAUCAAAUUUUUAGUUAGUAUAUUCAUGAGGUAUUAUGGUUAAAAAAAAAAAAGACCUUAUUAUUACUUUUUAAAAAAUUGAGGGUCUGCGUGAUAAUUUUUUCAAAAAGAAAAUGCUUGGUAUGUAGGAGGGGUAGAGAAACAGGACUCCCAAAAUCUCUCACCCUUCUUUAAUUAAAAAUAAAUAAAAUAUUAAUAAAAAAUAAUAAAGAAAAUAGAAUUUUAUCUGCUCCUUACUCCAUUUUUGUAACUCUCUCACCAUCUCUGUCGAGCAGCCCUCUCUUUCGUUGUCUCUCACUAUUUCACGAUCUCUCUCUCACUCACACAGUCCUUUAAAAAAGCCCAAAAUAGGCCCAAUAAGCCCAUAAUUAAAAUAAUCGAAUCGAAUUAUUUUAAUUAAUCGAGUAUUUGAUUAUUUCGGUAAUUUAAUUAAUCGCAAUUAUGAUUUUAAAAUAAUCGUAAUCGAACGAUUAUGAAAAAUUUAGUAAAAAAACCGAACUGAACCGAACCGCACCCACCCCUACAUAAAAGAACAUCAAUUACUUGUCAUUUUCAAUUUUUUCUAUAAGCUAUUUAUUUUGAGCAUUAGUGAUCUUGUCUGGACUACUCCAAUUAUUGACGUAACUCCAGUGGCUGCAUCCACUGGAAAAAGUGGAUGAUAACAUUUUUUUUUUUUUCAUAAAGGUAACUACUCCAAUUAUUGACAUAAUUGAUGGUGCUUAAAUCAAUUUUUUUUUUAAUUUAAAGAAUUUUGCUUUAAAAAAUAAUUAAUAUCAAAAUGCCUUCAAUGUUGUUACCGCCACAAGCCCAGUUAGAGGACUCAUUAAAACUUUUAGAAUUUUUAGGCCUGGAAAGCAUAGUAUUAAACAUCAGAAAGCAAAGGUUGUUAUGUCGAAGAAUUGAUGUCGACAAAAUUUUAUUUUAGUUUUCGGAAAAAAAAAAUUUGUUGACAAGCAAGAAAAUAUUUUUUAUACUUUACAAUCUGCUAUACAUAUUUUAUCAUAUUAAAGUAAUUUUAAUAAUAUAUGGAAACAUAAUAUUAUAAUAAAUAAAUUAAAAUUAAAAUUACUUUGAAUUAUUAAAUAUUACAAAAAGAUAAUUUUAAUAUUAUUAAUAGGAAAACAUUUUUAAUUGUAAAAUCUUUUUAAUACAAAAAUUCAUUUAAAAUCUUUAUAAUAAAUACAAAUAUAAAAUUAAAAAUAUCAUAAUUUAAAAUUUUUAAUAUUAUUUUAAUAUUAAAAAUACUUUAAUAUUAUUAGUCUACUACAUAAAAUAUAUUAUUUAUAUUAUAUUCGUAUUGAUUAAAACGUUUUAAAGUCAAAUUUUUAAUUAUUGUAUUCAAAGGUACAAAAGAUUUUAGUAUUAUUUUUUAAAAAUUUUAGGAUAUGAAUGAUAAUUUUUUCGAAUUUUAAAGAUGUAAGAAUCUUUUUUUCUAAUAAUUUAUUUCACUUUUGAGAGAAUCCGAAAACGUUAAUUUAACAUUCUUUACCUUUGUGAAAAAAGUGAAAAUCAAGAACUAUUCAAUUUUGUUUUUAUUUGUAAUUCAAAAACUUUAUUCAUUUUCGAUGCUUUUCGAAAGAGAUUCCGUUAAAUCCUUUUGGUGUCGGCAGCUCCUGCUAUUCUCAUAAAUCUCCAUUCCACAUCUACACUAUCAAACAAGUUGAUGGAAAUUCUUAUAAAAAAAAAACAAGUCGAUGGAAAUUGAUCAAUUACUUUUUGAAGUGGACCCAUUGAGUCAUGUUCAUUUCUGGUCAUUGUCUACUCUUUCCAUCAGCCAUUUAUUUUGACCAUUUGCGAUCUUAAAGGAUAUGAGAACGUAGCUGAAGUGCUGAAGGGGCUAUUAAAGAAGAGUGUCACUUGAUCACAAUCACAUUGAUGCACAACUCACUCGUGGCAAAUUUCGACUAUACGUUCUGCAAAUUCAGCCAAACCAUACGUGCAUGAACAAAACUAAAAUGUAGUUCUAAUCACAACUCCAGUUAUGAUGUUUACCCCUCUGAUUUUUCUCCAAAACAAAUUCAGUUCAAAACAAUAAUCAAAAUAGCCACAUUUUGUUCGUCAAAAUAAAUGCCCAAAUUUUCAAUUAACAAAUCAUCUUCUCUAAACUAAAAAUCCCACAUCUCUAAAAUCAAUCUACAUAAUGUUGGAGAUGAGGGGUGAAUUGUUAACUCAGUAAAAAAAACUCAUGCAUAAUAUUACUAAUAAUAUAAAAUAUAUAUUAAUCAUUAUAAAGAAUCAUAAUUAGAAAAAUUAAUCAUUUUAUAAUUUAUUACACAAGUAAGAUAAAUCUCAUAAUAAGUUAUAACAUAAAAAAAACGUUAUCAAUAUAUAAUCAUUUAAGAAGUCAUUUAACAAUAAAAUCGUUCUUUAAUCAGUUGGUCAUGUCACAUAGUGUCAUCUAUAUUUACGGUGAUAAUAUUAUUACUCAGUAUUAUCAAAAAACAUGAUUUAACAUUUAGAGGAAAUUCUUGCCUUUUAAAAAAAAACAUGUAUGCAACAGCUACCCAUGCUUUAUCUUACCAUGACAAAUAUUUUCUCAAUGAAAGAAAAUUUUUUAAAAAUUGAUUUAAUGCACAAAUAUGAUGAUUUUUCCAAAAAUUAGUUUUGGAAAACAUAGUGAGAGAAAAUAGUGACGAUUAUUGUUUAGAUGUAUAAAUAGCCUAAACAUAAUCCUUAAUACCAAUAUCCUAAUGCAUCUUAUCAUCUUUCAUGAUAUUCUUUCAUUUAUGUCCAUUGGUUCAAGAUUUGAAUUUGAUCAUUAAAUCAUGUUCAAUAAUAUUAGAGAUUCUAACAAAUGAGUACCAACUUAAAUCCCAAUGUUAUGUGUCAUUGACCAAUUUUGUGUCAUUUUGUUAUUAACUAGGUGAUGAAUUUGUAGUUGAUAAAAUCACUUAAAAAUAUCUUAAAAAUCAAACAAUAGUUUGCUUAAUUUUUCCAAGUUAACUGCUCAAGAUGCUCUAUUAUAAAUAAUAACCUAAUUAUAUUCAUAAAAAAUGAUAUUUUUUUUGUGGUGUUGAUAAUGAGAUUAUCAUUCAACAUUUUAAAAUGUGAAAACAUAUGGAAGAUGGUUGUAAAUUGAUUGAAUGAAAACAUUUCAGUGAAGUCUCAAAAAUUUGGUACUUGUUGUCUUAUCGAAAGUUUUCUAAAUUAUAUUCGUGGCACAGCCACUAUCCAAACCAUACAAGUCCAAAGCUAUCCAAACCAUACCUGCAAGUCCGGGGCUUAAAUGGAGUACUUCUAAGCAAAAAAACAUUGACUAAAAUAGAAUAUAUACAUACAGACACACAUACAUACCAGCAUAUUCAAAAUAGCAAAAGGAGUGCAAAAGUUCAAGUUUGUAGACAACAUUGCAACCAUAGCAUGUUUAUAGCAAAUCCUCAAAAUCUGCUAAAUAAAACAAUGCCCUGUCUCAUGAAUCAAUGCUGAAUUAAAAUUGAAACUGAAAGUCUGGAUGGUUUUGUUUGUUGAGAAUGUCAAAUAAAACGGCAUUGAAGGAAGUUUUCAAAGGCAGAAUCCGCACUUGUCAAAGGGAUGACCUGCACUUGUCAAAGACACGAUCCGCGCCGAACGGAUCGACACAUUUCCUUCCGUAUUCACAUAUGUAAACUUUGAAAAAAUAUAGCUUCUGCAUCUAUAAAUAACGCUCAGUGUAUAAUGUUUUAUUCAAGAAAUAAAAACAAGUUUCUACAUGGUAUCAGAGCCAUGAAUGCGCUCAAGUUUCUUCAAGUUUCGCUGCUCUGUUUGUCACAAAAACAGAGGAAACCAAUUAAAUUCGUCCCACAACCAUUUUUUCCACCAUUUUCUUCCUUAAAAUCAUUCCUAACAUUACAGAAAUCCAUGCCGAUCAAAAACAUGAAAGACAAAUUACACAUGUGCAGUAACCAAUGAUCAUAUUUUGUUACUGUCAAACACAAUGCAUCUGAGCAAAACAUUGGAAGCCAACACCAGAAUACAUAUGAAUAAACAAUUAAAGAUAGAGAAAAAAGGCUUAAACCUUGGGGGAAAAAGUGAAAAAACAUGAAAGACAAAUUACACAUGUGCAGUAACCAUCGAACUUAUCAGUGACAGCUGCAUCUAUUACAUUGCUCCAACAACACAAGGGCAAACCACCAGUUUCAAAUUGAGGAUAGCUAUCGAGAAUGAGAAAGUGUCCAAAACGUCAUAAAUAGACAUGUUCCUAUUGUGCAUAAUUUACAUUAUAGGCAAAUAUUUUUAUACCAUCAAAGGCAAAACAUGACACUAACAAUUGAUCACCCCCCCCCCCCCCCCCCCCAACAACAAAAAAAAGGAAAAAACAAUACAGAAAAGAUUGAAACAGAUAAGGCUACACUGAGCACAGGAUGCCAUGAAACAUAAUCCAGGAACCAAAUUAAUAAAAAAGGAAGCCAAACCAUUAUUUAACAAUCUGUUUUGUAUUUGGGAAAGUCUGAUAAAAUCUACUUGGGGAUAAUUAGAGAACCUCAACUAUUAAUCACACCUCAUAAAUGAACUAACAUUAAACAUCUACCAUCCCAACGUCACACAAACAUUCUCUACACUUCUGAACCUAAUACUUCCAUCUUCAAUUGGGGGUUUUUUUUUUCUUUUUCUUUGGGGGGGGGGGGGGAUUGAAAUGCUGAUUUCGAAUCACUAACAGUAAAAUUGGAAGCUCAUGAAAAAAUAGUUUUAUCUCAAAAUUACAUCUCGAUAUAAAUUCUCUUUUCAUUUCCUUCAACUUUCUAAUUAAGCUUAAAAAAUGUACCUUCAACCACAAAGGGGUUUAAAAUUUAAAAUAUAAAAAAUAAAUUCAGAUAACAAUAAUUAAUUUAAUUAAAAAUAUAAAUAGAGUUACAGAGAAAGAGAAAAUAGAGAAAGACGUAAUGUUGAGUCCUUUGGCGCAAGUCUCUUCAUAGGUCCGAACCAUUUCUUCGGGCGUGGGUUUCGGGUCUUUAGGAUACUCCAUAGUGAUAAGCCAGUGAUUGUAAUCGCAACCCUCGAACAGAAUCGUGUCGGGUGUGAUCUCGUCGCCGUCCUUAUACAAGUGGUACGUCUUGUUAACCGACGGCGUAGACGAGAGGGAGAUCGUCGGGGACGAUCUGAACGGCCGAGAUUGGAUAAUGAUGGAGGAGGAGAAGAUUAGCGAUGACGACGCCGAUGAAAUGGAAGGGUUUACCAGAGGAGUGGAUGCGAAGAAUGCAGGGACGGCCGCAAAGAGAGAGCGGCGGAGAGCGGCGACGGACGGUAGUGACCGGCGGAGAGCGGAAGAUGGCGGUAUGGGCCAUUGCUUGCGCGUCAGUGAGUGUCUCGAGUGAGGAGUGAAGGGUUUUGUACUUUUGUUUAGGGUUUUGGGAAAUGAAAAAUGCAAAUGUUUGAUUUUGUUGCUAGAAACUUCUUCUGCCGCCGCUUUUUAUUUUCGCUAAAUAAUAAUAAUAAUUUGUUAAUAAAAUACUUUCUUAGAAAAGAUAAAUUUAUAGAACAAAAUUUAUAUUAAAUCAAAUUGUAAAAAUGUGGAAUAGGGCUAAUUUCUCCUGAAUAUUAUUAUUAGUAGAAGUAGAUUUUCGAAAUAGUCUUGAUAUAUUUCAAAGUUGUAUUAUAGAUGUACAUGUAUCUGGAUUGUAAUUAUAUUUUAAAAAAUAUACAUUUUUUUUCAUUAUUGCACAAUAAAUGUAGAAAGUGUCUAUAAAAUAAUAUUAUUAGAACUAUGAAAAUAUAUUAUUUUAGAGUAGUUAUUUAUUUAUUUUUGAAUAAAUAAUUUAUUAAUUUAUUAAUUUAUUGAUAAAUUAAUAAAUAUUAAUUUAAAGAGAGAUUUUUUUUUUUGGGGGUUUUUAAGAAGAGUUUUGUUGGUAUAUGUACAAACUUAUAAAGAAAUACAAAAAAUGCUUCCUCAAGUCAAUAGUAUUUACUUUAAUUCAUAAUAGUAUAGUUUAAUCAAGAAACUUAUAAUUAUACUAUAUCUUUCUUUCUUUGUUCUAUUUGGUGGGACAUUGUGAUAAAUCAUUGGAUUAAAAUGCAUUUCUAAAUGAAAACUUGUUAAAACCUAAUUUAUUUGGGAACGACAUUUUAUUUGUCAGUCGUAUUUCUCAACUUCGUAAGUUAUUUCUAAUUUAUCGGUCUCUAUUGGUUCUCUUAAGUACCUAUUUGGCAUGACUUAUUUAAUAGUAAUAAGUGCUUAUUUAAUCUCAUAAGUUUUUUCCCUCUCUGACAAUUGAGUUAGGGGGUCAAACUUGAAAGUAUCUUAAAAUUAGACAACAAUUUAACUAUUUUUUUUUUUUUAGAUAACUGCUAAUAUGCUCUAUUAGACAAUGAUGAGUGAUAACCUAGGUGUUUGCAUUUAAAGGGAUACUUUUUGUGGUGUUGAUAAAGAGGUUAAGUAUGAUUCAACAAUUUAAAAUAUGAAAACAUAUGGAAGACGGCCGCAAUUAAAUUAAUUGUAUGAAAAUAUUUCAAUGAAAUUUUAAAAAUUUAGUAUUUGUUAUCUUAUCGAGAGUUUUUUAAAAUUAUAUUACUACUUGAACUUGACUGCUUUUGUAUUUAAUUCCUACCGUUGCCAUUGCUUCUACUCAAAAGCCAUUUAAGUUUGUGUAAGCUACGUAUAGUUUGAACAACAAUUUACUCAUGAAUUGUUGUUCAUAAUAGCAUCAGUGCAUGCAUCAUUUUAAUGAGAAAGAAUAUUCUAAGAACGAAAUUGAACGUGGGAGGUAUCGGGAAGGAAUUGGAAUGGAAUAAUAUCGAUUCAUAUAGAUACAGAAGAAAAAGUUCUCUAUUGAUUCAAAUGCUGUGCCUAUGGGAUAAGGAUAGAGAAAGAGGAAAAAACCGAAGCCAGAAAUGUACACGCAUGAGGAACUUUUCCUAGAAGAUUGAUAUUUCUUUGACUAGCAAACCAUACAAGUCCAAAGCUAGCCAAACCAUACCUGCAAGUCGGGGGUUUAAAUGGAAUACUUCUAAGCAUAAAACAUUGAUUAAAACAGAAUACACACAUACAUACCAGCAAAUUCAAAAUAGCAAAAGGAGUGCAAAAGUUCAAGUUUGUAGACAACAUUGCAACCAUGGCAUGUUUAUAGCAAAUCCUCGAAAUCUGCUAAAUAAAACAAUGCCCUGUCUCAUGAAUCAAUGCUGAAUUAAAAUUGAAACUGAAAGUCCGGCUGGCGUUGUUUCCCUCUCCAAUUUUGCCUACAUAAGUGAAAAUAAGAAUAAUAAAUGAAAAUCUGCUUUUACGGUUCUUAUUAGAUAGAUAAAAGGGGGAUCUUUCUUUGUUUCUCUGCUGCAAUGUGUGGCUAUCCCACUCUGUUUUGCCACCCAAGCUGAGUCUAUGCUGAGACAUAAUUUUGACAUCAGAAGCAAUCUCAAUUAGUUUGGCACUUUUAAGCAAUCUCAUAUUUUGCUCACUUGAAGGUUUUACGAUAAACAUAAAUCUACAGAGAAAGUGGGAAAAAAAAAAGAAAAUGCAUAUAAAUAUAUGAGUUAUCAGAUAAGAUUAAAACUCACCCAAUUCAAUCCAUCAGAUUCCGUAAGGAUAUAACUGGAUGUCAUACCGCCACUCCAUAUCCUUGAAAGUCCGUAGUGUUUGUCUCAACUCUGUCUGAGGCCAAUGUAAAUUCAAUUUGCGCAAGCUCUUUAUGCACCACAGCUCUUCUGGAAGCUUUCUCAAGUAAGCACAUGGGUUGACAAUUAAGCUUUCAAGUUUCGGCAUUGCUCCAGCCCCCAUCGUCCACUCAUCUAGCCAAUACAUUGAUUUCAGGUGCAAAACCUUAAGUUCCGGAAAGCUACUCAAGCCAACACAAGCAAGCUUUCUUCCUAAAUACGAGUUCUGCUUCAGUUUCAGCACUCGAAGGCGUGGAAGAUUUUCCAGAAUUGGCAUGGGAUCCUCCAUUAGCUCAGUAUUUGAUAAGCUCAGUUGGAUCAGACUUGGGGGAAAUUGGUAUUCAGACAGGACCAUCCGUGAGGGCUUGCUCUCAUUCACCAGCUUCAAGCAUUCAAGUUUGUGGAGUUCGCAAAGGCUUUUGGAAACCGCAGAUUGAUAGUAACUCAAAUCUCCAGAUAUCCGAAGAGUCUGAACACUAGGUAGUCUGCCCAAUAUAUCAGGAGUACAACUACUAGGGUUUAAAGCUGAUAUGAAAAUGAGAUUUUUCAGAGAGCUGGAAUAAUUUUUUGGAGGUGCGGGCAGAGUGAUAGAACCAAAGUUUAGAUGCAUGAGUUUUUGCAUCAUCCAAAUAUCCUCUGGUGACUGAUCUAUGUAGCUAGAUGGCAUUUCUAGUGUUUCAAGGUUUAAAAGGGUGCAUAGCAGCGAAGGAAGGCGUUUGAGCAAAGGGAUAUUCAAUUUCAAAUACUUCAAAAGGAAUAAAUUUUCUAAUCCGGGUGGAAAUUGGUCGAGAACUGCAGAACCGAAGUUCAGUACCCGAAGGUGUUUGAACUUUUUACAAAAAUUCUCGCAAUCUAUCACAGCGAGAUGAUCGCCUUCUAAACUUUGAUUGAUAAAAGAUUGGAGAUAGAUCUCACCAUGUUCUAAAGAAAUGAAGUCAGUCAGAUGUUCCAAAAUGAUGUAGCGUUUAACAUUUGCAAAUGGUUCCGCUUCCAUUCCAGGCAUCCAGAGAAAUUUCGUCUUGUCUGCCACCAAACCCAAUGAAGUAUAUACAAAACUUGGAACAUAGCAAGCUUUAAUUGUGCCGCCGGCUCUUCUCUUACUCACUUGAAUGAAGCCGCGAUGGAUUAGUUCUUUCAAGUAAUGUUCGGCAGUUUCUUCACCGUUGUAUGGUAUGAAACCUUCAGCUACCCACAACUGAUAUAAUUGCUCCGUAGAUAUCUCCAUACUUGGAGGGAAGACCAACAAAUAGAUGCAGCAGACCUUCAAGUGAAAAGGUAACUCCAUCACAGAAAAAAUUUGUCUCCAAACUGUCGGAAUCGCUUCGCCUUGAAGAUAAUUUUCUAAUGGCAUACUUCCAUAGUGUAGGAUGAAAAAUUGCCAGGCUUCAUGCUUUAAUCUUAUCAAUGGUCCUCCAAUGAGCACUGAAUCACGCCGAAUUUCCUCUCCAUUUUCCAUUUCCAACGACACAAGGAGGUCUGGUUCAGUGACUGUUAUCAAUACUCUGCUUCCAUUCUCAUCAUCAGGGAGAACUUCUUCCAGAUCAUCCCAUAUCUCACAGUCAUCGAAGACGUCAUCAAGCACAAUAAAAUACUUCUUGUUUGUUAGGUAAUCUCGAAGAAUAGAUUCCUUGAAUUGAUAAUCUUCACCGAUAAUUACACUAACCCGAGAUGGAGGCAUCACAGACUUGAUUAUGUCAUCCAAUAUCUUGCGAAAAUCGUAGAGUAGAGAAACCCUGACCCAAGCAAGACAGUCAAAAUAGAACUUGACAUAGUUAUUAUUGUAAGUAUCUGCAGCAAAAGCAGUCUUAUCGAAGCCACUGCUGUCGAGAAUUGCAACCACUGAAAGCCCAGAUGGUCCCUCAAUCAAUAGAUCAAACAACUCCUCUCUGCCCCUUUCAAAUUCACUGAUAUCAAGCCGAGGAUGUCCCUCAUUCAAUAGGCGAAUCAUUUCGUUACUUUUUUCACUGAUAUCAAAACCAUUGUCGCCGGGUGGAAGUUGUUGCAUCCGAUUUCUAAUAUCAAUGAUUUCACUGUGGAGUCCAUCAGGAAGAGCCAUAUUAGUGCUGCUUUCACUUUCGUUUUCACUGUUUUGCUGCUGCAUGAUGUUGAUGAAGAAUGUGUCAAUGACUUCCUCAGAGUCACGGACAAAGUUAUUGAUGUCCUUCAGAAUUUCAAAAAUAUCUGCUGUUUCAACGUCUUCUUCAUCGCUUUCUUCUAAGUCCAACAGUUGCAAAAAAGGCAAAGAUAUUUUGGAGUCAUCGAUAUCUUCUCUAAGGAGUUGAAUCAAAUGCCGAGCCAUGUCGGCUUCAUAGUUUCCCAGAAGAGUAGUAGCAAUAAUUUCGGACUCCGUAAGAAGGUUUUGAAAAAGUGGAGUUAAAUUUGUUGAAUCUGGCAGAGGCAACGUGCCUUCUUCACCUGCUAACACCCUUUUCAACCUCUCACAAAACAGUCGGAGGUGGACGUCCAGCAUAUCUCCUUCUCUCUGUAGCACCCAGAGGUAUUGUUUUUUGCUCCAAGAAAUAUUAAAAGGAUUGGUUCUAUCUAAAAGUGGUUACUGGUGUAAAAUUAAACGCCAUGGGAGAAUUUGAAAGGAAGAUGCCAAGGAACUGGCGAAGUGGCUAAAUUCCACAAAUACGGCAUUAUUGCUCAUUUUUAACUCAAAAAAUUGAUACGCCUUCAUUUAGCGAAAAGUCCAAGACGCUUGCCUUUUGAAAAGAAGAGGUAUCCAUAGAUAUCCAACAUUUAUCUUAUUUUAAUUACUACCACGACAUGAUUGAUGGUUGUUAAAUCAAUUGUUUCUUUUUUAAUUUAAAGAAAUUUUCAUUAAAAAAUAGUUUAAUAGACACAUAAUAUUACAAUAAAUAAAGUAAAGUUUAAAUUAUUUUGAAUAUUAUAAAAAAUAAUUUUAAUAUUAUUAAUAGGAAGACAUUUUGUUAAUUUUAAAAUCUUUUUAACCCAAAGGUUUAUUUAAAAUCUUUAUUAUAAAUACAAAUAUAAAAUUAAAUAUCAUAAUUUAAAAUUUUUAAUAUUAUUUUAAGUAUUAAAAAUAUUUUAAUGUUAUUAGUCUACUACAUAGAUUUUAUUAUUUAUAUUAUAUCUGUAUUGAUUAAAAUUUUUUAAAGUCAAUUUUUUAGUCAAUAUAUUCAAGAGGUAUUAUAGUUAAAGAAAAGAUUUUGGUGUUAUUUUUUGAAAAUUUUAAGGUUUAAAUGAUUUUUUUUUUAAUUUUAAGGAUGUGGGUAUUAUUUUUCCGACAAUUUAUUUUAUUUUUGGGGAAUCCGAUGAGAAAUAUCAUGAGAGAAGGUUAAUUUUACAUUCUUUACCUUUAUGAAAAAAGUGGAAACCAAGAACUAUUCAAUUUUGUAUUUUUUGUUUGUAAUUCAAAAAAUGCAUCCACCAAACAAGCUUAUCUUGAUUUUCCCACUUUAUUCAUUUUCGAUCCUUUAAUCCAUCUAGCAUCUGCAGCCCCCGCUAUUUUCACAAAGAGUAAUGAUACAGCCACAAAUUCUUGUACAAAUUUAUUUUGUAUAAACUGACGUGGCAUGAUAAGAUUGGUUGAAUUAAAUAUCACUUGGCCCACAUGAUUUGUUUUUAUUAUUUUAUAUUUUUAUUCAACCAAUGAAUUAAUGCCACGUCAGUUUGUACAAAAUAAAUUUGUACAAGAGUUUGUGGCUGUAUCAUUACUCUGUCAAGAAUCUCCAUCCCACAGCUACACUAUCAAACAAGUUGAUGGAAAUUGAACAAUUGCUUUUUGAAGUGGACCCAUUAGGUUAUGUUCAUUACUGGUCAUUGUCUAUUCUUUCUAAGAGCCACUUAUUUUGAGCAUUAGCGAUCCUAUCUGGACUACUCCAAUUAUUGAUGUAACUCCAAUGGUUGCAUCAACAGUUGAAUGUAAGAUAGUGUCAGUUCUUUUUUGAGAAUAUAGAGGGAUCUUUAUUUGUUUCUCCGUUGCAGCGUAUUAGUAUAAAUUUCUUGACCUUACAGUUCCUACAGUCUUCCUGUUAAUGAAUUCGCUGAGGCAUUAUUGAUCCAAUCUCAGUGAAGUAAUUGUGGGUGAAAAAAAAAUAAAGGAUAAGAGAACGUAGCUCAAGUGCUGAAUUGACUAUUAAAGAAGAGCGUCACCUGAUCACAAUCACAUUGAUGCACAACUCACUCGAGGCAAAUUUCAUCUAUAUAUACUGCAAAUUCAGCCAAGCCAUGCAUGCAUGAACAAAACUAAAAUGAAGUUCAUAAUCACAACUGUAAUUAGAGCUACAAAAGGUGGCAAACCAUACAUGCAUGAACAAAAUUAGACAUAAAUUGAAGCCACAACAUUAAUUGAAGCCACAAAAGCCAGCAAAUCCAAAUGAAAACUUAAAAGGAAGAUCUUAUCGAAGUUUGUCCCCAAAAGACAGCGGAAAUGAAAAAUAUUGACUAUCGAGUGGAUCAAUGCUGAAUUACAUUUGACCUGGAAAGCUUGGCUGCAGUUGCGAUGUUCCCCCUCUGAUUUUCCCUAAAACAAAUUCAGUUGUAAACAAUAACUGGAGUAGCAACAAUUUAUUCAUUAUAGAAAAUACCUAAAUUUUCAACUAUCAAAUCCUCUUGUCUAAACUAAAAAACUCAUAUCUCUAAAAUCUAUAUACAAAAUGUCAUAAAUGAGGGUGAUCUCUCAAUUCGGUAAACAAAUUCAUGCAUAAUAUUACCAAUAAUGAUAAAUUACAUAAUAAUUAUUAUAAAGAAUCAUAAAUUGGAAACAUUAAUCAUUUUAAAAUCUAUUACAUAAUAAAAAUAAAUCUUAUAAUAAGUUACGUUAGAACAUAACAAAUAUUUAAAAUGAUAUAUAUAAUUAUUUAAGAAGUCUUUUAACAAUAAUUUUUUUUUUCUUUUUCAGUUGAUCAUGUCAUAGCGUUAUCUAAAAUGCUAGCGAUAUCAUUAUUCCCCACUUUUCUCAAAAAAAAGAAAAAGAUAAAGAAAAAAGAAAUAUGAUUAACGUUUGGAGAAAAGUCAUGCCUUUUAAAAAGAAUAUGUAUACAAUACCAAUUCAUACUUUAUCUUACCAUAAAAAAAUUGUUUAAAAUAGAUUUAAUGCACAAAUAUGAUGACUUUUGGCAGAAAUGAGUUUCGGAAAUAUUGGGAUGAAAACCAUAUUGGUUCAGACUUAAAAUUACUUAAUAAAAUUACUUAACUACCAUUUAAUAAAUAAAAAUCAUAUUAGUUGAAAGUUAAAUUAAGAUUUAAAUGUUGAGAUAUCUAACGUUACUCAAUCAGAAUAAACAAUAAUCAAUUCAAAUUAUGACUAUCAUGUAGAAGCAAAUGUUUAUGCUUGGGUCUUUUACUUCUUGAAUUUGAUUGGAAAAAUUUCUGAGACAGGGAAGUGAGUGUUUUGGAUAAUAUUUUUCGGGAUUGAAACCACAAGUUGGUCGAGGAAAAUAAUUUUGGACAAAUUUUUAUUAUAUUGUAGAACCUUUUUGGUUCCUUUUGUGUCGGCAGCCCCUCACUAUUCUCUUAACCCUGAGUUUUGAGAUAGAAAUUUCCCGAACUCCAACCCCACAUCCACAGACAAGUUGAUUGAAACAAUUGCUCUUGUAAUUAAGAGGAUGAGUUAGGGUUCAGUUCUUAUCAUUGUCUGUUAUUUCUUUGAAUCAUUAUCUUAGUUAAUUACAUCAAUUGUUUCUUUUCUUAAUUUAAAGAAUUUUUCUUUUAAAAAAAUAUUUUAAUAUCAAAAUGCGUUAAAUGGUAUUACUGCCGCAAUCCCAGUAACAGGAUUAAUUAAAAAAAUAUUCUUAGGAAGAUAUUUUGUUUAUUGUAAAAUCUUUUUAACCCAAAGGUUUAUUUAAAAUCGUUAUAAUAAAUAAAAAUAUAAAAAAAAAUAAAUAUCAUAAUUUAAAAUUUUAAUAUUAUUUUAAAUAUUAAAAAUACUUUAAUGCUAUUAGUCUACUACACAGGUUAUAUUACUUAUAUUAUAUUUGUAUAAAUUAAAACUUUUAAAGUUAAAUUUUUAAUUACUAUAUUGAAAAGGUAUUAUGGUUAAAAAAAGUUUUGGCAUUUGUUUUUUGAAAAUUUGAGGGUCUGCAUGACAAUUUGUCCAAAUCCUAGAGGUAUAGGUGUCUUUUUUUUUCGAUAAUUCAUUUUACUUUUGAGGGAAUCCGAUGAGAAAUAAGAUAAGAGAAACGUCAAUUUAACGUUCUCUAGGGAAAACCAAGAACUAUUCAAUUUUGUAUUUUUUGUUUGUAAAACAAAAAACAGUUUGCCAAAAAAGGUACCAAACAUAUCCUUAAUGUCUCACAUGAUUUCUUAUUAAGUCCAUACUCGAUAUAUUUAUACAUUUUAGGUAUUUUAGUUAUAAAAGAAGUUGGUCCUCCCUCUGUUUAUAAAAGGUAACUUUAUUUCGAGAUUACCACUAAAGUCUUACAAAGAAUUAGUGUAAUGUUAAGAGAGACUAACACAGUUUUCCAUUACCAUUUUGAAAAUAGAAAGAUAUGGAUGUGUGCAUUUAAUGGUGCGUUUACUUGCCGGAUUGGGGAAUCAGAAUCUGGAAUCAGAAUGAUUGAUGGUGUUUACUUCACAAAUAUGGAGCAGGAAUCGGAAUUGGAAUGGUGGGGCCCACCACUAUUUGGGAAUGGGAGAUUGAUUCCCAUGGGGGAAGGUGGGAAUGAGUCUCUCAUUCCCUGGAUUGACCAUUUUGCCCUCCCUCAAAAUUAAAAAUGCCUACUUUGUCCUCUUUUAUAAUUAAUUAAUAUAAUAUUAUAAUUAAUUAAUUAAUAUAUAAAUAUUUUAUUAACUAUAAUUAUUAAAAAUUAUAGUUCUUGAAUAAAUAAUCACAAUAAUUAAUUUAUUAUUAUUAUUGUUAAUGAAUUAAUAUAAUUAUUACUAUUAAUUAAUAUAUUAAUAUAUUAUUAACAAUAAUAUAUUAAUAAUUAUUGUUCGUGAAUAAAUAAUCACAAUAAUUAAUAUAUUAUUAUUGAAAUUAAUUAAUUAAUAUACUAUUAUAAUAAUUAUUAUAAUUAAUUCAUAUAUUAUUAUUAAUUAAUUAAUAAAAUUAAAAUUAUUAAUUAAAUAAAUAAUAUAAUUAUUACUACUAAUUAAUAUAUUAAUAUAUUAUUAAAAAUAAUUAUUAAUAAUUAUAAUUUUUGAAUAAAUAAUCACAAUAAUUAAUAUAUUAUUUUAAUUAAGUAAUUAAUAUUAAUAUUAUUAGUUAAUAUAUUUUUAUAAUAAUUUUUGAUAUAGUUAUUAUAAUUAAUUAAAAUUUUUUACAAUUAAUUAAUAUAUUAGUUAAUAAUAAUUAUGACAAUAAUUCAUUAAGUACUUUUUAGUAAUUUGUUACAAUCUAAUUCAUUCCGAUUCCGAUUUCAAGACAAAGUAAACACAUUAAUGGCAAUCUAGCUCAUUCCGAUUUCGAUUCUUACAGUUCAAGUAAACAACUUAUUUUGAUUCCCAUUACCUAUUCCCAUUCCAGCCCAUUCUCAUUUCUGCCCAUUUCAAUUCCAGCUCAUUCCGAUUCCAGUUUAGUAAACGCAGCAUAAGAGUUAUCAUGAAAAUCAUACAAUUUAAUUUCCUGAAAUAUAUAUUUUAUUCACAUGUGCCAAAAGAAUAAAUAGAUAGAAAGUAAAUUUACAAUCCUCACUCCCUCAUAAUUGUUAAAGUGAAUAUGCAUUACAACUGUGAACUGUCACUACUUUAGCCCUUUAUUUGUUUUUUCAAUUAUAGUGUGAUGGAGACAGUGAACAUUAAGGAUAAAGUGCUCUGCUGAAAGCCAAACUUCCUUUGGCUAAUUAAUUUAGAAGUAAAGCAGAGAAUAAAGUCCUUGAUGCCUUCUGAAAUUAGAAAUACAUUUUAUAUGCUUUAAUUAUGAUUAUUUGGUAGACUAUUGACCAAAAGACAUGUUAAAGUAUAAAACAGAGCGAUUAAAGAAAAAAAAAAGGAGCGUUUGUGACGUAGAAUAACAAUUUGUAAGCAAAGUCCUAAUUUGAGUUGUCAAAAAGCAAACAUAACAGAGAAGGUAAGAGAGAUGCAAAAACAGAAAACUAUUAGCUUAUCUUGAUUUUCCCACUAUAUUCAUUUUCGAUGCUUUUCAAACGAGAUUCUUUUAAUCCUUCUGGCGUCUGCAGCCCCUGCUCUUCUUAUAAAUCUCCUUCCCACAUCUGCACUACGAACAAGUUGACUAAAAUUAAAUAAUGUUGGAGACGAGGGGUGAGCCGUCAACUUAUUAAAAAAAACUCAUGUAUAAUAUUAUCAAUAAUAUAAAAUAUAUAAUAAUUAUUAUAAAGAAUCAUAAAUUAGAAAAAUUAAUUAUUUUACAAUUUAUUUCUUAAGUAAGAUAAAUCUCGUAAUAAGUUAAGUUUAAUGUAAAAAAUAUUUUCAAUUUAUAAUCAUUUAAGAAGUCAUUUAACAAUAAAAUCUUUUUUUUGAUCAGGUGGCCAUGCCAUAGAGUAUCAUCUAUAUUCGUGGUGAUAUUAUUAUUACUCAAUAUCCUCAAAAGACACUAUUUAACAUUUAGAGAAAAUUUCUGCCUUUUAAAAAGAACAUGUAUGCAAUAGCUAGCCACACUUUAUUUUACCACGACAAAAUUGAUAGUGAUUAAAUCAAUUUUCUCAAUUAAAGAAAUUUUUUUUAAAUUGAUUUAAUGCACAAAUAUGAUGAGUUUUUGCAAAAAUUAGUUUUGGAAAAUAUAGUGAGAGAGAAUGGUGACGAUUAUUUUUCAGAUGUGCAAAUAGCCUAAACAUAAUCUCUAAUACCAAUAUCCUUGUGCAUCUUAACACCUUUCAUGAUAUUCUUUCAUUCAUAACCAUUUGUUCAAUAUUUGAAUUUGAUUAUUAAAUUAUGUUCAAUAAUGUUAGAGACCCCAACAAUUGGGUACCAACUUAAAUCCCAAUGCUAUGUGUCAAUGUAACAUAGCAAAAUCCCAUUAACAAAUGUUGUGUCAUUUAUCAUUAUUGAAUGAAUAAUUCGUUAAUUUAUUGAUAAAUGAAAAUUUAUUAAUUUAAAGAGAGAUUUUUUUUUUUGGUUUUAAGAAGAGUUUUGUUGGUACAUGUACAUACUUAUAAAGGAAAAACUUGUAAUUAUACUAUAUCUUUCUUUCUUUGUUCAGUUUGGUGGGAUAUUGUGAUAAAUCAUUGGAUUAAAAUGCAUUUCUAAAUUGAAACUUGUUAAAAUCUAAUUUAUUUGGGAAACGCAUAUUAUUUGUCAGUCGUACUUCUCAACUUAGCAAGUUAUUUCUAACUUGUCGGUCUCUAUUGGUUCUCUUAAAACUAAUAGUCUCGUAUCUCCCGCAUUUGAUAUCUUGCCAUUACUGUUGGCAUUAACAUGUUACCUGAGAUUGGGAUUCAUUAAAAUCCUCAAUGUAAUCGGUGGAACGAAUGGAUUUCUUCUGUUCACCAAUCCACCAAAAUUUCUGUAAUUAAAUUCAAAAGUCAAGAUCUAUGCUUAUAAUCUAUUCAACAGCUAAUAUUCUAUUUUAUAUUUACUUAAAUAUGAAGAGCUAUGCUUGUAGUUAACUUCAAAUGUGAUCGAAGCAGCCUUACAUCUAUAUAUUACUUAUGCCCAACCUUUUUUUUUGACUUCAUAUACAUUCUUUUCAUGUUAUUUACUCUUUUUUCCCCCUCUCUGACAAUUGAGGUAGGGGGUCAAACUUGAAAGUAUCUUAAAAUCAGACAAUAAUUUUUUUUUUUUAAAGAUAGCUACUAAUAUGCUCUAUUAGACAAUGAUAAGUAAUAACCUAGUUGUUUGCAUUAGAAAUGAUAUUUUUUGUGGUGCUGAUAAAGAGGUUGAUUAUGAUUCAACAAUUUAAAAUAUGAAAACAUGUGGAAGACGGCCGCAAUUAAAUUGAUUGUAUGAAAAUAUUUCAAUGAAAUUUUAAAAGUUUAGUACUUGUUAUCUUAUCGAGAGUUUUUUUAAAUUAUAUUACUACUUGAACUUGACUGCUUUUGUAUUGAAUUCCUACCGUUGCCAUUGCUUCUACUCAAAAGCCAUUUAAGUUUGUGUAAGCUACCUAUAGUUUGAACAACAAUUUACUCAUGAAUUGUUGUUCAUAUUAGCAAUUUGAUUGAAAGUGCGGCUGCACUAAUUUUCUAGAUGAAUUUUUUCCUACAUGCUUGUUCUCGUAUGACCCAAAAUCCUACUACAUCAGUUGUAUUAGAAAUUAAUCAACUGGGUUACAAUUAUGCAUCCCCACCAAUAUUUAAGCAAUUUAAUUACAGAAAUAUUUCUUGAGGAAAGAAACUCAUAUCGCCACUAGGCUUGUAAUGAGGCUCAUUUUUAUGAAUCUGGAUGGCAUUAGAUAUCUCUACGAAUAUUGGUGGGAGUAGAUCGCAGAUCUCUGGGCUAUACUACAAAGUUUAUGUACGUUGACUCUCAAUAAAUACAAACGAUUCUCUGAUAUGAUUCAAACAUCAGUGCAUGCAUCAUUUUAAUGAGAAAGAAUAUUCUAAGAACGAAAUUGAAGGUGCAAUCAGCAGCUAAAAUGAAGCCAGAAAUGUACAUGCAUGAGGAAUUUUUCCUAGAAGAUUGAUAUUUCUUUGACUAGCAAACCAUACAAGUCCAAAGCUAGCCAAACCAUACCUGCAAGGUGGGGGUUUAAAUGGAAUACUUCUAAGCAUAAAACAUUGAUUAAAACAGAAUACACACAUACAUACCAGCAAAUUCAAAAUAGCAAGAGGAGUGCAAAAGUUCAAGUUUGUAGACAACAUUGCAACCAUGGCAAGUUUAUAGCAAAUCCUCGAAAUCUGCUAAAUAAAACAAUGCCCUGUCUCAUGAAUCAAUGCUUAAUUAAAAUUGAAACUGAAAGUCUGGCUGACGUUGUUUCCCUCUCCAAUUUUGCCUACAUAAGUGAAAAUAAGAAUAAUAAAUGAAAAUCUGCUUUUACAGUUCUUAUUAGAUAGAUAUAAAUGGAUCUUUCUUUGUUUCUCUGCUGUAUUUUGUGGCUAUCCCACUCUGUUUUGCCAGUCAAGCUGAGUCUAUGUUGAGACAUAAUUUUGACAUCAGAAGCAAUCUCAAUUAGUUUGGCACUUUUAUGACCUCCUUAAAGGUUUUACAAUAAACAUAAAUCUACUGAGAAAGUGGGAAAAAAAAGAAAAUGCAUAUAAAAAUAUGAGUUAUCAGAUAAGAUUAAAACUCACCCAAUUCAAUCCAUCAGAUUCCGUAAGGAUAUAACUGGAUGUCAUACCGCCACUCCAUAUCCUUGAAAGUCCGUAGUGUUUGUCUCAACUCUGUCUGAGGCCAAUGUAAAUUCAAUUUGCGCAAGCUCUUUAUGCACCACAGCUCUUCUGGAAGCUUUCUCAAGUAAGCACAUGGGUUGACGAUUAAGCUUUCAAGUUUCGGCAUUGCUCCAGCCCCCAUCGUCCACUCAUCUAGCCAAUACAUUGAUUUCAGGUGCAAAACCUUAAGUUCGGGAAAGCUACUCAAGCCAACACAAGCAAGCUUUCUUCCUAAAUACGAGUUCUGCUUCAGUUUCAGCACUCGAAGGCGUGGAAGAUUUUCCAGAAUUGGCAUGGGAUCCUCCAUUAGCUCAGUAUUUGAUAAGCUCAGUUGGAUCAGACUUGGGGGAAAUUGGUAUUCAGACAGGACCAUCCGUGAGGGCUUGCUCUCAUUCACCAGCUUCAAGCAUUCAAGUUUGUGGACUUCGCAAAGGCUUUUGGAAACCCCAGAUUGAUAGUAACUCAAAUCUCCAGAUAUCCGAAGAGUCUGAACACUAGGUAGUCUGCCCAAUAUUUCAGGAGUACAACUACUAGGGUUUAAAGCUGAUAUAAAAAUGAGUUUUUUCAGAGAGCUAGAAUAAUUUUUUGGAGGUGCGGGUAGAGUGAUAGAACCAAAGUUUAGAUGUAUGAGUUUUUGCAUCAUCCAAAUAUCCUCUGGUGACUGAUCUAUGUAGCUAGAUGGCAUUUCUAGUGUUUCAAGGUUUAAAAGGGUGCAUAGCAGUGGAGGAAGGCAUUUGAGCGAAGGGAUAUUCAUUUUCAAAUACUUCAAAAGAUAUAAAUUUUCUAAUCCAGGUGGAAAUUGGUCGAGAACUGCAGAACCGAAGUUCAGUACCCGAAGGUGUUUGAACUUUUUACAAAAAUUCUCGCAAUCUAUCACAGCGAGAUGAUCGCCUUCUGAACUUUGAUUGAUAAAAGAUUGGAGAUAGAUCUCACCAUGUUCUAAAGAAAUGAACUCAGUCAGAUGCUCCAAAAUGAUGUACCGUUUAACAUUUGCAAAUGGUUCCGCUUCCCUGUCAGGCAUCCAGAGAAAUUUCGUCUUGUCUGCCAUCAAACCCAAUGAAGUAUAUACAAAACUUGGAACAUAGCAAGCUGUAAUUGUGCCGCCGGCUCUUCUCUUACUCACAUGAAUGAAGCCGCGAUGGAUUAGCUCUUUUAAGUAAUGUUCGGCAGUUUCCUCACCGUUGUAUGGAAUAAAGCCUUCAGCUAUCCACAACUGACAUAAUUGCCUGGUAGAUAUCUCAAUGCCUGGACGGAAGACACACAAAUAAAGGCAGCAGACUUUCAAGUGAAAAGGUAACUCCAACACAGAACAAAUUCGACUCAAGAGUGUCAAAACCACUUUUUCAUCCAUAUAAUUUACUAAUGGGGCACUUCCAUAGUGUAGGAUGAAAAAUUUCCAGGCUUCAUGCUUUAAUCUGAUCAAUGGUCCUCCAACAGGCACUGAAUAAAGCGGAAUGAUCCCUCCAUGCUCCAAUUCAAAAAAGGUAAGGAGGAAUGGAUCAGUGACCAAUAUCAAUACUCUGCUUCCAUUCUGCUUAUCAGGAAGAACUUCUUCAAGAUCAUCCCAUAUGUCACUGUCAUUGAAGACAUCAUCAAGCACAAUAAAGUACUUCUUGUUUGUCAGGUAAUCUCGAAGAAUAGAUUUCUUCAAGUGAUAAUCUUCACCGAUAAUUACCCUAGCCCGAGAUGGAGGCAUUAAAGAAUUGAUUAUGUCAUCCAAUAUCUUGCCAAAAUAGUAGCCUAUAGAAACCCUUACCCAAGCAAGACAGUCAAAAUAGAACUUGACAUGAUUAUUAUUGUAAAUAUCUGCAGCAAAAACAGUCUUAUGGAAGCCAUUGCUGUCGAGAAUUGCAAUCACUGAAAGCCCAGAUGGUCCCUCAAUCAAUAGAUCAAACAACUCCUCUCUGCCCCUUUCAAAUUCACUGACAUCAAGCCAGUGUUGUCCCUUACUCAAUAGGCGAAUGAUUUUGUUACUUUGUUCAGUGAUAUCAAAACCAUUGUCGCUGGGUGGAAGUUGUUGCAUUCGAUCUCUAAUAUCAAUGAUUUUACUGUGGAGUCCAACAAGAAGAGCCAUAUUAGUACUGCUUUCACUUUCGUUUUCACUGUUUUGCUGCUGCAUGAUGUUGAUGAAGAAUGUGUCAAUCGCUUCAUCAGAUUCAUGGACAAAGUGAUUGAUGUCGUCCAGAAUUUCCAAAAUGUCCCGUCUUUUUACGUCUUCAUCAGUGUCUUCUAAGUCUAACAGUUGCAGACAAAGCCAAGCCAUUUCAGCUCCAUUGAGUUGUUCUCUAAUGAUGCGUCGAAUCACACGACGAGUCAUGUCACCUUCAUAGUUCCCGAGCAGAGUAGUAAUAAUUUCAGUCUCCGUAAAAAGGUUUUGAAAAAGCGGGGCUAAGUUUGUUGAAUCAGGCAACGUUAACGUGCCUUCUUCACCUGCUACCACCCUUUUCAACCUCUCACAAAAUAGUCGGAGGUGGACGUCCAGCAUAUCUCCUUCUCUCUGUGGCACCCAGAGGUAUUGUUAUUUGCUCCAAGAAAUGUUAAAAGGAUUGGUCCUAUCUCAAAGAGGUUAGUGGUGUAAAGUUAAACACAAUGGAAGAAUUUGAAAGGAAUAUACCAAGAAACUGUGUAAGUGGCUAAAUUCCACAAAUAUGGCAUUGUUGCUCAUUUUUAACUCAAAAAAAUACACGUUAAUUUAGCGAAAAGUCCAAGACACGUGCUUUUUGAAAAGAACAGGUAUCCCAAUAGGUAUCCAACCUUUAUCUUAAUCAAUUACUACCAUGACAUACUUGAUGGUGCUUAAAUCAAUUUUUCUUUUCUUAAUGUAAAGAUUUUAUUUUUUUAAAACAGAUUUUAAUAUCAAGAAAAAAUAUCACUCGUAUAUCCUUAAAUGACACUUGUAUCAAACGUACUACAACACUUUUAACAUGUAUCACUUGUAUACCUUAAGUUGACAAAUUGUGUCUACCAUCCACCAAACCGUUAGUUGCCGUUUGCAAGCGCUGACAUCAUAAAGGUAAUCUAGUCUUUUCAAAUGGAAGAAACUUUGAUUAAAAAAACGACAUGUCAUCCCAUUUACCUCGUAAAAAAUGACAUAUCAUAUGAUAUAUAUUGACAAAAAAUGACAUGUCAUCCCAUUUAUCGGAAGAUGAUGUCAUCUAUGUGAAACAACGUUGUUUCAACGGGACUAAAAAAAAAAUGAUACUCCACAACCGAAUCGACUCCUCCAAACUUUAACUUGAAUAUUUGAAGAUCUACUCAUCCAAGCUCCAACUGGAAUUUUUUAUGGUAUAAUAUGUUGUUAAUAAUUUUUUAUGGUAUAAUAUGGAUUAUUUUUUAUGGAUAAUUGUUAAUAAUACGUACCAUUAAUAAUUCAUUUUUUAAUAAAAAAUGUAUUGUUAAUAAAAAAUAAAAAAUAUAUUGAAAAUUUACGUUAAUUUUUUGGGCAAAUAUGUAUUUUUACCUUAUUUUGAGUUUCAAGGGCGAAAUAGUCAAUUUGUCAUAAUUCUGUUAACUUUCUAAUGGUAGCUAACAGUUUGGUGGACAGCAGACACAUUUUGUCAACUUAGGGUGUACGAGUAAUACAUGUUAAAAGUGCUGCAAUACGUUUGAUACAAGUGUCAUUUAAAGGUAUAUGAGUGAUACAUGUUAAAAGAGUUGUAGUACAUUUGAUACAAGUGUCAUUUAAGGGGAUAUAAGUGAUAUUUUCCCUAAUAUCAAAUUGCCUUCGAUGUUUUUACAGCUACAAGCUCAGUAACAGGAUUAAUUAAAAAGUUUAGAAUUGUUGGGCGUGCAAAGAGUAGUUUUAAACACCAGAAAGCAAAGGUUGUUAUUGACAUAAUUUUAUUUUUGUUUUCGAGGGAAUUUGUUUUUUUUGUUGACAAGAAAAUAGUAUUAUAUUUUACAAUCUAUUAUACAUAUUUUAUCAUAUUAAAGUAAUUUUAAUAUUAAAUGGAAACAUUAAAUUUAAAUUAAUUAAUUAAAAAUUGAAUUAUUUUGAAUAUUAUGUAAAAAAUUAUUUUAAUAUCAUUAAUAAGGAGAUAUUUUGUUAAUUGUAAAAUAUUUUUAACCCAAAUAUAUAUUAAAUUUUUUAUAAUAAAUACAAAUACAAAUAUAAAAAUAAAAUAAAUAUCAUAGUUUAAAAUUUUAAUGUUAUUUUAAAUAUUAAAAAUAAUUUAAUGCUAUUAGUCUAUUACACAGGUUAUAUUAUAUUUGCAUUAAUUAAAAGUUUUAAAGUCAAUUUUCCAGUUUCUAUAUUCAAAGGUAUAAUGGUUAAAAGAAAGUUCUUGGUGUUUCUUUUUAAAAAUUUGAGGGUCUUAAUGAUAAUUUUUCUAAAUCGUAAGGGUAUAGGUGUCUUUUUUUCCGAUAAUUUAUUUCACGGGUAUCCAAUAAGAAACAUGGUAAGAGAACGUCAAUUACUUAUCAUUUUCUAUUUUUUCUAUGAGUCAUUUAUUUUGAGCAUUAGUGAUCUUAUCUGGACUACUCCAACUAUUGAUGCAACUCCAGUGGCUGCAUCCACAGUUAAAUAUAUGAUAGUGUUAGCUCUUAUUUGAGAAUUUAGAGGGAUCUUUCUUUGUUUCUCUGUUGCAAUGUGCUAGUAUAAAUUUCUUUACCUUAAAAUUUAUAUAGUCUUGCAGUUAAAGAAUUCACUGAGGCAUUGUUGAUUCAAUUUCAGUGAAGCAAUUGUGGGUGAAAGAUAAAUGAAGGAAAAGAGAACAGAGCUGAAGUGCUAAAUUGGCUAUUGAAGAAGGAUGUCACAUGAUCACAAUCACAUUGAUGCACAACUCUCUGGAGGCAAAGUUUGUCUAUAUGUACUCUGAAUUCAGCCAAGCCAUACAUGCAUGAACAAAAAUUAAACCGUAGUUCUAAUCACAACAGUAAUUGAAGCUACAAAAGCCAGCAAAUCUGAACGAAGACUUAAAAGAAAGAUCUUAUUCAAGUUUGUCCCCAAAAGACAGCUGAAAUGAAAAAUAUUGACUGUUGAAUGGGCCAAUGCUGAAUUACAUUUCAAAUGGAAAGCUUGGCAGCAGUUACAAUGUUUCCCCCUCUGAUUUUCCUCCAAAACAAAUUCAGUUGUAAACAAUAACCGAAGUAGUAAUAAUUUAUUCAUCAAAGAAAAUGCCCCCAAGUUUUCAAUUAAAAAAUCCUCUUGUCCAAACUAAAAGAACUCAUAUCUCUAAAAUUUAUUUGCAAAAUGUUGGAAAUGAGGAGUGAUCCGUUAACUCUGUAAAUAAACUCAUGCAUAAUGUUAACAAUAAUGAUAAAUUACAUAAUAAUUAUUAUAGAGAAUCAUAAAUUGGAAACGCUAAUCAUUCUACUAUUAUAUAAGUAAGAUAAAUAUCAUAAUAAGUUAAGUUAUAAUGUAAUAAAUAUUUGCAAUAUAUAAUUAUUUAAGAAGUCAUUUAACAAUAAAAUAUUUUUUUAUCCAGUUGAUCAUAUAGCGUUAUCUAAACUCUUGACAAUAUUAUUAUUACUCACUUUUCUCAAAAAAACAUGAUUAACUUUUAGAGAAAGUCAUGUCUUUGAGAAAGAAUAUGUAUACAAGCUAUCCAUACUUUAUCUUACUGUGACAAAAUUGAUGGUGAUUAAUUGUAUUUUUUAAAAUAGAUUUAACGCACAAAUAAGAUGACUUUUGGCAAAAAUUAUUUUCGGAAGAUAUAGUGAUAGAAAAUAGUGAUGAUAAUUAUUGUUUAAAUGUGUAAAUAGCCUAAGCAUAGCCCGUAAUACCAAUAUUCAUUUGCACCUUGAAAGAAACUUAGUUCUAUAUUGUUUGGCAAGCAAGAAAGUAAAGGAAAAUGAAAGAGAACUCUAAAGAACCUUUUUUAUUAUACUCAGAUAUCUCAACUUAAUGAAUACUGAUUGACAUUUAUACUAAGCUACAAUCUUCACUACACACACGAGUUUGUAACAUCACAUAACCAUUUGCUGCAUAACUAACUUUACACAUCAGCUCAACCAGCUAACUAACUUUGACAGGUCAGCUCAGUGAGUUGAUCUGCUACAACCAGCUACACAGCAACAGCAUGCUCUGCUCCAGCUAUACAGCAACAUCAUGCUCUGUUCCAGCUUUAUCCGCUCUGCUUUGCUCUGCUCCAGCUUUGACAGGUCAGCUCAGUGAGUUGAUCUGCUACAACCAGCUACACAGCAACAACAUGCUCUGCUCCAGCUAUACAGCAACAUCAUGCUCUGCUCCAGCUUUAUCCAAUUCACUAACAUCCCCCCUCAAGCUAAAAUGUUUAGGAUGAACAUUCAGCUUGCUUCUGAAGUAACUGAAUUGUUUGAAAGUAAGAGCCUUAGUUAACACAUCUGCUGUUUGAUCUGGACUAGGCACAUAGCAUACUGCAACCUCUUUAGCAGUGACCUUAUCUCGGAUAAAAUGUAUAUCCAAUUCAACAUGCUUAGUCUUAGCAUGAUAAACUGGAUUAUAAGCUAAAGCAAUUGCUCCUUGAUUAUCACACCACAUUAUAGGAGUGGAGCUUAAUGUGAUACUAAGUUCACCAAGUAAGGAUUUAAUCCAGGUAACCUCUGAAGCAGCAUGGGCAAGAGAUCUAUACUCAGCUUCUGUGCUGGAUCUGGAAACAACAACUUGUUUCUUUGACGACCAGGAAACAAGAUUAGGACCUAGAUAAACAGCAAAGCCAGCCACUGACUUCCUAUCAUCAUGAUCACAAGCCCAAUCAGAAUCUGAAAAACAAUGUAAUUGCAGAGCUCCUUGAUUGUAGAAAUGCAGCCCCAGAUGGAUAGUGCCUUUUAAGUACCUCAAUAACCUUUUACAUGCUUCCCAAUGUUGAGUUCUAGGACUGGAAAGGAACUGACUUAACUUGUUUACAGAGAAGGCAAUGUCAGGUCUGGUAAGAGUAACAUAUUGAAGAGCUCCUAUAACACUUCGAUAUUGAGAAACAUUUUCAAGUGGCUCUCCUGAGUCUUUGGUGAGAUAAAAGCCUGUAGACAUUGGAGUUGGCACAGGACUGCAGUCUGUCAUGCCAUGUUUAUCCAGAAUAUUAGCAAUGUACUUUGCUUGUGUCAAGGAAACCCCUUGUGAAGAUUUGCUGACUUCAAUCCCCAGAAAAUAGUGAAGUUCCCCCAGGUCUUUUAAAGCAAAAGCUUGAUGCAUAUGCUGGAUAACUUGUUGAAUUAUGGAUGGACUGGAACCAGUGAUGAUAAUAUCAUCAACAUAGACCAAAACAACAGUUAGAUGACCACUGUUCCAGGCAUAAAAGAGAGAGUUAUCAGACCUGGAAUGCUGAAAAUGCCACUUGGAGAUCAUUGCAUCCUUAAACCUAUCAAACCAGGCUCUAGGAGCUUGUUUUAAGCCAUACAAAGCCUUAUUUAGCUUGCAGAUAUGAUUAGGUUUAGUUGAAUCAACAAAACCUUGAGGUUGAGCCAUGUACACAUCUUCAAUUAAAAUGCCAUUUAGAAAGGCAUUGUUAACAUCCACCUGCCUUACAACCCAGUGACUCAAUACUGCUAAGCUAAGAAUAACUCUAACAGUGGAGGACUUAACCACUGGACUGAAGGUUUCUGUGUAGUCAAUCCCAUGUGUCUGAUGAAACCCUUUAGCCACAAGCCUGGCUUUAUACCUUGAAACUGAACCAUCUGAGUUAUACUUUACUCGAAAUACCCACUUGUUGCCAACUAUCUUCACUGGAGUAGCAGGUAAGACUAAAUCCCAGGUGUGAUUGGUUUUAAGAGCUAGAUACUCUUCUUGCAUAGCUUUAUACCACAUAGGAUCAGAAAGUGCUUUGGAAACAGAGGUUGGUUCUGACUUCUGAGCUAGUAAAGCUGACAAGUAGAUCUUGGGCUUGAAGAUACCUGCUUUUGACCUGGUUAUCAUUGGAUGACCAGAUGAUGCAGGUUGUGACAAGGUAUGUGGAGGUGAAUGAUGGGAUGGUGAAGAAGGAGAAGAAGAAGUGGAAUUGAAAUUAUCAGAAAAGUAAACUGGAGUAGAAUUUGGGAAGGAAAUAGAAGCAUGUGACUGAGAAUCAUUAAGAAGAUAUUCUGAUGAUGCUGCUAAAGGUGCUUGUAACUGAGUAACAAAAGGAGUAGAAGAAUUAAAAGAAGACUCAGAAUGAGUUGAUGACUGACAGUUUGAAGAAACUGAAGAAAAAUCUGUUCCUGACUCAUAAGGAAAAGAACGUUCAUAAAAGGUUACAUGAUUUGAAAUAUAGACCCUCCCAGAAGAGUGAAGACACUGAUAUCCCUUGUGUUGUGAACUGUAGCCAAUGAAUAUACAUCUAGCUGUUCUGAAAUCAAACUUAUGUCUAUUGUAUGGUCUGAGUGUUGGAUAACAAGCACAGCCGAAAAUUUUAAGUGUUGAAUAAUCUGGUUGGGAAUGAAACAACUUUUGAAAAGGAGAAAUGCUGUUUAGAACUGGAGUUGGAAGUCUGUUUAUCAAGUAGACAGCUGUAUGGAAUGCAUUCCACCAAAAUUUGAGUGGUAAAUGUGCUUGAGCUAAUAAAGUCAGUCCUACAUCAACUAUGUGUCUAUGUUUCCUCUCAAUUUUUCCAUUUUGAUGAUGAAUGUGGGGGCAAGGAUGUCGAAAAUGGAUGCCAGAAGUGGUGAGUAAUGAUGAAAAUGUUCUGAACUCCCCUCCCCAGUCAGUUUGGACAGUUUUGAUGGAAAGUUGAAGAUGCUUCUCAAUGAAUAUUUUGAAAUUGGUAAAAACUUCAAGAGCAUCAGAUUUUGCUGAUAAGGGAAAAAUCCAGGUAAACCUACUGUAAUCAUCUAGGAUUGACAAGUAGUAAUUAUAUCCUUGGGUAGAACAAACAUGAGAAGGGCCCCAAAGAUCUGCAUAUAUCAGUUGUAAAGGUGCUGAAGUUUUUGUUUCUACUGAAUCAAAAUGCAGCAUGUGAUUUUUACCAUAUUGGCAUGCUGAACAAAAUUUCAAACUGUCAACUUUAUUAAAAGCAGUAGAGUUGUUACAAGCUUUGAGAAUGGUUUUGAGAGUAUAAGAUGCUGGGUGUCAUAAUCUUCUAUGAAGAAGAUUUACAUCAAUAGAACCCUUUACAACAACUGACAGACAUGACUUUUUAUUCAACUCAUAAGAGCUAACAGUAGAGAGCUGAGCAGAAUUAAAAACAGGAGAACAAGCAAAAAGAGACUGAAUUUUGUUUUGACCAACUGAACUGAGAAAGACUGAAUGAACAGCAGCAUGAGAAGAGACUUUAUACAAGCUGUUGUGCAAAUUUUAAUGUACUCGCAAGCGCACGAAUCUAUUAUAGUAUAGAUCAAUGGUGACGAGUGUCGAUCCCACGAGGAGGUAGAUUUUAAUUGUGUAUAGAAUUAAUUUUGCAAAUGGUUGAUUGGAUUUGUAGUGGAAAUGAUUAGGAAUAUGCUAAAACUUAAAUUAAAAUGGCGAGAAUAAAUUCUAAAAUUGGAAUUGCAAUGGCGAGAAUAAAUUGAAGAGAAAUGUAUUGAAAUGACGUACUUGGGUAUCUGGAUCCGUAUCAACAUGCAUCAUGGGCUAAAUAAUCCGUAUUAAUGCCAAUUAAAUCAUGAGGGGGGAAUCCACACCUCAUGAACCACGCUCUAAUCAAUAUGGUGCUAAGGGCUUAUCGUGCCAAAUAAUAAUAACCUUAUACUAGAGAGCCGGUGUAACCAAGGCGGUAUCUAGACAAGAUCAGUAUUAUUUGUCGACGAUAAGUCAAAUCAUCCACAAAAACUAGAGGGGAAAAGAAAAUAAAUUUACCAAAUAAAGCCCAUGACACAUGUUGAGACUUCACCUUCAACCCAAGCUUGAAAGGAAAUUAGCUACUCAUAAUUGAACUAGGGGCAAAAUGGGAAUUUAUUAAAAUACAAAGAAAAUACAAGAUGGAGAGGGAAUUACAGAAAAUGGAUCCCAAAAAUGGAUUCAGAGAUAUCAAAUUAGGGGGGGAGGCCCAUUUUUUAUAGAUACAUGGAGUAAAUCAUGGCCAUCGGAUUAAAAACAGUUUGGACGCUCAGGAUUGCGCCACGUCAUCAGUCAACAGUCAACGGUUUGACCACGCGGAUGAACAGUAACAUGGUUUGGUUGAAAAUAAUCCUGUGUGAUGCAUACACCGUACGCGAGAUUUUUCGUCCACUGAUAUGCUGCCACGUCACCAUCAACAGUACAUAAGAAUUUUAGUCCAACAGGAUCGUGACACCUCAUCAGUCAAUGCCACAUCAUCGGUCAAUGCCACGUCAUCGAUCCGUCUAUGUGAACAGUGUCGUGAACAGUAACGUAGACAGUACCGUAUACGUGAAUAGUACCGUACAUGUGAAUAGUGCCAUUUUUCCUUUUAUGCUCCUCCUAAGGUUUUCGACCGUCCUGAGUUCAAAAGUGAUGUCCGUUUUGCCGUCUGAUCUCUCCUUUAUUGUGAAAUGACUAUAAUGCCCCUAAAAUACAUAAAAUACUUAAUUAAAAUAACACACACGUAAUUACAUCACAAGAGGGUUAAAUACAUAAAAGUAAGGGUUGUUAGUAAGACUUGAAACGUAAAAUGACGGUUUUCUCCUUUAUAAAUAUGCAUUUUCUAACACUCAACACAAGCCACCUUUAGCAACACCUUCAAGUAAAAUUUUCCCUGUGUUCCUGGCCUUUAUAAAACACAAAUUACCAAGAAAUUCAACAGUAACUGGAUUGUCAGCCAACAAUUUUGAGAUGCUAAGCAAAUUCUUAGUAAUAAAAGGGACAUGAAGAACAUGGUUAAGAAAUAAGGAUUGAGAAGCUGAAGUAUUUAGCACAACUGACCCUACAUGUGUAAUAGCUAAUGCAUUUCCAUCUCCAACAAAUAACCUUUCAGUACCAGUGUAAACUUUUGAAUCCAGAAGCUUACCUAGAUCAUUGGUAAUAUGAUUUGUUGCUCCACUAUCAAUAUACCAGGAAGGAUCUUCAAUGUGUUCAGGUGGGAGUGAAGAAGACAUAGCAGAGGAGGAGGAAGCACUUGACUGUUCCAGAUUAUUAUGUCCUAGACAGAAACAAAAUUAGAUGAUCCAGGGUUGAAUGAGAAAUAAGCAGAUGGGUUGCUUUCUGGAUAUACUAUAUUUCCUUGAUAGCCAAAACCCCUGGGGGCAUUACCAAAACCAACAUUUUGUCCAAAACCAGCAUUUGAACCAAAACCUCCAAAACCUCUUCCACUAUUACCAUUAAAGGCUCUUCCUCGACCAUAUUGCCCUUGAUUAAAACCUCUGCCACCAUUCAUAUUACCUCUACCAUGGUUCCUCUGUGGAACAAAAGAUGAGUUGUACCUAUUUCUGCAUUUAUAGGCUGCAUGACCAGGUAUGAAGCAAAUUUGGCAAACAACUUCAGAGAAAUUACUAUUAUUAUUAAACUGACCAUAUCCAUAUCCAGAAUUAUUACCACCUCCAGAGUUAUUUCCAUACUGUUUCUGAAAAUUUCCAUUAUUCUUUCCAGCAUAUGAGUUCUUCUGAACAAUAUUUGCUGUCAUGUUAUGCAUCACAUCACCAGCAAUUUUUCCUUUCUUUUGCUCAACUCUAUUUUCAUGAUUCAACAGCAAAGAAUAUAGUUCAUCUAAUGUUAUCUUUUCACCUCGAGCUAACACAGCAGUGACUAAAGAUUCAUAAUCUGAUGAAUCAAGACCAGUUAAUACAUGCAUCACAAGAUCAUUUAACUCAACAGGUUUUCCAGCUAGAGCUAAAGUAUCAGCUAUACGUUUUACUUUUACAAAGUAAUCAGACAUAUGCAUUGCACCUUUCUUAAUAGUUUGAAUCUGCAUUCUAAGUGUUUGAAUUCUAGCUUGUGAUUGAGAGAUAAACAUACUAGCAAGAGUCUCCCAAAGCUGUUUUGAGGUUGUUGAGUCAAUCACAGUAGCAAGCAGAUUUUGUUGUAUCAAUGACAUCAUCCAACUCAGCAGAAGUUGAUCAGCCUUCAUCCAAGCUACGAACUCUGGAUUAACAGAUCUGGAUCCAGAUUCAGUAACAGAUCUGGAUCCAGAUUCAAUUAAGAUUUCAGCUCCAUUGUUGUUGCCAGAAGAAAGAAACUGCUCAGGACAUUCUCGAUCACCAUUGAUAAAACCUUCCAAACCAUUUCCUUUGAUCGAAGCUAGAAUUUGUGUGCGCCACAAAAUAUAGUUGUUUUGAUCUAGCUUUACAGGCGUAACAAAACUAAAAGAGUUGUUGUUUUGAACUGUAUUUGCCAUUUAUGGCUCUGAUACCAUGAAAGAAACUUAGUUCUAUAUUGUUUGGCAAGCAAGAAAGUAAAGGAAAAUGAAAGAGAACUCUAAAGAACCUUUUUUAUUAUACUCAGAUAUCUCAACUUAAUGAAUAUUGAUUGACAUUUAUACUAAGCUACAAUCUUCACUACACACACGAGUUUGUUACAUCACAUAACCAUUUGCUGCAUAACUAACUUUACACAUCAGCUCAACCAGCUAACUAACUUUGAUAGGUCAGCUCAGUGAGUUGAUCUGCUACAACCAGCUACACAGCAACAGCAUGCUCUGCUCCAGCUAUACAGCAACAUCAUGCUCUGCUCCAGCUUUAUCCGCUCUGCUCUGCUCUGCUCCAGCUUUGACAGGUCAGCUCAGUGAGUUGAUCUGCUACAACCAGCUACACAGCAACAGCAUGCUCUGCUCCAGCUAUACAGCAACAUCAUGCUCUGCUCCGGCUUUAUCCAAUUCACUAACACACCUUCAUUUGUGUUAUCACAUUUCAUGAUAUUCUUUCAUUUAUGACCAUUGUUCAAGAUUUUAAUUUGAUUAUAAACUAAGUUGCAAGGGAGCUUACUUCAGUUUCUAAGCUUUUCAAUCGUGAUUCCUGCAUGCCAAACGUAACUGACCUUAUAAUUGGUCUGUAUAAGAAAUCAAGCCCUUUCAGGAUCGUUUUCUUUUUCUCCCUAUUGUAGUAGUCAACUAAAUAAAGAAUGAACAACUAAACUUGGUCUAUUUCGAGGAAGACUAAGGCUUCCAAUACUAGAUGAACUUUGAAGAAAAUUAAUCCGUUGUUUUUAUUCAUCUUUGGACUAUGAAUUUAUACAAAGACUUUAACAGAAAAUAACAAAGACACAGCUAAAUGAUAGCAAUAAGUGCUGACUUGGUGGACCACUUCUGCAAGUAAAUAAAAACUAAAUAUUUAUUUUGACUAUAACAACAACUACGCUGAUGAAUAGGAUUUCACAGCAGCCACGUGACAACUAAUUUCUCCUUAAUAUUAUUAUUAGUAGAAGUAGAUUUUAAAACUAGUCUUGAUAUAUUUCAAAGUUGUAUUAUCAAUGUAUAUGUGUCUAGAUUGUAACUAUAUUUUAAAAAAUAUAAAAUUUUUAAUUAUUGCACAGUAUAUGUAGCAAAAUAUCUAUAGAAUGAUAUUAUUAGGACUAAGAUUUUUUUUUAUUUUAGAUAAGUUAUUUAUUUAUUAUCGAAUGAAUAAUUUAUUAAUUUACUGAUAAAUGAAUAUUUAUUAAUUUAAAGAGAGAUUUUUUUGGUUUUAACAAGAGUUUGUUUGGUAAAUGUACACACUUAUAAAGAAACAUAAAAAGUGGUUCCUCAAGUCAAUAGUAUUUGCUUCAAUCGCAAUGGUUCAUAAUAAUAUAGCAUAGUUAGGAAAUUUGUAAUUAUAUUAUGGCUCUGUUUGGUAGUAAAACUCAUUUAAGUAGAGUUGUUGUUAAUAGAGCUUUUAUAAAUAAAGCUUUUACUAAAAAAAAUUUAGUUGUUUGCUUGUCAAUGUCCAAAUUGAUAAACUUUUGUUCUUUUGUUAAGAUAUGUUUGUUUUACUUAAUAAUAGCAUCGGCAAGAGUUUUCGAUUGUUGCAACUUGCAAUGCACGCGGUGAGAGAAAAUGAGAAUCUUGUUUAAUUGUCAAUAUAUAAUGACAAACCUAAUCCUUUCAUUAGGAGUAAUUUAAUAAUCGUUUGUUAUAACUGAAUAUGUAUAAAGAAAGGAAAAUUCUAUUCAUAAAUUUCGACUUAUUUUUUGUUUAAAGUAAUUAAUCAUUCAACCAUCUUCAUUUGCCUCUGGCCAAUGCCCUUGUAGAUUAGUUUACUUAAUUAUGAUUAUAUACAUUUUCAUAUAGCAAGUGGCAUUGUAGAUCUAAACUAAGUUGCUAUUUCAAUACCAGCAAAUUCAAAAUAGAAAAGGAGUGCAACUAUUCAACUUUGUAGACAAUAUUGCAACCAUGGCAUAUUUAUAGCAAAUCAUUGAAAUCUGCUAAAGAAAACAAUGCCCUGUCUCAUGAAUCGAUGCUCAAUUAAAAUUUAAAUUGAAAGUCCGGCUGGUGUUGUUUUCCUCUCCAGCGAAAUAAGAAUCAUAAGUGAAAAUAGGCUUUGACAGGUCUUAUUUCUUUGUUUCUCUGCUGCAAUGUGUGGUUAUCCCACUCUGUUUUGCCACUCAAGCUGAGUCUACGUUGAGACAUUAUUUCAGUAUUGAGGUAACAAUAAUUUCGGACUCCGUAAGAAGGUUUUGAAAAAGUGGAGUCACAUUUGUUGAAUCAGGCAACGUCAACGUGCCUUCUUCACCUGCUAACACCCUUUUCAACCUCUCACAAAAUAGUCGGAGGUGGACGUCCAGCAUAUCUCAUUCACAUUUGUUGAAUUUGCAUGGAAUUUGCAAGGAGUAUGCCAAAGAAUUUGCAAGGAAUAUGCCAAGAAUUUGCAAGGAAUAUGCCAAGAAACUGGCCAACCCGCUUAGCUUAAUUCCACAAAUAUGACGUUAUUGCUCAUUUUUCUCUCAAGCACAUAAUACACGUUCUUCGAGACGCGUGCCUUCUGAAAAGGACAGGUAUCCAACCUCAUCUUAAUUACUACCAUGACAUAAUUGAUGGUUGCUUAAAUCAAUUUUUUCUUCUUUUUUUUUUUUAAUUUAAAGAAUUUUCCCUUAAAAAAAAUUUAAUAUCAAAAUGCCUUCAAUGUUAUUACUGCCGAAAGCCAAACUUCCUUUGGGUAAUUAAUUUAGAAGUGAAGCAGAGAAUAAAGUCCUAGAUGCCUUUUGAAAUUAGAAAUACAUUUUAUAUGCUUUAAUUAAUCAAUUCACUGAGGCAUUAUUGAUCCAAUCCCAGUGAAGUAAUUGUGGGUGAAAAAAAAAUAAAGUGCUGAAUUGGCUACUAAGAAAGAGUGUCACUUGAUCACAAUCACAUUGAUCCACAACUCACUCGAGGCAAAUUUCAUCUAUGUGUACUGCAAAUUUAGCCAAACCAUACAUGCAUGAACAAAAUUAGGCCGUAGUCCUCAUCACAACAUUAAUUGAAGCCACAAAAGCCAGCAAAUCCAAACAAAAACUUAAAAGAAAAUGCUUGGUAUAGAGAAGCACGAGAGAAAGACGAGAAAAACAAUGAAGAAAGUGGUAGAGAGAGAGUGAGUGGGUAGAGAGAGAGCAAAAUUCUCUCGUCUUUCUCUCGUGCUUCUCUCUCUCUAUCACUACUCAAACUUAAAAGGAAGAUCUUAUUCAAGUUUGUCCCCAAAAGACAGCUGAAAUGAAAAAUAUUGACUAUUGAGUGGGUCGAUGCUGAAUUACAUUUGACAUGGAAAGCUUGGCUGCAGUUGCGAUGUUCCCCCUUCUGAUUUUCCUCCAAAACAAAUUCAUUUGUAAACAAUAACGGAAGUAGCAACAAUUUAUUCAUUAUAGAAAAUACCUAAAUUUUCAACUAUCAAAUCCUCUUGUCUAAACUAAAAAACUCAUAUCUCUAAAAUCUAUAUACAAAAUGUCAAAAACGGGUGAUCUCUCAAUUCGAUAAAUAAAUUCAUGCAUAAUGUUACUAGUAAUGAUAAAUUACAUAAUAAUUAUUAUAAAGAAUCAUAAAUUGGAAACAUUAAUCAUUUUACAAUAUAUUACAUAAUAAAGAUAAAUUUUAUAACAAGUUAAGUUAGAACAUAUCAAAUAUUUUCAAUAUAUAUAAUUAUUUAAGAAGUCUUUUAACAAUAAUUUUUUUCUUUUUCAGUUAAUCAUGUCAUAUACCGUUAUCUAAAAUGCUGGCGAUAUUAUUAUUCCUCACUUUUCUCAAACAAAAAAGAAAAGAAAAAAGAAACAUGAUUAACGUUUAGAGAAAAGUCACGCCUUUUAAAAACAAUAUGUAUACAAUAGCAAUCCAUACUUUAUAAAAUUGAUGGUGAUUACAAAGAAAAAUUGUUUAAAAUAGAUUUAAUGCACAAAUAUGAUGACUUUUGGCAAAAAUUAGUUUCGGAAAUGUUGGGAUGAAAACCAUAUUAAUUGAGAAUUAAAAUUACUUAAUAAAAUUACUUAACUACCAUCUAAUAGAUGAAAACCAUAUCAAUUGGGACUUAAAUUAAGAUUUAAAUGUUGAAAUAUCUAGCAUUACUCACAAUAACCAAUUCAAAUUAUGACUAUCAUGUAGAAGCAAAUGUUUAUGCUUGGGUUUUUUACUUCUUGAAUUUGAUUGGAAAAAUUUCUGAGAUAGAGAAGUGUUUUGGAUAAUUUUUUCGGGAUUGAAACCACAAAUUGGUAGAGGAAAUUAAUUUUGGACAAAUUUUUCUUAUAUUGUAGGACCUUCUAGUUGGAGUAGUGAUGGCUUUGUCUUCAUUUUUGGUUCCUUUUGUGUCAGCAACCCCUUACUAUUCUCUUGACCCUGAGUUUGAGAUAGAAAUUUAUCAACCUCCAACCCCACAUCCACAAACAAGUUGAUUGAAACAAUUACUCUUUUAAUUAAGAGGACCCAAAUGAUUUAGGUUUCAGUUCUUAUCAUUUGUCUAUUAUUUCUUUGAAACAUUUAUUUUGAGCGUUACUGAUCUUAAUUAUCUGUAUUUCUCCAAUUAUUGAAGAAUUUCAAGUGGCCACUUUUUCUCCUUUUUAUAUAUGUUUAUUUUUUGGAGUGAUCAAACGGGUGAAAAAUCAAGUAUUCGCUGGUCUGUAGUUUAGCCAACGAUGGCUGAUCCACACAGUUGAUUAUAUGAUACUAUUAGCUCUCAAAAUCUUUCUUAUUUGAGAACAUAAAUUGCCCAUUGAAGUUAAACUAUGUUACCCAGCUCCAUGCACAUACAUUAAAUGUUUAGGUAGUUUUACAAAAUGAUAACAGCAUGCCAAAACUUGAUGUUGUCAUAUUCGACAUUUCAAAUUGAAAAAUAUGCAAGCAAUCUUCAGUGACCAUUACGUUUUUAUUGAAUAAUUUAAAUGGCCAGUAAAUCAACAGUCCGUGAGUUUUAAAUCUGUUAUGACUUAAUGUAUCUUUCUGUAUUCGUACACAGGUUAUAUUAUCAUAGUUUAAAAUUUUAAUAUUAUUUUAAAUGUUAUAAAUACUUUAAUGCUAUUAGUCUACUACACAGGUUAUAUUAUUUAUAUUAUAUUUGUAUUAAUUAAAACUUUUAAUGUCAACUUUCUAAUUACUAUAUUGAAAAGGUAUUAUGGUUAAGAAAAAGUUUUGGCAUUUCUUCUAAAAAAUUUGAGGGUAUGCAUGACAACACUACAAGAAAAAUGACCUACCAUGACAGUCCUCUGUGUGACAGUUUUUGGUCUGCAGAGCUACUACGAUAGAUGGAUGAUAAAUUUUUUUUCUAUCAUUCAUUUAUGACAUACUUGUGAUAGAAAUUUCAUCUAUCAAGCACUUAUGAUAGACUGAUGAUAAAUUAUUUGGUUAUCAAGAAGUAAUGACAAGUUUGUGAUAUAAUUUAGAUCAUCAAGUAGCUUUUUUAUUUUGACUUUAUUUCACAAGGUUGACUGAAAAUUUUAAAAUGAAUGAAAAAAAUAAAUAAAGAAUAAACGGUACCGUUUGGAUUAAAAGUUUCUCUUUGGACAAGAAACGACACCGUUUAGAUUGAAGCUAAAUAAAAACAAAACCCUCUUCAGUUUUCACUAAUCGAAUUUUUUUUCCCUAAGUGUCGGCACUCUCACUCACUCUCGUCUCUCGCUCAGUCAUUCUCGUCAAUCUCACACUCACAAAGCCCUUUUCACCCGAAAUCCUUGCAUGGGCACUGAACCACUGCCGCCAUUCUCUUGUAUUUGACUAUCAAUUUUGGCUCUCACCGAGAACUAUAUGGAAUACCCACCAAACGCAUGUGCUUCUACUAUUGAAUUUCAAUACCCUAACUGAGAGCCCACGCUCACCCACUAUUGUAACCGUUCGAUCAAUACAGGUAAAUAAUAUUUCUAGUGUUGUGUUCCAUUUCAAUUUUAAUGUUCUUGUCAAACUCGAACCCUAUAUAUGUAAACUUAAAAACCCUAGAUGUGUUCUUGUCAAAUUCGAACCCUACACACCUAAAUCUUGUAAAACCUAGAUGUUUUCUUGUCAAAUUUGAACCCUGUACGUGUAAAACUUGAAAAUCCUAGGUGUGCUCUUGUUAAAUUUGGAUCUAUUUGAUUGGUCUUCUAUGUUUCUUUAUUUAUGGAAUUUUAAACAUUUAUUUGAUUUUUUUGGAAUUUAAUUAUUAUAGUUUUAUUGUUAAAUUAAUUUGAUUUAGGCUGUAAAGAUCCUUGCCAAUUUAAUCGUGAUGGGUGUUGGGAUAUUGUCUAGGCUGCUUUAUCUUUGGGGUUUUCUAAUAACUAAUUUUUUUUUUUCACUUUUUUGUGGAUGCAUGGAACUAUAUAUAUAGAUAAUUCUCAAAUUCGUUCACUGUGAUGCAAAGUCUUUUUUUUUUCAAUUUCAUUGGUUAAAUUCACUAAUUCGUUGAAAUUAGUGGUGAUUGUGGGCCGAGUCGCAUGUGCAGGAAGUGGUGUCAGGUCUGGGCGCACAUUGAGUCAUGCACUUGGUGGGCAAUUGGUAUUGUUUCUAUUGUGUGUGUUGGAAAUAAUGUCAAUAUCAUCCAACCAAUGUGUGUUUCUAGUGGCUGUUUUUGCACCGAGCAGAUAAUUUAUUAUUACAUCAGAGUUCCCCAUCCCUUGUUUCUCUUUUGGGUAAUGCAGGUAUUGACUAGUUCAUUUCCAUUUUCAUUUGUCUUGAGGGAAUGUUAUCAAUUUUUCGAUCUUACAAGAUAUUGAUUGAUACAUAUGUGUACAAUACAUUAAAAAUCAUUAAACAUUUUGCUCUUAGUUACAAUUUUGAAUGAAUGUCACAUGGAAAGAUCCUCUAAGAAUAUCAAUAGUAUUGUGGUUUCUACUCAAUUUCCACUCUCCGCACUCAUAUGAGCAUGGUUUGAAUCUCAAGCCUUUUGUACCAUUCAAAAAUUUAUACCAAUUAACAACAUAGCUUGCUAGCACCACAAAUUGUUUCAACUCCAAGGCAGAGAAUUCCUAGAAGAUAUAUACAUAUUGAUAUAUACUUGCAUGUAGCCGUAUGCUCACUACCUUCGAAUUGGGGAUAUAGUCACUAUUUUUGUAUUCCCUCCAAGUGUUUGAUAAAAAGCAUGAAUGAAUCUUGGCUCUUUAAUUGUUGCAGGCCAUUUCUACCUAUGAGGAGCAAAGGAAUAUGAAGCUUAUUAUAUUCAUUCACAAAGCAAAGCUGAUAUAAUUCAUGGCAAAGCUUGAUGAGGUGUUGUAUUUAAUCUUGCUCAUGAGAUCAAUUACCUAUCUUGUUGGACUUUAUUCUUGUAAUUAAGGUCCAUCCAAAGUUGAUGGCUUGUUUGUCAGAAAGAUAAUCUGAAGGCUAUGAUUGAUUACUUGCGGGCCGAUGGAAAUGUCUCCAUGAUUGGUUUAUGAGGUUGUUAAAUUACUAAAUAGGUAUAUUUACUUUUCAUGAGCUUUAUCUUCGUUUUUCCAUUAUGGAAAUGUCUCUAUGAUUGUAACUUUUAACACGUGGAACUCUUGAACCCUAUGUUUAGUUAUAUACUUAUAUUGGGACUUGUAUAAAUUAAUAUGAUGGUUUUAUUAUUAUUAUUAUUAGUAGUAGUAGUAGUAGUAGUAGCAGCUACAAAAGAUCAAAAGAACUUAAAGGUGUGGCUUGUGGCUUUCUUGCUGUUUGGGCUUUAACUGCUGCCUCACUUGUCAUUGUUGCUAAUCUGGUGUGCCACGUCCAUUUCAGUGUAAUUACAUAAGUUAGUUUGCUUGAUUAAUUAAUUAAUUAGUUAGCGGAUUGAAUAGCCAGAGUACUACAUUUUGCAUAGGUCUGAUGCUGGAUGAAUUUUCAUGUCUUGGCUUUGGGGCUGCUGGAUUUUGCUGCUGGAAGACUAGAUUUUGCAAUUUUGUUGCUGGAAGACUACAUUUUGUGUAGGUUUGUUGCUGGAUGUUGCUGAAUGCGGAGUACUUUGCUUGGUUUUGGAUUGGCCUUUGUUGUCUAUUGGCUCGACUUUGGAAUAUGGAUUAACUAAUGUAAUGUACUUUGGAUAUUUUUAUGGUUAAUAAAGUUCACUAAUUUAGUUCAUUAGUUUUGGAUUUAAUUGCAUUUAGUAAUUUAUUUUCUUUCAUAUAAUUUUAAUAAUUUUAAUAAUUUUAAUUUUUAAAUUUCAUAAUUUUUAUUUUAAAUUAAUAAAUAAAAUAAAUAAUCAAUUUUUUCAAAAAAAAUGUGAUAGAAAAUACUAGUCAUACACACAAUUGAUAUCCCAAAAAAAAAUACAAUCCAAAAAUUUCUAAAAAAAUGAAAAUAUAAAAUAAAAAAAUAAUUUCCCUCUUCUAAGUAGUAUGACAUAAUUAUGAUAGGUAAAAUCUAUCACAACUUGUGACGCGAUUUUAUCUGUCAUCUUUUCUUGACGCUGACUAUAAUGACAGUAAGGAUAACCGUCAUCUACCCCCUAAGAUGACAGUUUUUACCUAUCAUAAUAGGUCAUUUUUCUUGUAGUGCAAUUUUUCCAAUUCUAAGGGUAUAGGUUUGAAAAUUUAACGUUAUUUAACUUAAUGAAACAAAAGGGGAAACCAAGAACUAUUCAAUUUUGUAUUUUUUGUUUGUAAUUCAAAAAAUACAUCCACCAAACAAGUUUUACACAUUAAUGCUGUCAUAAAACGAAAAACAGUUUGCCAAAAAAUGGUACCGUCACAUGAUUUCUUAGUAAGUCCAUAUUAGAUAUAUUUAUACAUUUUAGGUAUUUUAGUUAUAAAAGAAGUUGGUCCUCCCCCUAUUUAUAAAAGAUAACUUUGUUUCGAUAUUACCACUAAACUCUUACAUAGAAUUAGUGUAAUGUUAAGAGAGAGUAAUGCGGUUUUCCAUUACCAUCUUUGAAAAUAGAAAGAUAUGGAUGCGUGCAUUUAAGAGUCAUCGUGAAAAUCAUACAAUUCAAUUUCCUGACAUAUAUAUUUAUGCACGUAUGCCAAAAGAAUAAAUAGACAGAAAGUAAAUUUAUAGUCCUCACUUCCUCACAAUUGUUAACGUGGAGAUGCAUUACAACUGUGAACUGUCACUACUUUAGCCUUUUUUUUUUUUAAUUAUAGUGUGAUGGAGACAUUAAGGAUGAGCAUAAUAGUUAAAGAUGACUCAUUUCUCAUUUUCUUUUUAAAGUGCUCUGCUGAAAGCCAAACUUCCUUUGGCUAAUUAAUUUAGAAGUAAAGCAGAGAAUAAAGUCCUAGAUGCCUUCUGAAAUUAGAAAUACAUUUUAUAUGCUUUAAUUAUGAUUAUUUGGUAGACUAAAGACCUAAAAGAUAUGUCAAAAGUAUAAAACAGAGCGAUUAAAGAAAAAAGAAAAAAAAAACAGAGUAUUUGUGACGUAGAAUAACAAUUGGUAAAUAAAUCCUAAAUAUUUGAGUUGUUAAAAGCAAAUAUAACAGAGACGGUAAGAGAGAUGCUGAAACAGAAAACUAUUAGCUUAUCUUGAUUUUCCCACUAUAUUCAUUUUCGAUGCUUUUCAAACGAGAUUCUUUUAAUUCUUCUGGUGUCUCUUAUAGAUCUCCAUCCCACAUCUGCACUACGAACAAGUUGAUUAAAAUUAAAUACUGUUGGAGAUGUGGGGUGAGCGGUCAACUUGGUAAAAAAACUAUGUAUAAUAUUGUUAAUAAUAUAAAAUAUAAAAUAAUAAUUACAAAGAAUCAUAAAUUAGAAAAAUUAUUUAUUUUACAAUCUAUUUCUUAAGUAAGAUAAAUCUCGUAAUAAGUUAAGUUAUAAUGUAAAAAAUAUUUUCAAUUUAUAAUCAUUUAAGGAGUCAUUUAACAAUAAAAUCUUUCUUUUUUUGAUCAAUUGGUCAUGCUACAGAGCAUCAUCUAUUCGUGGUGAUAUUAUUAUUACUCCGUAUUCUCAAAAAACACGAUUUAACAUUUAGAGAAAGUUCCUACCUUUUAAAAAGAACAUGUAUGCAACAACUACCCAUACUUUAUCUUACCACGACAAAACUAAUAGUGACUAAAUCAAUUUUCUCGAAUAAAGAAAAAUUUCUUAAAAUUAAUUUAAUAUACAAAUAUGAUGACUUUUUGCAAAAAUUAGUUUUGGAAAAUUAGUGACAGAAAAUAGUAACGAUUAUUGUUUAGAUGUGUAAAUAGCCUAAACAUGAUCCCUAAUACCAAUAUCCACGUGCAUCUUAACACCUUUCGUCAUAUUCUUUCAUUCAUGGUCACUGGUUCAAGAUUUGAAUUUGAUCAUUAAAUCAUGUUCAAUAAUAUUAGAGAUCCCAACAAUUGAGUACCAACUUAAAUCCCAAUGCUAUGUGUCAUUAACAAAUGUUGUGUCAUUUAUAAUUAUUGAAUGAAUAAUUCGUUAAUUUAUUGAUAAAUGAAAAUUUAUUAAUUUAAAGAGAGAUAUUUUUUUUUUGGGUUUUAAGAAGAGUUUUGUUGGUACAUGUACAUACUUAUAAAGAAAUAAACUUGUAAUUAUACUAUAUCUUUCUUUCUUUAUUCAGUUUGGUGGGAUAUUGUGAUAAAUCAUUGGAUUAAAAUGCAUUUCUAAAUUAAAACUUGUUAAAAUCUAAUUUAUUUGGGAAGCGCAUAUUAUUUGUCAGUCGUACUUCUCAAGUCUCAACUUAGCAAGUUAUUUCUAACUUGUCAGUCUCUAUUUGUUCUCUAAAAGCUAAUAGUCUCGAAUCUCCCGCAUUUGAUAUCUUGCCAUUAUUGUUGGCAUUAACAUGUUACCUGAGAUUGGGAUUCAUUAAAAUCCUCAAUGUAAUCGGUGGAACGAAUGGAUUUCUUCUGUUCACCAAUCCACCAAAAUUUCUGUAAUUAAAUUCAAGAGUCAAGAUCUAUGCUUAUAAUCUAUUCUAACAGCUAAUAUUCUAUUUUAUAUUUACUUAAAUAUGAAGAGCUAUGCUUGUCAUUAACUUCAAAUGUGAUCGAAGCAGCCAUACAUCUGUAUAUUACUUAUUCCCAACCUUUUUUUUUGACUUCAUAUACUUUCUUUUCAUGUUAUUUACUCUUUUUUUCCCCUCUCUGACAAUUGAGGUAGGGGGUCAAACUUGAAAGUAUCUUAAAAUCAGACAAUUUUUUUUUUUUUUAAGAUAGCUGCUAAUAUGCUCUAUUAGACAAUGAUAAGUAAUAACCUAGUUGUUUGCAUUAGAAAUGAUAUUUUUUGUGGUGCUGAUAAAGAGGUUGAUUAUGAUUCAACAAUUUAAAAUAUGAAAACAUGUGGAAGACGGCCGCAAUUAAAUUGAUUGUAUGAAAAUAUUUCAAUGAAAUUUUAAAAAUUUAGUACUUGUUAUCUUAUCGAGAGUUUUUUUAAAUUAUAUUACUACUUGAACUUGGGUACUUGUUAUCUUAUCGAGAGUUUUUUUAAAUUAUAUUACUACUUGAACUUGGCUGCUUUUGUAUUGAAUUCCUAGCGUUGCCAUUGCUUCUACUCAAAAGCCAUUUAAGUUUGUGUAAGCUACCUAUAGUUUGAACAACAAUUUACUCAUGAAUUGUUGUUCAUAAUAGCAAUUUGAUUGAAAGUGCGGCUGCACUAAUUUUCUAGAUGAAUUUUUUCCUACAUGCUUGUUCUCGUAUGACCCAAAAUCCUGCUACAUCAGUUGUAUUAGAAAUUAAUACUGGGUUACAAUUAUGCAUCCCCACCAAUAUUUAAGCAAUUUAAUUACAGGAACAUUUCUUGAGGAAAGAAACUCAUAUCGCCCCUAGGCUUUUAAUGAGGCUCAUUUUUAUGAAUCUGGAUGGCAUUAGAUAUCUCUCCGAAUAUUGGUGGGAGUAUAUCGCAGAUCUCUGGGCUAUACUACAAAGUGUAUGUACGUUGACUCUCAAUAAAUACAAACGAUUCUCUGAUAUGAUUCAAAACAUCAGUGCACGCAUCAUUUUAACGAGAGAGAAUAUUCUAAGAACGAAAUUGAAGGUGCAAUCAACAACUAAAAUGAAGCCAGAAAUGUACACGCAUGAGGAAGUUUUCCUAGAAGAUUGAUAUUUCUUUAACUAGCAAACAAUACAAGUCCAAAGCUAACCAAACCAUACCUGCAAGUCCGGGGCUUAAAUGGAGUACUUGUAAGCAUAAAACAUUAAUCAAAACACAGUAUAGACACACACACACACCCCUACAUACAUACCAGCAAAUUCGAAAUAGAAAAAGGAGUGCAACUAUUCAAGUUUGUUGACAAUAUUGCAACCAUGGCAUAUUAAAGCAAAUCCUUAAAAUCAGCUAAACGAAACAAUUCCCUGUCUCAUGAAUCGAUGCUCAAUUAAAAUUGAAAUUGAAAGUCCGGCUGGUGUUGUUUCCCUCUCCAGGUUUGCCUACAUAAGUAAAGGGAAAUGAGAAUCAUAAAUGAAAAUCUGCUUCGAUCACUGUUCACAAAUCACUGUUCACAAAUCCCUAAUUCAAAAAUUACUGUUGAUUAUCGUUUUACAGCAGCGCCUCAGCUCCAGCCUUCACCCCGCAACGCAAGCAGCAGCCAGCGCGAACCAGUCGCGCCCAACGCAAGCCCCAGCAACCCAGAUUGUUAGCUCCAGCCGCGCGCAACGUAGCUGAGCAGCAGCAGACCAGCAGCGCGAACCAGCUCUCGCGCGCAACACAACGCGAACGCAGCAGUGCGUAGAUGCAGCCCAGCAACGCAGCGCGAACCAGCAAUGCAGCCUCACCAGCGCGCAACGCAAGCCCCCGCACGCGCAGCACCAGCAUCCCGUUUCUCGCAGCGCAGCAGCGCGCAACGCAGCGCAGCACCCGCAAAGCAAGCCUCACCAGCGCGCAACGCAAGCCCGCAACGCAGCAACGAGCACGCCCUGCAACGCAACCAGCUUACGCCUUGUAUUCCAGCCGGGUAAAUCGAAAUCCGUGAGUACAAUUAUUGUAACAAUGCCGAAGAGGAAAGCAUCCACUUCCAAGUCAUCGAAAAAGACACCCAUCGCAAAGAAAUCUAAGAUUGCCGCUCCCACUACGGUUCCAUGGAACACAAUUUCAGAUUCACGCCAAGCCGUGAGACAAAGAUCGAAGCAUGGAAAAGGCAUGAGUAUUUUGCCACUUGCGGAAUCCAAUCUCGAAGGGUGCCUUGCAUUCGCGACUCAACAAGAGAAAGAGAGGUACAAAGAUAUUUCCACGGGCAAAAUACUUCCAGCUAAGAAUUUUUGGAUAUGUCUAUGUUUGAAAGAACAUGUGUGGUUGAAUUCAAGGAGGGGAGAUUUCAGUUUACUGAACCAGGACCCACUCAACUUCCGAAGAAGCUUUAUGCUAGGAGUGGUGCUACCUCUGAUGACGAGUUUGACGACGACACUGCUGCCCCGCCAACUAUUCCUUCUACAUCCGCACCACCUUUGAGCAUUCAAUUAGAGAAAAUGGAGCACAAGCUGAACAAGAUGGAGCAGAAUUUGGCCGCAUACUUCGAGAGUGUGGGAUUUACCCCACCAUUUCCGCCAAGCCCAUAGACGUUAUGUGGAUCAAAGCUCACAAUUCAGGGAAGUUUCUUUUUGCCCUUAAUCCUUUAUCCUUACGCUUUAAUUUUUAUGUGAGCUUUGAUUAUCUUACAUUGGGGACAAUGUAAGUUCUUGGUGUGGGGGAGGGAUUUUUGCAUUAUUGAUGUCUGGAAUUAUUGUUUUCACUCUACUUAUUUUUUUUUUUCACUCUACUCAUCCUUAAAUGAUUUUGGAGUUAGUAUGCUUUAUAUAUUAUUAUUUUUUCUUUUCUUUUAUUUCUCACAACUUUUUUUUUCCCAUCUAUCUCAAAUUAUUUACAUCUAUUUUUAUUCUAUCAUACUGUUUCAUCGCUCACAUUUUAUCUUUCACUUUUCAUCUUUCUCACUUCUUAUCAUUUUUACCUUUCCUUUUAUAUAUCACCCAUACCUUCUUCUCAUUCUACACCACUAUUGAUGGUUGAUUCAUUUGAAGAGUGUACAUGAUUUGAUGGCAAAUUUACCAACUUUGUGAGGAUUUGAGCCUAUGAGCAACCACUUUGCUCUAAUAUUUUUGUUAUGUGAAUAUCAAUCUUAGUUUGUUUAUUCUAGAACUUGCUUUGUUAUGCAUGUUGAAGCCGCAUUACGGGAUUUUAUGCACUAAAAUGAUAAGGGCAAACCCUUUUCCAUUUUUCUAUUCUCGCAUUUUUUUUCUCUACCCGAAGAUCUUUAUUUGCUAUCUUUGUUUGAGCCUUAACAAUUACCCAUCUAAUUCUCUCCGUCUACUUAACCAUUUUUCUUCUUUUUUUUGAGCCUCAAUUUAAGGAGAUUUUUGGACUCAUUGUGUGGAUAUAUUUUGUUGCUUUUUCUACCUUGUAAUAAAGUUUCUCAAUUAGAUCAACAAGCAUUAUGCUUGAAUUAAAUUGUGCAAGGUUCGUUUCUUUUGUUUGAUUCAAAAACAAAAACAAAAAAAAAAAAACAAAAAACAAAAAAAAAAAAGAAAAAAAAAGAAAAAAAAAAAGAAAAAGAAAAAUCACAAAAAAAAAACAAAAAAAAAUGUUUACAUUCUUGGUGACUUAAGUAGAAAUAAGCAUUUUGAUAUCAUAAGUUCAUUCAAUGAGUUCAUUUUUCUCGUUUUAAUCUCUUUUUCUUUCGUAAACCUUUCUUUUUCAUUUAACCCAUUUAACCCCAUUACAACCCUCUUAAGACCCUUAGAUUUUUGCAUUUUAUUCAUGUUUUGUGGAUUGAGAUGUGAUAUAUGAGCAAGCUUAUGGUAAUAGCAUUCUUUGAUUUGAUUUGAGUGGAUAAAUGACACCCUAAAAACUUUGAGUGCAUGGAGUGAAGUUAUUGAGAGGGCUAUUAAAUCUUGUUGCACUUGAAUUUUGAAUGGAUCUCCUUGGUGGUUGAAUGUUCUUAUUCUAUCUUAUGAAAUUCUAUGCUUUAAAAUCCUUGUCUCUCGAAUGUUAAUCGACUUAAUUUCUUGAGGUAUGCUUUCUUAAAAUUGUUUUUGGAUGAGUUGAGAUGAGAAUUGAGUGGAGAUUUGAGAUUAAUCUUGAGUUAUAUGCUUGAGGACAAGCAUCAUCUUGGUGUGGGGGAAUUUGUUAGAGUGCAAUUUAUGCACUAGUUUUGCAUUGUUUACUUCCCUUAAUAUCGAUGUUUUACACUUAAUAAUAAUGUUUUACUUGUGUUUUACUUUUGUAGGUGCAAUUCUAUUGAUUGGUGAUAAAAUUGAGCUAAAAGAUGAUGUUUAAGGAGGAUUGUUCUCUUGGAGAAAUUAUGAGCGUCGAAAGAACUUUGUUGAUAAGGCGUGGGCGCGUGCUGUCAACUGCGGACCUGCAGUUUUUAGUUUAACGUGUUUUGUAUUUUUGGUUAUUUUUGUAAUUACGAAUUUAAUAUUUCAGAUAUUAGUAUUUUAUUUUAAAUAGAAUUCUAAAAGAGAAGAGAGAGAGAGUAUUUAAGGGAGGAAUCUAUUGUGAAAAGGGGGAUUUGGAUUGGAGAAAAAGAAAGAAACCCUAGAUCUAAUUUUUCUCUUCUCUCUAUGAAGAACUAAACCUAUUUUUCUGGUUGAAGGAUAAUGACGCUUUGAUUCAUCACUACUGUGAGAUUUUUCUUAUGCUUUAAUUGUUUUAUUACUUUUUGGGUAUUUGUUUAUUCUCUGAAUUAGUUUCAUGAUUAUGUUUGUUAAUUAGGUAAUUGUCCACUAUUUAAUUAUCAACUUAAUCUAUUGUCAAUUAAAGGAUUCAUCGUAUGAAGAAUUUAAUGUUUGUGACAAAUAACAUAGCAGAGAGUUGUGUUGUGAGAAUAAACAAUCUAAUUUAAAUGAAUCAUCAUAUGUGUUGAUUAGGAUUUGGGUCUCUCUGGUUUUUCAGGCUGUCAAUUGAUUAAAUCCUAUGAUCGUAUCAAGGGUUGUCUAUUGAUUAGGGAAAUAUCCAACGGUCGUACCUUGGUUAUCGACUAGUUAAGGAGAGAUUGGCUAUUAGAGGGUCUCAAUAGCUAUAACCGGUCUAUUCAUAAGUAAUAAUAAUAUAUAUUUGAAUCAAUGAUCAGUAGUCGAAUCAAGCUGAGUUAAUUCCUUCAACCAGAGCUUUCUCCAAUUUGAAUUACAACUUUAAUUUGCAUUUUGUAUUUAAUUUGAUUUUUAUUAUUGUCUACAAUUCCCCCAUUUUAUGUUUUACGUUUCAAAAGGAUUUAAAUAAUUACCGAUCUCUGUGGACACGACCCUGCUCAAUCACUAUACACAAUUUAUUUAGAGUAGGAAUUUAUUUUUGUUGGCUUCGACACCCAUCAGUUGAUUUGUGUUGUUUAUUGCUAGAUUUCGCAUAAUUGUUUGCUGAUUACUAGAACUGGCUCUGUUUGGAUCUGAUACCAUGUUUAAAAACAUAAAAAAUCACUGAUCAGUUUGUUUGGUUGCUAAGAAAAUUUGCUCUGUUUGCUGAGAAAGUUUCAAAGAAGAUUCUCGAUUUUUUUUAUUUCAUCUUUCUUACUUCACGAAUGAUUACAAACACACCUUUUAUACACAACUCAACUAGCUAACAGAAAGAAAGCUACAAAACAGAAUCUCAGUAAGCUUAACUAAUUUUGCUGAGCUGGCAUUACACACUUAACUAACUUCGGCUAACUAAAUUCUCACAUGUGCUAAGCAUGAGCAGACUGUUUGUACACAUUAUGUGCUUCUUUAACACAAUGGAGUUUUAAAAAUUUGGUACUUGUUAUCUUAUCGAAAGUUUUCAAAAUUAUAUGAAUGUUCAAACUUAGCCCCUCCCGGCACUGCCACUGCUUCUACGUGAAAGUCAUUUAAGUUUGUGUUAGCUGCCUAUAGAUUGAAUAACAAUUUUACUCCGGAUUUUUUGUCCAUUAUGAAAAUUUGAUUGAAAGUGCGGCUGCACUAAUUUUCUAGAUGAACUUCCCUACAUGUUUUUUCUCAUAUGACCCAGAAUACUGCUAUAACAAUUGUAUUGGAAACUAUUCAACUGGGUUACUAUUCUACAUCCCCACCAAAAUUUAAACAGUCGACAUUGUGGAAAGAAACUCAUUUCGCCACUAGGCUUUUAGUGAGGCUAAUUUCUCUGAAUUUGGACAGAGUAGAUUUCUAAGCUAAUGCUUGGAAGAUCUCUGGCGAUAUUACAAAGUGCAUGUACAUUGAGUCUUAAUAAAUAUAAACGAUUCUCUAAUAUGAUUCAAAACAUCACUACAUGCAUAAGUUAAUAAGAGAAAAAAUUAUAAGAUUAUUUAUGCAUCACCAUUUAUAGUUGCACCCUCUCUAAUGAAAUUGAAGGUGCAGCCAGCAAUUAAAAUGAAGCAGAAAUGUACAUUGACCCUUAAUAAAUAGAAACUAAGGCGUUAUCGAUUCAACUUCAGUUGAUCAAUUGCGGGUGAAAGAUAAAUAAAGGAUAAGAGAAUAGAGCUGGAGUGCUAAAUUGGCUAUUGAAGAAGGGUGUCACAUGAUCACAAUCACAUUGACGCACAACUCUUUGGAGGCAAAUUUUGUCUAUGUGUACUCUAAAUUCAGCCAAACCAUACAUGUAUGAACAGAAUUUAAACCGUAGUUCUCAUCACAAUAGUAAUUGAAGCUACAAAAGCCAGAAAAUCUGAACAAAAACUUAAAAGGAAGAUUUUAUUCAAGUUUGCCCCCAAAAGACAGUUGAAAUGAAAAAUAUUGACUAUUGAAUGGGUCAAUGCUGAAUUACAUUUCAAAUGGAAAGCUUGGCAACAGUUACAAUGUUUCCCCUCUGAUUUUCCUCCAAAACAAAUUCAGUUAUAAACAAUAACUGAAGUAGGAAUAAUUUAUUCAUCAAAGAAAAUACCCUAGUUUUCAACUAACAAAUCCUGCUAUCCAAAUUAAAAAAACUCGCAUCUCUAAAAUUUAUUUGUAAACUGUUGGAAAUGAGGAGUGAUCUGUCAACUCCGUAAAUAAACUCAGGCAUAAUAUUAAUAAUAAUUAUAAAUUACAUAAUAAUUAUUAUAAAGAAUCAUAAAUUGGAAACGCUAAUCAUUCUACAAUCUAUUAUAUAAGUAAGAUAAGUCUCAUAAUAAGUUAAGUUAUAAUGUAAUAAAUACUUUCAAUAUAUAAUUAUUUAAGAAGGCAUUUAACAAUAAAAUAUUUUUUUUUCUAUUCGGUUGAUCAUAUAGUGUUAUCUAAACUCUUGACGAUAUUAUUAUUACUCACUUUUCUAAAAAAAAAACAUGAUUAACGUUUAGAGAAAAGUCAUGCCCCUUAAAAAUAAUAUGUAUACAAGCUAUCCAUACUUUAUCUUACCAUGACAAAAUUGAUGGUGAUUAAAUCUACUUUUAAAAUAGAUUUAAUGCACAGAUAUUAUGACUUCUGGCAAAAAUUAGUUUUGGAAGACAUAAUGGUAGAAAAUAGUGAUGAUCAUUAUUUAAAUGUGUAAAUAGCCUAGGCAUAGCCUGUAAUACCAAUAUCCAUUUGCCUUUAUUUGGAUUAUCACAUUUCAUGAUAUUCUUAUAUUUAUGACCAUUGUUCGAGAUUUGAACUUGAUCAUAAAUUAAGCUGCAAGAGAUUUUACUUCAGUUUCUAAGCUUUUCAAUCGUGAUUCAUCCAUGCCUUUCUUGGAUACCAUUAUGUUACGUGCCAAUGUAACUGACCUUGUAAUUGGUGUGUAUAAGGAAACAUGCCCUUUCAAGAUUGUUUUCUUUUGUUUCCUUAUUGUAGUAGUCAAAUAAAUAAAGAACGAACAAUUGAACUUGGUCUACUUCGAGGAAAACCAAGGCCUGCAAUAUUAGAUGAACUUUGAACAAAAUUAAUCUACUGCUUUUAUUCAUCUUUGGACUAUGAAUUUAUACAAAGACUUUAACAAAAAAUAACAAAGACACAACUGAAUGAUAGCAACAAGUGCUGACUUAGCGGACUACUGCAACAACUAAAUAAAAACUAAAUAUUUAUUUUGACUGUAACAACAAUUGCCCUGAUGAAUAGGACUCCACAGCAGCCACGUGACAACUAAUUUCUCCUUAAUAUUAUUAUUAGUAGAAGUAGAUUUUCAAACUAGUCUUGAUAUAUUUCGAAGUUGUAUUAUUAUCAAUGUAUAUGUAUCUAGAUUGUAACUAUAUUUUAAAAAAUAUAAUUUUUUUAAUUAUUGCACAGUAAAUGUAGAAAAAUAUCUAUAAAAUAAUAUUAUUAGGACUAAGAAAAAAAUAUUAUUUUAUAUAAGUUAUUUAUUUAUUAUUGAAUGAAUAAUUUAUUAAUUUAUUGAUAAACGAAUAUUUAUUAAUUUAAAGAGAGAUUAUUUUGGUUUUAAGAAGAGUUUGUUUGGUACAUGUACACACUUAUAAAGAAACACAAAAGGUGCUUCCUCAAGUUAAUAGUAUUUGCUUUAAUCGCUAUAGUUCACAAUAAUAUAGCAUAGUUUGGAAAAUUGUAAUUAUACUAUGUCUACGUUUGGUACAAUUUUUCAAGAAGAACUUAUUUAAAUAGAGUUUUUGUUAGUAGAACAUUUAUAAAUAAAAUUUUUACUGAAAAAAUUUAAGUUAUUUGGUUGUCAUUGUCAAAAUUGAUGAACUUUUGAUCUUUUGUUAACAUGUGUUUUUUUUACUAAAUAAUAAAUGUUAGGUUACAAUUAUUUUCAAUAGUUUUUGAAGGAAUCAAGUUAUGAAAUUUUUAUCAAUGAACUUUCAAUAUGUCAGCAUAUGGUCUGUAAAAUUUGAGAGUUUUCCAAUGAGGGAAUAAUUUAUUAAAAAUAAGAGAAUAUGGAUUGUUCUGUUUUAAGGGCCGAUUAUUGAGGACAUUUGAGGUUGAGCUUAGGAGAUGUUUAAAUUGAGAUAUUUGAGGACAUUAUGUUAGCCUAAAGGGCUACACAUAAUGUAAUUUUGAUGAUAACAAACAUGUGUCUUAAGUAAAAAUAAUAAAUAUUGUAUUUCACAUUUUCACUAGUUUUUGAAGGAUAAUAUUUAUGCAAGUGAAUCAAGUGAAAUCAAGAUUGAAGAUACUCAACGGACAACGGCGACAUCAAGAAUAUAGUUUAGAGCUCAAUGAACAAAUUAGUGCGAUAAAUUCUUGUAAAGCCGGUAUGAUUUAAUUGAUGCAUGAUUUAGCAUUUGAGAAGCUCAAGAGAUUAAUUUAAUUAAAUACUUUUCAUAAACUAAAAGGUUUUAUUUUUAUAAAGUAAAGUAUUUUGUGGAUUUGAGUAAUUUGGACUUAAAUGCUAAGAUUUGAAAUCUUUGAUUUUAAUAAGUAUUAAAUUUCGGAGUUGGACGUUUUGAUAAACAUUUGAAAUGUUUUGGGUCAUACUAUAAUUUAUAAAUAUUUUGGACUAAAGUGAAAGGUUUUGAGAACUUUGAAAAAUAUGGGUAUUAUGUUGAAAAGGACCUUUGUGCGAACUAAAAAUUUCUUUGGGGCCAUAUCAUAAUUUCAGAAAGUUUGGGAAGACAACUACUCUUAGGAAGUUCUGAAAUUGGACCUAUUUGCAAAGUUUUAUGACAUUUUGAGCCAUAGUAUAAUUAUAGAAAGUUUUGAGCCAAAGUAUAAUUUUAGUGAACAGUGUUACUAUAGCAAUUCAAAAAUAACGGUAAUAUCACUGUUCCUGAGCGGCUAGCCGGAUAAAUCAAGCGGCUAACUGCUUGGGCGAGGGAAUUUGCCUAUAACGGCUAGUUUUCAGGCUUUAACUAUAAAAACUCAGCUCAAACUUCAUUCUAAGUACUAAUGCAUGCAAAUAUAAGAUCAUACAACAUAUAUUGAGCUUCCAAAAUGCAAAUCAUCAUUGAUUGAAUCAUUGUUGAGCUAUUAGUUGCAUAUCCACUCUUAAAGAGAGUUUUUGUUGUAAUUUUCAUUUCUUAUCAAAUUGUGAGUGUGUGAGUGUGUAAGUGUGGGAAACACUUGGGGUGAAGAGAUUGGGGAGAUAAUCUCUUGGUUGUAAAGGUUCAUUGACACCUUGGAAGUCAAUUGUAAAAACUUGAACCCUUGAGAGGCUUGGAUAGUGAAAUCCUCGAGCAUGGUUGGCUUGGAGGCGUGGACGUAAGCAGGGAUUGCCGAACCACGUAAAAAUCCGCGUGUUUGUUUCUCUCUUCCCUUGCUCUUUUAUUUUUACGCUUGUUUGAAUUUAUUGUUCUCUAUUUCAUUAAGGCGUUAGAUUGAUUUAUUGUGCGAAUUGUAUUGCAUUAUUUUUAAAAACUCAAUUCACCCUCCCUCUUGGGUUGCAUUACUUGCAUUUACAUUAGAGUUUAUGAUUGAGACUCGAUUAUAUCUUAUGAGAAAUUUAUUGAUGAUUUUAGGUUGAUGAUAACAGUACGCAUUUGUUACAUGAGGAUGCCAAGAGGUAAGUAAACUAGACUUAAAAACGAAUCACAAUAAACAAUAUAUAUGUUUGACUUGUAUGAAAAGUCUAUUUUGAUAUGUACGAAUAUAGAUUUAUAUGUCUCUACUCAUGUGUUUAUGUGAUGUGUUGUUAUGUAUUGGGCGUGAUUAUGUACAUAGGCAUAUGUAUGUGUGAUGGUUCAUUGUCAUGAGCACGAAAAUGCAUUGAGUUUUCUAUGAAUGAAAAGUGGAUUUUAGCAAAUGAGAUUUCUCUUUUAUGAGAUUUUGCAUUGGGGGCCACCUCUUGAGGGCCAGAGUGCCGCAAAGUACCACGCACAACACAAAGUGCCACAUUGCAGGAUACGUAUUUUAUUGAAAGGAAAUAUGAAAGUUUGAAAGCGACAGAAAGAGAUUUUUAUGAAUUUGUUUUACAGUAUUUCCAAAAGAUCAUGGCAUAGCAUCCAUCUACAUUAUGUAUAAGUAUGCAUGUUUGCUUAUUGAGUUUUGUACUCAUUAUAGUUUAUUAUGAUUCAGUUUCCAGAAGUCAGGAUUGAUUCGUGAUGAGUGAGAAGAUGAAUUUAAAUUGAGGAUGGUAGAUGGUUUGGCUAAAUUUUUAAGUUAUUCCGCUGGCUUUUGUAUUCGAGGCUCGAAUUUUAUCGGUUGUAAAGAGUUAUUUAAAUUCAUAUGUGAGUUGUAGUCAGAUUUGCCCUCGGAGUUCGGGUUGGGGCGUUACAGAUGCAGAAACAGAAAACUAUUAGCUUAUCUUGAUUUUCCCACUAUAUUCAUUUUCGAUGCUUUUCAAACGAGAUUCUUUUAAUCCUUCUGGCGUAUGCAGCCCUUGCUCUUCUUAUAAAUCUCCAUCCGACAUCUGCACUAGGAACAAGUUGAUUGAAAUUAAAUAACAUUAGAGAUGACGGACGGUUGAGCCGUUAACUCGGUAAAAAAACUCAUAUAUAAUAUUACUAAUAAAAAAAAAUAUAAUAAUCAUUACUAAGAAUCAUAAAUUAGAAAAAUUAAUUAUUUUACAAUCUAUUUCGCAAGUAAGAUAAAUCUCAUAAUAAGUUAAGUUAUAACGUAAAAAACAUUUUCAAUUUAUAAUCGUUUAAGAAGUCAUUUAACAAUAAAAUCUUUCUUUUGGUCAGUUGGCCAUGCCACAGAGUAUCAUCUAUAUUCGUGGUGAUAUUAUUAUUACUCCGUAUUCUCAAAAAACUUGAUUUAACAUUUAGAGAAAAUUCCUACCAUUUAAAAAGAACAUGUAUGCAGCAGCUACCCAUACUUUAUCUUACCCCGACAAAAUUAAUGGUGACUAAAUCAAUUUUCUCGAUUAAAGCAAAAUUUUCUUAAAAACGAUUUAAUGCACAAAUAUGAUGACUUUUUGCAAAAAUUAGUUUUGGAAAAUAUAGUGAGAGAAAAUAGUGACGAUUAUUGUUUAGAUGUGUAAAUAGCCUAAACAUAAUUGCUAAUACCAACAUCCACGUGCAUCUUAACACCUUUCGUGAUAAUCUUUCAUUCAUGGUCACUGGUUCAAGAUUUGAAUUUGAUCAUUAAAUCAUGUUCAAGAAUAUUAGAGAUCCCAACAAUUGAGUUCCAACUUAAAUCCUAAUGCUAUGUGUCAUUGACCAAUAUUGUGUCAUUUUUUGUUAACUGGGUGAUGAAUUUCUAGUUGAUAAAAUUACUUAAAAAUAUCUUAAAAAUCAGAUAAUAGUUAGCUUAAUUUUUUGAAGCUAACUGCUCAAGAUGCUCUAUUAGAAAUGAUAACCUAAUUAUAUAAAAAAAAAAAUGAUGUAUUUUUUUCGGUGUUGAUAGUGAGAUUAUCAUUCAACAUGUUAAAAUAUGAAAACAUAUGGAAGAAGGUUGUAAAUUGAUUGAAUGAAAAUAUUUCAGUGAAGUCUAAAAAAUUUGGUACUUGUUAUCUUAUCGAAAGUUUUCUAAAUUACAUUCGUGGCACUGCCACUGCUUCCAUGUGAAGGUCAUUAAAAUUUGUGUUAGUUACCUAUAUGUUGAAUAAUAAUUUUAUUCAUGAAUUGUUGCUCAAUAUAGCAGUUUCUAGAUGAAUUUUCCUACAUGUUUGUCCUCAUAUGACCUAGAAUGCUGCCAUAUCAAUUGUAUUGGAAAUUAUUCAAGUGGGUUUGUGCUCUAUACCCCCACCAAAAUUUAAGCAAUCUACAGAACAUUCCUUGUGGAAAGAAACUUAUUUCGCUACUAGGUGGGAGUAGAUUUCUAAGCUAAUGCUCGGCAGAUCUCUAGGCUAUACUAAAAAGUGUAUGCACUUUGACUCUCAAUAUAUACGAGUGAUUCUAUGAUAUGACUGAAAACAUCAGUACAUGCAUGAUUUUAUAAGAAAGAAUAUUCUAAAAUUAUUUAUGUAUCACCAUUUGAAGUUGUACCCUCUCGAAUGAAGGUGCAAUCAGCAACUAAAAUGAAGCCCGAAAUGUACACGCGUGAAGCAGUUUUUCUAGAAGAUUGAUAUUUCUCAAACUAGCAAACCGUACAAGUCCAAAGCUAGAAAAAGGAGUGCUUCUAAGCAGAAAACAUUGAUUAAAACAGAAUGCACACAAACAUACCAGCAAAUUCAAAAUAGAAAAAGGAGUGCAACUGUUCAAGUUUGUGGACAAUAUUGCAACCGUGGCAUAUUUAUAGCAAAUCCUUGAAAUCUGCUAAAUAAACAAUGCCCUGUCUCAUGAAUCAAAGCCGAAUUAAAAUUGAAAUUGAAAGUCCGGCUGGUGUUGUUUCCCUCUCCAGUUUUGCCCACAUAAGUGAAGGGAAAUGAGAAUCAUAAACUAAAAUCUGCUUUUACAGUUCUUAUUAGAUAGAUAUAAAGGGAUCUUUCUUUGUUUCUCUGCUGCAAUUUGUGGCUAUCCCACUCUGUUUUGCCACUCAAGCUUAGUCUACGUUGAGACACAAUUUUGACAUCAGAAGCAACCUCAAUUAGUUUGGCAUUUUUAUGACCUCCUUGUACGUUUUACGAUAAACAUAAAUCUACUGAGAAAGUGGGAAAAAAAGAAAAUGCAUAUAAAAGUAUGAGUUAUCAGACAUGAUUAAAACUCACCCAAUUCAAUCCAUUAGAUUCCGUAAGGAUAUAACUGGAUGUCAUACCGCCAUUCCAUAUCCUCGAAAGUCCGUAGCCUCUGUCUCAACUCUGUCUGAGGCCAAUGUAAAUCCAAUAUGCGCAAGCUCUUUAUGCACCACAGCUCUUCUGGAAGCUUUCUCAAGUAAGCACAAGGGUUGACAAUUAAGCUUUCAAGUUUUGGCAUUGCUCCAGCCCCCAUCGUCCACUCAUCUAGCCAAAACAUUGAUUUCAGGUGCAAAACCUUACGUUCCGGAAAGCAACCAGGGCCAACGCAGGCCAGCUUUCUUCCUAAAUACGAGUUUUGCUUCAGUUUCAGCACUUGAAGGCGUGGAAGCUUUUCCAGCAUUGGCAUGGGAUCCUCCAUUAGCUCAGUAUUCGAUAAGCUCAGAUGGCUCAGACUUGGAGGAAAUUGGUAUUCAGACAGGAUAAUCCGUGAGGGCUUGCUCUCAUUCACCAGCUUCAAGCAUUCAAGUUUGUGCAGUUCGCAUAGGCUUUUGGAAACCCCGGAUUGAUAGUAACUCAAAUCUCCAGAUAUUCUUAGACUUUGGACAAGAUAUUCUUAGACUUUGGACAUUUGGUAGUCUGCCCAAUAUAGCUGGACUGCAACUACUAGGAUGUAAGGCUGAUAAGAAAAUGAGAUUUUUCAGAGAGCUUCAAUAAUUUUUUGGAGGUGCGGGCAGAGUGAUGCAACCGAAGUUUAGAUGCAUGAGUUUUUGCAUCAUCCAAAUAUCCUCUGGUGAAUGAUCUAUGUAGCUAGAUGGCAUUUCUAGCGUUUGAAGGUUUAAAAGGGAGCAUAGCAGUGAAGGAAUGCAUUUGAGCGAAGGGAUAUUCAAUUUCAAAUACUUCAAAAGGAAUAAAUUUUCUAAUCCGGCUGGAUAUUGGUCGAGAACUGCAGAACCCAAGUUCAAUACCCGAAGGUAUUUGAACUUGUCGCAAUCUAUCAGAGCGAGAUGAUCGCUUGCCGAACUGUUAUUCAGAAAAGAUUGGAGAUACAUGUCAGAAUGUCCUAAAGAUAAAAACCCAGUCAGAUCUUGGGCAAUGACGCACCGUUUAACAUUUGCCACUGGCUCCUCUUCCCUGUCACGCAUCCAUACAAAUUCCGUCUUCUCUGCCACCGAGCACAGUAAAGUAAAUUCAAAACCUGGAACAUAAAACGCUUUAAUUGUGCCGCCGGCUCCUCUUACUCACUUGAAUGAAGCCGCAAUGGAUUAGUUCUUUCAAGUAAUGUUCUGCCGUCUCCUCACUGUUGUAUGGUAUGAAACCUUCAGCUACCCACAACUGAUAUAAUUGUCUCGUAGAUAUCUCAAUGUCUGGACGGAAGACAAACAAAUAGGUGUAGCAGACUUUCAAGUGAAAAGGUAACUCCAUCACAGAAUAAAUUUGUCUCCAAAUUGUCCGAAUCGCUUAGGCUUGAAGAUAAUUUUCUAAUGGCAUACUUCCAUAGUGUAGGAUGAAAAAUUGCCAGGCCUCAUACUUUAAUCUGAUCAAUGGUCCUCCAACGAGCACAGAAUCAGGCCGAAUCUUCUCUCCAUUUUCCAUUUCCAACGACACAAGGAGUUCUGGAUCAGUGACUGUUAUCAAUACUCUGCUUCCAUUCUCAUUAUCAGGGAGACCUUCUUCGAGAUCAUCCCAUAUCUCACUGUUAUCGAAGACAUCAUCAAGCACAAUAAAGUACUUCUUGUUUGUUAGGUAAUCUCGAAGAAUAGAUUUCUUCAAUUGAUAAUUGAAAGAGUUUGUAUAUAGUGUUUGGUUUAAGAGAAACUAACAAGAAAAUAAAAGAAAAUCAUAAAGAACCAGAUCUGAAAAUGAUCAUAUUCUCAUUUUUUGACUAAUGAUUACAACUUGUUAUUUAUAGUAAAGAUCAGAGGCGUCACGUAGCUUGUCAGUUUGUUGGAUCUAAUAUGCAUGCAGUACAGUUCGUUAUCUUUGCUGCUGAGCUGGAUAACUAACUCAACACACGUAAGCAUCAGCAGCUCCAUUUAAUCAGAUGCUCUCAUCUAUACCAUAUUAUCAUACUCUAUAACAUCCUCCCUCAAGCUGAACUGACCUGGAUGGACAUUCAGCUUGCUUCUUAGAUAGUGAAACUGAUUGAAGGUUAGUGCCUUGGUAAGAACAUCGGCAUUUUGGUCUUCACUGGGAAUGAACUGAACUGUAAUUUGCUUAGCUGUUACUUUGUCUCUGAUGAAGUGAAUAUCAAGCUCAACAUGCUUAGUUUUAGCAUGAUAAACAGGAUUGUGAGCUAAAGCUAUGGCACUUUGAUUAUCACACCACAUUAUGGGGGCUGUGACAAGAUGAAUAUGUAGCUCUUUCAGUAAGGACUGAAUCCAAGUAACCUCAGCUGUAGCUUGAGCCAAAGCUCUGUAUUCAGCUUCAGUGCUUGAUCUGGAAACUACUGCCUGUUUCUUAGACGACCAAGAAACCAAAUUUGAACCAAGAUAAACAGCAUAACCAGCCACUGAUUUGCGAUCAUCCUUAUCACAUGCCCAAUCUGAGUCACUAAAACAAUUUAUCUGCAUAGUGCCGUAAUGAUAAAAAUGUAAUCCAAAAUGAAUUGUUCCUUUCAAAUAUCUAAGAAGCCUCUUACAAGCCUCCCAGUGCUCUGCUGUUGGUGAAGCUAAAAACUGACUAAGUUUGUUUACAGAGAAAGCUAUUUCUGGCCUAGUGAGAGUCACAUAUUGUAAAGCUCCAACUGCACUUCUAUAUUGAGAACUAUUUGAAAUAACACUUCCUGACCCCUUUGUAAGAUAAUGACCAGUGGCCAUGGGAGUAGGAACUGGACUGCAGUCAGCCAUAUUGUGUUUGGCUAGAAUAUCAGCUAUGUAUUUAGAUUGAGAGAGAUAAAUUCCAGAUGCUGUUUUGGUAACUUCUAUCCCAAGAAAAUAACUCAAUUUGCCCAGAUCCUUCAAAGCAAAAGCAUUUUGCAUAUUGGUAAUCACUUGCUGCACCAUUUGAUCACUUGAGCCUGUUAUGAUUAUAUCAUCCACAUAGACAAGAACAAAAAUUACUUGAUCACCUAUCCACUUGUAGAAAAGGGAGUUGUCUGACCUUGAAUUUUGGAAACCCCAUUUCACAACCAUAGCAUCUUUCAGUCUCUCAAACCAUGCCCUGGGGGCUUGUUUUAAACCGUAGAGAGCCUUUUUCAACUUACAGACAUGAAGAGGUCGAGAUGGAUCAAUGAAGCCCUCUGGCUGCCCCAUGUACACAUCUUCAACUAAUAUGCCAUUCAAAAAGGCAUUAUUCACAUCCACUUGUCUGAGCUCCCAUUUAUUCAUAACUGCCAAACUUAAAAUAACUCUGACUGUGGAUGCUUUAACAACUGGACUGAAUGUUUCUGUGUAAUCAACUCCUUGUGUCUGAUGAAACCCCUUAGCCACUAACCUGGCUUUGUAUCUAGAAAUGGUUCCAUCAGCAUGAUAUUUUAUCUUGAAUAUCCAUUUGUUACCAACUACCUUAACUGGUUCACUUGGCAAAACCAGAUCCCAUGUAUGAUUAUUCUGAAGUGCUUGAAAUUCUUCUUGCAUUGCCUUAAACCAUUUUGGAUUAGAUAAAGCAGCUGAAACAGAAGUAGGUUCUGAAGGUAUGGCUAGUAAAGCAGCUAAAUAAGAUUUAGGCUUAAAUAUACCAGCCUUGGAUCUGGUUAUCAUGGGAUGACCUAUAGGUGGUGCAGCAGGUAAUAUAUGAGGAGGAGAUUGUGUAUGAUGUAUAGGAUGUGUAUGUGAUGUCAAAGUAGAAGAUGAAGAGGAGGUUGAAGAAGGAGAGAAUACCUGUGGAGUGUCAGCAGGUAGGUAAUCACUUGCUAGAGAUUGUUGCAGGGGGGAUUGUACUUGUGGGAUUGGAACAAGAGUAACUUUGGACUCUGAAGAAAUAUCUGAGGGACUGCAAGACUGAGCAAUGGAAGAGAAGUCUAAUCCAGAUACAUAUGGAAAAGAUUGUUCAUCAAAGAUGACAUGAUUGGACACAUACACACGACCAGAUGAAUGAAGACACUGAUACCCUUUAUGAGAAGAGCUAUACCCAAUAAAAACACAUCUGUUUGAUCUAAAACUGAGCUUGUGUCUGUUAUAAGGUCUGAGAUAAGGAAAGCAAGCACAACCAAAGACCCUAAGAGAGACAUAAUCUGGUACUUGCUGAAAAAGUUUUUGGUAAGGUGAAAUGUAUUCAAAGUUGGUGUGGGUAGUCUGUUAAUAAGGAAUACAACAGUAUGAAAGGCAUUCCACCAGAACUUAAGUGGUAAAUUAGCUUGAGCUAACAGAGUGAGGCCAAUGUCCACUAUGUGUCUAUGUUUUCUCUCAAUUCUUCCAUUUUGAUGAUGGAUAUGUGGACAAGGAUGCCUGAACUGAAUUCCAAACUGAGUGAGAUAUGAUGCAAAGGUUCUAAACUCCCCUCCCCAAUCUGUUUGAACUGUUUUGAUGUGUUGUUGUAAGUGUUUUUCAAUAAAAGAUUUGAAUUCUGUGAAAACUUGGAGUGCAUCUGAUUUGGCAGUCAAAGGAAAAAUCCAUGUGAAUCUGCUAAAAUCAUCUAAAAUGGACAAAUAAUAUAUAUAGCCUUGAGUGGAUGCAACAUGUGAUGGUCCCCACAAAUCAGCAUAUAUAAGUUGUAAUGGUGCUGUUGUUUUUGUUGGAAUAGAUCCAAAAUGUAAAAGGUGACUUUUACCAUGUUGACAGGCAUUGCAAAAGUUUGGAGUUUUAUUGAGUACAUUGAAACUAUUACAAGCUUUCAAUACAGAUUUGAGUGUGUGUAAGGCAGGAUGUCCUAGCCUUUUAUGGAAAACAUUGACAUCGACUGAGCUAGUAUUGACAGCCAAGGCUGAUUUACACAGCAAAUGAUGAGACAAAGUACUCUUACUUAUUUCAGGAGAAAUAUCACUAGACAAAGGAGAAUGAAAAGCAAACAAAGACUGAGGUUUAUUGGAAGAAAGUUGACAAGACAAGGCUGAGCUAGUUUCAGAGACUUGAGCUGCAGAUUGGACUUGAUACAAUCCCCCUGUUGCAAUUCCUCUAAGCAAAGUGAUCCCUGAGUUCCUGGCCUUGACAACACAGACAUUUGCAAAAAACUCAAGUGUCACAUUAUUAUCUACUAAGAGCUUUGAAACACUGAGUAAAUUUUUCUUAAUAUUUGGAACAUGAAGAACAUGGUUUAAACACAAGGGUUUAUUUGCAGUAGUAGCUAGCAAUACUGAUCCAAUAUGCUGAAUAUGCAAUGCAGAACCAUUCCCAACAAGCAAUUUGUCAGUUCCAACAUAUGGCUUGAGAUCCAGUAAUUUACCUGGGUCAUUUGUGAUGUGGUUAGUAGCACCACUGUCAAUGUACCAAGCUGGAUCUUCAAUCAUCUCAGGUGCAUGAGCUGGAACAGGGACUGAAGGAGAUCCAGAGUAAUCUCCAGUAGGAGCAAAAGCAUGAGCAGGAGAGUAACCACCAUGAGAAUUAGAUGGUUGAUAAACAUUGAAAGCAGCUGGAUCUGAAUACAUCAAAUGGCCUUGAUAACCAGGUGCUCUUGGUAUGUUGAAAUUACCAAACUGAGAGUUACCAAUUCCAGCACCAUAUUGAGGAUUAAGAUUUCUACCAAAAUUACCAAAAUUUCCAUAAGCCAUAGAAGACCUAUUGCCAUUAGCAUAGCCAAAACCUCUACCAUACUGCCUCUGACCAGGCCUAAAAUUUCCAUUAAAACCACCUCUUCCUUGAUUUCUUGAAGGAACAAAAGCUGAGUUAAACCUAUUCCUGCAUUUAUUGGCACCAUGACCAGGAAUGAAAUAGAUCUGACAUACAAUUUGUGAGAAGUUACCAUCACUAGAUCCAGCUCCAGAAUUAUAACUUCCUCCAUACGAUCCAAUGUUAAACUUCUGAUUACCACUAGUGUUUUUACUAGGAUUGAACUGCUUUUGAGCAACAUUAGCUGACAAGUUAUGUGUAACAUCACUUGCAAUUUUUCCUCUCUUUUGUUCCACAUGAUUUUCAUGACUCAAUAACAAUGAAUAAAACUCAUCAAGACUGAUAUUAUCUCCUCUAGCUAACACAGUAGUAACUAGUGAUUCAUAAUCAGAGGAAUCCAAUCCAGUCAAAACAUGUUGAACGAAAUCAUUCACUUCAACAGGUUUUCCAGCUAAAGCCAAGCUAUCAGAUAUCCUUUUCAUUUUUGCAAAAUAAUCAGUUAUGGACAUCGAGCCUUUUUUAAGAGUUUGGAUUUGCAUUUUUAGAGGCAUUAUUCUAGCUUGUGACUGGGAAACAAACAUACUUGUAAGUGUAUCCAGCAGCUCCUUUGCAGUUGAGCAGUGGAUCACAGUUGUCAACAGAUUCGGCUGAAUAGAUGAGAGCAUCCAGCUCAGAAUCAAUUGAUCCGUCUUUAUCCACAUUGUGUAAGCUGGAUUGAUCUCUUGAUUCUCUGUUCCAGUUGAGAAACCAGCAGCAGAGCUUAUAGCAGAGAAAAAUUUUCCCGGACAGACUUGAUUUCCAUUGAUGAAAUCUUCUAAACCAUUUCCUUUAAUGGAUAUGAGAAUCUGAGUUCGCCAAACAAUGAAGUUAUUAUGAUCUAGUUUUAUCGGAGUAAUAAAACUAUAGGAUCCAGAAUUUUGAUUCGAAUUUGCCAUUUGUUAGCUCUGAUACCAUGAAAGAGUUUGUAUAUAGUGUUUGGUUUAAGAGAAACUAACAAGAAAAUAAAAGAAAAUCAUAAAGAACCAGAUCUGAAAAUGAUCAUAUUCUCAUUUUUUGACUAAUGAUUACAACUUGUUAUUUAUAGUAAAUAUCAGAGGCGUCACGUAGCUUGUCAGUUUGUUGGAUCUAAUAUGCAUGCAAUACAGUUCGUUAUCUUUGCUGCUGAGCUGGAUAACUAACUCAACACACGUAAGCAUCAGCAGCUCCAUUUAAUCAGAUGCUCUCAUCUGUACCAUAUUAUCAUACUCUAUAACAUCCUCCCUCAAGCUGAACUGACCUGGAUGGACAUUCAGCUUGCUUCUUAGAUAGUGAAACUGAUUGAAGGUUAGUGCCUUGGUAAGAACAUCGGCAUUUUGGUCUUCACUGGGAAUGAACUGAACUGUAAUUUGCUUAGCUGUUACUUUGUCUCUGAUGAAGUGAAUAUCAAGCUCAACAUGCUUAGUUUUAGCAUGAUAAACAGGAUUGUGAGCUAAAGCUAUGGCACUUUGAUUAUCACACCACAUUAUGGGGGCUGUGACAAGAUGAAUAUGUAGCUCUUUCAGUAAGGACUGAAUCCAAGUAACCUCAGCUGUAGCUUGAGCCAAAGCUCUGUAUUCAGCUUCAGUGCUUGAUCUGGAAACUACUGCCUGUUUCUUAGACGACCAAGAAACCAAAUUUGAACCAAGAUAAACAGCAUAACCAGCCACUGAUUUGCGAUCAUCCUUAUCACAUGCCCAAUCUGAGUCACUAAAACAAUUUAUCUGCAUAGUGCCGUAAUGAUAAAAAUGUAAUCCAAAAUGAAUUGUUCCUUUCAAAUAUCUAAGAAGCCUCUUACAAGCCUCCCAGUGCUCUGCUGUUGGUGAAGCUAAAAACUGACUAAGUUUGUUUACAGAGAAAGCUAUUUCUGGCCUAGUGAGAGUCACAUAUUGUAAAGCUCCAACUGCACUUCUAUAUUGAGAACUAUUUGAAAUAACACUUCCUGACCCCUUUGUAAGAUAAUGACCAGUGGCCAUGGGAGUAGGAACUGGACUGCAGUCAGCCAUAUUGUGUUUGGCUAGAAUAUCAGCUAUGUAUUUAGAUUGAGAGAGAUAAAUUCCAGAUGCUGUUUUGGUAACUUCUAUCCCAAGAAAAUAACUCAAUUUGCCCAGAUCCUUCAAAGCAAAAGCAUUUUGCAUAUUGGUAAUCACUUGCUGCACCAUUUGAUCACUUGAGCCUGUUAUGAUUAUAUCAUCCACAUAGACAAGAACAAAAAUUACUUGAUCACCUAUCCACUUGUAGAAAAGGGAGUUGUCUGACCUUGAAUUUUGGAAACCCCAUUUCACAACCAUAGCAUCUUUCAGUCUCUCAAACCAUGCCCUGGGGGCUUGUUUUAAACCGUAGAGAGCCUUUUUCAACUUACAGACAUGAAGAGGUCGAGAUGGAUCAAUGAAGCCCUCUGGCUGCCCCAUGUACACAUCUUCAACUAAUAUGCCAUUCAAAAAGGCAUUAUUCACAUCCACUUGUCUGAGCUCCCAUUUAUUCAUAACUGCCAAACUUAAAAUAACUCUGACUGUGGAUGCUUUAACAACUGGACUGAAUGUUUCUGUGUAAUCAACUCCUUGUGUCUGAUGAAACCCCUUAGCCACUAACCUGGCUUUGUAUCUAGAAAUGGUUCCAUCAGCAUGAUAUUUUAUCUUGAAUAUCCAUUUGUUACCAACUACCUUAACUGGUUCACUUGGCAAAACCAGAUCCCAUGUAUGAUUAUUCUGAAGUGCUUGAAAUUCUUCUUGCAUUGCCUUAAACCAUUUUGGAUCAGAUAAAGCAGUUGAAACAGAAGUAGGUUCUGAAGGUAUGGCUAGUAAAGCAGCUAAAUAAGAUUUAGGCUUAAAUAUACCAGUCUUGGAUCUGGUUAUCAUGGGAUGACCUAUAGGUGGUGCAGCAGGUAAUAUAUGAGGAGGAGAUUGUGUACACACUGAUCCAUGUACAACACAUCUCUUGAUUAUCUGUGUGUGUGCUGCUCAUCAAUGAUUAACAAGAUACAGUAGUUUUGUGAAGUCUCAUGUCUUGUGUUACAAAAUUUUGUGAUGGAAAGAAGGAAUAAUUCAACUAAAAAAAAAAAACACACGCGCGCAGCACACACACAGAGGGCCGCAACUAGCCCUUGAACCCCUAUUGAACUCGCACAAGAUACUAUUGAACUAAAUUCAAAAACAGCUGUUAAUAGCAUCUUAAAAUAUGGGUUCUAUCCAUACUCCCACCUGAAUCAUUUCUUGCGGCAUGACUCAAAAAUAACAAUAAGCCUGUCGCACCGAUAACUCAUUAGUGCAAUUUUUUUAACUCAAAAAAUUGAUACGCGUUCAUUUAGCGAAAAGUCCAAGACGCUUGCCUUUUGAAAAGAAGAGGUAUCCAAUAGAUAUCCAACCUUUAUCUUAUUUAAUUACUACCACGACAUGAUUGAUGGUGCUUAAAUCGAUUGUUUCUUUUUUAAUUUAAAGAAUUUUUCAUUAAAAAAUAUUUUAAUAUCAAAUUGCCUUCAAUAGCGUAACUGCCGCAGGCCCAGUAACAAGAUUAAUUAAAAUUUUUUGAAUUUUUGGGCAUGGAAAGAGUAGUAUUAGACUUCAGAAAGCUUAAGGUUGUUAUGUUAAAGAAUUGAUAUUGACAUAAUUUUAUUUUGGUUUUCGGGAAACAAAUUAUUUGUUGACAAGCAAGAAAAUAUUUUUGUAUUUUACAAUUUAUUAUACAUAUUUUAUCAUAUUAAAGUAAUUUUAAUAAUAAAUAGACACAUAAUAUUACAACAAAUAAAGUAAAGUUUAAAUUAUUUUGAAUAUUAUAAAAAUAAUUUUAAUAUUAUUAAUAGGAAGACAUUUUGUUAAUUUUAAAAUCUUUUUAACCUAAAGGUUUAUUUAAAAUCUUUAGAAAUCUCCAUCCCACAUCUACCCUAUUAAACAAGUUGAUGGAAAUUGAACAAUUGCUUUUUGAAGUGGACCCAUUGAGUUAUGUUCAUUACUGGUCAUUGUCUAUUCUUUCUAAGAGCCACUUGUUUUGAGCAUUAGCAAUCCUAUCUGGACUACUCCAAUUAUUGAUGUAACUCCAAUGGUUGCAUCAACAGUUGAAUGUAAGAUAGUGUUAGUUCUUUUUUGAGAAUAUAGAGGGAUCUUUAUUUGUUUCUCCGUUGUAGCGUAUUAGUAUAAAUUUCUUUACCUUACAGUUCCUACAGUCUUCCUGUUAAUGAAUUCGCUGAGGCAUUAUUGAUCCAAUCUCAGUGAAGUAAUUGUGGGUGAAAAAAAAAAAUAAAGGAUAAGAGAACGUAGCUGAAGUGCUGAAUUGACUAUUAAAGAAGAGCGUCACCUGAUCACAAUCACAUUGAUGCACAACUCACUCAGAUCAUUACAACGUCCUUUUCGCUAAUUAAUUAUGAUUAUAUACAUUUUCAUAUGGCAAGUGGCAUUGUAGAUCUAAACUACGUUGCUAUUUCAUUACGUUAAUUAAGUGAUUCUCCUCAUUGUCAUCAGCGCUUUUUGGGCAUGGAAAGAGUAGUAUUAAACAUUAGAAAGCAAAGGUUGUUCUGUCAAAGAAUUGAUAUUGGCAUAAUUUUAUUUUUGCUUUCGAGUAAAAAAAAAAAAAUUGUUGACAAGCAAGAUACUGUUUUUAUAUUUUACAGUCAGUUAUACAUAUUUUAUCAUAUUAAAGUAAUUUUAAUAAUAAAUGGAAACAUAACAUUACAAUAAAUCAAUUAAAGUUUAAAUUAUUUUGAAUAUUAUAAAAAAUAAUUUUAAUAUUAUUAAUAGGAAGAUAUUUUGUUUAUUGUAAAAUCUUUUUAACCCAAAGGUUUAUUUAAAAUCGUUAUAAUAAAUAAAAAUAUAAAAACAAAAUAAAUAUCAUAAUUUAAAAUUUUAAUAUUAUUUUAAAUAUUAAAAAUACUUUAAUGCUAUUAGUCUACUACCCAGGUUAUAUUACGUAUAUUAUAUUUGUAUAAAUUAAAACUUUUAAAGUUAAAUUUUUAAUUACUAUAUUGAAAAGUUAUUAUGGUUAAAAAAAGUUUUGGCAUUUCUUUUUGAAAAUUUGAGGGUCUGCAUGACAAUUUGUCCAAAUCCUAGAGGUAUAGGUGUCUUUUUUUUUUUUCGAUAAUCAUUUUACUUUUGAGGGAAUCCGAUGAGAAAUAAGAUAAGAGAAACGUCAAUUUAAGGUUCUCUAGGGAAAACCAAGAACUAUUCAAUUUUGUAUUUUUUGUUUGUAAAACGAAAAACAGUUUGCCAAAAAAGGUACCAAACAUAUCCUUAAUGUCUCACAUGAUUUCUUAUUAAGUCCAUACUCGAUAUAUUUAUACAUUUUAGGUAUUUUAGUUAUAAAAGAAGUUGGUCCUCCCUUUGUUUAUAAAAGGUAACUUUAUUUCGAGAUUACCACUAAAGUCUUGCAAAGAAUUAGUGUAAUGUUAAGAGAGAAUAACACAGUUUUCCAUUACCAUUUUGAAAAUAGAAAGAUGUGGAUGUGUGCAUUUAAUAUUGCGUUUACUUGCUGGAUUGAGGAAUCGGAAUCUAGAAUCGGAAUGAUUGAUGGUGUUUACUUUGCAAAUAUGGAGCAGGAAUCGGAAUUGGAAUGGUGGGGGCCACCACUAUUUGGGAAUGGGAGAUUGAUUCUCAUGGGGGAAGGUGGGAAUGAGUCUCCCAUUCCCUGGAUUGACCAUUUUGCCCUCCCUCAAAAUUAAAAAUGCCUACUUUGUCCUCUUUUAUAAUUAAUUAAUAUAAUAUUAUAAUUACUUAAUUAAUAUAUAAAUAUUUUAUUAACUAUAAUUAUUAAAAAUUAUAGUUCUUGAAUAAAUAAUCACAAUAAUUAAUUUAUUAUUAUUAUUGUUAUUUUAAUUAAUUAAUUAAUAUACUAUUAUAAUAAUUAUUAAUAUAAUUAAUUUAUAUAUUAUUAUUAUUAUUAAUGAAUUAAUAUAAUUAUUACUAUUAAUUAAUAUAUUAAUAUAUUAUUAACAAUAAUAUAUUAAUAAUUAUUGUUCGUGAAUAAAUAAUCACAAUAAUUAAUAUAUUAUUAUUGUAAUUAAUUAAUUAAUAUACUAUUAUAAUAAUUAUUAAUAUAAUUAUUAUAAUUAAUUCAUAUAUUAUUAUUAAUUAAAUUAAUAUUAUUAAAUAAAUAAAUAAUAUAAUUAUUACUACUAAUUAAUAUAUUAAUAUAUUAUUAAAAAAUAUUAAUAAUUAUAAUUUUUGAAUAAAUAAUCACAAUAAUUAAUAUAUUAUUUUAAUUAAGUAAUUAAUAUUAAUAUUAAUAUUAUUAGUUAAUAUAUUUUUAUAAUAAUUUUUAAUAUAGUUAUUAUAAUUAAUUAAUUUUUUUUACAAUUAAUUAAUAUAUUAGUUAAUAAUAAUUAUGACAAUAAUCCAUUAAGUACUUUUUAGUAAUUUGUUACAAUCUAAUUCAUUCCGAUUCCGAUUUCAAGACAAAGUAAACACAUUAAUGGCAAUUUAGCUCAUUCUGAUUUUGAUUCCUACAGUUCAAGUAAACAACUUAUUUUGAUUCCUAUUACAUAUUCCCAUUCCAACCCAUUCUCAUUUCUGUCCAUUCUCAUUUCUGCCCAUUCCGAUUUUAGCUCAUUCCGAUUUCAGUUUAGUAAACGCAGUAUAAGAGUUAUCAUGAAAAUCAUACAAUUCAAUUUCCUGAAAUAUAUAUUUUAUUCACAUGUGCCAAAAGAAUAAAUAGAUAGAAAGUAAAUUUACAAUCCUCACUCCCUCACAAUUGUUAAAGUGAAUAUGCAUUACAACUGUGAACUGUCACUACUUUAGCCCUUUUUUUUUUUUCAAUUAUAGUGUGAUGGAGACAGUGAACAUUAAGGAUAAAGUGCUCUGCUGAAAGCCAAACUUCCUUUGGCUAAUUAAUUUAGAAGUAAAGCAGAGAAUAAAGUCCUAGAUGCCUUCUGAAAUUAGAAAUACAUUUUAUAUGCUUUAAUUAUGAUUAUUUGGCAGACUAAAGACCUAAAAGAUAUGUCAAAAGUAUGAAACAGAGAGAUUAAAGAAAAAAGAAAAAAAAAAAAAAACAGAGUAUUUGUGACGUAGAAUAACAAUUGGUAAAUAAAUCCUAAAUAUUUGAGUUGUUAAAAGCAAAUAUAACAGAGACGGUAAGAGAGAUGCAGAAACAGAAAACUAUUAGCUUAUCUUGAUUUUCCCACUAUAUUCAUUUUCGAUGCUUUUCAAUCGAGAUUCUUUUAAUUCUUCUGGUGUCUGCAGCCCCGGCUCUUCUUAUAAAUCUCCAUCCCACAUCUGCACUACGAACAAGUUGACUGAAAUUAAAUAAUGUUGGAGAUGAGGGGUGAGCCGUCAACUUGUUAAAAAAAACUCAUGUAUAAUAUUAUCAAUAAUAUAAAAUAUAUAAUAAUUGUUACAAAGAAUCAUAAAUUAGAAAAAUUAAUUAUUUUACAAUCUAUUUCUUAAGUAAGAUAAAUCUUGUAAUAAGUUAAGUUAUAACGUAAAAAAUAUUUUCAAUUUAUAAUCAUUUAAGAAGUCAUUUAACAAUAAAAUCUUUCUUUUGAUCAUGUGGGCAUGCCAUAGAGUAUCAUCUAUAUUCGUGAUGAUAUUAUUAUUACUCAGUAUCCUAAAAAAAACACGAUUUAACAUUUAGAGAAAAUUCCUGCCUUUUAAAAAGAACAUGUAUGCAAUAGCUAGCCAUACUUUAUUUUACCACAACAAAAUUGAUGGUGAUUAAAUCAAUUUUCUCAAUUAAAGCAAAAUUUUAAAAAUUGAUUUAAUGCACAAAUAUGAUGAGUUUUUGUAAAAAUUAGUUUUGGAAAAUAUAGUGAGAGAAAAUGGUGACGAUUAUUUUCAGAUGUGCAAAUAGCCUAAACAUAAUCUCUAAUACCAAUAUCCAUGUGCAUCUUAAUACCUUUCAUGAUAUUCUUUCAUUCAUGGCCAUUUGUUCAAGAUUUGAAUUUGAUUAUUAAAUCAUGUUCAAUAAUGUUAGAGAUCCCAACAAUUGAAUACCAACUUAAAUCCCAAUGCUAUGUGUCAUUAACAAAUGUUGUGUCAUUUAUAAUUAUUGAAUGAAUAAUUCGUUAAUUUAUUGAUAAAUAAAAAUUUAUUAAUUUAAAGAGAGAUACUUCUUCUUUUUUUGUUUUAAGAAGAGUUUUGUUGGUACAUGUACAUACUUAUAAAGAAAUAAACUUGUAAUUAUACUAUAUCUUUCUUUCUUUGUUCAGUUUGGUGGGAUAUUGUGAUAAAUCAUUGGAUUAAAAUACAUUUCUAAAUUAAAACUUGUUAAAAUCUAAUUUAUUUGGGAAACGCAUAUUAUUUGUCAGUUGUACUUCUCAACUUAGCAAGUUAUUUCUAACUUGUCAGUCUCUAUUGGUUCUCUAAAAGCUAAUAGUCUCGAAUCUCCCGCAUUUGAUAUCUUGCCAUUACUGUUGGCAUUUGUUAAGUAUAGCUGAAGCUGGUGACGUGUAUAAGCUGCUGAUGAAGCUGCUGAGUUGGCUGGCUGGUGAUGUGUAUAAACUGAAGGUGCUGAGCUGGAUUGGGUUGUUGUUCACACCAACUAAAGAUGUAACAGAUUAUCCAGCUGGCUUGUUAUGAUUGGAAGUUAGAUUAGUUUGUUAAUACAGCAAACAAUGAGCUCUGUUUUGGUAGUUAGUUUUGAGUGUAACUAUAAAUACUGGCUAACAUGUUUUCAGUGUUAAGCUUGAGUUUUAAUCAAUAAAAAUCAAUUCAGUUAAAGUUUCUUUGUUAACUUUCUUUCACUUUCUCACUUGCCAAACAACCUAUUAAUUCUAAAAUGGUAUCAGAGCUUGCACCUAUGUCAGGAUCUAAUCAUAUAGCUUCCUCAUCACUUUCAUUCAAUUUUGUUCAACCUAUAAAACUCGAUAGAUCAAACUACUUGGUGUGGAAAGCUCAAGUUAGAACAUCGAUCAUUGCUAAUGGACUUGAGAGCUUCAUCAAUGGUGAGAGUGUAUGUCCAAAAUGUUAUCUCAUUGAUUCUAUUCAAGAACUUCAAAGAUCUGGAGCUGAAACAUCACAGAAGCAGGAAAAUCCAGAGUAUAUCUUAUGGAUGAAAACUGACAAACUUCUGCAGAGCUGGAUGCUUUCGUCAAUGGUGGACAAUGUAUUAAUCAUGGUGAUCAAUUGUGAAACAUCACUUGAACUUUCGGAGAUGCUUGCUAGAAUCUUCAUGUCACAAUCCAAAGCGAGAUAUCUGCCUUUGAAGAUGCAGAUUCAAUCAACAAAUAAAGGAUCUCUCUCCAUCAGUGAUUACUUCAAAAGGAUGAAGAAAAUUGCUGAUAGCUUGGCCAUUGGAGGUAAUCCAAUUACUUCGAAUGAACUGAUUAUUCACUUGCUUACUAGAUUGGAUGAAAACUAUGAAUCCAUAGUCACAAAUAUACUUACUAGACUGGAAAAAGAGAGACUUACUGCUGAAGAGGUGUACUCUAUGUUACUUAGUCAUGAAACUAGGUUGGAAAUGAGCAAAGGAAAAUCACAUAAUGAACCUCUGCAUGAUAUGACAUCAAAUUUUGCUCAGAAAGGCCAAGGUUAUAAUACUGGUCCUGGAAGAGAUGUUGUGUGUCAAAUCUGUUACAUUCCAGGCCAUGGAGCUUAUAAGUGUAAACAUAGAUUCAAUCAAGGGUUUAUUCCUAGAAACAAAGGCUUUGGUGGUUUCAGGCCAAGAGGUGGAGGUCAGAAUUAUAGAGGAUUCCCUAGAAAUAAUCAGAAUUAUUUUGGUAGAGGUUCUGGAUACAAUAGUUCUGCUUUUGGAUCUGGAUUCAGACCUAACUUUCCCAGGCAAGCCGGACCUACUGGACCUUUCUUUGGCUAUGUUGCCUAUCAGAAUCCAGGAUUCAUGAAUCCUCAAGGUGCCUUUGACUUUCCAAGUGCAAAUGGUGAUUAUACUGGUGUUCCAACAGCAAACAUGUAUGUUGGAAAUUAUGGCAUUCCUCAUAAUGUCUCUCCCUCUGCACAAUUGGCAAACUUCAGCAAUGUAGCUGAUUCAGCCUGGUACCUUGACUCUAGAGCAACAAAUCACAUUGCUCAAGAUGCAGGUAUACUUUCUAAGUGCUCAACUUACCAUGGCCUUGAAAAACUACAUGUAGGAAAUGGUAUGGGGCUGCCUGUUCAUAAUGUUGGUUUUGUUGCUGUUAAAACCUUGACUACAACACCUAUAUACCUAAAUCAUGUUCUGCAUGUCCCUAAAAUUACUAAAAACCUUAUCAGUGUUUCCAAAUUGCUUGCUGAUAACAAUGUUUUUAUUGAGUUUUACAACCAUGUUUGUUUUGUUAAGGACAAGAAUUCAAGAAUCACAUUGCUCAAGGGGAUUGUUAGAGGAGGUCUUUAUCAAGUUUCAAGCUUAAAUACAGUCUGUGAUAACUCCAGUUCAGUGUUCCCAGUGUCAACCACUUCUGAGUUUGUUUUUACUUCAAUAAGUACAUUCCCAGCAACUCCAGUGUCUAUGUUUACUCAACUAAGUUCAUUUGAUACUAAGUUUCACUCUUGUAUGCUUGUAAAUAAUUCUCAAAUCAAUAAGAAUGUCCCUGUGGCUCACUUUGCUUCAUAUAACAAGCCUAUUGAUUAUAGUUUACUGCACAAAAGAAUGGGUCAUCCAACUACUCAUGCUUUAAAACAGAUCAUGAAAUGCCUGAACUCAAAUUUUAUUCUUCCCAAAGAUUUCACAACACAGUUCUGUGAUGCCUGUCAACUAGGCAAGUGCCAUACGCAGCAUUUUCCCUCCAUAGAAACUUCAACCACUCAGCCCCUUGAAUUACUACAUGCUGACCUUUGGGGACCAGCUCCCAUUACCUCUUCACAAGGUUACACCUACUAUCUAUCUAUCUUAGAUGACUACACUCGAUACACUUGGAUUUUUCCUCUCAUUGCCAAAUCCAAAACCUUGUCAGCCUUUAUUGAAUUCAAAAACAUGAUUGAAAACUGCCUGAACUUGAAAAUUAAAUGUUUACAAACUGAUUGGGGUGGAGAAUUCAGGCCUUUUGUGUCAUAUCUUUCUAACCAGGGUAUACAAUUUUGACAUCCCUGCCCUUAUAUCCAUCAUCAACAUAUUACCUGAGAUUGGGAUUCAUUAAAAUCCUCAAUGUAAUCGGUGGAACGAAUGGAUUUCUUCUGUUCACCAAUCCACCAAAAUUUCUGUAAUUAAAUUCAAGAGUCAAGAUCUAUGCUUAUAAUCUAUUCAACAGCUAAUAUUCUAUUUUAUAUUUACUUAAAUAUGAAGAGCUAUGCUUGUCAUUAACUUCAAAUGUGAUCGAAGCAGCCUUACAUCUGUAUAUUACGUAUUCCCAACUUUUUUUUGACUUCAUUUACUUUCUUUUCAUGUUAUUUACUCUUUUUUCCCCCUCUCUGACAAUUGAGGUAGGGGGUCAAACUUGAAAGUAUCUUAAAAUCAAACAAUUUUUUUUUUAAGAUAGCUGCUAAUAUGCUCUAUUAGACAAUGAUAAGUAAUAACCUAGUUGUUUGCAUUAGAAAUGAUAUUUUUUGUGGUGCUGAUAAAGAGGUUGAUUAUGAUUCAACAAUUUAAAAUAUGAAAACAUGUGGAAGACGGCCGCAAUUAAAUUGAUUGUAUGAAAAUAUUUCAAUGAAAUUUUAAAAAUUUAGUACUUGUUAUCUUAUCGAGAGUUUUUUAAAUUUUUCUACUUGAACUUGACUGCUUUUGUAUUGAAUUCCUAGCGUUGCCAUUGCUUCUACUCAAAAGCCAUUUAGUUACUCAUGAAUUGUUGUUCAUAAUAGCAAUUUGAUUGAAAGUGCGGCUGCACUAAUUUUCUAGAUGAAUUUUUUCCUACAUGCUUGUUCUCGUAUGACCCAAAAUCCUGCUACAUCAGUUGUAUUAGAAAUUAAUCAACUGGGUUACAAUUAUGCAUCCCCACCAAUAUUUAAGCAAUUUAAUUACAGAAACAUUUCUUGAGGAAAGAAACUCAUAUCGCCACUAGGCUUUUAAUGAGGCUCAUUUUUAUGAAUCUGGAUGGCAUUAGAUAUCUCUCCGAAUAUUGGUGGGAGUAGAUAUGCUACAAAGUGUAUGUACGUUGACUCUCAAUAAAUACAAACGAUUCUCUGAUCUGAUUCAAAACAUCAGUACAUGCAUCAUUUUAAUGAGAAAGAAUAUUCUAAGAACGAAAUUGAAGGUGCAAUCAGCAGCUAAAAUGAAGCCAGAAAUGUACACGCAUGAGGAAGUUUUCCAAGAAGAUUGAUAUUUCUUUGACUAGCAAACCAUACAAGUCCAAAGCUAGCUAAACCAUACCUGCAAGUCGGGGGUUUAAAUGGAGUACUUCUAAGCAUAAAACAUUGAUUAAAACAGAAUACACACAUACAUACCAGCAAAUUCAAUAUAGCAAAAGGAGUGCAAAAGUUCAAGUUUGUAGACAACAUUGCAACCAUGGCAUGUUUAUAGCAAAUCCUCGAAAUCUGCUAAAUAAAACAAUGCCCUGUCUCAUGAAUCAAUGCUGAAUUAAAAUUGAAACUGAAAGUCUGGCUGGCGGUGUUUCCCUCUCCAAUUUUGCCUACAUAAGUGAAAAUAAGAAUAAUAAAUGGAAAUCUGCUUUUACAGUUCUUAUUAGAUAGAUAUAAAGGGAUCUUUCUUUGUUUCUCUGCUGUAAUUUGUGGCUAUGCCACUCUGUUUUUCCAGUCAAGCUGAGUCUACGUUGAGACAUAAUUUUGACAUCAGAAGCAACCUCAAUUAGUUUGGCAUUUUCAUGACCUCCUUGAAGGUUUUAUGAUAAACAUAAAUCCACUGAGAAAGUGGGAAAAAAAGAAAAUGCAUAUAAAAGUAUGAGUUAUCAGAUAAGAUUAAAACUCACCCAAUUCAAUCCAUCAGAUUCCGUAAGGAUAUAACUGGAUGUCAUACCGCCACUCCAUAUCCUCGAAAGUCCGUAGUCCUUGUCUCAACUGUGUCUGGGGCCAGUGUAAGUCCAAUUUGCGCAAGCUCUUUAUGCACCACAGCUCUUCUGGAAGCUUUCUCAAGUAAGCACAUGGGUUGACAAUUAAGCUUUCAAGUUUCGGCAUUGCUCCAGCCGCCAUCGUCCACUCAUCUAGCCAAUACAUUGAUUUCAGGUGCAAAACCUUAAGUUCGGGAAAGCUACUCAAGCCAACACAAGCAAGCUUUCUUCCUAAAUACGAGUUCUGCUUCAGUUUCAGCACUCGAAGGCGUGGAAGAUUUUCCAGAAUUGGCAUGGGAUCCUCCAUUAGCUCAGUAUUUGAUAAGCUCAGUUGGAUCAGACUUGGGGGAAAUUGGUAUUCAGACAGGACCAUCCGUGAGGGCUUGCUCUCAUUCACCAGCUUCAAGCAUUCAAGUUUGUGGAGUUCGCAAAGGCUUUUGGAAACCCCAGAUUGAUAGUAACUCAAAUCUCCAGAUAUCCGAAGAGUCCGAACACUAGGUAGUCUGCCCAAUAUAUCAGGAGUACAACUACUAGGGUUUAAAGCUGAUAUGAAAAUGAGAUUUUUCAGAGAGCUAGAAUAAUUUUUUGGAGGUGCGGGCAGAGUGAUGCAACCGAAGUUUAGAUGCAUGAGUUUUUGCAUCAUCCAAAUAUCCUCUGGUGACUGAUCUAUGUAGCUAGAUGGCAUUUCUAGUGUUUCAAGGUUUAAAAGGGUGCAUAGCAGUGAAGGAAGGCAUUUGAGCGAAGGGAUAUUCAAUUUCAAAUACUUCAAAAGAUAUAAAUUUUCUAAUCCGGGUGGAUAUUGGUCCAGGACUGCAGAACCCAUGUUCAAUACCCGAAGGUAUUUGAACCUUUUAAAAAAAUUCUCGCAAUCUUUCGGAUUAAGAUGAUUGCUUUUUGAACUGUGAUUCAGAAAAGAUUGGAGACACAUGUCAGAAUGUUCUAAAGAAAAGAACUCAAUCAGAUCAUCGUCAAUGACGCACCGUUUAACAUUUGCCACUGAUUCCUCUUCCACGUCAUGCAUCCAGACAAAUCCCGUCUUCAUUGCCACAAUAUACAAUGAAGUGUAUACAAAACUUGGAACAUAACACGCUUUAAUUGUGCCUCUGGCUCUUCUCUUACUCACUUGAAUGAAGCCGCGAUGGAUUAGUUCUUUCAAGUAAUGUUCGGCAGUUUCUUCACCGUUGUAUGGUAUGAAACCUUCAGCUACCCACAACUGAUAUAAUUGCUCCGUAGAUAUCUCAAUACUUGGAGGGAAGACAUACAAAUAGAUGCAGCAGACUUUCAAGUGAAAAGGCAACUCCAUCACAGAAAAAAUUUGUCUCCAAACUGUCAGAACCACUUCGCCUUGAAGAUAAUUUUCUAAUGGCAUACUUCCAUAGUGUAGGAUGAAAAAUUGCCAGGCCUCAUGCUUUAAUCUGAUCAAUGGUCCUCCAAAGAGCACUGAAUCACGCCGAAUCUUCUCUUCAUUUUCCAUUUCCAACGACGCAAUGAGGCCCGGAUCAGUGACUGUUAUCAAUACUCUGCUUCCAUUCUCAUCACCAGGAAGAAGUUCUUCGAGAUCACUCCAUAUCUCACUGUUAUCGAAGACAUCAUCAAGCAAAAUAAAGUACUUCUUGUUUGUUAGGUAAUCUCGAAGAAUAGAUUUCUUCAAUUGAUAAUCUUCACCGAUAAUUACACUAACCCGAGAUGGAGGCAUCACAGACUUGAUUAUGUCAUCCAACAUCUUGCCAAAAUCAUAGAAUAUAGAAACCCUGACCCAAGCAAGACAGUCAAAAUAGAACUUGACAUGGUUAUUAUUGUAAGUAUCUUCUGCAAAAGCAGUCUUAUCGAAGCCACUGCUGUCGAGAAUUGUAACCACUGCAAGCCGAGGGCGUCCUUCAAUCAAUAAAUCAAACAACUCCUCCCUGCCCCUUUCAAAUUCAUUGAUAUCAAGCCGAGGUUGUCCCUCACUCAAUAGGUGAAUGAUUUCGUUACUUUUUUUACUGAUAUCAAAACCAUUGUCGCCGGGUGGAAGUUGUUGCAUCCGAUUACUAAUAUCAAUGAUUUUACUGUGGAGACCAGCAAGAAGAGCCAUAUUAGUACUGCUUUCACUUUCGUUUUCACUGUUUUGCUGCUGCAUAAUGUUGAUGAAGAAUGUGUCAAUGGCUUCCUCAGAUUCAUGGACAAAGUCAUUGAUGUCCUUCACAAUGCCCAAAAGGUCCGCUCUUUCAACUUCUUCUUCAUCGCUUUCUUCUAAGUCCAACAGUUGCAAAAAAGGCAAAGAUAUUUUGGAGUCAUCGAAUUCUUCUCUAAUGAGUUGAAAGAAAUGCCGAGCCAUGUCAGCUUCAUAUUUUCCCAGCAGGGUAGUAGCAAUAAUUUCGGACUCCGUAAGAAGGUUUUGAAAAAGUGGGGUUAAAUUUGUUGAAUCAGGCAGCGUUAACGGGCCUUCUUCACCUGCUAACACCCUUUUCAACCUCUCACAAAACAGUCGGAGGUGGAAUUCCAGCAUAUCUCCUUCUCUCCGUAGCACUCAGAGGUAUAGCUGAAAGAUUAAACACCAUGGAAGAAUUUGAAAGGAAAAUGCCAAGACAUUAUUGCUCAUUUUUUAACUCAAAAGAUUGAUACGCGUUCAUUUAGAGAAAAGUCCAAGACGCGUGCCUUUUGAAAAGAACAGGUAUCCCAAUCGGUAUCCGACCGAUAUCUUAUUAAAUUACAACCAUGACAUAAUUGAUGGUGCUUAAAUCAAUUGUUUCUUUUUUAAUUUAAAGAAUUUUUCAUUAAAAAAAUAUUUUAAUAUCAAAUUGCUUUCAGUGGCGUAACUGCCUCAAGCCCAGUAACAGGACUAAUUAAAAAUUUUACAAUUUUUGGGCAUGGAAAUAGUAGUAUUAAACAUUAGAAAGGUAAGGUCGUUCUGUUAAAGAAUUGAUAUUGACAUAAUUUUUUUUGGUUUUCGGGGGAAAAAAAAUUGUUGACAAGCAAGAAAAUAUUUUUAUAUUUUAUAAUUUAUUAUACAUAUUUUAUCUUAUUAAAGUAAUUUUAAUAAUAAAUAGAAACAUAAUAUUACGAUAAAUAAAUUAAAGUUGAACUUAUUUUGAAUAUUAUAAAAAAUAAUUUUAAUAUUAUUAAUAGGAAGACAUUGUAUUAAUUUUAAACUUUUUUAACCCAAAGGUUUAUUUAAAAUCUUUAUUAGAAAUACAAAUAUAAAAUUAAAUAUCAUAAUUUAAAAUUUUUAAUAUUAUUUUAAGUAUUAAAAAUAUUUUAAUGUUAUUAGUCUACUACAUAGAUCAUAUUACUUAUAUAAUAUUUGUAUUAUUAAAAAUUGUUAAAAUCAAAUUUUUAGUUAGUAUAUUCAUGAGCUAUUAUGGUUAAAAAAAAAAAGACCUUAUUAUUACUUUUUUAAAAAUUGAGGGCCUGCGUGAUAAUUUUUUCAAAAAGAAAAUGCUUGGUAUGUAGGAGGGGUACAGAAACAGGACUCCCAAAAUCUCUCACCCUUUUUUAAUUAAAAAAAAAAAUUAAAAUAUCAAUAAAAAGUAAUAAAGAAAAUAGAAUUUUAUCUGCUCCUUACUCCAUUUUUGCAACUCUCUCACCAUCCCUAUCGAGCAGCCCUCUCUCUCACUGUCUCACUCACACAGUCCUUUUCACGAUUUGAAAUUCUUUGGCCCUCUGCAUUACAAGAAAUUAACGCUUUGGUUCUCCCAAGGGUAGAUUGGUUUUAUUGGGAAGCUAUUAAUUUUUUUUUUUUUUGAAUACUGAUUAAUCAUCAGAUUACUGCAUUACACAGAUAUUUACAACAACUGCUAUUGUAGCAGAGAUAUUAUACUGAUAUUUACAAUCAGAUAUACAUAAUUGGGACUUAUAUUAUGACAUUGAAUUCUAUGAAGUACAUGCCCAAACAAAUAACCCCUCACAGGAGAGGGAUGUCCAUACUCCACUCGCAUUUCGCAAGGGAGAAUGAUUUUUUGGAAGUAUAAAGAACAUUUAGCCCCCACAAUACUUUUGUGGGGGCUAGAACCGCUGCAGCAUUGUGAGGGCAGCAGCCCACCACUUCGGCCUUGGCCGAAGUGGCGGGAAGCUAUUAAUUAGAAGGAGGAAAAAGGACUAUAUUUAGAAUAUGAUUUGUUGGAGAAUCUCAGAGUUAGUCAAUUUUCAAGCCACACUUUCAAUAGCCAAUUGAUUUAGUAACCAUUAAUUACUUUAAUUUCCAUAAAUUGUAAUGACAGUGCAAAUGCAUCUGGUUGUGAUAGCUAAGGGUUAGCUUGAAGAAUUAAAUUUCAUAAGAUAUUACUGGAAAAUGCUUUGCAGAUAACGUGCUGCUUCCUUUGCUAGACUACAAUUUCAAAAAUCUCACGAGUUUUCCAUUGUUGUCACAAACCGAGAAAUUAUAAAAUACAUGGCCUGGUUCUUUGGCAAUGACCAUCUCAUCGUCGGCGGUCGUGUCGUCAUUGUCACUGUUCUUGCUCGACCGAGACAGUGAGAGAGAGGUUUGUUAGAUGGAGUUAGUGAGAGAGAGUUGUAAAGAUGGAAUGAUGAUAAAAGGAUUCUAUUUGUUUUUAUUGUUUUUUAUUAAUAUUUUAAUUUUUUAAAUUAAAAUGUGCUGCCGUUUCUCUAGCCUUUUUAGCUGCUUAACUUAACAGUAUUCUUUUCAAAAUUUAAGAAUGUAGUAGGUGUCCUUUUCUCUAAUAAUUUAUUUCAUUUUUAGGGAAUCCAAUGAGAAAUAUGAUAAAAGAACGUCAAUUACUUGUCGUUUUCAAUUUUUUCUAUAAGCUAUUUAUUUUGAGCAUUAGUGAUCUUGUCUGGACUACCCCAAUUAUUGACGUAACUCCAGUGGCUGCAUCCACUGGAAAAAGUGGAUGAGACCAUUUUUUUUUUCAUAAAGGUAACUACUCCAAUUAUUGACAUAAUUGAUGGUGCUUAAAUCAAUUUUUUCUUUCUUUUUUUUAAUUUAAAGAAUUUUGCUUUAAAAAAUAAUUAAUAUCAAAAUGCCUUCAAUGUUGUUACCGCCACAAGCCCAGUUAGAGGACUCAUUAAAAAUUUUAGAAUUUUUAGGCCUGGAAAGCAUAGUAUUAAACAUCAGAAAGCAAAGGUUGUUAUGUCGAAGAAUUGAUGUCGACAAAAUUUUAAUUUUGUUUUCGGAAAAAAAAAAAAAUUUUGUUGACAAGCAAGAAAAUAUUUUUUAUACUUUACAAUCUGCUAUACAUAUUUUAUCAUAUUAAAGUAAUUUUAAUAAUAUAUGGAAACAUAAUAUUAUAAUAAAUAAAUUAAAAUUACUUUGUAUUAUUGAAUAUUACAAAAAGAUAAUUUUAAUAUUAUUAAUAGGAAAACAUUUUUUAAUUGUAAAAUCUUUUUAAUACAAAAAUUCGUUUAAAAUCUUUAUAAUAAAUACAAAUAUAAAAUUAAAAAAUAUCAUAAUUUAAAAUUUUUAAUAUUAUUUAAAUAUUAAAAAUACUUUAAUGUUAUUAGUCUACUACAUAAAAUAUAUUAUUUAUAUUAUAUUCGUAUUGAUUAAAACGUUUUAAAGUCAAAUUUUUAAUUAGUGUAUUCAAAGGUACAAAAGAUUUAAGUAUUAUUUUUUAAAAAUUUCAAGAUACGAAUGAUAAUUUUUUCAAAUUUUAAAGAUGUAAAAAUCUUUUUUUCUGAUAAUUUAUUUCACUUUUGAGAGAAUCCGAAAACGUUAAUUUAACAUUCUUUACCUUUGUAAAAAAAGUGAAAAUCAAGAACUAUUCAAUUUUGUUUUUAUUUGUAAUUCAAAAACUUUAUUCAUUUUCGAUGCUUUUCAAAAGAGAUUCCUUUAAAUGUCUGCAGCUCCUGCUUUUCUCAUAAAUCUCCAUCCCACAUCUACACUAUCAAGUAUCAAACAAGUUGAUGGAAAUUCUUAUAAAAAAAAAAAAAAAAUUGAUGGAAAUUGAUCAAUUGCUUUUUGAAGUGGACCCAUUGAGUCAUGUUCAUUUCUGGUCAUUGUCUACUCUUUCUAUCAGCCAUUUAUUUUGACCAUUUGCGAUCUUAUCUGGACCUACUCCAAUUAUUGUUGUAACUCCGAUGGUUGUAUCUACAGUGGAAUGUAAGAUAGUGAAAGCUCUUUCUUUGAGAAAAUAGAGGGACCUUUCUCUGUUUCUCCGUUGCAACGUGCUCGUAUAAAUUUCUCUACCUUACAGUUUAUACGGUCUUGCUGUUAAUGAAUUCGCUGAGGCAUUAUUGAUCCAAUCUGAGUGAAGUAAUUGUGGGUGAAAAAUAAAUAAAGGAUAUGAGAACGUAGCUGAAGUGCUGAAGGGGCUAUUAAAGAAGAGUGUCACUUGAUCACAAUCACAUUGAUGCACAACUCACUCGUGGCAAAUUUCGACUAUACGUUCUGCAAAUUCAGCCAAACCAUACAUGCAUGAACAAAACUAAAAUGUAGUUCUAAUCACAACUGCAGUUAUGAUGUUUACCUCUCUGAUUUUUCUCCAAAACAAAUUCAGUUCAAAACAAUAAUCAAAAUAGCCACAUUUUGUUCGUCAAAAUAAAUGCCCAAAUUUUCAAUUAACAAAUCAUCUUCUCUAAACUAAAAAGCCCACAUCUCUAAAAUCAAUCUACAUAAUGUUGGAGAUGAGGGUUGAAUUGUUAACUCAGUAAAAAAAAAAAAACUCAUGCAUAAGAUUACUAAUAAUAUAAAUUAUAUAUUAAUCAUUAUAAAGAAUCAUAAAUUAGAAAAAUUAAUCAUUUUAUAAUUUAUUACACAAGUAAGAUAAAUCUCAUAAUAAGUUAUAACAUAAAAAACGUUAUCAAUAUAUAAUCAUUUAAGAAGUCAUUUAACAAUAAAAUCGUUCUUUGAUCAGUUGGCCAUGUCACAUAGUAUCAUCUAUAUUUAUGGUGAUACUAUUAUUACUCAGUAUUCUCAAAAAACAUGAUUUAACAUUUAGAGGAAAUUCUUGCCUUAAAAAAAAAACAUGUAUGCAACAGCUACCCAUGCUUUAUCUUACCAUGACAAAUAUUUUCUCAAUGAAAGAAAUUUUUUAAAAAAUUGAUUUAAUGCACAAAUAUGAUGAUUUUUGCAAAAAUUAGUUUUGGAAAACAUAGUGAGAGAAAAUAGUGACGAUUAUUGUUUAAAUGUAUAAAUAGCCUAAACAUAAUCCUUAAUACCAAUAUCCAUAUGCAUCUUAUCAUCUUUCAUGAUAUUCUUUCAUUUAUGUCCAUUGGUUCAAGAUUUGAAUUUGAUCAUUAAAUCAUGUUCAAUAAUAUUAGAGAUUCCAACAAUUGAGUACCAACUUAAAUCCCAAUGUUAUGUGUCAUUGACCAAUUUUGUGUCAUUGACCAAUUUUGUUAUUAACUAGGUGAUGAAUUUCUAGUUGAUAAAAUCACUUAAAAAUAUCUUAAAAAUUAGACAAUAGUUUGCUUAAUUUUUCCAAGUUAACUGCUCAAGAUGCUCUAUUAGAAAUGAUAACCUAAUUAUAUACAUAAAAAAUGAUGGAAAUUGAACAAUUGCUUUUUGAAGUGGACCCAUUGAGUUAUGUUCAUUACUGGUCAUUGUCUAUUCUUUCUAAGAGCCACUUGUUUUGAGCAUUAGCAAUCCUAUCUGGACUACUCCAAUUAGGAUAGUGUUAGUUCUUUUUUGAGAAUUUCUUUAUUUGUUUCUCCGUUGCAGCGUAUUAGUAUAAAUUUCUUUACCUUACAGUUCCUACAGUCUUCCUGUUAAUGAAUUCGCUGAGGCAUUAUUGAUCCAAUCUCGGUGAAGUAAUUGUGGGUGAAAAAAAAAAAAAAGGAUAAGAGAACGUAGCUCAAGUGCUGAAUUGACUAUUAAAGAAGAGCGUCACCUGAUCACAAUCACAUUGAUGCACAACUCACUCGAGGCAAAUUUCAUCUAUAAAUAAAAGAUCCCUUACUAUUCUCUUAACCCUGAGUUUUGAGAUAGAAAUUUCCCGAACUCCAACCCCACAUCCACAGACAAGUUGAUUGAAACAAUUGCUCUUGUAAUUAAGAGGAUGGGUUAGGGUUCAGUUCUUAUCAUUGUCUGUUAUUUCUUUGAAUCAUUAUCUUAAUUAAUUACAUCAAUUGUUUCUUUUUUUUAAUUUAAAGAAUUUUUCUUUAAAAAAAUAUAUUUUAAUAUCAAAAUGCCUUAAAUGGUAUUACUGCCGCAAUCCCAGUAACAGGAUUAAUUAAAAAUUUUAGAAUUUUUGGGCAUGGAAAGAGUAGUAUUAAAUAUCAGAAAGCUAAGGUUGUUCUGUCAAAGAAUUCAUAUUGGCAUAAUUUUAUUUUUGCUUUCGAGUAAAAAAAUAUAUAUAUAUAUAUUUGUUGACAAGCAAAAUACUGUUUUUAUAUUUUACAAUCAGUUAUACAUAUUUUAUCAUAUUAAAGUAAUUUUAAUAAUAAAUGGAAACAUAACAUUACAAUAAAUCAAUUAAAGUUUAAAUUAUUUGGAAAAUUAUAAAAAAUAAUUUUAAUAUUAUUUAUAGGAAGAUAUUUUGUUUAUUGUAAAAUCUUUUUAACCCAAAGGUUUAUUUAAAAUUGUUAUAAUAAAUAAAAUAUAAAAACAAAAUAAAUAUCAUAAUUUAAAAUUUUAAUAUUAUUUUAAAUAUUAAAAAUACUUUAAUGCUAUUAGUCUACUACAAAGGUUAUAUUACUUAUAUUAUAUUUGUAUAAAUUAAAACUUUUAAAGUUAAAUUUUUAAUUACUAUAUUGAAAAGGUAUUAUGGUUAAAAUAUGUUUUGGCAUUUCUUUUUAAAAAUUUGAGGGUCUGCAUGACAAUUUGUCCAAAUCCUAGAGGUAUAGGUGUCUUUUUUUUUCGAUAAUUCAUUUUACUUUUGAGGGAAUCCGAUGAGAAAUAAGAUAAGAGAAACGUCAAUUUAACGUUCUCUAUGGAAAACCAAGAACUAUUCAAUUUUGUAUUUUUUGUUUGUAAAACGAAAAACAGUUUGCCAAAAAAGGUACCAAACAUAUCCUUAAUGUCUCACAUGAUUUCUUAUUAAGUCCAUACUCGAUAUAUUUAUACAUUUUAGGUAUUUUAGUUAUAAAAGAAGUUGGUCCUCCCUCUAUUUAUAAAAGGUAACUUUAUUUCGAGAUUACCACUAAAGUCUUACAAAGAAUUAGUGUAAUGUUAACAGAGAGUAACAUAGUUUUCCAUUACCAUUUUGAAAAUAGAAAGAUAUGGAUGUGUGCAUUUAAUGGUGUGUUUACUUACCGGAUUGAGGAAUCAGAAUCUGGAAUUAGAAUGAUUGAUGGUGUUUACUUCGCAAAUAUGGAGCAGGAAUCGGAACUGGAAUGGUGGGGCCCACCACUAUUUGGGAAUGAGAGAUUGAUUCCCAUGGGGGAAGGUGGGAACGAGUCUCCCAUUCCCUGGACUGACCAUUUUGCCCUCCCUCAAAAUUAAAAAUGCCUACUUUGUCCUCUUUUAUAAUUAAUUAAUAUAUAAAUAUUUUAAUAACUAUAAUUAUUAAAAAUUAUAGUUCUUGAAUAAAUAAUCACAAUAAUUAAUUUAUUAUUUUUAUUUUUAUUUUAAUUAAUUAAUAUACUAUUAUAAUAAUUAUAAAUAUAAUUAAUUUAUAUAUUAUUAUUAUUAUUAAUGAAUUAAUAUAAUUAUUACUAUUAAUUAAUAUAUUAAUAUAUUAUUAAAAAUAAUAUAUUAAUAAUUAUUGUUCGUGAACAAAUAAUCACAAUAAUUAAUAUACUAUUAUUUUAAUUAAUUAAUAUAAUUAAUUUAUAUAUUAUUAUUAUUAUUAAUGAAUUAAUAUAAUUAUUACUAUUAAUUAAUAUAUUAAUAUAUUAUUAAAAAUAAUAUAUUAAUAAUUAUUGUUCGUGAACAAAUAAUCACAAUAAUUAAUAUACUAUUAUUUUAAUUAAUUAAUAUACUAUUAUAAUAAUUAUUAAUAUAAUUACUAUAAUUAAUUCAUAUAUUAUUAUAAUUAAUUAAUUAAAUUAAUAUUAUUAAAUAAAUAAAUAAUAUAAUUAUUACUACUAAUUAGUAUAUUAAUAUAUUAUUAAAAAUAAUUAUAAUUUUUGAAUAAAUAAUCACAAUAAUUAAUAUAUUAUUUUAAUUAAGUAAUUAAUAUUAAUAUUAUUAGUUAAUAUAUUUUUAUAAUAAUUUUUAAUAUAGUUAUUAUAAUUAAUUAAAUUUUGUUACAAUUAAUUAAUAUAUUAGUUAAUAAUAAUUAUGACAAUAAUCCACUAAGUAUUUUUGAGUAAUUUGUUACAAUCUAAUUCAUUUUGAUUCCGAUUUCAAGACAAAGUAAACACAUUAAUGACAAUCUAGCUCAUUCCGAUUUCGAUUCCUACAGUUCAAGUAAACAACUUAUUUUGAUUUUCAUUACCUAUUUACAUUCCAGCCCAUUCUCAUUUCUUCCCAUUCUCAUUUCUGCCAAUUCCAAUUCCAGCUCAUUCCGAUUCCAGUUUAGUAAACGCAGCAUAAGAGUUAUCAUGAAAAUCAUACAAUUCAAUUUCCUGAAAUAUAUAUUUUAUUCACAUGUGCCAAAAGAAUAAAUAGAUAGAAAGUAAAUUUACAAUCCUCACUCCCUCACAAUUGUUAAAGUGAAUAUGCAUUACAACUGUGAACUGUCACUACUUUAGCCCCUUUUUUUUUUUCAAUUAUAGUGUGAUGGAGACAGUGAACAUCAAGGAUAAAGUGCUCUGCUGAAAGCGGAACUUCCUCUGGCUAAUUAAUUUGGAAGUAAAACAGAGAAUAAAGUCCUACAUGCCUUCUGAAAUUAGAAAUACAUUUUAUAUGCUUUAAUUAUGAUUAUUUGGUAGACUAUUGACCAAAAGACAUGUUAAAGUAUAAAACAGAGCGAUUAAAGAAAAAAAAAGGAGUGUUUGUGACGUAGAAUAACAAUUUGUAAGUAAAGUCCUAAUUUGAGUUGUCAAAAAGCAAAUAUAACAGGGAAGGUAAGAGGGAUGCAGAAACAGAAAACUAUUAGCUUAUCUUGAUUUUCCCACUAUAUUCAUUUUCGAUGCUUUUCAAACGAGAUUCUUUUAAUCCUUCUGGCGUCUGCAGCCCCUGGUCUUCUUAUAAAUUUCCAUCCCACAUCUGCACUAGGAACAAGUUGAUUGAAAUUAAAUAACAUUGGAGAUGACGGACAGAUGAGCCGUCAACUUGGUAAAAAAACUAUGUUAAUAUUGUUAAUAAUAAAAAAAAAUAUAAUAAUCAUUACAAAGAAUCAUAAAUUAGAAAAAUUAAUUAUUUUACAAUCUAUUUCGUAAGUAAGAUAAAUCUUGUAAUAAGUUAAGUUAUAACGUAAAAAAUAUUUUCAAUUUAUAAUCAUUUAAGAACUCAUUUAACAAUAAAAUCUUUCUUUUGAUCAAUUGGUCAUGCCACAGAGUAUCAUCUAUAUUCGUGGUGAUAUUAUUAUUACUCCGUAUUCUCAAAAAACACGAUUUAACAUUUAGAGAAAAUUCCUACCUUUUAAAAAGAACAUGUAUGCAACAGCUACCCAUACUUUAUCUUACCACGACAAAACUAAUGGUGACUAAAUCAAUUUUCUCGAAUAAAGCAAAAUUUCUUAAAAUUAAUUUAAUAUACAAAUAUGAUGACAUUUUGCAAAAAUUAGUUUUGGAAAAUAUAGUGACAAAAAAUAGUAAUGAUUAUUGUUUAGAUGUGUAAAUAGCCUAAACAUGAUCCCUAAUACCAAUAUCCACGUACAUCUUAACACCUUUCGUGAUAUUCUUUCAUUCAUGGUCACUGGUUCAAGAUUUGAAUUUGAUCAUUAAAUCAUGUUCAAUAAUAUUAGAGAUCCCAACAAUUAAGUACCAACUUAAAUCCUAAUGCUAUGUGUCAUUGACAAAUGUUGUGUCAUUUUUUGUUAACUGAGUGAUGAAUUUCUAGUUGAUAAAAUUACUUAAAAAUAUCUUAAAAAUCAGACAAUAGUUUGCUUAAUUUUUUGAAGCUAACUGCUCAAGAUGCUCUAUUAGAAAUGAUAACCUAAUUAUAUACAUAAAAAAUGAUGUAUUUUUUGCGGUGUUGAUAGUGAGAUUAUCAUUCAACAUGUUAAAAUAUGAAAACAUAUGGAAGAAGGUUGUAAAUUGAUUGAAUGAAAAUAUUUCAGUGAAGUCUAAAAAAUUUGGUACUUGUUAUCUUAUCGAAAGUUUUCUAAAUUACAUUCGUGGCACUGCCACUGCUUCCAUGUGAAGGUCAUUAAAAUUUGUGUUAGUUACCUAUAUGUUGAAUAAUAAUUUUAUUCAUGAAUUGUUGCUCAAUAUAGCAGUUUCUAGAUGAAUUUUCCUACAUGUUUGUCCUCAUAUGACCUAGAAUGCUGCUAUAUCAAUUGUAUUGGAAAUUAUUCAAGUGGGUUUGUGCUCUAUACCCCCACCAAAAUUUAAGCAAUCUACAGAACAUUCCUUGUGGAAAGAAACUUAUUUCGCUACUAGGUGGGAGUAGAUUUCUAAGCUAAUGCUCGGCAGAUCUCUAGGCUAUACUAAAAAGUGUAUGCACUUUGACUCUCAAUAUAUACGAGUGAUUCUAUGAUGACUGAAAACAUCAGUACAUGCAUGAUUUUAUAAGAAAGAAUAUUCUAAAAUUAUUUAUGUAUCACCAUUUGUAGUUGUACCCUCUCGAAUGAAGGUGCAAUCAGCAACUAAAAUGAAGCCCGAAAUGUACACGCGUGAGGCAGUUUUUCUAGAAGAUUGAUACUUCUCAAACUAGCAAACCGUACAAGUCCAAAGCUAGAAAAGGAGUGCUUCUAAGCAGAAAACAUUGAUUAAAACAGAAUACACACACACAUACCAGUAAAUUCAAAAUAGAAAAAGGAGUUCAACUGUUCAAGUUUGUGGACAAUAUUGCAACCGUGGCAUAUUUAUAGCAAAUCCUUGAAAUCUGCUAAAUAAACAAUGCCCUGUCUCAUGAAUCAAAGCCGAAUUAAAAUUGAAAUUGAAAGUCCGGCUGGUGUUGUUUCCCUCUCCAGUUUUGCCCACAUAAGUGAAGGGAAAUGAGAAUCAUAAAUUAAAAUCUGCUUUUACAGUUUUUUAUUAGAUAGAUAUAAAGGGAUCUUUUUUGUUUCUCUGCUGCAAUUUGUGGCUAUCCCACUCUGUUUUGCCACUCAAGCUUAGUCUACGUUGAGACAUAAUUUUGACAUCAGAAGCAACCUCAAUUAGUUUGGCAUUUUUAUGACCUCCUUGUACGUUUUACGAUAAACAUAAAUCUACUGAGAAAGUGUGAAAAAAAGAAAAUGCAUAUAAAAGUAUGAGUUAUCAGACAUGAUUAAAACUCACCCAAUUCAAUCCAUUAGAUUCCGUAAGGAUAUAACUGGAUGUCAUACCGCCACUCCAUAUCCUCGAAAGUCCGUAGUCUUUGUCUCAACUCUGUCUGAGGCCAAUGUAAAUCCAAUUUGCGCAAGCUCUUUAUGCACCACAGCUCUUCUGGAAGCUUUCUCAAGUAAGCACAUGGGUUGACAAUUAAGCUUUCAAGUUUUGGCAUUGCUCCAGCCCCCAUCGUCCACUCAUCUAGCCAAUACAUUGAUUUCAGGUGCAAAACCCUAAGUUCCAGAAAGCAACCAGAGCCAACGCAGGCCAGCUUUCUUCCUAAAUACGAGUUCUGUUUCAGUUUCAGCACUUGAAGGCUUGGAAGCUUUUCCAGCAUUGGCAUGGGAUCCUCCAUUAGCUCAGUAUUCGAUAAGCUCAGAUGGCUCAGACUUGGAGGAAAUUGGUAUUCAGACAGGACAAUCCGUGAGCGCUUGCUCUCAUUCACCAGCUUCAAGCAUUCAAGUUUGUGGAGUUCGCAUAGGCUUUUGGAAACCCCAGAGUGAUAGCAACUCAAAUCUCCAGAUAUCCGAAGAGUUUGAACAUUAGGCAGUCUGCCCAAUAUAUCUGGAGUACAACUACUAGGGUGUAAGGCUGAUAUGAAAAUGAGAUUUUUCAGAGAGCUGCAAUAAUUUUUUGGAGGUGCAGGCAGAGUGAUGGAACCGAAGUUUAGAUGCAUGAGUUUUUGCAUCAUCCAAAUAUCCUCUGGUGAAUGAUCUAUGUAGCUUGAUGGCAUUUGUAGUGUUUGAAGGUUUAAAAGGGUGCAUAGCAUUGAAGGAAGGCAUUUGAGCGAAGGGAUAUUCAAUUUCAAAUACUUCAAAAGGAAUAAAUUUUCUAAUCCGGGUGGAAAUUGGUCGAGAACUGCAGAACCGAAGUUCAGUACCCGAAGGUGUUUGAACUUUUUACAAAAAUUCUCGCAAUCUAUAAGAGCGAGAUGAUCGCUUUCUGAACUGUGAUUCAGAAAAGAUUGGAGAUACAUGUCAGAAUAUUCUAAAGAAAGGAACUCAAUCAGAUCUUCCAAAAUGAAGCACCGUUUAACAUUUGCCAGUGAUUCCUCUUCCAUGUCAGGCGUCCAGACAAAUCUCGUCUUCUCUACUACCAAAGCCAAUAACGUAUAUACAAAACUUGGAACAUAACACGCUUUAAUUGUGCCGCCGGCGCUUCUCUUACUCACUUGAAUGAAGCCGCGAUGGAUUAGUUCUUUCAAGUAAUGUUCGGCAGUUUCUUCACCGUUGUAUGGUAUGAAACCUUCAGCUACCCACAACUGAUAUAAUUGCCUCGUUGAUAUCUCAUUGCAUGAAAGGAAGACACACAAAUAGAUGCAGCAGAUUUUCAAGUGAAAAGGUAACUCCAUCACAGAAAAAAGUUGUCUCCAAACUGUCGGAAUCGUUUCGCCUUGAAGAUAAUUUUCUAAGGGCAUACUUCCAUAGUGUAGGAUGAAAAAUUGCCAGGCCUCAUGCUUUAAUCUGAUCAAUGGUCCUCCUACGAUCACUGAAUCAAGCCGAAUCUUCUCUCCGUUUUCCAUUUCCAACAGCGUAAGGAGGUGUGGAUUAGUGACCAAUAUCAAUACUCUGCUUCCAUUCUGAUUAUCAGGAAGAACUUCUUCAAGAUCACUCCAUAUCUCACUGUCAUCGAAGACAUCAUCAAGCACAAUAAAGUACUUCCUGUUUGUUAGGUAAUCUCGAAGAAUAGAUUUCUUCAAUUGAUAAUCUUCCCCGAUAAUUACACUAACCCGAGAUGGAGGCAUCACAGACUUGAUUAUGUCAUCCAAUAUCUUGCGAAAAUCGUAGGCUACAGAAACCCUUACCCAAGCAUGACAGUCAAAAUAGAACUUGAUAUGGUUAUUAUUGUAAGUAUCUGCAGCAAAAGCAGUCUUAUCGAAGCCACUGCUGUCGAGAAUUGUAACCACUGCAAGCCGACGAUGUCCUAAAUCAAUAAAUCAAACAACUCCUCUCUGCCACUUUCAAAUUCAUUGAUAUCAAGCCGAGGUUGUCCCUCACUCAAUAGGCGAAUGAUUUUGUUUCUUUGUUCACUGACAUCAAAACCAUUGUCGCCGGGUGGAAGUUGUUGCAUCCGAUUACUAAUAUCAAUGAUUUUACUCUGGAGUCCAUCAAGAAGAGCCAUAUUAGUGCUGCUUUUACUUUCGUUUUCACUGUUUUGCUGCUGCAUGAUGUUGAUGAAGAAUCUGUCAAUGGCUUCCUCAGAUUCAUGGACAAAGCGAUUGAUGUCCUCCAGAAUUUCCAAAAUAUCUGGUCUUUUAACGUCUUCUUCAUCGCUUUCUUCUAAGUCCAACAGUUGCAAAAGAGGCAAAGAUAUUUUGGAGUCAUCGAAUUCUUCUCUAAUGAGUUGAAAGAAAUGCCGAGCCAUGUCAGAUUCAUAUUUUCCCAGCAGAGUAGUUGCAAUAAUUUCGGACUCCGUAAGAAGGUUUUGAAAAAGUGGGGUUAAAUUUGUUGAAUCAGGCAGUGUUAACGUGCCUUCUUCUCCUACUACCACCCUUUUCAACCUCUCACAAAAUAAUCGGAGGUGGGCGUCCAGCAUAUCUCCUCCUGUCUGUAGCAGCCAGAGGUAUUGUUAUUUGCUCCAAGAAAUGUUAAAAGGAUUGGUCCUACCUCAAAGUGGUUAGUGGUGUAAAAUUAAACACCAUGGGAGAAUUUGAAAGGAAGAUGCCAAGAAACUGGCAAAGUGGCUAAAUUCCACAAAUACGGCAUUAUUGCUCAUUUUUAACUCAACAAAUUGAUACGCGUUCAUUUAGAGAAAAGUCGAAGACGCGUGCCUUUUGAAAAGAACAAGUAUCCAAUAGGUAUCCAACCUUUAUCUUAUUUAAUUACUACCAUGACAUGAUUGAUGGUGCUUAAAUCAAUUGUUUCUUUUUUAAUUUAAAGAUUUUUUCAUUAAAAAAUAAUUUAAUAUCACAUUGCCUUCAAUGGCGUAACGGCCGCAAGCCCAGUAACUAGAUUAAUUAAAAUGAAAUUAUGAUUGCACUACUUUUUUAUUUAUUUAUUUAUCUAAUCACUAUAAAAUUUUAACAUAUUUUAUUUACUAUAUUUUUUUUAAAUUUGCAUCAAUUAGUCACUUUUACACUAAUACCGUUAAAUAAUUUAAACGGAAUGAUAAUUUUACCCCUAAAUAAAAUUAAAAGUUCAUUUUAUUUUAUAAAAACUUUGAAAAUAAAAAAUUAUAAUUAUAAAAUAUCCCUAAAUUUAAUAAAGAAAUAAAUCCCAAAAUUAGAAUGUUUAUUUUUAAUAAAAAUUAUUUUAAUAAAAAAUUAUAAUUAGAAAAAUAAUUACAAAAUUUUGGGAUUUAAUAAAAAUCCCCUAAAUGAUUAAAAUUUUAGGAUUUAUUUUUUAAUAAAUAAAUUCAGUUAUUUUAAUAAAAUUUUGCAAAAUUAUAAUUUUUAAUAAAUAAAUUCACUUAUUUUUAUUAUAAUUUUAAAAAAAUUUAAAUUUUUAAUAAAAAUAAUUAUUAAAAUUUUACAACAUCUAAAUUGAAUAAAAAUCAGCUGAGCACCUAUAUUUUGUAUUUAUUUUUAUUAAAUUUAGGGGUAUUUUUAUAAUUAUAAUUUUUUAUUUUUCAAAGCUUUAUAAGAUAAAAUGGUCUUUUAAUUUAUUUAGGGGUAAAAUUAUCAUUUCGUUUUAAUUAUUUAACGGUGUUAGUGCAAAAGUGGCUAAUUGAUACAAAUUUGAAAAGAAAUGUGGCGCAGAGAACAUAUUAAAAUUUUGUGGUGGUUGGAUGAACAUAAGGCAACAGAAAGGUGGUGCAAUAAUAAUUUCCCUAAUUAAAAUUUUAGAAUUUUUGGGCAUGGAUAGAGUAGUUUUAAUUAUGUUAAAGAAUUGAUAUUGACAUAAUUUUAUUUUGGUUUUCAACGAAAAAAAAUUUGUUGACAAGUAAGAAAAUAUUUUUUUUUUACUUUACAAUCGGUUAUACAUGUUUUAUCAUAUUAAAGUAAUUUUAAUAAUAAAUAGAAACAUAAUAUUACAAUAAAUAAAUUAAAGUUUAAGUUAUUUUGAAUAUUAAAAAAAUAAUUUUAAUAUUAUUAAUAGGGAGGCAUUUUGUUAAUUGUAAAAUCUUGUUAACCCAAAGGUUAUUUAAAAUCUUUCUAAUAAAUACAAAUAUAAAAUUAAAUAUCAUAAUUUAAAAUAUUUAAUACUAUAUUCAAUGUAAAAAUAUUUUAAUGUUGUUAAUAUACUACAUAGAUUAUAUUACUUAUAUUAUAUUUAUAUUGAUUAAAAAUUUUUAAAAUUAAUUUUCUAGUUACUAUAUUCAUAAGGUAUUCUGGUUAAAGAAAAUAUCUUGAUAUUACUUUUUGAAAAUUUGAGAGCCUGCAUGACAAUUUUUUCAAAUUUUAAGGAUGUAAUUAUCCUUUUUUCCAUAAUUUAUUUCAAUUUUGAGGGAAUCCAAUAAGAAAUAUGGCAGGAGAAUGUCAAUAGGCGAAUGAUUUUGUUACUUUGUUCACUGAUCUCAAAACCAUCGUCGCCGGGUGGAAGUUGUUGCAUCCGAUUACUAAUAUCAAUGAUUUUACUGUGGAGUCCAUCAAGAAGAGCCAUAUUAGUACUGCUUUCACUUUCGUUUUCACUGGUUUGCUGCUGCUUGUUGUUGAUGAAGAAUGUGUCAAUGGACAAAGUUAUUGAUGUCCUCCAGAAUUCCAAAAAUAUCUGCUGUUUCAACGUCUUCUUCAUCGCUUUCUUCUAAGUCCAACAGUUGCAAAAAAGGCAAAGAUAUUUUGGAGUCAUCGAAUUCUUCUCUAAUGAGUUGAAACAAAAGCCGAGCCAUGUCAGCUUCAUAGUUUCCCACCAGAGUAGUAGCAAUGAUUUCUGACUCCGUAAGAAGGUUUUGAAAAAGUGGUGUCAAAUUUGUUGAAUCUGGCAACGGCAACGCGCCUUCUUCACCUGCCAACACCCUUUUCAACCUCUCACAAAACAGUCGGAGGUGGAAUUCCAGCAUAUCUCCUUCUCUCCGUAGCACUCAGAGGUAUAGUUGAAAGAUUAAACACCAUGGAAGAAUUUGAAAGGAAUAUGCCAAGAAACUGUGUAAGUGGCUAAAUUCCACAAAUAUGACAUUAUUGCUCUUUUUUGAACUCAAAAAAAUGGUACGCGUUCAUUUAGAGAAAAGAACAGGUAUCCCAAUCGAUAUCCAACCUUUAUCUUAUUUAAUUACUACCAUGACAUGAUUGAUGAUGCUUAAAUCAAUUGUUUCUUUUUUAAUUUAAAGAAUUUUUCAUUAAAAAAAUAUUUUGAUAUCUAAUACCCUUCAAUGGCAUAUCUGCCGCAAGCCCAGAACAGGAUUAAUGAAUUUUUUUUUUAAUUUUUUGGGCAUGGAAAGAGCAGUAUUAAACAUCAGAAAGCUAAGGUUGUUCUGUUAAAAAAUUGAUAUUGACAUAAUUUUAUUUUGGUUUCGGGGAAAAAAAUAUUUUCUGAAAAGCAAGAAAAUAUUUUUAUAUUUUACAAUUUAUUAUACAUAUUUUAUCGUAUUAAAUUAAUUUUAAUAAUAAAUAGAAACAAAAUAUUACGAUAAAUAAAUUAAAGUUUAAAUUGUUUUGAAUAUUAUAAAAAAUAAUUAUAAUAUUAUUAAUAGGAAGACAUUUUGUUAAUUUUAAAUUUUUUUAACCCAAAGGUUUAUUUAAAAUCUUUAUUAUAAAUACAAAUAUAAAAUUAAAUAUCAUAAUUUAAAAAAUUUAAUAUUAUUUUAAGUAUUAAAAAUAAUUUAAUGUUAUUAGUCUACUAUAUAGAUCACAUUACUUAUAUUAUAUUUGUAAUGAUUAAAAAAUUUUUAAAUCAAUUUUCUAGUUAAUAUAUUCACGAGGUAUUAUGGUUAAAGAAAAGACCUUGGUGUUACUUUUUAAAAAUUUGAGCGCAUGCAUGAUAAUUUUUUCAAAAUUUAAGAAUGUAUGUGUCCUUUUCUCCAAUAAUUUAUUUCACUUUUGAGGGGAAUCCAAUGAGAAAUAUGAUAAGAGAAUGUCAAUUACUUGUCAUUUUCUAUUUUUUCUGUAAGGUAUUUAUUUUGAGCAUUGGUGAUCUUGUCUGGACUACUCCAAUUAUUGAUGGAACUCCAAUGGCUGCAUCCACAGUUGAAUAUAUGAUGGUGUUAGCUCUUACUUGAGAAUUCAGAGGGAUCUUUCUAUGUUUCUCAAUUGCAAUGUGCUAGUAUAAAUUUCUUUACCUUACAGUUUAUAUAGUCUUGCUGUUAAUGAACUCACUGAGGCAUUAUUGAUUCAAUUUCAGUGGAGCAAUCGCGGGUGAAGGAUAAAUAAAGGAUAACAGAACAGAGCUGAAGUGCUAAAUUGGCUAUUGAAGAAGGUUUUCACAUGAUCACAAUUAUGUAAAAUAAUCAUUUUUCUGAAAUUGUGUUUCCUAAAAUUAAUAAAUUUCCUUUUUUUUAAAAAAAAAAAAAAACUCUUCUACGACGUGGUUGCACAGCAAAUUAGAGAAUUAUAGGGUCUCUAAUCAAUACUCCAACCAAUAAUGAUAUGUGCACAAAAAAUAGUAUCAAUCACAACAAGAUUAAAAUUAAAAAAAGUAACUAUAAGAUGGAAAAAAAAAUUAUUACAAGAAAAUAAUUUUUUUGUCUUUUCUAUCUUUUAUACUAUUUUUGUUUAUAUGUACUCUAAAUUCAGCCAAACCAUACAUGCAUGAACAAAAAUUAAACCGUCGUUCUAAUCACAACAGUAAUUGAAGCUACAAAAGCCAGCAAAUCUGAACGAAGACUUAAAAGAAAGAUCUUAUUCAAGUUUGUCCCCAAAAGACAGCUGAAAUGAAAAAUAUUGACUAUUGAAUGGGUCAAUGCCGAAUUACAUUUCAAAUGGAAAGCUUGGCAGCAGUUACAAUGUUUCCCCCUCUGAUUUUCCUCCAAAACAAAUUCAGUUGUAAACAAUAACCGAAGUAGUAAUAAUUUAUUCAUCAAAGAAAAUACCCCCAAGUUUUCAACUAAAAAAUCCUCUUGUCCAAACUAAAAGAACUCAUAUCUCUAAAAUCUAUCUGCAAAAUGUUGGGAAUGAGGAGUGAUCUGUCAACUCCGUAAAUAAACUCAUGCAUAAUGUUAACAAUAAUGAUAAAUUACAUAAUAAUUAUUAUAAAGAAUCAUAAAUUGGAAACACUAAUCAUUCUACAAUCUAUUAUAUAAGCAAGAUAAAUCUCAUAAUAAGUUAAGUUAUAAUGUAAUAAAUAUUUUCAAUAUAUAAUUAUUUAAGAAGUCAUUUAACAAUAAAAUAAUUUUUUUAAAUCAGUUGAUCAUACAGCGUUAUCUAAACUCCUGACGAUAUUAUUAUUACUCACUUUUCUCAAAAAAAUAUGAUUAAUGUUUAGAGAAAAGUCAUGCAUUUUAGAAAAAAUAUGUAUACUAGCUAUCCGUACUUUAUCUUACCGUGACAAAAUUGAUGGUGAUUAAAUCUAUUUUUAAAAUAGAUUUAAUUCACAAAUAUGGUGACUUUUGGCAAAAAUUAUUUUCAGAAGAUAUAGUGGCAGAAAAUAGUGAUAAUUAUUGUUUAAAUGUGUAAAUAGCCUAAGUAUAGCCCAUAAUACCAAUAUCCAUUUGCACCUUCAUUUGGUUUAUCACAUUUCAUGAUAUUCUUUCAUUCAUGACCAUUGUUCAAGAUUUUAAUUUGAUUAUAAAUUAAGUUGCAAGGGAGCUUACUUCAGUCUCUAAGCUUUUCAAUCGUGAUUCCUGCAUGCCAACGUAACUGACCUUAUAAUUGGUCUGUAUAAGAAAUCAAGCCCUUUCAGGAUCGUUUUCUUUUUCUCCCUAUUGUAGUAGUCAACUAAAUAAAGAAUGAACAACUAAACUUGGUCUAUUUCGAGGAAGACUAAGGCUUCCAAUACUAGAUGAACUUUGAAGAAAAUUAAUCCGUUGUUUUUAUUCAUCUUUGGACUAUGAAUAUAUACAAAGACUUUAACAGAAAAUAACAAAGACACAGCUAAAUGCACUACUAAAAAAAUGAGUUUUACUGACACUAAUUUAGCGUCAGUAAUUACUUUUAUUGACACUUGUUAAUUGUGUCAGUGUUGCUCAAGCCAGAACACACUGACACUAAUUUUUGAUGUCAAUAAUUUUUGUGUCAGUAAUUUGUUUCACUAUAGUAUCACUAAAAUAAUGACACGAUGAUGUUGGUAUUUAAUAAUACUAUUUACACGUCAGUAAUUUAUGUGACUAUAGUAUCAAAAACUGACUCGAUAAUAUAAAAAAUUCUUAUUGUUAUUUUAAAUAUGUAGUGUCAGUAUUUAGUAAUGUUAUGCUGCUUUUGGUUAAUAGUAUAUUUUUUAUUUUAAUUAUAUUUUUCGUGUUUGUUGUACAACCAAAAGAAAACUCGAAAUAUAUUUAUUAUUAAAUAUCUUGCAACACAAUUCAUAUAAUAAACAUCUCAAAUACAUCACUUAAAUUCACACAAUUCAACUACAUCACUAUGUGUAAAAGACUUAACAUAAGUAUCAAAUUAAAUUUUCAACAAUCUCUAAACAACAAGUGCUAACUACUACUCAAUUAAGUUUCCAACCCAAAAGAAAAAAAAAAAAGCACAAGGUCACUCAAUAUCCAUCCACGGCUUCAUUUUGUUCCCACCUACAAAUGCAUAAAAUCAAUUAGUAUACUGUGAAAAAUAAAUCUUAGUUAUUUUGAAGCAAAAAUACUCAUAAAUUACUUCAACAUGGAAGAGUAGGAUUAAAAGAAGCAAGUUAAGGAAUCAGAAAAAGAAAUUGUAGAAUCUACACGUUCCCAAGUUAAUUACAGCCUGCAAUCAUGAUACCACAAAUUGCUUCACCAAAAGUAUUCUAUCAAGUAUUAAAGAGAACACUUAAUAAGUACAUCAAUAUUUAGUAAUGAUGACAUGAACAAUGGUGUCUACAACUUGACAAGCAUAAGUUAUUUUUUUUGUAAUCUAUUUCAUUGUCUAAAUUUAAAGUAAACAAUGCUAUAAUAUAUGAUCAAGUACAUUAAGUUAACAAGCACUAUAACAUUUAUUUAGCCCACAUUCAACGAUGAUCAGUUGGACCGAAAGCCAUAAAUUGAAAAACAAAAGAUAUUUAAUGAGCUUAAAGAGGAAAAAUAAAAGUUAACAAAAUUUAAACGACUAAUGAAGAAAUUAACCAAGCCGAGAUGAAAAACAGAAAUAGAAGGCCACUAUAAGCCAAACAUUACAAAUCAGGUUGCUUUUUAAGACACGAACCCAGUUUCCAAUUACAGUACUUUGCAAUUCUUUAAAAAAAAAAGGGUUUCCCAAUUACUAAAUCUUUUUAGGUUUGAAGUGGAUUGAUAAUUAAAUUGAUGAAAGAAAGGAAAGUGAAGCAAAAAUUAGAUUCAAGUAUGGGUCAAGUAAAAAAGUAAAAGAUAAAAAUCAGAUUCAGUGCAAACCUGGGUUUCAAAUGAUUAGCAAAGGAACAACUUCUUCUUUCUUCAAUCUAAUAUUCUUCUUCGAACAUGGAAUACUAACAAAAUACAAUUAGUAAUUCAUAAACAUAUAGUAAAAUGAGAUAGGUAUUUUUUGAGAGGAGAUUGAGAAAUACAUAUUUGAUUGAAGAAAGAAAACACAACAAAAAAAAAGGACCAGGUCUCCUCAAAGAAAAGCAAAAUGGGAAAAUAGGGGAAUAGUCUAUACAAAAGCCAACCCACCACCCUUGGAGGACCAUCCUUCUUCUGAGCAAAAAUCUAUACAAGAUUAGCCCAAACCUCCAAUAUAGUAAAAUGGGUUCGACAGACUAUUUCUAAUCUGUCAUUUGCAAAGUAAAGCUAAAAUUAGAAUUGUCUACUAACAACCUUCCUAUAGUUUGUCCACUAUAUUAUUACUAUAUUAUUAGAUGUAAAAUGCCCACUAUAAAAGGUAAUUAAUAGAGAAACUUCUCUGUAGUAUUUUCAUACCUGUGCCAAAACAGAGAAGAGAAAGAAAUGGUGUCUGACCUCGGUGGUAAAGGAACCGCUAUGGUAAAGGAUCGAACAUGGAUGAAAAAUAAACUUGUGCAAAUGGAGCCACCAGCAUUUUGCAAGAAUUAAAGAUUUUGGGUGAAAUCCUCUCUUAUAAACACUUAUUUGUAUUGGGAGCAUGCAUACUUCCGAGUAUGAUAUAAUUCUAUAAAAUUUAGACUCCUGAUAGAUAGAUAGAUAACACGUAUUAGCAUUAAUUAAAUGGAAGCAUCAACAAUAAUCAAUAAAUCAUUAUAGAAAAAAAAUUAAAAAUGAAAGGAGCUGAGGCACACCAUUGUGAUGCAAGAUUGACAAUCAAAAGAACCUUUCCUUUGUAGAUGCUAAGAUCAACAUCCUGUCCCUUCGCAUCCUGCAAAUAAGAUAAAUUUUUAUAAAAAUUAAAAAAUAUAUCUGUCAAAUCCCAAAUUGAAUUAAAAAUCAAAACAAGGGAAAGAAAAUGAAAGGAACAUGUCAUCAAAUUGUAGGUGGCUGGUGGUGCUUUUUAGUGAAGUGUUUGUAGAACUGUUAGAUGUAACCAUUCUUUACGCAUCAACUUCGCUAGUGAUUUGAUUUGAUGAAGAGGAUCUUUCCUUAUCUAGUUAUCUUCUUGUGUAGAUCCAUGUAGGAUUCCUUCACGAUUUCUUUUUUUUUUUUUUGGGGGGGGGGGGGGGGAGGUUUAAUUAACAAAACAAUAAGAGUAAAUGAGGAAUCAAUCCCUAAUUUAAGGCCUUCUAAGAUUGCUGAAGCUCUGCAUAAUCAAUGUCUCCAAGAAAAAGGUUUAUUUGCAGGCUGUAGCAGCAAUUUUCUUCCCCAUGAAAUCCAACUGAUCCAUUUGUAUUGAAUUUAAGCACACGCCUGAGGCUGGAAAAGACAAAGAAAUUAAUGAAAACAGGCUAUGUAUCUUUUUUACUUAUCAUUGCUCUAUGAAUUAAUUAUGCUACUAAUCACGACGCCGUUUAAAUCUUAGAACAAUAAUAAUCUUUUAGCAACAAAUAUGACGGUUCAAUAAUAUGUUCCGACUAGGGAUGUCAUAUUGUGAGGGCUGUUAAGUUUAAGAAACGAUCAAAUCUAAUUUUGUGUUCCAAAAACUCAUUGGCUUAACAGAUUAACUCCUCUGUAGUAUUUUCAUACCUGUGCCAAAAGAGAGAAGAGAAAGAAAUGGUUCUUGAUCUCGACGGUAAAGGAGCGGUGGCUGGCUGGGCUGAAGUUGAUGUGACGGCAUAAAAGCGGUAGCAGCGACAUACUGAAAGGUGGCUAGCUAGUCGUAGGUGGCUGAAGCUUGACAACAGUAGAGCAAAGGCGGCAGUGACGUCAAGGAACGGCGGCCGACAGCAGUGAAAGUCGAGGAGCAGCGGCCGGCAGCAGUGAAAGUCGAGGAGCAGCGGCCGGCAGCAGUGAAAGCCGAGGAGCAGCGGCCGGCAGUAGUGAAAGUCGAGGAGCAGGGGAGCGGUCGGCAGCAGUGAAAGUCGAGGAGCAGGGGAGCGGCGGCAGCAACUUAAGAAGUGGUGUGUUUGAUUCGGUUAGAUUUAGGGUUUCUUAUUUUCAUUUUAUACUUUGAAAAAUUAUACAGUGUAAUUGUUCGCAUUGUAAUUUAAUAAAACAACAAACUACAAGUCAACAUGUGGUCAAGUAAAAUUAUUAUUAUUAACAACGAAUUACAAGUUGACAUGUGGCAAAAUAAAAAAUAUUAUUCUCAAAACUAUUAUUAUUAUUAUUAUUAUUAUUAUUAUUAUUAUUAUUAUUAUUAUUAUUAUUAUUAUUAUUGUCCACAAAGUAAUUGUGUAAAAUUUAAUUAAAUAAAAAAAUUAAUCAAAUUGAAAAUUUAAAAACACAUGCAUCAAUGGUUUGCACUCUAAACUUACAAAUUUUAAGUUUAGAGAUCUUGAGUUCGAGUUCAAAUUAAAACAAAAUUAAUAUUAUUAUUUUUUUAUCACUGAUGCUUUAGUAUCAAUAAUCAUUGAAUUUUAAGCUACUGACACCUUAGUAUCAAUGAUUUAUGAUACAUACUUGUUAAAGGCGGAAAAUGGUCCAAACGUACACCAUUUCUGACACUUUUUACUAAGUGUCAGAAACAAAGUGUCAGUAAAUGUCAUUUUUGUAGUAGUGAUGAUAGCAAUAAGUGCUGACUUAGACACUUAGUGGACCGCUUCUACAAGUAAAUAAAAACUAAAUAUUUAUUUUGACUAUAACAACAACUACGCUGAUGAAUAGGAUUUCACAGCAGCCACGUGAGAACUAAUUUCUCCUUAAUAUUAUUAUUAGUAGAAGUAGAUUUUCAAACUAGUCUUGAUAUAUUUCAAAGUUGUAUUAUCAAUGUAUAUGUGUCUAGAUUGUAACUAUACUUUAAAAAAUAUAAAAUUUUUAAUUAUUGCACAAUAUAUGUAGAAAAAUAUCUAUAAAAUGAUAUUAUUAGGACUAAGAAUUUUUUAUUUUAUUUUAGAUAAGUUAUUUAUUUAUUAUCGAAUGAAUAAUUUAUUAAUUUAUUGAUAAAUGAAUAUUUAUUAAUUUAAAGAGAGAUUUUUUUGGUUUUAACAAGAGUUUGUUUGGUAAAUGUACACACUUAUAAAGAAACAUAAAAAGUGGUUCCUCAAGUCAAUAGUGUUUGCUUCAAUCGCAACGGUUCAUAAUAAUAUAGCUUAGUUAGGAAAUUUGUAAUUAUACUAUAACUUUGUUUGGUACAACUUUUCAAGUAAAACUUAUUUAAGUAGAGUUGUUAUUAGUAGAGCUUUUAUAAAUAAAGCUUUUACUAAAAAAAAUUUAAUUGUUUGGUUGUCAAUGUCCAAAUUGAUAAACUUUUGUUCUUUUGUUAAGAUAUGUUUGUUUUACUUAAUAAUAGCAUCGGCAAGAGUUUUCGAUUGUUGCAACUUGCAAUGCACGCGGUGAGAGAAAAUGAGAAUCUUGUUUAAUUGUCAAUAAUGACAAACCUAAUCCUUUCAUUAGGAGUAAUUUAAUAAUCGUUUGUUAUAACUGAAUAUGUAUAAAGAAAGGAAAAUUCUAUUCAUAGAUUUCGACUUAUUUUUUGUUUAAAGUAAUUAAUCAUUCAACCAUCUUCAUUUGCCUCUGGCCAAUGCCCUUGUAGAUUAGUUGAAGCGUUAAUUACUUAAUUAUGAUUAUAUACAUUUUCAUAUAGCAAGUGGCAUUGUAGAUCUAAACUAAGUUGCUAUUUCAAUACCAGCAAAUUCAAAAUAGAAAAGGAGUGCAACUAUUUAACUUUGUAGACAAUAUUGCAACCAUGGCAUAUUUAUAGCAAAUCCUUGAAAUCUGCUAAACAAAACAAUGCCCUGUCUCAUGAAUCGAUGCUCAAUUAAAAUUUAAAUUGAAAGUCCGGCUGGUGUUGUUUUCCUCUCCAGUUUUGCCUACAUAAGUAAAGGGAAAUAAGAAUCAUAAGUGAAAAUAUGCUUUGACAGGUCUUAUUUCUUUGUUUCUCUACUGCAGUUUUGCCUACUCAAGCUGAGUCUACGUUGAGACAUAAUUUCAGUAUUGAGGUAACAAUAAUUUCGGACUCCGUAAGAAGGUUUUGAAAAAGUGGAGUCACAUUUGUUGAAUCAGGCAACGUCAACGUGCCUUCUUCACCUGCUAACACCCUUUUCAACCUCUCACAAAAUAGUCGGAGGUGGACGUCCAGCAUAUCUCCUUCUCUCUGUAGCACCCAGAGGUAACAGGAUUAAUUAAAAAUUUUAGAAUUGUUGGGCGUGGAAAGAGUAGUAUUAAACAUCAGAAAGCAAGGUUGUUCUGCUAAAGAAUUGAUUUGUUGACAUAAUUUUUUUUUUUUUUUUUUGGUUUUCGAGGAAAAAGGCAUAUUUGUUGACAAGCAAGAAAAUGUUUUUGUAUUUUACAAUCUGUUAUACAUAUUUCAUCAUAUUAAAGUAAUUUUAAUAAUAAAUAGAAACAUAAUAUUAUGAUAAAUAAAUUAAAGUUUAAAUUAUUUUGAAUAUUAUAAAAAAAUAAUUCUAAUAUUGUUAAUAGGAACAUAUUUUGUUAAUUGUAAAAUCUUUUUAAUCCAAAGAUUUAUUUAAAAUCUUUAUAAUAAAUACAAAUAUAAAAUUAAAAUAAAUAUCAUAAUUUAAAAUUUUUAAUAUUAUUUUCAAUAUUAAAAUAUUUUAAUGUUAUUAGUCUACUAUGUAAGGUAUCAGAGCCAUACCCAUCCUUGAAUGGGUCAAUGCUGAAUUACACUUGAAAUGGAAAGCUUGCUGCAGUUACGAUAUUUCCCCCUCUGAUUUUUCUCCAAAACAAAUUCAGUUGUAAACAAUAACCGAAGUAGCAAUAAUUCAUUCAUCAAAGAAAAUACUCAAAUUUUCAACUAACAAAUCCUCUUAUCUAAACUAAUUAAAAAAAACUCAUAUCUCAAAAAUCUAUCUACAAAAUGUUGGAAAUAAAGGGUGAUCCGUCAACUCGAUAAAUAUACUCAUGCAUAAUGCUAACAAUAUGAUAAAUUACAUCAUAACUAUUAUAAAGAAUCAUAAAUUGGAAACACUAAUCAUUCUACAAUCUAUUAUAUAACUAAGAUAAAUCUUAUAAUAAGUUAAGUUAGAACAUAAUAAAUAUUUUCAAUAUAUAUAAUUAUUUAAGAAGUCUUUUAACAAUAAAUUUUUUUUCUUUUUCAGUUGAUCAUGUCAUAUAGCGUUAAUGGUGAUUAGUGACUGAUUACAAAGCAAAAUUGUUUAAAAUAGAUUUAAUGCACAAAUAUGAUGAAUUUUGGCAAAAAUUAGUUUCGGAAAUGUUGGGAUGAAAACCAUAUUAGUUGAGACUUAAAGUUACUUAAUAAAAUUAUAUCACUACCAUUCAAUGGAUGAAAACUAUUUUAGUUGAGACUUAAAUUUAGAUUUAAAUGUUGAGAUAUCUAGUAUUACUCAAUCAGAAUAAACAAGAACCAAUUCUGACUAUCAUGUAGAAGCAAAUAUUUAUGCUUGGAUUUUUUACUUCUUGAAUUUGAUUGGAAAAGUUUCUGAGACAGAGAAGUGUUUUGGAUAAUCUUUUUCGGGAUUGAAACCACAAAUUGGUCGAGGAAAUUAAUUUUGGACAAAUUUUUAUUGAGUUGUGCUAAACAUCAAGAAGGGCGAGAGAAUGCUGAGAGAAACGGCAGCUUUGUGCUGCUGUUUCGACUUCUCACUCUCUCGCCAUUCUAAUAAUUUUUUAUUAUUAAAAAUAAAAAAGCGGAGAAAAUGAUAGCAGACAACCCACAUCUACCAAAUCUCCAUCACUCCAUCACUCUCUUUCUCUCUCUCCCUCUCUUGAUUUUCAUCCUCUCUCUGGCUUCCUCACUCUCUACGGCUCCCCAUCAAGCUUCCUCAGUCUCUUCGGCCUCACUAUCUCUAGCCUCACUCUCUCCAGAUUCUUUCAUUUUCUCCUUUUUUUUAUAUUUUUAACAAUAAAAAAUUAGCAUUCUGCUGAGAAAGAGAGUGGUACACGACUCUUGAACAAUUUUUUUUCUGUCGUGAUCGUCUAUCAAACCACCUAAAAAUGAGCCAAGGGGGUUCUCAGCCCUAGCAGCUCACGUACUUUCAAGAUUUAGAGUAUGGUUCCAGUCCAAGCUAUUUAAUUAGUAUUGGGAUUCGAUUUAGUUGUUCUUCUAAUUUAAUAGGAUAAAGAAUUUAAUUGGAGAAAUGUCAUUAAUAUCAUAGGAGCAUAUAUAUUGUUUUGAUUUAAAUAUUGCUAUUUUUUUAUUGUUGAAAAAAAAAACACUAGAAAAUGGGAAGCCAAAAUCUUAGCCCUGUGUUUUUACUUUUACUUUUCUCUUAAACAUUUUAAAGAUGUAAAGGAAAAUGCUCAGAAUGGUGAGAGAGUGAUGGACGUGAUGGGCUAUCUUCUAUCCUUUUUUUAAUAAAUUUUUAAGAAUAAAAAAUUUAUUAAAACAGUAAGAGAGCGAAACCAAAACGGCAGCUUGUGCUGUCGUUUCUCUUAACAUUCUCUCGUCAUUCUUGAUGUUAAGCAUUUUCCAUUUUUAUUAUGUUGUAGCACCUUUUUGGUUCCUUUUGUGUCGGCAGCCCCUUACUAUUCUCUUAACCCUGAGUUUGAGAUAGAAAUUUCCCGAACUCCAACCCCACAUCCACAGACAAGUUGAUUCAAACAAUUGCUCUUUUAAUUAAGAGAAUGAGUUAGGUUUCAGUUCUUAUUGUUGUCUGUUAUUUCUCUGAAUCAUUAAUUUUGAGCAUUACUGAUCUUAGUUAUCUGUAUUUCUCCAAUUAUUGAAGAAUUUAUUAUUGAAUGAAUAAUUUAUUAAUUUAUUGAUAAAUGAAUAUUUAUUAAUUUAAAGAGAGAUUAUUUUGGUUUUAAGAAGAGUUUAUUUGGCACAUGUACACACUUAUAAAGAAACACAAAAAGUGCCUGCUCAAGUCAAUAGUUUUGGUACAUUUACACACUUAUAAAGAAACACAAAAAGUGCUUGCUCAAGUCAAUAGUAUUUGCUUUAAUCGCUAUAGUUCAUAAUAAUAUAGCUUAGUUAGGAAAUUUGUAAUUAUACUAUGGCUCCGAUUGGUACAACUUUUUAAGUAGAACUUAUUUAAUUAGAGUUUUUAUUAGUAGAGUUUUUAUAAAUAGAGAUUUUACUAAAAUAAAAUUUAGUUAUUUAGUUGUCAAUGUCCAAAUUGAUGAAAUAUUGUUCUUGUUAACAUAUGUUUGUUUUACUUAAAAAUAAAAGUUUAGUUUACAAUUACACCAGUAUAAAAUCAGCAGAGCAUUUUUGCUUAAAUAUUUAUUAAUUUAAAGAGAGCUUAUUUAAAUAGAGUUUUUGUUAGCAAAACUUUUAUAAAUAAAACUUUGCUUAAAAAAAUUUAAUUAUUUAAUUGUUAAUGUCCAAAUUGAUGAACUUUUGUUCUUUUGUUAACAUGUGUUUCUUUUACCUAAUAAUAAAAAUUAGUUUACAAUAACACUGGUGUCAAAUCAGCAGAGAUAUUUUCCAGCCAGUCACAUUAUACAUACGGGAGCCUCUAUGUUACAUUGAAUGUACCAUACACAACUAAUAAGAACCACAUAAAUUGUGGGACCCACAUAAUUGUGUGGUUCUUAUUGGUUGUGUAUGGUACAUUCAAUGUAACAUAGCAAAAUCCUAUACAUUAUACUAAUAGCAUCGGCAAGAGUUUUCGAUUGUUACAACUUGCAAUGCACGCGGUGAGAGAAAAUGAGAAUCUUGUUUAAUUGUCAAUAAUGACAAACCUAAUCCUUUCAUUAGUAGUAAUUUAAUAAUCGUUUAUUAUAAUUGAAUAUGUAUAAAGAAAGGAAAAUUCUAUUCAUAAAUUUCGACUUAUUUUUUGUUUAAAGUAAUUAAUCAUUCAACCAUCUUCAUUUGCCUCUGGCCAAUGCCCUUGUAGAUUAGUUGCAGCGUUAAUUACUUAAUUAUGAUUAUAUACAUUUUCAUAUAGCAAGUGGCAUUGUAGAUCUAAACUAAGUUGCUAUUUCAAUACCAGCAAAUUCAAAAUAGAAAAGGAGUGCAACUGUUCAACUUUGUAGACAAUAUUGCAAGUUGCAACCAUCCAAAGGUGAAGAUCUAUGCUUAUUAUCUAUUUAACAGCUAAUAUAUAUAUAUAUAUAUUUAUUUAAAUAUCAAGAGCUAUGCUUUUAAAUAAGUUCAAAUGGGAUGAGAACAGACUUAUAUUUAUUUAUUUAAAUAUGACCCAGGCUAAUUUCUCUGAAUUUGGACAGAGUAGAUUUCUAAGCUAAUGCUUGGCAUAUCUCUGGCGAUACUACAAAGUGCAUGUACAUUGACUCUUAAUAAAUAUAAACGAUUCUCUGAUAUGAUUCAAAACAUCACUACAUGCAUAAGUUAAUAAGAGACAAUAUUCUAAGAUUAUUUAUGCAUCACCAUUUAUAGUUGUACCCUCUCUAAUGAAAUUGAAGGUGCAGCCAGCAACUAAAAUGAAGCAGAAAUGUACACGCAUGAGGCAGUUUUUCUAGAAGAUUGAUAUUUCUUUAACUAGAAAACCAUACAAGUCCACAACUAGCCAAACUGUACCUGCAUGUGUCUAGGGCUUAAAUGGAGCACUUCUAAGCAUAAAACAGUAACUAAAACACAUACACAAACAUACAUACCAAAAAAUUCAGAAAAUAGAGAAAGGAAUACAACUAUUCUUGUUUGUAGACAAUAUUGCAACCAUGGCAUCAGUUAUAGCAAAUCCUUGAAAUCUACUAAACAAAAUAAUGUCCUGUCUCAUGAAUCAAUGUUGAAUUACAGCUGAAAUUGAAAGUCUGGCAUCAGUUAUAGGAAAUAUUGAAUUACAAUAUUUCCCUUGCCGAUUUUGUCUACACAAGUAAAAUGGAAAUAAGAAUCAUAGAUGAAAAUCAACUUUUACAGUUCUAAUUAUUAGAUAGAUACAGAAUGAUCUAUCUUUGUGAGUUUGUUUUUCUGCUGCAAUGUGCGAUCCCACUCUGUUUUGAUACUCAAAUUGAGUCUAUGUUGAGACAUAAUUUUGACAUUGCAAGCAAUCCCAAUUAGUUUGGCAUUUGUAUGACCCUUUGAAGGUUUUACAAUAGAUGCAAAUCUACUGAGAAAAUGGUAAAAAAGGUGCAUAUAAAAUGAGGCAAGUAACAGAAGUAUGAGUUAUCAGAUUAGAUUAAAAGUCACCCAAUUCAAUCUAUCAGAUUCCGUAAGGAUAUAACUGGAUGUCAUAUCGCCACUCCAUAUCCUCGAAAGUCCGUAGUCUUUGUCUCAACUCUGUCUGAGGCCAAUGUAAAUCCAAUUUGCACAAGCUCUUUAUGCACCAUAGCUCUUCUGGAAGCUUUCUCAAGUAAGCACAUGGGUUGACAAUUAAGCUUUCAAGUUUUGGCAUUGCUCUUGCCCCCAUCGUCCACUCGUCUAGCCAAUACAUCGACUUCAAGUGCAAAAUCUUAAGUUCCGGAAAGCCACCAGAGCCAACGCAGGCCAGCUUUCUUCCUAAAUAUGAGUUCUGCUUCAGUUUCAGCACUUGAAGGCGUGGAAGCUUUUCCAGCAUUGGCAUGGGAUCCUCCAUUAGCUCAGUAUUUGAUAAGCUCAGUUGGAUCAGGCUUGGAGGAAAUUGGUAUUCAGACAGGACCAUCCGUGAGAGCUUGCUCUCAUUCACCAACUUCAAGCAUUCAACUUUGUGGAGUUCGCAUACGCUUUUGGAAACCCCAGAGUGAUAGCAACUCAAAUCUCCAGACACUCUAAGAGUUUGAAGAUUAGGUAGUCUGCACAAUAUAUCUGGCGUGCAACUACUAGGGUGUAAGGCUGAUAUGAAAAUAAGAUUUUUCAGAGAGCUGGAAUAAUUUUUUGGAGGUGCAGGCAGAGUGAUGGAACCAAAGUUCAGAUGCAUGAGUUUUUGCAUCUUCCAAAUAUCCUCUGGUGUUUGAUCUACGUAGCUAGAUGGCAUGUCUAGUGUUUGAAGGUUUGAAAGGGUGCAUAGCAGUGAAGGAAGACAUUUGAGCGAAGGGAUAUUCAAUUUCAAAUACUUCAAAUGGAAUAAAUUUUCUAAUCCGGGUGGAUAUUGGUCCAGGACUGCAGAACCCAUGUUCAAUACCCGAAGGUGUUUGAACAUUUUACAAAAAUUCUCGCAAUCUAUCGGAUUAAGAUGAUCGCUUUCUGAACUGUGAUUCAGAAAAGAUUGGAGGUACAUGUCAGAAUGUUUCAAAGAAAAGAACUCAAUCAGAUCAUCGACAAUGAUGUACCGUUUGGCAUUUGCCAUUGAUUCCUCUUCCAAUCCAGGCGACCAAAAAAAUCCCGUCAAUGCUGCCGGCAAAAGUAACGCAACAUAUGCAAAAGUUGGAACAUAGCACGCCUUAAUUGUGCCUCCGGCUCUUCUCUUAUUCACUUGAAUGAAGCCACGAUCGAUUAGUUCAUUCAAGUAAUGCUCGGCAGUUUCCUCACUGUUGUGUGGUAUGAAACCUUCAGCUACCCACAACCAAUAUAAUUGCCUGGUAGAUAUCUCAAUGCCUGGAUGGAACAAACACAAAUAGAGGCAGCAGAUUUUCAAGUGAACAGGUAACUGCAACACAGAAUAAAUUGUACUCCAAGCUGUCAGAAACGCUUUUUCUCCCAUGUAAAUUCUUAAUGUCGUUUUUCCAUAGUGUAGGAUGAAAAAUUGCCAGGCUUCAUGCUUUAAUCUGAUCAAUGGUCCUCCAACGAGAACUGAAUCAGGAUGAAUCGUCUGUCCAUUUUCCAAUUCGAACGAGGAAAGGAAGUCUGGAUCAGUGACCGUCAUUAAUACUCUGCUUCCAUUCUGAUUCUCAGGAAGGACUUCUUCAAGAUCAUCCAAUACAUCGUCACUCUCUUCACAGUAAUCAUCAAGCACAAUAAAGUACUUCUUGUUUGUUAGGUAAUCUCGAAGAAUAGAUUUCUUCAAUUGAUAAUCUUCACCGAUAACUACACUAACCCGAGAUGGAGGCAUCACAGACUUGAUUAUGUCAUCCAAUAUCAUGCGAAAAUCGUAGGCUAUAGAAACCCUGACCCAAGCAUGACAGUCAAAAUAGAACUUGACAUGAUUAUUGUUGUAAGUAUCAGCAGCAAAAGCAGUCUUAUCAAAGCCACUGCUGUCGAGAAUUGCAACCACUGAAAGCUGAGGUUGUCCCUCGAUCAGUAAAUCAAACAACGCCUCUCUGCCGCUUUCAAAUUCACUCUUAUCAAGCUGAAAUUGUCCCUCAAUCAAUAAGUGAGUGAAUUCGUUCCUUCGCUCUUUGAAAUCAAAACCAUUGCCUCCAGGUGGAAGUUGUUGCAACCGAUUUCUAAUAUCAAUGAUUUUACUGUGGAUUCCGACAAGAAGAGCAAUGCAAGUAGUGCUCUCACUUUCACUGUUUUGCUGCUGCGUGAUGUUGAUGAAGAAUGUGUCAAUAGCUUUCUCAGAUUCACGGACAAAGUAAUUGAUGUCUUUCAGAAGUUCCCAAAUGUCUGUUCUUUUAACAUUUUCUAAGUGCAAGAGCUGCCGAUAACGCGAAGGCAUUUCGUCUUCAUCGAAUUGUUCUCUAAUGAGUUGAAUUAAAACUCGAGCCAUGUCAACUUCAUAUUUUCCCAGCAGAGUAGUAGCAAUAAUUUCGGACUCCGUAAGAAGGUUUUGAUAAAGUGGAGUUAAAUUUGUUGAAUCAGGCAACGUUAACGCGCCUUCUUCACCUGCUAACACCCUUUUCAACCUCUCACAAAAUAGUCGUAGGUGGACGUCCAGCAUAUCUCCUUCUGUCAGUAGCACCCAGAUGUAUUGUCAUUUGCUUCAAGAAAUGUUGAAAGGAUUGGUUCUAUCUCAAAGUGUUUAGUGGUGUAAAAUUAAUUAAUUAAACACCAUGGAAGAAUUUGCAAGGAAGAUGCCAAGAAACUGGCGAAGUGGCUAAAUUCCACAAUUAUGACAUUAUUGCUCAUUUUCAACUCAAAAAAAUGAUACGCGUUCAUUUAGAGAAAAGUCCAAGACGCGUUCCUUUCGGAAAGAACAAUUAUCCAAUAGAGAUCCAACCUUUAUCUUAUUCAAUUACUACCCUGACAUGAUUGAUGGUGCUUAAAUCAAUUGUUUCUUUUUUAAUUUAAAGAAUUUUUCAUUCAAAUUUUUUUUAAUAUUAAAUUGCCUUCAAUGGCAUUACUGCAGCAAGCCCAGUAACACGAUUAAUUAAAAAGUUUAGAAUUUUUGGGCCUGGAAAGAGUAGUAUUAAACAUCAGCAAGCUAAGGUUGAUAUGUUAAAGAGUUGAUAUUGACAUAAUUUUUAUUUUGGUUUUCGGGGAAAAAAAAUUGUUGACAAGCAAGAAAAUAUUUAUAUAUUUUACAAUUUAUUAUACAUAUUUUAUCAUAUUAAAAUAAUUUUAAUAAUUAAUGAAAAACAAAAUAUUGCAAUAAAUAAAUUAAUGUUUAAAUUAUUUUGAAUAUAAUAAAAAUAAUUUUAAUAUUAUUAAUAGGAAGACAUUUUGUUAAUUUUAAAAUCUUUUUAACCCAAAGGUUUAUUUAAAGUCUUUAUUAUAAAUUAAAUAUCAUAAUCUAAAAUUUUUAAUAUUAUUUUAAGUAUUAAAAAUAUUUUAAUGUUAUUAGUCUACUACAUAGAUCAUAUUACUUAUGUUAUAUUUGUAUUGAUUAAAAAUUUUUAAAAUCAAUUUUCUAGUUACUACAUUCACGAGGCAUUAUGGUUAAAGAAAAGAUCUUGAUGUUACUUUUAAAAAAUUUGAGGGCCUGCAUGAUAAUUUUUUCAAAAUUUAAGGAUGUAGGUGUCCUUCUCAAAUAAUUUAGGGUGAGGCUAUUUGAAUCCACCAAUCUACUCACUACACCCAUUUACUAAAUAAACCCGCACUUAAGUUUUGAAAUUUUAAAUUUUACUCAACAAACCGACCUAAAUGUCCAAUAUACCCUUAUUGAACCCAAUUAUUAUAAUAAUAUGUUUUUGCUAAUUAAACCCAUUUAAUUCAUUUAAAGUUAAUAAAUGAUUAUAUUUAUUAAAUUGAAAACUAAAAGAUUAUACAAAACAUAAACAAUACUCUCAAUUAUAUAUUUUGGAGCAAAAAUUCCAAAGUGUAGUAAGCAAAGCCAAUGCAAAAUGGCUGGAGCAGCUAAUAAUGGUAAAAGUCAGAGCCUAGUAAUGUGGUACCGCUACUUGACUUUGGGAAAGAAGUGAUAAUUAUAUCAAUUUCUUCAACUUGGAAGUUGGAAGUGCUGUUGAAAGCGGUUGAUGCCAGAAAAAUAAUUAGAUAUCUGUCAAAAAAAAACUUUGGUAUUUUUAGAAAUAAAAUCCUAUAUCCAGUAUUUCAAUAUGAAAAGUCUCUAGUAUUUCUUUCAAUUGAUUCUUCCUUUGUCUUCUUCGACUCCAUGAAGGUUUAAUUAUGAUGAGAAAGCCAAGGGGAAUCAAUAAAGAAUAUCAAUUUAGGGUUUAAGAAAAAUAUCAUAAAGUUGAAUGUAAAAUGGAUUCAAAGAGUAAAUUUUAUUUUUAAAACUAUAUUUUAAUGUCUAAAAUUGUAAUUUAAUUUAGGGAUAUUUUAAUAAUUACAAUUUAUUUUUAAAAGUGAGUUUAUUAAGUAGUUUGAUGGGUUCAAAUAGUCCCAUCCAAUAAUUUAUUUCACUGUUAAGGGAAUCCAAUGAGAAAAAUAAUAAGAUAUCGUCAAUGACUUGUCAUUUUCUAUUUUUUCUAUGAGCUAAUUAUUUUGAGCAUUAGUGAUCUUGUCAGGACUACUCCAAUUAUUGAUGCAACUCCAGCGGCUGCAUCCACAGUGGCUACUCCAAUUAUUCAUGCCUUUUAAAAAGAAUAUGUAUACAAUAGCAAUCCAUACUUUAUCUUACAUUGAUUUUUUUCAAUUAAUGGUGAUUGCAUUGAUUUUUUUCAAUUAAAGAAAAAUUGUUUAAAAUAGAUUUAAUGCACAAAUACGAUGACUUUUGGCAAAAAUUAGUUUCGGAAAUGUUGGGAUGAAAACCAUAUUAGUUGAGACUUAAAUUAAGAUUUAAAUGUUGAGAUAGUAUUGCUCAGUCAGAAUAAACAAUAACCAAUUCAAAUUAUGACUAUCACGUAAAAACAAAUGUUUAUGCUUGGGUUUUUUACUUCUUGAAUUUGAUUGGAAAAAUUUCUGAGACAGAGAAGUGUUUUGGAUAAUUGUUUUGGGGAUUGAAACCACAAAUUGGUCGAGGAAAUUAAUUUUGGACAAAUUUUUAUUAUAUUGUAGCACCUUUUUGGUUCCUUUUCGGCGGCCCCAUACUAUUCUCUUAACCCUGAGUUUUUUUUUUUUUUUUUUUUUGAAAAGUCUUAACCCUGAGUUUGAGAUAGAAAUUUCCCGAACUCCAACCUCACAUCCAGGGACAAGUUGAUUGAAACAAUUGCUCUUUCAAUUAAGAGGAUGAGUUAGGUUUCAGUUCUUAUCAUUGUCUGUUAUUUCUUUGAAUCAUUAAUUUUGAGCAUUACUGAUCUUAGUUAUCUGUAUUUCUCCAAUUAUUGAAGAAUUUCAUGUGGCCACUUUUUCUCCUUUUCAUAUAUGUUUCGUUUUUGGACUGAUCAAACGGUGCAAAACCAAGUAUUUGCUGGUCCUUAGUUUAGCCAAUGAUGGCUGAUCCACAGUUGAAUAUAUGAUACUAUUAGCUCUUAUUUGAGAAUGUAAAGGGAUCUUUCUUAUUUGAGAAUACAAGUUGCCCAAUAGAGUUGAACUAUGUUACCCAACUCCAUGCUCAUACAUUAAAUGUUUAGGUAGUUUUACAAAAUGAUAGCAGCAUGCCAAAACUUGUUGUUGUCAUUUUCGACAUUUCAAAUUGAAAAAUAUGCAAGCAAUCUUCAGUGAACAUUACGUUUUUAUUGAAUAAUUUAAAUGGCCAGCAAAUCAACAGUCCGUGAGUUUUAAAUCUAUUAUGACUUAAUGUAUCUUUCUGUAUUCGUACACAGGUUAUAUUAUCAUAGUUUAAAAUUUUAAUAUUAUUUUAAAUGUUAAAAAUACUUUAAUGCUAUUAGUCUACUACACAGGUUAUAUUAUUUAUAUUAUAUUUGUAUUAAUUAAAACUUUUAAUGUCAAUUUUCUAAUUACUAUAUUGAAAAGGUAUUAUGGUUAAGAAAAAGUUUUGGCAUUUCUUCUUGAAAAUUUGAGGGUCUGCAUGACAAUUUUUCCAAAUUCUAAGGGUAUAGGUUUGAAAAUUUAAUGUUCUUUAACUUAAUGAAACAAAAGGGGGAAACCAAGAACUAUUCAAUUUUGUAUUUUUUGUUUGUAAUUCAAAAAAUGCAUCCACCAAACAAGUUUUACGCAUUAAUGCUGUCAUAAAACAAAAAACAGUUUGCCAAAAAAUGGUACCAAACAUAUCCUUAAUGUCUCACAUGAUUUCUUAGUAAGCCCAUAUUAGAUAUAUUUAUACAUUUUAGGUAUUUUAAUUAUAAAAGAAGUUGGUCCUCCCUCUGUUUAUAAAAGAUAACGUUAUUUCGAGAUUACCACUAAACUCUUACAUAGAAUUAGUGUAAUGUUAAGAGAGAGUAACACAAUUUUCCGUUACCAUCUUUGAAAAUAGAAAGAUAUGGAUGCGUGCAUUUAAGGGUUAUCGUGAAAAUCAUACAAUUCAAUUUCCUGACAUAUAUAUUCGUGCACAUAUGCCAAAAGAAUAAAUAGACAGAAAGUAAAUUUACAGUCCUCACUUCCUCACAAUUGUUAACGUGGAGACAUUAAGGAUGAGCAUAAAAGUUAAAGAUGACUCAUUUCUCAUUUUCUUUUUAAAGUGCUCUGCUGAAAGCCAAACUUCCUUUGGCUAAUUAAUUUAGAAGUAAAGCAGAGAAUAAAGUCCUAGAUGCCUUCUGAAAUUAGAAAUACAUUUUAUAUGCUUUAAUUAUGAUUAUUUGGUAGACUAAAGACCUAAAAGAUAUGUCCAAAGUAUAAAACAGAACGAUUAAAGGAAAAAGAAAAAAAACAGAGUAUUUGUGACGUAGAAUAACAAUUGGUAACUAAAAUCCUAAAUAUUUGAGUUGUUAAAAGCAAAUAUAACAGAGAAGGUAAGAGAGAUGCAGAAACAGAAAACUAUUAGCUUAUCUUGAUUUCCCACUAUAUUCAUUUUCGAUGCUUUUCAAACGAGAUUCUUUUAAUCCUUCUGGCGUCCGCAGCCCUUGCUCUUCUUACAAAUCUCCAGUCCACAUCUGCACUACGAACAAGUUGAUUGAAAUUAAAUAAUGUUGGAGAUGAGGGGUGAGCCGUCAACUUGGUAAAAAAAUUCAUGUAUAAUAUUAUCAAUAAUAUAAAAUAUAUAAUAAUUAUUACAAAGAAUCAUAAAUUAAAAAAUUAAUUAUUUUACAAUCUAUUUCUUAAGUAAGAUAAAUCUCGUAAUAAGUUAAGUUAUAACGUAAAAAAUAUUUUCAAUUUAUAAUCAUUUAAGAAGUCAUUUAACAAUAUAUUUUUUUUAUCAGCAGGCCAUGCCACAAAGUAUCAUCUAUAUUCGUGGUGAUAUUAUUAUUACUCCGUAUUCUCAAAAAACAUGAUUUAACAUUUAGAGAAAAUUCCUGCCUUUUAAAAAGAACAUGUAUGCAACAACUACCAAUACUUUAUCUUACCACAACAAAACCAAUGGUGACUAAAUCAAUUUUCUUGAUUAAAGCUAAAUUUCUUAAAAUUGAUUUAAUGCACAAAUAUGAUGACUUUUUGCAAAAAUUAGUUUUGGAAAAUAUAGUGAGAGAAAAUAGUGACGAUUAUUGUUUAGAUGUGUAAAUAGUCUAAACAUAAUCGCUAAUACCAAUAUCCAAGUGCAUCUUAACACCUUUCGUGAUAUUCUUUCAUUCAUGGUCACUGGUUCAAUAUUUGAAUUUAAUCAGUAAAUCAUGUUCAAUAAUAUUAGAGAUCCCAACAAUUGAGUACCAAUUUAAAUCCUAAUGCUAUAUGUCAUUGACCAAUAUUGUGUCAUUUUUUGUUAACUGGGUGAUGAAUUUCUAGUUGAUAAAAUUACUUUAAAAUAUCUUAAAAAUUAGACAAUAGUUUGCUUAAUUUUUUUAAGCUAACCGCUCAAGAUGCUCUAUUAGAAAUGAUAACCUAAUUAUAUACAUAAAAAAUGAUGUAUUUUUUGCAAUGUUGAUAGUGAGAUUAUCAUUCAACAUGUUAAAAUAUGAAAACAUAUGGAAGAUGGUUGUAAAUUGAUUGAAUGAAAAUAUUUCAGUGAAGUCUCAAAAAUUUGGUACUUGUUAUCUUAUCGAAAGUUUUCUAAAUUAUAUUCGUGGCACUGCCACUGCUUCUAUGUGAAGGUCAUUAAAAUUUGUGUUAGUUACCUAUAGGUUGAAUAACAAUUUUAUUCAUCAAUUGUUGCUCAAUAUAGCAAUUUGAUUGAAAGUGCCGCUGCACUAAUUUUCUAGAUGAACUUUCCUAAAUGUUUGUCCUCAUAUGACCUAGAAUGCUGCGAUAUCAAUUGUAUUGGAAAUUAUUCAAGUGGGUUAGUGCUCUACAUCCCCACCAAAAUUUAAGCAAUCAACAAAACAUUCCUUGUGGAAAUAAACUUAUUUCGCUACUAGACUUCUAAUGAGGCCCAUUUUCCAGAAUCUGGAUACGAGUUAGAUGUCUCCCAAAAUAUUGGUGGGAGUAGACUAUACUAGCACUCGACAACAUACUAACGACGCUAUGGUCCACCAGAAAGACCGGUCUCCGGUCAGCCGAAAAAUCUCACGUUCAGUCUCUUCUCAAUCUCCCUUCUCCCAGCCAAGUCGAUCCCGUAACAUGAUACUAAUCCACAGUUGAAUACAUGAUACUAUUAGCUCUUAUUUGAGAAUAUAAAGGGAUCUUUCUUAUUUGAGAACAUAAAUUGCCCAAUAAAGUUGAACUACGUUACCCCGCUCCAUGCACAUACAUUAAAUGUUAACAGCAUGCCAAAACUUGAUGUUGUCAUAUUCGACAUUUCAAAUUAAUAUGCAAGCAAUCUUCGGUGAACAUUACGUUUUUAUUGAAUAAUUUAAAUGGCUAGUAAAUCUAGAGUUCUUGAGCUUUAAUCUAAAUCAAAUCUAUUAUGACUCAAUGUAUUUUUUUGUGUUCGUACCAGUAAUGCAGGGGAUUAUUUACGCAACUCUUAUUAUUGACUGAGAUGUUCACCUUCAUCCAAUUAGAGAAAGAGUGACUGUAGAGGUGGCAAAAAUACCCGCCCGGUCCGGACCCGGACCGUACCCAUUACCUGGUCCGGGUAUGAAGCCGGGUCGGUCUUGGGCAUCACUUGAUAAACCUGGAACCCGGAUUUUAUUAAAAAAAUUAUAAAAUAUAUAUUAUUUUAAAUAUUUUAUAUUUAUUUGACUCAUUUAUUAUACAUAUAUAAAGUUUUAAACACUUAAAGUUUAUAUUUUCAUGUCAAAUUUUAUUGAAAUAAAUUUAAAACUUAUAAAAUUACUAAAAAAUAAAAAAUAUAUACACAUAAAAUAUUAAAAAAUAUAAAAUUCGGAUACCCGGAUUAAAACCCGGCCCGAACCCGGACCCAGACCGGUUGCAUCCGGGUAGGGUCCAGUCAUGGCAAUACUCGGACCUGGUCCGGGGUUUUGCCAUCUCUAAGUGACUGGGUUCCUAUAAAGGGACUCUUAACCAUUACGAGAGUAUUCAGACUACAAAUCUUUGUAAUUAAAUUCAAAGGUGAAGAUCUAUGCCUAUUAUCUAUUUAACAACUAAUAUAUAGUUAUCUAUUCAUUUAAAUAUCAAGGGCUAUGCUAAUAAUUAAGUUGAAAUGUUGAUGAAAGUAGCCUUACAUCUGUGUAUUACUCAUCUACUCUAAUCUUUUUUUUUUUUAACUUAAUGUACUUUUUCUAAUGUUGUUUACUCUUCCCCCCCCCCCCCCCCCCCCCCCCCCCCCCCCCCCCCCCCCCCCCCCACCUCUCUGACAAAAUAAUAAGAGUUUAGACUUGAAAAUAUCUUAAAGAUCAAACAGUAAUUUACCUAAUUUUUUGAAGCUAACUGCCAAAGAUAUUCUAUUAGACAUUGAUAACGUAGUUAUAUACAUUUAAAAUGAUAUUUUUUUGUGGAAAGGGAUUAUCAUUCAACAUCUUAAAAUAUGAAAACAUAUGGAAGAUGAUUGUAAAUUGAUUGAAUGAAAAUAUUUCAAUGAAGAUGGUUGUAAAUUGUUAUCUUAUUGAAAGUUUUCUAAAUUUACUACUAUUUGAACUUAGCCCUCCUGGUACCGCCACCAUUUCUGCUUGAAAGUCAUUUAAGUUUGUGUUAGCUGCCUAAAGCUUUUUUUUUUUUUUUUUUCUUUUUCUUUUUGAAAAGAGCUGCCUAUAGCUUGAAUAACUAUUUUGCUCACGAAUUGUUGUCCAUUAUAGCAAUUUAUUUAAUUGAAAGUGCGGCUGCAAUAAUUUUCUUGAUGAACUAUUCCACAUGUUUGUUCUCAUGUGAGGCAGUUUUUCUAGAAGAUUGAUAUUUCUUUAAGUCUUUAACUAGCAAAGCAUACCAGUCCAAAGCUAGCCAAACCAUACCUGCUGGUCCAGGGCUUAAAUGGAGUACUUCUAAGCAUAAAACAGUAACAAAAACACAAUAUAUGCAUACAUACAUACACACAUACAUACAUACCAGCAAAUUCAAAAUAGAAAAAAGAGUGCAACUAUUCAAGAAAUUGGUUAUUGUAGACAAACACACAUACAAACACAUACCAGAAAAUUCAAAAAAUAGAGAAAGGAGGCCAACUAUUCAAGUUUGUAGACAAUAUUGCAAUCAUGGCAUUACUUAUAGCAAGUCCUUGAAAUCUACUAAACAAAACAAUGCUCUGUCUCAUGAAUCAAUGUUGAAUUACAGACGAAAAUGAAAGUCUAGCAGGUGUUGUUUCCCUCUUCGAUUUUGCCUACACAAGUAAAGGGAAAUAAGAAUCAUAAAUGAAAAUCAGCUUUUACAGUUGUAAUUAUUAGAUAGAUCUAGAACGAUCUUUCUUUGUUUCUCUGCUGCAAUGUGCUAUCCCACUCUGUUUUGCUACUAAAAUUGAGUCUAUGUUGAGACAUAAUUUCGACACUAGGAGCAACCGCAAUUAGUUUGGCAUUGCAUUACCCCUUGAAGGUUUUACAAUAGUUGUAAACUUACCGAGAAAGUGGAAAAAAAAGGGCAUAGGGAAUUAGGCAAGUAACUAAAGUAUGAGUCAUCAGAUAUGAUUAAAACUCACCCAAUUCAAUCCAUCAGAUUCCGUAAGGAUAUAACUGGAUGUCAUAACGCCACUCCAUAUCCUCGAAAGUCCGUAGCCUUUGCCUCAACUCUGUCUGGGGCCAGUGUAAGUCCAAUUUGCGCAAGCUCUUUAUGCACCAUAGCUCUUCUGGAAGCUUCCUCAAGUAAGCACAUGGGUUGACAAUUAAGCUUUCAAGUUUUGGCAUUGCUCCUGCCCCCAUCGUCCACUCAUCUAGCCAAUACAUUGACUUCAGGUGCAAAAUCUUAAGUUCCGGAAAGCCACCAGAGUCAUCACAGGCCAACUUUCUUCCUAAAUACGAGUUCUUCUUCAGUUUCAGCACUUGAAGGCGUGGAAGCUUUUCCAGCAUUGGCAUGGGAUCCUCCAUUAGCUCAGUAUUUGAUAAGCUCAGAUGGCUCAGACUUAAAGGAAAUUCGUAUUCAGACAGGGCAAUCCGUGAGAGCUUGCUCUCAUUCACUAGUUCCAAGCAUUCAAUUUUGUGGAGUUCGCAUACGCUUUUGGAAACCCCAGAGUGAUAGCAACUCAAAUCUCCAGAUAUCUGAAGAGUUUGAACAUUAGGUAGUCUGCACAAUAUAUCUGGCGUGCAACUACUAGGGUGUAAGGAUGAUAUGAAAAUAAGAUUUUUCAGAGAGCUGGAAUAAUUUUUUGGAGGUGCAGGCAGAGUGAUGGAACCAAAGUUCAGAUGCAUGAGUUUUUGCAUCUUCCAAAUAUCCUCUGGUGUUUGAUCUACGUAGCUAGAUGGCAUGUCUAGUGUUUGAAGGUUUGAAAGGGUGCAUAGCUGUGAAGGAAGACAUUUGAGCGAAGGGAUAUUCAAUUUCAAAUACUUCAAAUGGAAUAAAUUAUCUAAUCCGGGUGGAUAUUGGUCCAGGACUGCAGAACCCAUGUUCAAUACCCGAAGGUGUUUGAACAUUUUACAAAAAUUCUCGCAAUCUAUCGGAUUAAGAUGAUCGCUUUCUGAACUGUAAUUCAGAAAAGAUUGAUUAGUUCUUUCAAGUAAUGUUCGGCCGUCCCCUCACUGUUGUAUGGUAUGAAACCUUCAGCUACCCACAACUGAUAUAAUUGCCUCGUGGAUAUCUCAAUACUUGGAGGGAAGACAAACAAAUAGAUGCAGCAGACUUUCAAGUGAAAAGGUAACUCCAUCACAGAAUAAAUUUGUCUCCAAGCUGUCGGAAUCGCUUCGCCUUGAAAAUAAUUUUCUAAUGGCAUACGUCCGUAGUGUAGGACGAAAAAUUGCAAGCCUUCAUACUUUAUUCUAAUCAGUGGUCCUCCAACGAGCACUGAAUCAAGCCGAAUCUCCUCUGCGUUUUCCAUUUCCAACGAUGUAAGGAGUCUUGGAUCAGCGACCAAUAUCAAUACUCUGCUUCCAUUCUGAUUAUCAGGAAGAACUUCUUCAAGAUCAUCCCAUAUCUCACUCUCAUCGAAGAAGCACAAUAAAGUACUUAUUGUUUGUUAGGUAAUCUCGAAGACUAGAUUUCUUCAAUUGAUAACUUCACCGAGGCAUCACAGACUUGAUUAUGUCAUCCAAUAUCUUGCCAAAAUCGUAGGCUAUAGAAACCCUGACCCAAGCAAGACAGUCAAAAUAGAACUUGACAUGAUUAUUGUUAAAAGUAUCUGCAGCAAAAGCAGUCUUAUCGAAGCCACUGCUGUCGAAAAUUGCAACCACUGAUAUCGAUAGAUCAAACAACUUCUCUCUGCCCUUUUCAAAUUCACUGAUAUCGAGCCGAGGUUGUCCCUCAUUCAAUAGGCGAAUGAUUUUGUUACUUUGUUCACUGAUAUCAAAACCAUUGUCGCCGGGUGGAAGUUGUUGCAUCUGAUUUCUAAUAU